RNAcentral lists this long non-coding RNA (208411 nucleotides) under Citrus maxima (pomelo). RNAcentral's name for it is "long non-coding RNA (CMAX_LNC004147)". Lineage: Eukaryota; Viridiplantae; Streptophyta; Magnoliopsida; Sapindales; Rutaceae. The record is from RNAcentral.
AAAAAAACAAAAAAAUUGACUAUACUGCUUUUGUUUUCGUUCUUAGAACAGAUUUUAGUUUCUUUUGAGAAAAUUCAAACUCAUUCCCAUUACUUUCUUUUCAAAAAUCACCUCUCAAUUUUUCAUCAAUCACUCAAUUCCGAAUUUCAUCUCCAUUCUCUUUCGAAGAAGAAUGCACGAAGAAUUUUAGCUUGCUUUCGCUGCUUCUCGAAUAUUGGGUAUUGUUUCCUUUAGUUUAGAUAAUUUUUUUUUUAUAUCUCUCUUUCUAGUUUGAUAAUUUAGGGUUAUACUUGAAUUAAUUGUAUUUUUAAUCAACCAAGGUUGAUUUAAUUGAUUCCAAGUCUCAAUUUCCUGUUCAACAAACAAGGAACGCACAAAUAAUUUUCAUUUUCAUACUCAACUUUGAAAGAAUCAAUUUAUUUUAUCUUUGGUUAGCACACUUCUGUUCAAUUUUUGUUUAUUUAACUUAAGAUAUCUUUUUCUUUCUUUUCUUCAAGCAGAUUAUAGAUUAUAUUGAGAACAGAGCUUUCUCCUUAAUUCCGCCAAGAGCAACGUUGAUUUCAGGUGAUAAUUGAAUGUGUAAUAUUUUCAAUUGAAAUUAAUUGAGUCUCGUAAUAAUAAUAGGGAUUUGAGAUUUACAUCCUGUUGAAAUAAUUUCAGAGUGUUCUGCUAUUUGAAUGCGCAUUAAUUGUUUGAUUAAAUGUCUCUUUAAAAGAUUAUUUUUGUUUUUAGCAAACAUCUUAAUGCACUUUGCAAAUUGAAUCCAACAAGGGAAAAUUAUAGAACUGCAACAGUUUUCAAAUUGAUUGCAUAUUAGAAGUAAUGUUAAUUUAUGCUGCAACAGUUCAAUGGGCUGGGCACAAGUUUAGGACUUUAGUUGCUCAAUUAAUGAAUCCACCACUCAUCAGACUUGGAACUUAUAUCUAUUGAAUCAAUAAAAAUAGUUGAUGGAAUCAAUGCCGAAAGCUUCAUUUGAUAUUUAUUUAUAACAUCUGUUAGAUUCUGCACAAUCACAAAUAUAUAGUAGCAGAAACUAUGUUAGAGACACUGUAGUUGCUUAAUUAGUGAAAUUGUGAUCUCAUUGCCCCCUUUUUUUGGUUGAUUCUAUAAUUUUAUUAGUUGUUCUUGUGGUUGUAAACAAUAUCAAUUUCUAAUAUUAAUAAAACUGAAUGAAUAAAAUGCGAUGCAUUUGCCGGAAAGUUAAUAGUUUAAAUAUGGAUAAAUCUUGGAUGUUGAUGGAUAGAAGGUCUAUAGAAUAUGAGAACUUCAUGCUAGUCAUGCUAGUCAUCCUGAGCUUUUGAGAUGUCCAUGCCAAGCACGUCUUAGUUUAUAGGCUCAAACAAGUAUAGAAAAUGCAUGAUAGAACACAGAACUCAUAUUUUAGCAACAAUCCUCAGCUCAUUGGCCCUUAGUUCAGAAUGACAAUUCUUAUUAGCCAAAGAUUCAAAAUGAUUUUUAGUUGUUUAUAAGUAGAGCACUAGAUCAACAAAUACUUGAAGACCUGCAGCUUGGCUAUUGAACUAUACGAUGGUGGCAAUUCGAAGACUAGAAGUUGGCUCUGCCAUUCGAAGUAAGCAACGCAGCUGCCCAAAGUCUGCCAAGCCAUCAAGACUCCAUCAAGUAUACUUCAAAGCCACAUCAAGACAAUACUAAGAUACAACAUCAAUAAUAAUAACACCAAGAAAUACAUGGAGGCCAUUACAUGCUACAGCCACCCCAAUAAGAAAUUAAUAAAGACAUUCCUAGAAAGUUACAAACCCAUGCAGUAGGAAUAACUAAUUAAUUUAUACAGUUCAGUACUCGUUCCUCUGUUUCAAAUCCAAAUCCACUGGUCUACCAUUUAUUAUGACGCAAUGUAUAUGCCGAUAUUAUCCUCCCUCCGUUAUGUACCUUUCAAUUUAGUGAGGUUUAGACAGGGGUUCCAGAUUUGGUAAAUCAACAAUCACCAGAUAUGAUAGAGCGGCCGGAAGAGGAAGCAUGGUUCCUAAUCCUAAUCUUGAUUUAGAGCAGAUUAGGUAACAUGUGGCAUUCUACAUUCCUGCAAUGCUAUUUCUUGUUAUGGCAGCGGCAUUCUUGGUCAUGGCAUCACAAGCAAAUGCUUUGAUUUGAAGACUUGCUCGGCUAUGAAAAAUAAGGAGAGCAAAGGUAGUUAAUCUUGGUGUGGUCAACAGUUUAAUGGGGGUACUAAGAAAAAUAAAGAUAAUAUAAGGAAUGUUGUUGAGGAGUAUUUUGAUAUUUACAAAAGUGUUCAAAGUAAAAAUUGAUUUCUUAAAACCCAUUAGCUAGCACACAUAAUAAUGGGGAGAAAAUUUUAGACUACGAAUAGUCCCACCCAUUUAAUAAUAUUCUUCAAUCAAUUAUGUUUAGUUCAAAAAAAAAAAAAAAAACCCAUCUCUUUAUUACUUUCUAACUAUUCAUAUUAAUGUGUUAAUAAUUAUGAAGAACCGGUGUAAUUUAUGUGAUGUAGGAAGCACUUUAGGCAAAAUCAUCUGAAUCUCAAAAUUUCGUGAUAUUGUGCCAAAUAUCCAAAACAGAGCUUCCUACAUUGCUAUAGCAGUUUUUAAAAGUUGAGGACUCCAAAUAUCCAAUAACUGAUAAAUUGUGUUAAGAAAUAUAAAUAUUAAUGGUGACGACACAUAUGUAUGGAAUUCCUCUGUUUUGAGUUUGACUAAAACAACCUGAAUAAUUUCAAACAAUCCAUCAGCCCAAAGUCCUUGAGAGAUUGAACUGGAUUUCAGUGCAUCACAUUUUGAAAUUGAAACUAACAUUAAUUAGAAAGGCCGAACAGCCUCUGUUUUUUACUAUAAUACAAAAUGGGAAGUCAAAAACCAAUUCAAGGAACUCUCCUGUUUUUGACUGAACAUACAUAAUCCGAACAAUUUACAAUUAAAUAAAUCGUCCAAAAUCUCCUUUAGUCCAACCCCCAUUUCCAUGGUUUAAUAGAAUAUCAUAAAGGUAUCCAAUACAGUGAAAUUAACGUUCAGCUCAUGAAGUUUCCGUUAUAUAUAUUGAAAAAGAAAUUAAUAAAAGAAAUUGAAAACCAAUUGACACUGGAUCAUGUAAGAUUGUUAGUUGUUAAUUAUGAUGGAAAUAUACACUUGGUCUAUCAAUUACCAUCUAGCUAAUGCAUGUGCACUUUCAUUUGUGUCUAUCACUGAAGAGUAGAGUUACUUGAUUGAAUAGUAUCAUAUCACAAAAACUCAAAACUCAAUUUCAUUGCGCGAGCAUACCACGCCAUAUGUAACUCAAAAGUGCAAUAACAUUGAACAUUCAGCUAGCUAGCUUAUACUAAUUAAUUAAUACGACUACUAGUUCUUUAUGAUUAAUUAAAAGAUAAAAUAUUUGACAAUCACGAAACAUUAUUCUAUCACUAAAGAUUAGAGCUUCCUACAUUGUUACCCAAACUCUUUUAUAUCUCCCAAACGUUAUUAGAGUCCCACAUUUGUGGGCACAUCAUUAAGUAAAAUGUGCCAAUUAGGAAGAGCUAGCUUUUUUGUUCUGUUUUCUCGAAUGCGUUGCAACUUGCAGGAAAUUUAAACCGUCAACACCUGCAGGAAAUUUAUAUAUAUUCUGUCAGCACUUGCAUACAUUGCAAUUUUCAACGAAUUCCAAAUCUUCAGAUCUUGAAUUAGCUGGACUGACGUCCGACCAACUCCACUGGCUAAAACAAAGGAUUAAUUUUUGAGAAAUUAUAAAGAAAUUAAUACAAGUAAAAUGAACCUAUUCAUUUGAUUUGAUAUAAUUGGCUAAGGGUGAUUUCGAUAACGUUUUCAAAGAAGAUAUAGAACAAAGAUCAAAAUGAAAAAUAAGUAAUUUGAUCAGUCCAUGCAAAAAAGGCGCAAGCUUCGCCCACACAUGCAUGUGUCUGACUAACAGGACAUGGCUUGGAGCAAGGAUCAAUGGACAAGUUUGAGGUUUAUGAAAUAUUGAGAAAAUAGACAAAUAAUAAAGCCACUGCAAGUUAAGCAGAUCAAAUAAACAGAACAAAGGAAAUAAAUGAUCAAUUUAAUUCUUUGUGAAAUGGCCACAGGCCACAGCAACAACGAAAAUAUGUCUACAUGCAGCAUUACAUCAACAUUUGAUCAUCUAUCAAUUUUCAUGAUAUUAGAUUAGAAACAUUGAGUUCAUAAUUUUAUGUAAUUUCAUGUACUAGAUAUAUAUAAUUGAUUGGAGUUAGUUUAAAAUAUAAAGAAAGAGUAAUGGGGAGUGAUGUCAAUGUGGCAUUUGAUGAGUAAAGAUAGACAACAAAUAUUGAUCAGGUAAUAAUGAAAUAUGUAUUUACUGAAAAAUAUUGGCAAUAAAAUGAUGCUAUAAAAAUUUAAUAUUAGUUGCAAGCGAAUAAAUUGACAAUUAAAAUUAAUAGAUAUAUAGGCAAUGCUUUAGGUUUAUUUUAUCAUUUCACACCAUUUUGCAACUACAUUUUAAUUAGAAGUUCAAUUAAUUUUGACCAAAGACUCUAGAGAAUGUCAAAAAGAGAUAUGAUUUUUGUAUACCAAAAAAAAAAUAGAAAUGAAAUAAGUCAAAAUCAAUUACAAGAACAACAAUAAAAGCAUAUUUUAUAAAAGCCACAAAUACAUAAUAAGAGUUUAGUUUUGAGUUACAUAAUUAUUAAUGGGUAAAAGUCCAUUUAGUCACUGUAUUUUAAGAUUAGUGUCCAUUUAGUCCCUGUAUUUUUAAAAAUGUCUCGAAACAUUCCCGUCGUUAAAGUAUUGAUACCCUACUGUUACUUUUUAUUUUUUUGACUUAUUUUUACAUUAUUACCCUUUUAUAAUAAUUUUUUUGUCUGAACAUUAAUAAAAAAAAUUAAAUUACCAAUUUAAUCCUAGAAAAUUAAAAAAAUUAUAUUAAAUUUUUUUUCAAGCACCAUUUGCACACUUGGUAGUUUGCAUACAAUUUUUAACAAUAUAAUUUUUGACAAUUAGAAAUUAAUAUAAUUUUUUUUUAUUUUUAGGGUUAAAUUGGUAAUUUAAUUAUUUUCUUUUUAUUAAUGUCCAAAAAAAAAUUAUUAUAAAAGGGUAAUAUUGUAAAAGUAAGCUAAAAGAAAUAAAAAGUAACGGUAAUAGUAUCAAUACUUUAACAGCAGAGAUGUUUCGAGGCAUUUUUAUAAAUACAUGGAUUAAAUGGAUACUAAUUUUAAAAUAUAAGGACUAAAUGUGCUUUUACCUACUAUUGAUUUAUAUAGUAAGAGAGUUUUAUAGAAAUGUAGGAAUUUUUAAAAGAGUUUUGCUAGAGCAAAAAGUUUAGUUUGGUCUAGUUUGUGGAGGUUUAAGUAGUUGAAAGCCGUGCAAAUGAAGGAAACAUAAACUUCUAAUUUUUUACAAAGUAAUGGCUAAAAUAUUUGAAAAGUUUGAGAUUUUAAAAAGGCUGGGAAAAUAGACAAAUAGUGACGACACUACAAGUUGGCAGAGCAAAUAAACAGAGGAAAACAGGGCAGAUAAUUACCAUUAUACCUAUAAUUUUUAUUUUUUCCAAAAACAAAUGUUGCGAUUUUUUUUUCCAAAAAAGAAGCACAGUCUGCUAUUACCACUAAAGAAUGUUAGCUACUUUAUAUAAGCAUAUGUCUAAUUACCAAAUAAAUUCCACUUUAACAAAGAAUAAAAGUUAAUUUCAUUGAUGGCCCGUGUUGUGCUUUCUUUUUUUAUUAUUUUUCCUUUUAGAUGUUGAAGUUACUUUGUAAACUUCUCCAAGCGAAUUAAAAAAUUUCCGCUUACUCUAGGAUCUUUUCAAUCGGCCUGCAAUUUGUAUUCUUGUCUGUAAGAUUGAUUUUUUUCUUUAAAAAAAUUUAAAAAGGGAUGAGAAAUCUUACCCACUAAAUACCAACUUUGAAUUUUGUUAUUAUUCAAACUUUGUAUUUCUUGCUCAAAGCCAGUUAAACUGUGUCUAACUGUCAUGCAGGUUCCAUUUUUACUUGAUUAACUGUAUAUACAAAACUAAAUCACCUGAGCCUCUGGUUUCACUAUUUUCCAACUAGAAACUUAAACGCAGAAUUGAUGGUAUUGGAGUUCCUUAUUUAUUUUAUGUACUAUUGGCCGCUAGGUAGCUUGGUCAUAUACGUGUAUGGGGAUGUCAUGUUAGGAAAUUGGUGGGUAAAGCAGACACGCAGCUACAAUAAAAUUGGAAGAAAAUAAAGAACAAGCACAAAAGAGAAUACCAGAAAUUACGUGGUUCGGCUUUUAGCCUACGUCCACGGGCGAAGACAGGAGGAAAUAUUAUACUAGUGAAAAGGAGUUACAAGUAUUGUAGUAUUUUAGCUCACUACCCAAAACCCCAAUACACCCAAACUCUCAAAUCACUAAGCACACAAAAUUCUUUGCUCUUGCAAGAAUUACUUCUCUCAACUCUCAAUUCUCUCUACAAAAAUUGCCUCUCAAGAUUGGAAUGAAAAAUGAGUUAGGGAGCUCUUCCUUUUAUAGCCAAAAAAAUGGCUAUUAAAUUAAUAUAUAUAUGUAUAUAUUUCAAAUGUUGUUGCCAACUUCUUCUUUUUCUCCAUUUGGAUGGCACCAUUUUCUUUGGCCGGCUGCACAUUUUCUUUGGCCGGCUUGUCAAAACCAACUUGAAUUGGUUUUGUGGCCACCGGCCUUUGACAUUUCUCCCACUUGGAGAUUUGAUUGAAAAUCAAUCAAUCUCCACAUCAUCCUUUCUGCUUCGCCAUAAUCAUGUUGCCUACGUUUUCGUUAGGCCACUAAAGGAUCUACUCCAGACAAACUUAUCAGUAUUGAUUGGCUUGGUCAAAACAUCUACUAGGUUCUCUUUGGUAUGGAUUUUCUGCAAAUCCACACUUCCGUCUUCCACUACUUCUCGUACGAAGUGAUACUGAACUCCUAUGUGCUUUGUCCUGGAAUGAAAGGCUGGAUUCCUUGCAAUGUGCAAGGCACUCUGACUGUCACAAAACACAGAAAUUUUCUGUUGUUUGUGCCCGAGCUCCUCCAAUAGCCUUUGUAUCCAAAUAGCUUCCUUGCAAGCUUGUGUAGCUGCCAUGUACUCUGCUUCUGUUGUAGAUAAUGCCACAACGGUCUGCAGUUUCGAAACCCAGCUUACAGCUGCUCCCGCAAGUUCAAACACAUAACCAGUAGUGGAUUUCCUUUUAUCAAGGUCUCCUGCAAAAUCUGAAUCCACAUAACCCCUGACAGUAAACUCUGAUCCUCCAUAACAUAAUGCAACAUCUGAGGUUCCUCUGAUGUAUCUCAGAAUCCUCUUCACAGAUAUCCAAUGCUCUUCACCAGGAUUCGCCAUGUAUUGACUGACUGCUCCCACUGCUUGUGCAAUGUCCGGUCUUGUACAUAUCAUAGCGAACAUUAAACUUCCCACUGCUGAUGCAUACGGUACUCGAGACAUCUCCUUCCUCUCUGCUUCAUUGCUAGGACACAUACUUGAGGAUAAUUUGAAAUUAACAGGAAGUGGGGUAGAAAUUGACUUACAAUCUUGCAUGUUGAAGUGUCGCAAGAUUUUCUUCAAAUAAUUCUUCUGCGAAAGCCAAAUCUUCUUGUUAUUUCUGCCUCGGUGAAUUUGCAUCCCUAGAAUCUUGUUUGCUGGUCCCAAGUCCUUCAUUUCAAACUCCCUAUCCAACUGUGCCUUUAAUUCUUGGAUUCGAUCUUUGUUGGGACCUGCUACCAACAUGUCGUCCACAUACAACAGUAAAAUAAUGAAAUCAUUAUCUUCAAACCUCUUGUAAUAUGCACAAUGGUCUGAACUGAGUCUGUUGUAUCCAAGGCUCAUGAUGAAGGAAUCAAAUCUCUUAUACCAACACCUCGGCGCCUGUUUGAGACCGUAAAGAGAUUUGUUCAACUUGCAAACCAAGUUCUCCUUUCCUGUUUCUGCAAAACCUUCUGGUUGAAGCAUAUAUAUUUCUUCUUCAAGUUCUCCAUGAAGAAAUGCAGUUUUCACAUCUAAUUGCUCAAGAUGUAGGUCAAAUGUAGCACACAUCGCCAAGACUAUUCUGACUGUUGUGAGUCGAACCACGGGCGAAAAUAUCUCGUUGAAGUCAAUACCUUCUUUCUGAGCAUAUCCUUUCACCACCAAUCUUGCACGAUAUCGCUCCACUUGGUCAUUGCCAUCACGCUUGAUCUUGUAGACCCAUUUGUUUCCAAUGGCUUUUCUUCCACGUGGUAGUGGUACAAGUUCCCAUGUCUUGUUCUUGUGUAGAGCUUCAAUUUCUUCCUGCAUUGCUGUCAUCCACAAAGCAAUAUCUGAGCUUUCUAAAGCUUUAUGGAAAGUUGAUGGCUCUCCAUCCUCCGUUAGAAGACAGUACGCAACGUUGAUCUCUGUGACAUACUCCGAGUGCCACGUUGGUGGUCGUCUCUCACGAGUUGACCGACAAACUUCUGGAGCCUCGGACUCGACUGGUUCUUGUUCCUUGUGCUCUGGUGCUGCUUCAGAAGAAUCUGAAUCUUCUAGAUUAUUUUCCACAUAUACUGGCACGGUCUCUGACUUUUCUUUUGUAGUGCUAUCAUCCUCAUCUCUCAUUUGCAGUUGAUCUUCUACAAAGAUAACAUCUCUGCUGAUGACGAUCUUGUGGGCAGUGGGGUCCCACAACGAUACCCCUUUACUCCAUCAGCAUACCCCAAGAAGAUACAUCUUCUAGAUUUUGGAUCUAGCUUUGUUCUUUCUUGGGCAUUGUACAUCACGUACACAGGACAUCCAAAUGCAUGUAGGUAGGAAUAAUCAGCUGGCUUUUCAGUCCACAUUUCCAUCGCUGUCUUCAGCCCAAUAGCUGUAGAUGGCGAUCGAUUUACUAUAGAACAUGCAGUUGGCUGCUUCUGCCCAGAAUGAAUUGGGUAGACUAGCAGUCCUCAACAUAGCUCUUAUUCUUUCUGUAAGAGUUCUGUUCAUCCGCUCUGCCACUCCGUUUUGUUGAGAAGUGUAUGCUACCGUGAACUACCUCUGAAUACCUUCUUGCUUACAGAAAGCAAGAAACUCGCCGUCUGUAUACUCUCCACCAUUAUCUGUCCUCAAGCACUUGAUCUUUUUACCAGAUUCAAGUUCCACCCGCGCUUUGUAUUCUUUAAACAAAGGAAAUACAUCUGACUUUUUCUUAAUUGGAUACACCCAACAUCUUCUGGAAUAAUCAUCAAUGAAAGUCACCAUGUACUUUGCACCUCCCAUGGAUAUAUCUGGUGAUUCCCAAACAUCAGAAUGAAUCAAGUCUAGAAUGCAUUUACUUCUAGCAAUAGAUCUACUAAAUUUUAAUCUAUGCUGCUUACUUGUAACACAAUGCUCGCAAAAUGGUAAACUUACCGAUUUGAGCCCCGGAAGCAAUUUUCGCUUAGAGAGAAUCUUCAAGCAUUGUUCUGACAUGUGGCCAAGUUUGAGAUGCCACAUCAUCGUUGAUUCUUCUCCAUUUGACGCGACACACGCAUCAGCCUCCUGUAGUGUUUCUCCUCUAAGCAUGAAUAGAUUAAAACCGAUCUUUUCUGCUUUCAUCAAUACAAGCGCGCCUUUAACGAUCUUCAUAAUUCCAUUCUCCACAUGAGUUUUGUACCCAUGACAAUCCAUUUGUCCCAAAGACAAUAGAUUUUUCUUCAGGCCGUUGACAUAUCGUACCUCCCCAAUUGUGCGAAUUGUACCAUCAAACAUUUUUAUUUUGAUAGUACCAAUACCAGCGAUCUCCAAGGCAUGAUCAUCUCCCAUAUAUACAGAUCCUCCUGAGAUAGGUUCAUAUGUGUGGAACCAUUCUCUCCUAUAGGUCAUGUGCCAGGUAGCUCCUGAGUCUAUAAGCCAGACAUCAGAAAGUCGUUUUCUGCCUUCUGAAAUAGUUGUUGCCUCGCUGUAAAGAAUUUCGCCAUCAUCCGAGGUACUUGCUACACAACCCUGAGCAUUUGAUGACUCAGGUUCUUUGCCCUCUCUUUUCUUCUGGUUACUCCAACACUCUUUCUUGACGUGCCCUCUCUUGCCACAGUUGUAGCAUUUAACAUUCUUCUUACUUCUGGAUUUUGAUCUACCAUGAUUUUGACUCCCACUGGGGCCACGUUCCGUUGAUCUCCCUCUUGUCACCGAUAGCGCUUCUGCUUGCUGCGAACUUGCUUGUCUGUUUUCCUUAUUUUUCCGCCUGCUCUCCUCAUUUAAUACUGAGGUUGCAACAUCGUCGAAAACUAGACUAUCCACUGGAUUGUUGUUCGUCAGGUUGAUGAUGAGUUGAUCAUACGAAUCUGGUAGACUUUGAAGUAGAAGCUCUGCACGUUCAUUUUCCUCUAUAUUAUGACCCAACAUUGUGAGUUGUGAAAAUAGAGUCUUCAAUGUGUUGAUGUGGUCGGUCAUCAUUGUAGAUUCCGCCAUUCGAAGAGUAUAGAGUUUUCUCUUCAAGAAGAUUUUGUUGUGUAGUGACUUGGCCUCGUACAAUUUUGUGACAGUAUCCCAUAUUUCCUUCGCCGUAUUUUUCUCUGCCACACUGGAUAAUACUCCGUCUGCAAGUGCCAAGUGUAGAUCAGAAAUGGCGUUGCCGUCUACCUCGUUCCACUUGUCAUCAGUUAUCUCCAUGGGCCUUUCUCCAAUUGCUGCCAAGCAAUUAUUUUUCCUCAAUACAGCUUUCAUCUUCAUUUUCCACAACGAAAAAUUAUUUCCGUUAAACUUCUCAAUUUCAUACUUUGCCGCCAUUUUGUUGAUAAAUACCGCACACAAGCUAGUGUACCACCUUGAAUAGUUGUGAGUAUGUGUGAGAAUGCACACCAGGAAAGUUCCCAGGAAAGACUGGAGGGGUCACAAUGGUCCCACUUAAAACCCAGACUCCUUAAGCUCUUAUCGCCUUUGUGACAGAACUUUCCUAGACAUGUACAAAACCACACAGUUGCUUUACUCACACCACUAUUCCCUGCUUUGCACCGCAAAAUUCUUGGAUCGCUUCCACCGUUUCACGUGAAUAGUACCGUAUACGUGAAUAGUGCCGUAUACGUGAACAGUAACUGACUCCAAAAAUAUAACCAAUAGCUCUGAUACCACUGUUAGGAAAUUGGUGGGUGAAGCAGACACGCAGCUACAAUAAAAUUGGAAGAAAAUAAAGAACAAGCACAAAAGAGAAUACCAGAAAUUACGUAGUUCGGCUUUUAGCCUACGUCCACGGGCGAAGACAGAAGGAAAUAUUAUACUAGUGAAAAGGAGUUACAAGUAUUGUAGUAUUUUCGCUCACUACCCAAAACUCCAAUACACCCAAACUCUCAAAUCACUAAGCACACAAAAUUCUUUGCUCUUGCAAGAAUUACUUCUCUCAACUCUCAAUUCUCUCUACAAAAAUUGCCUCUCAAGAUUGGAAUGAAAAAUGAGUUAGGGAGCUCUUCCUUUUAUAGCCAAAAAAAUGGCUAUUAAAUUAAUAUAUAUAUAUGUAUAUAUUUCAAAUGUUGUUGCCAACUUCUUCUUUUUCUCCAUUUGGAUGGCACCAUUUUCUUUGGCCGGCUGCACAUUUUCUUUGGCCGGCUUGUCAAAACCAACUUGAAUUGGUUUUGUGGCCACCGGCCUUUGACAUGUCAUGGGGCCUAAAAAAUAAAGGUGAAAAUCAGUCACAAAUCUGAAGUGAAAAACAGUAACUAGAACAGAAUCUAUGUUUUGAUGUCUUUAGUUUAUAGGCUCAAACAAUUAAUAGUAUAGAAAAUGCAUGAUAUAGCACAGAACUCAUGUUUUAGCAAUAAUCCUAAGCUCACUGGCCCUUAGUUCAGAAUGACAAUUCUUAUUAGUCAAAGAAUCAAAAUGAUUUUUAGUUGUUCAUAAGCAGAUCACUAGAUCAACAAAUAAUUGAAGACUGGCUUGGCUAUUGAACCAUACGCGGCAAUUCGAAGACUGAAACUUAACUCUGCCGUUCGAAGUAAGCAACUCAGGUGCCCAAAGGCCGUCAAGCCAUCAAGACAAUAUGAAGAUACAACAUCAAUAAUAAUAACAUCAAGAAAUACAUAGAGGCCAUUACAUAUUACACCUAUCCCAAUUAGAAAUUAGUUAAUACAGUCCUAGCUCCUCUGUUUUAAAAGAAAUUUACAAACCCAUGCAGUAGGAAUAAUUAAUUAAUUUAUACAGUUCGGUACUCAUCCCUCUUCUGUUUCAAAUCCAUAUCCACUGCUCUGCCAUUUAUUACUACGCAAGGUAUAUGGGUUAGCAAGUGCCGACAUUGUCCUCCAUUCUUUGUGUGCCUUUCUUCUAUCAAGGGACAACCCAAGAUCUCUAAUCGCAAGAAAAAUAUUUCAGAGUAAAAAGUGAUUUCUUAAAAUCUAUUAGCUAGUGCACAUAAUAAAAGGGCAUUCAUGGUAAAUUUUAGAUUACAAGUAGUCCAACCUUUUAAUAAUAUUCUGCAAUCAAUUCCGUUUGUUUUAAAAUAAAAGAAAUCCAUCUCUUUAUUACUUUCUAAUUAGUCAUAUUAAUGUGUUAAUAAUUAUGAAGAACCAGCGUAAUUUAUAUGAUGUAGGAAACCCUUUAGGCAAAAUAACCUGAAUUUUUUAGAGUAGCGGCUAGACAUAUUGGGCAUAACCUCAGUUUCUGUUACUUCUUUGACCCUGCCUAAGCUCUUUUAAGGGCUAAUAUCAAAAUUUCGUGAUAUUGUGCCUACAGAGCUUCCAAUUCAAGGAGCUCCCCUGUUUUUGACUGAAACAUAUGUAAUCCGAACAAUUUGUAAUUAGAUAAAUCAUUCAAAAUCUCCCUCAAUCUAACCCACAUUUCUAUGGUUUAAUAACAUAUCACAAAGGUGCCUAAUAUAAUGAAAUUAGCAUUAGUUCACGAGAUUGCCAUUAUAUAUAUUGAAAAAGAAAUUAAUACAAGAAACUGAAAAUUAAUUGACACUGGAUCACGUCGUGUUGUUAGUUUGAUUAUGAUGAGAAUAUAAUCUUGGUCUUUUAAUUACCAUCUAGCUACCGCAUGUGCACUAGUUUCAUUUGUGUCUAUCACUAAAGAGUAGAGUUGCUUGAUUUGAACAGUAUCAUAUCAUAGAAACUCAAAACUCAAUUUCGUUGCCCGAGCAUACCAUGCCAUAUGUAGCUCAAAAGUGCAAUAACAUUGAACAGUCAGCUAGCUAGCUUUUACUAAUUAAUUAAUACGACUAUCAGUUAUUUUUUAUUAAUUAAAAGAGAAAAUAUUUGACAAUCGUGAAAACAACAACAAUUCACUCCAAUAAACAACAUAAUAAACACAUGAUAUAUAUUACAAGUCUUUUUAUGAUGUAGAUUAGAAGGGAAAAUACGAAGGACAUAUUAUAUAUUAUAUAUGAUUGAAUUUAAUCCAUGAUAAUUAGACAAAAUAACACUAAUCUAGCUAACUAAUCCAACCAUCAUAAUAAUUUGAUUUUCAUUAUUUUAUUGUGUCCAAUCAUGCUAAUUUAAUAAGAAAAACACAGAACACUUGAGGAUUUAGAUAUUCAACAACUUUGGCCAAGUUUGAAAAAAAUUAGAGCUUCCUUCAUGCUUUGUGUUCUUAUGUUACACAUGAUCAUAUUAUGUUACAUUUGACAGAAAACUGAAAAUUAUUGAAAAAAAAAAAUCUUAGUUAACACAUAAUCAAAAUGAGAGAAUAAUGCACACACAUCACAACAAUGUUUCAUUCAUUUUGAAUCUAUAUUUACAAAACUUGUAUCCGAUGGUUUACAUUUGUUUAAUCUAACGGCUAUGACGUGUACUGUCAAAACGCUACAGCUGCCAUCUCUGUUUGUCCUUGUUGCAUCCUUGAUCUUAUAUUAUCCUGGAGAUUAUUGAAUGUUCUUCUCAUUCUCAUGUGCUCGAGGGUCCUUUCUUGAGACAUUUCAGCAAACACCUGAUUCAUCCUAUUAAACAUCAGCAUCAUUAAUCAGUAAAUGAUGUAAGGUAGCCCUGUUUUGAGAAGUCAACAUAAAUCAGUCACCUUAGAUUUUCUCAGUCUCAGAGCACAACGGGUGAUGAUUUGAUGAAAAAUGUUAAUAUGCACGCAUCCCCUGAAUUAGCUAGAGCUGGUUGUCAUUUUCUUCUUUCUUUUGGUACUGUUUUAGAUUUUUAAUCAAUCAGAUUCAGCUGCAUGUUUGCUUUUAGUCCAAACCAAAAUAAGAUAUUAAGUACUUUUGCCAGAAUAGACGCAACCAAAAUUCUAUGGGAUCUGUAGUUCCUAGUUCAUGCAGAAGCGGCCGAAUGCUUCCGGCAAUCAGGAGCAGUGGUCACCCAAAGUAAAAGACUUUCUCUUGUAUUAACCUUUGCUAGCCGUCGAAGUUAAAAAAUUUUUUUGAACAAGUUAAAACAGUUCCAACUCAGAAGUAGUAGUGCCCAAUUGGGUUGUUAUAAAUAUUUCGGAAUUUCAGUCUAAGUUGAUUUGUUUAAUUAUGUAUGCACAAACUAGCUUGACCACUUCUUUCAUAUUGAUACCUAUAAAUUGCAACCUUAUUUUACGUUGAUGCACAAUCUAACUUAACAAAAACAAUAUUCAAAUUGUCACAGAAUGUUUUCUUCUUAAAAUAUAUAUAUAUAUAGUAGUUAAUUUUUCUUAUUCUUCACUCCAGGAUCCAGCUCCAUACCCCUCUUUUUUGUCGUUAUGCUGCUCAGCCGUUAGAUUUUAAUUAUGUUAAUCUAACGGUUGAGAUUUGUAAAUGAAUAAUGAAGUGGUGUUUGGCUACUAUCUGAGCCCAUUGCAUCUAUUUGGUGUUGUGAUUUUUCGCUUGACUAGUUCUGAAAAUAUCGGCAGCCAUCGACGGCAAAUCUGAACAAAGGCAACAUGAGGUGAUCGUGGUGAAAAUGUUUUUUGGCAUGCGAAUCUAAUGACUUUCGAAUACGUUCAUUCAAAUAUUAAAUGCAAUUCAGGCAAAUAGAAGCUUGGUUGAUUGAUUGCUCUUCAUGUGAAAUUCUACCUAAUGGCUAUCCUUUUAAUGGUUUAUAUUGUCUUAUAUGCAAAUUAAAUUCGGAAUUCGGAUGAUAAUAAUCUUCAUUUAGAACAGAUUAGGUAACAUGUGGCAUUCUACAUUCUUGCAAUGCCAUUUCUUUUUAUGGCAGCGCCAUUUUUAAAACGGCAUCGUUUUGUCCAUUAAGAUGUUUCAACUUGUCCCGGGCUGGACAUAUGACUCACUUAAUGAUAACAAAACGGCGAGGCAUGAUAUGAAGGUGUUUUGGCUAAAGGCUUAAGUUCUGCAUGUGACAAGCACGUGAGAGAAGAAUCAAGUUAGUUAUAAGUUGUUAUACACGUGGCUGGAUCUGGUGCAAUCUGGGGUAAUGAACACCCGUUAUAUAAGCUGAGCUUUCAGGCAGUUUCAGCAAGAUGUAAAGAGCUUCUAGUGAGAAUGAAGAGAUAGAAAAAGUAUCAUUUUAUUCCUUGUUAGUUUCUCCGUGUGAGCUCUGUAAAAUAAUUAACCCUAAAUAAUUUGUCCUGCAUCACCAAACUCCGGAUUUUACAAAGCACGCAUAAAGGAUAAUAGACACGUUUGAGGUUUUUUUUUUUAAAGAAAAAAGAUAAUGAAAAUAGACAAAUAAUGAAGACACAAGUUAAGCAGAGCAAAUAAACAGAGGAGAAUGAAUUAAAUACUAUCCUUGAGAACUCAAUUCUUUAAUAAACUCAAUUUUUUAAAUGUAAUUUUUUUUGGGGCUUAAACUCAUGUCAUAAACUGUAGUCUUUAAUUUGGGCUUUGUUGUAUCAAUUUUUUGGAGUUUAUCUUGUUUUAUUUUUUCGUUUUUAUAGUGCAAGAUUUUCGGUGGAGAUAAAUCAGGAAUAAGAGUGAAAUCCCAAUCUUAAAAUUUGGAAGAAAUGAAAUGCGAUUUGUUUUUUCAUGAAUAAAACAAUUCAAUUUUUUGUUAGCACUUGCGUAUGCUGCCAGUUAAUUACACCGUCAACACCUGCGGGAAAUUUAUAUAUUUUCUGUCAGGACUUGCAUACGUUGCAAUUUUCAAUGACUUCCAAAUCUUCAUAUCAUGAAUUAGCAGGAUUCACGUCCGACCAACUCCCCGCGGCUAAAUCAAAGGAUUAAUUUUUGAGAAAUUAUAAAGAAAUUAAUGCAAGUAAAGUGAGCCUAUGCAUUUGAUUUGAUAAUUGGCUGAGGGUGAUUUCGAUAACGUUUUCAAAGAAGAAAUAGAACAAAGAUCAAAAAGAAAAAACAAGUAAUUUCAGUCGAUGGAAGAAAUGAGCAAGAUUCGCACAUGCAUGCAUGCGUCUGACUAACAGGACAUGGCUUGGAGCAGGGAUCAAUGGACAAGUUUGAGGUUUAUGAAAUAUUGGGAAACAGACAAAUAAUAAAGCCAAUCCAAGUUAAGCAGAUCAAAUAAACAGAGGAAAUAACCGAUCAAUUCUUUGUGCAGUGGCCACAGCAACAGCGAAAAUAUGUCUGCAUGACUACAUUAAUUAAUCCUACUAUCACAUGCAGCAUUACAUCAACAUUUGAUCAUCUAUCAAUUUUCAUGAUAUGAGAUUAGAAAUAUUGAGUUCGUAAUUUCGUGUAAUUUCAUGUACUAGAUAUAUAUAAUUGAUUUGAGUUAGUUUAACAUCUAAAGAAAGAGUAAUGGGGAAUGAUGUCGAUGUGGCAUCUGAUGAAUAAUGAUAGACAACAAAUACUGAUCAUGUAAGAAUGAAGUCUGUAUUUACUGAAAAAUAUUUGGCAAUAAAAUGAAGAAUAUUUGAUUUUUUUAUUUUUUAUUUUUAUAUCUCCCAAACAUUAUUAGAGUCCCACAUUUGUGACACAUCAUUAAGUAAAAUGUGCCAAUUAGGAAGAAUACUUGACAUUUUUUAUUUUACAAUUUUUAAGAAAUAUCAAAUAUACAUGACAUUUUGUGAAAAAUUAAGUAAUUGUGAAAUAUAAAUGACAAUUUAUUUAAAUGUCAUAUAAUUGUGACGUUUUAUCAAAUAAGUGACAAAUAUAUAAUAUAUUACAUAUUUAUGGCAUAAUUAUCAUUUAUAUUUUCCUUCUAUUGACUUAAGAAAAAAAUUUAAAAACUCACUAUUACCGCUUUUGUUUUCGUUCUUAGAACAGAUUAGUUUCUUUUGAGAAAAUUCAAACUCAUUCCCAUUACUUCCUUUUCAAUAAUCACCUCUCAAUUUUUUCAUCAAUCACUCAAUUUCGACUUUCAUAUCCAUUCUCUUUCGAAGAAGAACGCACGAAGAAUUUUAGCUUGCUUUAGCUGCUUCUCGAAUUUCAGGUAUUGUUUCCUUUAAUUUUGAUUUUUUUUUCUUCUCUCUUUCUAGUUUGAUAAUUUAGGGUUAUAGUUAAAUUAAUUGUAUUUUUAAUCAACCUAGAUUGAUUUAAUUGAUUCCAAGUCUCAAUUUCCUGUUCAACAAACAAGGAACGCACAAAUAAUUUUCAUUUUCAUUCUCAAUUUUGAAAGAAUCAAUCAAUUUAUUUUAUCUUUGGUUAGUACACUUCUGUUCAAUUUUUGUUUAUUUAACUUAAGACAUUAUUUUCAUUCUUAUCUUCAAGCAGAUUAUAGCGUUGCUCCUCUCAUUGAUUAUAUUGAGAACAGUGCUUUCUCUUAAUUCCGCCAAGAACAACGUUGAUUUCAGGUAAUAAUAAUAAUAGGGAUUUGAAGUUUACAUCCUGUUGAAAUGAUUUUAGAGUGUUCUGCUAUUUGAAUGCGCAUUAAUUGUUUGAUUAAAUGUCUCUUUAAAAGAUUAUUUUUGUUUUUAGCAAACAUCUUACUGAGAUGCCUCUCGUAAUAGUAUUACCGUAAUGUAUUUUGCUUCAUUUUGGUCUGUUUAUACACUUUAACCAGGGAAAAUUACAGAACUGCAACAGUUUUCAAAUUGAUUGCAGAUUAGAAGUAAUUUUAAUUUAUGCUGCAACAGUUCAAUGGGCUGGGCACAAGUUUAGGACUUUAGUUGCUCAAUUAAUGAAUCCACCACUCAUCAGACUUGGAACUUAUAUCUAUUGAAUCAAUAAAAAUAGUUGAUGGAAUCAAUGCCGAAAGCUUCAUUUGAUAUUUAUUUAUAACAUCUGUUAGAUUCUGGACAAUCACAAAGAUAUAGCAGCAGAAACUAUGUUGGAGACACUAUAGUUGCUUAAUUAGUGAAAUUGUGCUCUCAUUGCCCCCUUUUUUUGGUUGAUUCUAUAAUUUUAUUAGUUGUUCUUGUGGUUGUAAACAAUAUCAAUUUCUAAUAUUAAUAAAACUGAAUGAAUAAAAUGCGAUGCAUUCGCAGGAAAAUUAAUAGUUUAAAUAUGGAUAAAUCUUGGAUGUUGAUGGAUAGAAGGUCUAUAGAAUAUGAGAACGCGGUAAAUGAGUUUCUCAAGUUUGCAGUACUUCAUGCUAGUAAUCCUGAGCUUUUGAGAUGUCCAUGCCAAGCAUGUCUUAAUUUAUAGGCUCAAACAAUUAAGAGUACAGAAAAUGCAUGAUAGAACACAGAACUCAUAUUUUAGCAACAAUCCUCAGCUCAUUGGCCCUUAGUUCAGAAUGACAAUUCUUAUUAGCCAAAGAUUCAAAAUGAUUUUUAGUUGUUUAUAAGUAGAGCACUAGAUCAACAAAUAAUUGAAGUCGUGCAGCUUGGCUAUGGAACUAUACGAUGGUGGCAAUUCGAAGACUACAACUUGGCUCUGCCAUUCGAAGUAAGCAGCGCAGCUGCCCAAAGUCUGCCAAGCCAUCAAGACUCCAUCAAGUAUACUUCAAAGCCACAUCAAGACAAUACUAAGAUACAACAUCAAUAAUAAUAACACCAAGAAAUACAUGGAGGCCAUUGCAUGCUACAGCCACCCCAAUAAGAAAUUAAUAAAUACAGUCCUAGAAAUUUACAAACCCAUGCAGUAGGAAUAACUAAUUAAUUUAUACAGUUCAGUACUCGUUCCUCUGUUUCAAAUCCAAAUCCACUGGUCUACUAUUCAUUAUGACGCAAUGCAUAUGCCGAUAUUGUCUUCCAUCCUUUAUGUACCUUUCAAUUUAGUGAGGUUUAGACAGGGGUUCCAGAUUUGGUAAAUCAACAAUCACCAGAUAUGAUAGAGAGGCCGGAAGAGAAGCAUGGUUCCUAAUCCUAAUCUUGAUUUAGAGCAGAUUAGGUAACAUGUGGCAUUCUACAUUCCUUCAAUGCCAUUUCUUGUUAUGGCAGCAGCAUUCUUGGUCAUGGCAUCACAAGCAAAUGCUUUGAUUUGAAGACUUGCUUGGCUAUGAAAAAUAAGGAGAGCAAAGGUAAUUAAUCUUGGUGUGAUCAACAGUUUAAUGGGGGUACUAAGAAAAAUAAAGAUAAUAUAAGGAAUGUUGUUGAGGAGUAUUUUCAUAUUUACAAAAGUGUUCAAAGUAAAAAUUGAUUUCUUGAAACCCAUUAGCUAGCGCACAUAAUAAUGGGGAGAAAUUUUUAGACUACGAAUUAGGGGUGGGCAUGGGUUGGUAAAAUCCAACCCAAACCAAACCCUAAAAAUUUGAAUCCAACCCAAACCAACCCAAAUAUUUUUAACCCAACCCAAACCAAACCAUUUGGGUUUGGUUUGAAUUUUAUUAUCAAAAUAAUUUUUAUUUUAAUAAAAUUUAAUUAUAUCAAAAUUAUAAUAAUUAUUAAUUGUUAUUAAUUAUUAAAUUGAUAUUAAAAUAAAUGAAAUAAAUGAUAUUAAAAAUUAACAAUAAUAAGUGAAAUAAAUGCUGAGUAAAAUUUGUGGAGGGUAGCUCCUUAAAAAUGCCACCUAUUAAUGUUAAAUCAUUCAAAUGAGGACACCCAACCGUGUGAUACUUUUGAUACUUUUGGGACCAUCUUCAUCUUUCCUCAAGCAAAUGGCACUCACUAGCAUCUUCAUCCUUAAAUAAGAUAAAUAAAUAAUUUAUAAUGUUGAAUAGUUAUAAAGAUGAGUAAAUUUAAAAAAGGAACAUGAUUCAUACCAAAAUUGUAAGAAUAACAUCAAUCUAAAGUCAUUGCCUCCGUUGUUGCACUUGAUCCAAACUCUACAUUAAAUAAAAAUAAAUUAAUAAAAAAAGACUAGUGAUAAACAAAUAUAUAAUUUUUUUCGCUUGUUAUGAUAAACAGUAGUUACCUGACAUCAUGGCUUCAUAAAACUCAAGCUCCUCCAUCGUUGGUUCAUCUUGUAAUGGGACAAAAGUGUGAAGUAACCAAUUUUGUGAGCAUAUCAAAGCUUCCACCAUCUUUGGACUUAAAGAACUACGAAAUGAAUCAAUGAUGCGUCCUCCAGUACUAAAUGCAGAUUCUGAAGCUACUGUAGAUAUUGGAAUUGCAAACACAUCCUUUGCAAUAUGUGAAAGAACUCGAUAUUUUAUUGAGUUCAUUUUCCACCAUGCCAAAAUCUCAAAGUCAUCGUCAUCAACAUGUUCACAUGGCUCCAACAAGUACCUCUCUACUUCAUUUUUCAUCUCAACACAAUCAUAUUUUCGUAUUCUUUGUUUGAACUUUGCAACACUUGAAAGUUUAGAAAACCCCACCUUUUUAUCAAAUUUCCUACUAUCAACAAUUGACGACUUACCAACAUCACUAGAUGAUCCACAACCACCAAUCUUAGUGUCAAGAUCUUUAUAGUAUUCAUAAAGACGUAUUAAAAGAUUUUUCAUCUUUUCAGACUUCUUCCCAACCUCAUCAAUAACAAAAAUGUCACAUAUUUUAACUUAUAACGUGGAUCAAGAAUAACCGAAAUAAGCAACAAAUUAUUUAACCUAUCAAUUGAACCCCAAUAUUUGUCAUAUUUAUUUUUCAUACUUGUUGCCAUUUUAGAUAAAACAAGAUCAUCACUACUUUCAAUUAAUGAUGUCAAAUCGGAAUGAAUUGAGCACAUUUCAUGAAAAUAUAAGUUUGAAGUCACGUACAUUGAACCACUAAAUUUCAAAAUUAUAUCAUAAAAUGACUUCAAAAACAACACAAAAACAUUAGCAUUUUCCCAAUCAUCACUAUUAGGGGGUCCUCCAUCUUCUUUGAAAUAUGAAACAUAAUGUUGAUCAUCAUCCUCCAUUCUCUCAAAAGCCUUUUGAAAUUUUAAAGCACUCUCCAACACUAAGUAGGUGGAAUUCCACCUAGUGGACACAUCUUGAACCACAAGACCAGCACCUUCAAUUCUUUCAUGCUCCACACAUAUUUUAAAUUUUUUUAGCCUUGCAGGAGAUGACUUUACAUACUUGACAGCAUUACGAAUUCUAGAAAUUGACACAUGUAAGUCUUUCAAUCCUUCAUUCACAAUUAAAUUCAAAAUAUGCGCACAACAUCUCAUAUGUAAAAAAUCACCAUCUAGCACAAGCCCAUUCUCACUCCAAUUCUUCAAUUUCUUUUUGACAUAAUUGAUAGCUAACUCAUUUGAACUAGCAUUAUCAACAGUAAUGGUAAAUACCCUUUCUAUACCCCACUCAAGCAAACAAGAUUCAAUUACCUUUCCAAUUGUCUCCCCCUUAUGGUCAGGUAAUGUGCAAAAAUUUAAAAUUCUUUUCUGCAAUUUCCAUUCACUAUCAAUGAAAUGGGCUGUUAUCACCAUAUAGUAAUAAUUUUGUAUAGACGUCCAUGCAUUUGUGGUUAUACAAACUCUUUGCUUAUUUGAAACAAAAAAGUUCCUUAAUUUUUGCUUUUCUUCCCAAAAACGUUUGUAUACAUCUCUAGCAAGGGUUCUCCUAGACGGUAGAUCAAAGUUUGGCCCCAAUUGCUUACUAUAUUGUUGAAAGCCCUCUUUCUCCACAAAACUAAAGGGUAAUUCAUCAAUAAUAAUUAACCGUGUAAGGGCUUUUCUACAUGCUUCUUUGUCAAACACAUGAGACUUAGAUUCAUCUUUCAUUUCAUGUGAAGUUGUUUGAUUUUCAUCCUCAAAUAUGCUCAAAUAAUCAGGACAACGUAACAAAUGAUUCCUUAAUGUACUAGUCCCAAUUUUAGUCCCAUGUUUAUUCUUACAAGCAUAAUCAUUACCACAAUAAUUACACUUGCAUCUAUUACCUAGAUCGUAUUUAGUGAAAUGAUCCCAUAUUUAUGAUCUCUCUGAUGGCUUUUUCCUCUUGCUUUGAGUAGUUGCAAGCGUGUCCAAGGAACUAGUACCAUGACAACUUGAGUUCUCAUCCAUCUAAAAUUAAAUGAAAAAAAAAAUAAACAACUUUAAGCCAAUUCAACAAAAACUUUUACCAAAUAUAAGGAACAACAACAAUAGUGCCAGUAAGAGCAUCAAGUUUCAAUCCAGCAGGAACAACAAUCUGCAAAUAUUCUACUAGACGAAAAUAUGCCAGAGAAACUAUUAAGUAUCCAACUUUCAUUCCAGCUUUGGAUUCAAAUAUAUUCUUAGUUAUAACCAACAAUCAUCUACAAACGAUAGGAAAAAAAAUUCAUUAAAAAAUAUCUUGAUUUAGGGCCAUCAGAACAGAAUCGAAGCAUUACAGGGCCACACCACAACAACAAAAGAAAAAAAAAAUUGAAGCAGAGCCUGAUUUCAAAUUCAAUUAAACUUUUUUUUUUGGGUCAUCUACAAGCUCCCUCAAAAUUCAAAAACUUUUGGAUUUACCCACUAUCAUAUAUACUUAAUUUAUUAAACAUCUUAUUAUAGAAUAUUUUAUGUUAUUUGUAAUGUAGCAGGGGAGGCUAGCUAUCUGUGGCUAAUCCAAUGUUCAUCUCUCUUCUACUGAAUAAUUUAUUAUUGUAAAAUGAUAGGAGCCCAGCUCUUAUUGCUAUUGCUAGCUAAUAUUGGAUGGAAUAAGUGUCAGGAUGAAGCUGAAACAAGAGUCAAAAUUUCACUAUUAUCUAAAAAUAAGAGCCACCACAACAAUAACAAAAGCAAAAAAAAUUGAAGCAGAGCCUCACCUUAAAUCAUUAGGACGAUAGCAAUCGAAGUGGGGACUUUAGGAGUCGAUGACAAUGAGAGAUCCACCACGUCACUUUUGUCGAUAGGGAUUGUAGAAGAUGGAGAGAGAUUCAGCGGUUUGUUUAUUUUGUUUUCAGCGGUUUGUUUAGUUUUGGAAAUUUUUUCUUAACCCAUAGGUUAACCACACCCAAACCAUUAUAAAAUGGUUUCAUACAUAAAAACCCAAAUUCAACCCAUUUUUUUAAUUUACCCAACCCAAACCAUUUUAUUUGGUUUGAGUUUGGGUAAACCCAUGGGUUGUGGGUUUAUGCCCACCCCUACUACGAAUAGUCCCAUCCAUUUAAUAAUAUUCUUCAAUCAAUUAUGUUUACUUCAAAAAAAAAAACCAUCUCUUUAUUACUUUCUAAUUAUUCAUAUUAAUGUGUUAAUAAUUAUGAAGAACCGGUGUAAUUUAUAUGAUGUAGGAAGCACUUUAGGCAAAAUCAUCAGAAUCUCAAAAUUUCGUGAUAUUGUGCCAAAUAUGCAAAACAAAGCUUCCUACAUUGUUAUAGCAGUUUUUUUAAAGUUGAGGAGUCCAAAUAUCCAAUAACUGAUAAAUUCUGUUAAGAAAUAUAAAUAUUAAUGGUGAUGACACAUACGCAUGGAAUUCCUCUGUUUUGAGUUUGACUUAAAUAACCUGAAUAAUUUCAAACAAUCCAUCAGGACAAAGUCCUUGAGAGAUUGAACUGGAUUUCAGUGCAUCACAUUCUGAAAUUGAAACUAACAUUAAUUAGAAAGGCAGAACAGCCUCUGUUUUUUACUAUAAUACAAAAUGGGAAGUCAAACCAAUUCAAGGAACUCCCCUGUUUUUUUACUGAAACAUACAUAAUCCGAACAAUUUAUAAUUAAAUAAAUCAUUUAAAAUCUCCUUUAAUCGAACCUCCACUUCUAUGGGUUAAUAGAAUAUCAUAAAGGUGCCCAAUACAGCGAAAUUAAUGUUCAGCUCAUGAAGUUGCCAUUAUAUAUAUUGAAAAAGAAAUUAAUACAAGAAACUGAAAAUUAAUUGACAUUGGAUCACGUAAGAUUGUUAGUUGUUAAUUAUGAUGGGAAUAUAUACUUGGUCUAUUAAUUUGUGUCUAUCACUGAAGAGUAGAGUUACAUGACUGAAUAGUAUCAUAUCACAAAAACUCAAAACUCAAUUUCAUUGCGCAAGCAUACCACGCCGUAUGUAGCUCAAAAGUGCAAUAACAUUGAGCAUUCAGCUAGCUAGCUUAUAUUAAUUAAUUAAUACCACUAUUAGUUCUUUAUGAUUAAUUAAAAGAUAAAAUAUUUGACAAUCACGAAACAUUAUUCUAUCACUGAAGAGUAGAGCUUCCUUCCUACAUUGUUACCCAAGCUCUUCUACAUCUCCCAAACAUUAUUAGAGUCCCACAUUUGUGGCACAUCAUUAAGUAAAUUGCUUACGUUGCAAUUUUCAACGAAUUACAAUUCUUCAGAUCUUGAAUUAGCAGGAUUGACGUCCGAUCAACUCCACGUGGCAUGUGUCUGACUAACUGGACAUGGCUUGGAGCAAGGAUCAAUGAACAAGUUUGAGGUUUAUGAAAUAUUGGGAAAAUAGACAAAUAAUAAAGCCACUCCAAGUUAAGCAGAUCAAAUAAACAGAACAGAGGAAAUAACUGAUCAAUUUAAUUCUUUGUGCAAUGGCCACAGCAACAGCGAAAAUAUGCCUACGUGACUUCAUUAAUUAAUCCGACUGGCGUGGAUGUUACUAUCGCCGUGCAGCAUUACAUCAACAUUUGAUCAUCUAUCAAUUUUCAUGAUCUGGGAUUAGAAACAUUGAGUUCAUAAUUUUAUGUAAUUUCAUGUACUAGAUAUAUAUAAUUGAUUUGAGUUAGUUUAAAAUAUAAAGAAAGAGUAAUGGGGAAUGACGUCAAUGUGGCAUUUGAUGAGUAAAGAUAGACAACAAAUAUUGAUCAUGUAAUAAUGAAAUACGUAUUUACUGAAAAAUAUUGGCAAAAAAAUGAUGCUAUAAAAAUUUAAUAUUAGUUGCAAGCGAAUAAAUUGACAAUUAAAAUUAAUAGAUAUAUAUAUGCAAUGCUUCGGGUUUAUUUUAUCGUUUCACACCAUUUUGUAACUACAUGUUACUUAGAAGUUCAAUUAAUUUUGACCAAAGACUAGAGAAUGUCGAAAAGAGAUAUGAUUUUUGUAUACCAAAAAAAAAAUUAGAAAUGAAAUACGUCAAAAUCAAUUACAAGAACAACAAUAAAAGUAUAUUUUAUAAAAGUCACAAAUACAUAAUAAGAGUUUAGUUUUGAAUUACAUAAUUAUUCAUUUAUAUAGUAAGAGAGUCUUAUAGAUAUAUAGGAAUUUUUUUAAAAGAGUUUUGGUAAAGCAAAAAGUUUAGUUUGGUCUAGUUUGUGGAGGUUCAAGUAGUUGAAAGCAGUGCAAGUGAAGGAAACAUAAACUUCUAGUUUUUUACAAAGUAAUGGCUAGAAUAUUUGAAAAGUUUGAGAUUUUAAAAAGGCUGGGAAAAUAGACAAAUAGUGAAGACCCUGCAAGUUGGCAGAGCAAAUAAACAGAGGAAAACAGGCAGAUAAUUUAUAUUAUACAUAUAAGUUUUAUUUUUUCCAGAAACAAAUGUUGCGAUUUUUUUUCCCCUAAAAAAGAAGCACAGUCUGCUAUUACCACUAAAGAAUGUUAGCUACUUUAUAUAAGCACGUGUCUAAUUACCAAAUAAAUUCCACUUUAACAAAGAAUAAAAGUUAAUUUCAUUGAUGGCACGUGUUGUGCUUUCUUUUUUUAUUAUUUUUCCUUUUAGAUGUUGAAGUUACUUUGCAAACUGCUCCAAGCUGAUUACAAAAUUUCCGCUUACUCUAGGAUCUUUUCAAUGGGCUUACAAUUUGUAUUCUUGUCUGUAAGAUUGAUUUUUUUUCUUUAAAAAAAUAAAAAGGGAUGAGAAAUCUUACCAACUAAAUACCAACUUCGAAUUUUGUUAUUAUUCAAACUUUGUAUUUCUUGCUCAUAGCCAGUUAAACUGUGUCUAACUGUCAUGCAGGUUCCAUUUUUAGUUGAUUAACUGUAUAUACAAAAUUAAAUCACCUGAGCCUCUGGUUUCACUAUUUUCCAACUUGAAACUAAAACGCAGAAUUGAUGGGGUAAUUCAUGGGGAAUCAGAUGGCCAUCUAUUUUUAGGUCUAUUUUAUGUACUAUUGGCCGCCAGGUAGCUUGGUCAUAUACGUGUAUUGGGAUGUCAUGGGGCCUAAAAAAUAAAGGUGAAAAUCAGUCACAAAUCUGAAGUGAAAAACAGUAACUAGAACAGAAUCUAUGUUUUGAUGUCUUUAGUUUAUAAGCUCAAACAAUUAAUAGUAUAGAAAAUGCAUGAUAUAGCACAGAACUCAUGUUUUAGCAAUAAUCCUAAGCUCAAUGGCCCUUAGUUCAGAAUGACAAUUCUUAUUAGUCAAAGAAUCAAAAUGAUUUUUAGUUGUUCAUAAGCAGAUCACUAGAUCAACAAAUAAUUGAAGACUGGCUUGGCUAUUGAACCAUACGCGGCAAUUCGAAGACUGAAACUUAACUCUGCCGUUCGAAGUAAGCAACUCAGGUGCCCAAAGGCCGUCAAGCCAUCAAGACAAUAUGAAGAUACAACAUCAAUAAUAAUAACAUCAAGAAAUACAUAGAGGCCAUUACAUAUUACACCUAUCCCAAUUAGAAAUUAGUUAAUACAGUCCUAGCUCCUCUGUUUUAAAAGAAAUUUACAAACCCAUGCAGUAGGAAUAAUUAAUUAAUUUAUACAGUUCGGUACUCAUCCCUCUUCUGUUUCAAAUCCAUAUCCACUGCUCUGCCAUUUAUUACUACGCAAGGUAUAUGGGUUAGCAAGUGCCGACAUUGUCCUCCAUUCUUUGUGUGCCUUUCUUCUAUCAAGGGACAACCCAAGAUCUCUAAUCGCAAGAAAAAUAUUUCAGAGUAAAAAGUGAUUUCUUAAAAUCUAUUAGCUAGUGCACAUAAUAAAAGGGCAUUCAUGGUAAAUUUUAGACUACAAGUAGUCCAACCUUUUAAUAAUAUUCUGCAAUCAAUUCCGUUUGUUUUAAAAUAAAAGAAAUCCAUCUCUUUAUUACUUUCUAAUUAGUCAUAUUAAUGUGUUAAUAAUUAUGAAGAACCAGCGUAAUUUAUAUGAUGUAGGAAACCCUUUAGGCAAAAUAACCUGAAUUUUUUAGAGUAGCGGCUAGACAUAUUGGGCAUAACCUCAGUUUCUGUUACUUCUUUGACCCUGCCUAAGCUCUUUUAAGGGCUAAUAUCAAAAUUUCGUGAUAUUGUGCCUAAAGAGCUUCCAAUUCAAGGAGCUCCCCUGUUUUUGACUGAAACAUAUGUAAUCCGAACAAUUUGUAAUUAGAUAAAUCAUUCAAAAUCUCCCUCAAUCUAACCCACAUUUCUAUGGUUUAAUAACAUAUCACAAAGGUGCCUAAUAUAAUGAAAUUAGCAUUAGUUCACGAGAUUGCCAUUAUAUAUAUUGAAAAAGAAAUUAAUACAAGAAACUGAAAAUUAAUUGACACUGGAUCACGUCGUGUUGUUAGUUUGAUUAUGAUGGGAAUAUAAUCUUGGUCUUUUAAUUAUCAUCUAGCUACCGCAUGUGCACUAGUUUCAUUUGUGUCUAUCACUAAAGAGUAAAGUUGCUUGAUUUGAAUAGUAUCAUAUCAUAGAAACUCAAAACUCAAUUUCGUUGCCCGAGUAUACCAUGCCAUAUGUAGCUCAAAAGUGCAAUAACAUUGAACAGUCAGCUAGCUAGCUUAUACUAAUUAAUUAAUACAACUAUCAGUUAUUUUUUAUUAAUUAAAAGAGAAAAUAUUUGACAAUCGCGAAAACAACAACAAUUCACUCCAAUAAACAACAUAAUAAAUACAUGAUAUAUAUUACAAGUCUUUUUAUGAUGUAGAUUAGAAGGGAAAAUACGAAGGACCUAUUAUAUAUUAUAUAUGAUUGAAUUUAAUCCAUGAUAAUUAGACAAAAUAACACUAAUCUAGCUAACUAAUCCAACCAUCAUAAUAAUUUGAUUUUCAUUAUUUUAUUGUGUCCAAUCAUGCUAAUUUAAUAAAAAAAACACAGAACACUUGAGGAUUUAGAUAUUCAACAACUUUGGCCAAGUUCGAAAAAGAUUAGAGCUUCCUUCAUGCUUUGUGUUCUUAUGUUACACAUGAUCAUAUUAUGUUACAUUUGACAGAAAACUGAAAAUUAUUGAAAAAAAAAAAAAUCUUAGUUAGCACAUGAUCAAAAUGAGAGAAUAAUGCACACACAUCACAACAAUGUUUCAUUCAUUUUGAAUCUAUAUUUACAAAACUUGUAUCCGAUGGUUUACAUUUGUUUAAUCUAACGGCUAUGACAUGUGUACUGUCAAAACGCUACAGCUGCCAUCUCUGUUUGUCCUUGUUGCAUCCUUGAUCUUAUAUUAUCCUGGAGAUUAUUGAAUGUUCUUCUCAUUCUCAUGUGCUCGAGGGUCCUUUCUUGAGACAUUUCAGCAAACACCUGAUUCAUCCUAUUAAACAUCAGCAUCAUUAAUCAGUAAAUGAUGUAAGGUAGCCCUGUUUUGAGAAGUCAACAUAAAUCAGUCACCUUAGAUUUUCUCAGUCUCAGAGCACAACGGGUGAUGAUUUGAUGAGAAAUAUUAAUAUGCAUGCAUCCCCUGAAUUAGCUAGAGCUGGUUGUCAUUUUCUUCUUUCUUUUGGUACGGUUUUAGAUUUUUAAUCAAUCAGAUUCAGCUGCAUGUUUGCUUUUAGUCCAAACCAAAAUAAGAUAUUAAGUACUUUUGCCAGAAUAGACGCAACCAAAAUUCUAUGGGAUCUGUAGUUCCUAGUUCAUGCAGAAGCGGCCGAAUGCUUCCGGCAACUCAGGCAGAUAGAACCCUGGUUGAUUCGUUUUUCUUCAUCUGAAAUUCUACCUAAUGCCUAUCCUCUUAAUUGGUUUAAAUUCUUCUUUUUUUUCUUUGAAUUGUUGAUUUAUAAUGUCUUGUAUGCAAAAUUUAUAAUUUCGGAUGAUGAUAAUCUUGUUUAAGAAGAGAUUUCUAGUUACGGCAGCAGCAUUCUUGAUCAUGGCGCUCUGGUUUGCUUAGUUUCCUUUUUGUCUCUGAUAUUUUCUUGGCAUUCUUGUUCUCUCUUGUAAUAAAGUGCUUUUGAUAAAUUCGCCUGGUCGGUUUACUUCACUGACCAUUAAUGAGCAAAUCCUCCCAGUGACCCUCAAACUCUUCUACACAAUUAUAAUAAUUUCAGUUUUACAUAUACAAAAAUGAACAGCUCUCAAAUAUAUUAUUUGAUAAUGACAAAAACAAUAAUUCACUCCAAUAAAUCUCAUAAUAAAUACAUGAUCUACAUUGCAAGUCUUUUUAGGACGCAUUCAAAGAGAAAACAUAAGGAAUGGCAUUGCAAGAAUAUGGAAUCAGAAUAAAAGGGGAUGGUCGAGUUGGGUUGCUUGCAAAAUUAUUGGUGCGGGGUUCUACUUGUUUUUGUUUCACUUUAUUAAUUAAUUAGCGAAGCACACACGUCAUCAUUUGAAAAAGAAUCACUAGCACCAGCUUAUGAAAAAUAAAUUUGUAAGACAUAUUAAUUUCAAUGAAAAUGUAGCGUGAUUAUGUUAUGAAUUCAUUAACUUACUUCAUAAAUAUUCUUCAUCAUUAUGGUUAAUGGCUUAGCAAAUGCAGGAGCAGGGGUCACCCAAAAGUAAAACACUUUCUCUUGUAUUAACCUUUGCUAGCCGUCGAAGUUAAACAAGUUAAAACAGUUCCAACUCAGAAGUAGUAGUGCCCAAUUGGGUUGUUAUAAAUAUUUCGGAAUUUCAGUCUAAGUUGAUUUGUUUAAUUAUGUAUGCACAAACUAGCUUGACCACUUCUUUCAUAUUGAUACCUAUAAAUUGCAACCUUAUUUUACGUUGAUGCACAAUCUAACUUAACAAAAACAAUAUUCAAAUUGUCACAGAAUGUUUUCUUCUUAAUAUAUAUAUAUAUAUAGUAGUUAAUUUUUCUUAUUCUUCACUCCAGGAUCCAGCUCCAUACCCCUCUUUUUUGUCGUUAUGCUGCUCAGCCGUUAGAUUUUAAUUAUGUUAAUCUAACGGUUGAGAUUUGUAAAUGAAUAAUGAAGUGGUGUUUGGCUACUAUCUGAGCCCAUUGCAUCUAUUUGGUGUUGUGAUUUUUCGCUUGACUGGUUCUGAAAAUAUCGGCAGCCAUCGACAUCAAAUCUGAACAAAGGCAACAGGAGGUGAUCGUGGUGAAAUUGUUUUUUGGCAUGCGAAUCUAACGACUUUCGAAUACGUUCAUUCAAAUAUUAAAUGCAAUUCAGGCAAAUAGAAGCUUGGUUGAUUGAUUGCUCUUCAUGUGAAAUUCUACCUAAUGGCUAUCCUUUUAAUGGUUUAUACUGUCUUAUAUGCAAAUUAAAUUCAGAAUUCGGAUGAUAAUAAUCUUGAUUUAGAACAGAUUAGGUAACAUUUGGCAUUCUACAUUCUUGCAAUGCCAUUUCUUUUUAUGGCAGCACCAUUUUUUAUCAUUGUUUGUGUGGACCUAUUUGCUGAAUUCAAAACUUGGCGUGUUAAAACGGCAUUGUUUUGUCCAUUAAGAUGUUUCAAGUUGUCCCCGGCUGGACAUAUGACUCACUUAAUGAUACCAAAACGGCGAGGCAUGAAGGUGUUUUGGCUAAAGGCUUAAGUUCUGCAUGUGACAAGCACGUGAGAGAAGAAUCAAGUUAGUUAUAAGUUGUUAUACACGUGGGUGGAUCUGGUGCAAUCUGGGGUAAUGAACACCCGUUAUAUAAGCUGAGCUUUCAGACAGUUUCAGCAAGAUGUAAAGAGCUUUCUAGAGAGAAUGAAGAGAGAGAAAAAGUAUCAUGUUAUUCCUUGUUAGUUUCUCCAUGUGAGCUCUGUCAAAUACUUUGAUUCAUAAAUAAAACUCAUUUUAGUCGAUUCUCCCUUGGAUGCAUGUUCUGCCUCAUUGCACGGCCGAACCACGUAAACAGUGCUCGUUUCUGGGUGUGAUUGUUUGUUAAUCUUGCUUAUUUCUUGGCUGAAAUCUUGCUUUAAGUUCUUAAGUCAUCUAUUGAGUUCAUCGAGGUCAUUCAAUUGUUCAUAUGUAGCUAGUUUGAUCUUGUACAGGGUCUUAGGCAGUGUUUUGAUAGCUUGAUUAGCAUUAGCGGCUAUCUUGACAGUACAAUUGGUAUCAGAGCUAGUUCUUCAGAUCAAGAUCCAAGUAUGGCUCCAUCAAAGAUUGAUCUUGAGAAGUUCAAUGGAAAGAAUGACUUUAAUAUGUGGAAGGUUAAGAGGGAAGCAUUGCUGGUAACACAGGGUCUUGGGUAUGCUAUUCAACAAGUAACCAAAAAACAGGAAAGGAGGUAUCUUCGUCAAAGACCCCAGGGCAGGUUGCUGAGAUAGACAAAAGGGCUGGGGGACAAUAAUCUUGAGCCUUGCAGACUCAGUGAUAAGGGAAGUGGCAAAAGAACCACGGUUGUUGACUUAUGGGCUAAGUUGGAGAGUAUGUACAUGAAAAAAUCCCUUGCUAACAGAUUGUACACAUAAAGAAGAGCAUCCCUUGCUAACAGAUUGUACACAUAAAGAAGAGCAUGUUUACAUUAAAGAUGAUUGAAGGCUCAUCUCUUGAUGAUCAUAUUGAUGGGUUCAACAAAGUGUGUGACACUUUGAAAGCAUUGAUGCAGCAUUAAAUGAUGAAGAUAAAGCCUUAUUAUGAAUGAGCUCCCUUCCCAAAGUCCUAUCAGCAUUUUGUUGAUGCCUUGAUGUACACACACACACAUAUAUAUAUCAUAAAUUUUAUUUUAUUUUGUAGUUAAGUCUUUAUGUUUUUUUCAUUUGUGUCUAUCACUAAAAAGCAGAGUACUUGCUUGAUUGAAUAGUGUCAUAUUACAUCACAUAAACUCUCUCAAUUAUUGAAAAAAAAAAAUCUUAAAAGAUCCCUACUUUGUGCUUAAAAAAUCUUUAAAAAAAUCUUUAAAAAUCUUCAAAGUUUUCAAUUAUUGAUAACUGAAAAUUAUUGAAAAAAAAUCUUAAAAGAGAUGUGUUGAAUUGUGAAAUUAAAACUGAGUUUCAGACAUUUCGGACAUGUCGGUUUAUAUCCGUGAUUGUGCAUGCCCUGUCGGUUGCUUGAUGAAACAGGAGAAUAUUGACCUGUGUGUAUUAUCGUUUACUUCCUGCAAUUAAAUCACAUGUUGUUCAUGUGAUUCCAUUUACUCUAUACGGCACAUUUGGCAGUCGUUUUGGUCACUUACUGAAGCACGGGUUAAGUACUUGAUUCAAGGUUGUUAACUGACCUUUACAAGGCGGGAAAAUUCUGGGUUUGUUAUAACAAACCCGGAAUGCAGCUAGUGAGUGGGGGAGUUUUCUAGACUCUUCAUGAUAUGUAUAUAUAGUCUUAGAGGCUAUAGUUGAGACAUAUGAAAAGCUUGUAACUUCUUCUUAAUGUUUGUAGUUUGAUCUCGGUGAUGGAGAUAAGAUUGCUGCCCUGUUCUCCAGGCCGAACCACUUAAAUUGUGCCUCUGUUUUGCUUGAUGACUACCAGUGGUGAGAAAACAGCUACAGAACAAAUCAAGCUUGAUGACUCAAAUAUUAGGGAAGCCAUAGUCAAGGCAUCUGGUUUAUGCAUCAACAGUGGUUCGUGGACUAGAAUUCCUAGCUAUUGCCGCUUCACAAUUGCACUGGAAGAAAGCGAAUUUGAUCGAGCUUUGGAUCGCAUAGCUAAAUUCAAAAGCAUCGUACAAAUAGUUAACUAAAAAACGGUAUUGUCAUUUGUCAUGAUUUAUUUCUAUUGCCUGAUGAUGAUACCCAUCACGCCUUAGUUGUCGUGAAUAAAUCUAAAAUCAACAUUUGUGACGUUAAUAUCCAUUUGUGACGUUUUGAGAUUAUAAUAUAUGACAACACUGAUUAGUGUUGUCUCCCAUGUGAAUUGAGACAAAUUAUUUUCCCAAUUGCGCUUUCAUUUGAACAAUUCCACUGUAGAUUUAUAAAAUAAUGAUCAAAUUGUGUUUUUUAUUAAGUUACGAGUAAUUGGUUAAAUAUUAAUACAAAACUAUUGUGAGAUGAAUGAAUCAAGUUGGUUCUAGAAACGACCGUGUUUUGGAGCUGUAAAGCUUCAUUAAGCUCACGUGCUUCUCAGCUGGUUCUUAACAGAAAACGAACUGAUCGAAACGACAGAGCUCAAGCGCGUUUUGUGUAUCAGUUUAAGUGACCACGUGAGGAAGCAUGUGACAAAGGUUUUCAGAGUUCGUUAAGGUUGUUAAACCACGUGUCAACGAGCGGCUUAUUCUGGAAAUCAAGGAAGCUACCCAAACAGAGUAUAAAGGCUGGUUUUUUGGGGUGAUUCAACAACGAUUUUCAUGAGUCUUGCAGAGAGGGUUUUAUGAGAGAGAAAGUGUGAACUUGUUCUCUGAAAAGUCUGGUGUAAGGUUCUGUAACAAUCUCCAUUACUGUUUCAAUAAAGCUCAUCUUGAGGCUUCUCCCGUGGAUGUAAGCUGAGCAUUCCAUGCUUAGCUGAACCACGUUAAUCUUGGUGUCUGUGGUUCUUUUCUUGGUUCUUGAAUCUUCAGUUUCUUGUUUGUGUUCAUAGCUAUUGUGCUUUGUUGUUCUUGGGUGAAUUAGUCUAAGUAAAUCUUGGGGGUGUGCAACUUGCAUUGACUAAAUCACAAGCAUCCUAGGGCAGUGGCCAGUUUAGCUUUGUUAUAGGCUUGCUGUUUCACUACAACUAUUUUAAGUAACAUGUGGCAUAUUCUAAUUCUAGCCAAGCUUCCAACUAAGAUUCCCAAAUCAAAAGAAUUUCAACCUUCAGAACAUUCUGCAAAACGUUUAGUCUCUACGCAGUGCUAGAAUUUUCCCUAAGUUUCUAUCGCAAAGACUUCUAAAGAACUAUUCAGAUAUCGAGCUAUAAUCCAGUCUAAAGUGUAUAUAUCUCUCUAAUUCACCUCCCUCCAUUUCACCAGAAAAUCGACGAACACUUAGCUUCAAACAAACACUCUCAAAAAGCUAGCUAGCUACCCAGAUGGCAAAACCAAGAAUUCUUGCAAUGACAAUGUUGUUUCUUGUUAUGGCAGCAACAUUGAUGAACAUGGCAUCACAAGCAAACGCUCUGAUGCCGUGCACACAAUCACCUUUCUUUGACAUGAUGUUCCCAAUGACGGAAGAGCCUUUCAGGGUUCUUGAACAAACCCCUUUAACAAUCGCAAAAGGAGCUGAUCAUCAUCAAACUCUAGCCCCAGCGAGAGCAGACUGGAUGGAGACACCAACAGCCCACAUGAUCACGCUCGACAUUCCAGGGAUGAAGAAAGAUAAUAUGAAGAUUGAAGUUGAAGAGAACAGAGUACUGAGAGUGAGUGGGGAGAGGAAGAGUAAUGAUUAUUAUAAGGAGGGAGUUGAAGGAGAGAAAUGGCACAGAGCUGAGAGGACAUUUGGCAAGUUUUGGAGGCAGUUUAGGAUGCAUAUGAGUGCUGACUUGGAUCAUAUUAAGGCUCACAUGGAAAAUGGGAUUCUGAGGGUCACAGUACCAAAGCUUGCUGCGUAGAAGAAGAGGCAGCCUAAGGUUAUUAACAUUGAUGAAGAGUCUGGUAAUUCUUCCAAUGAAGAUAUUAAGGCUACCAAGGCUCAAAUGUAAUUGAUUAAAGAAAGAAGUGAUUGCUUUGCUUGAUGUGCUAUUUGUUUAUGAUCUUUUCUUGGUUUUGUUGUGAGAUGUUUCUAUUUGGAUGCUCUAUUUAAUGUAUUUUGAUGGGUUUUUGAGGAAGGCUUGUAUGUAUUGACAACAAUAAACUGCUUUUUAUAAAUCCUAGUCCUACAACACUAGAAGAAAUUAAUACGCUUGGUUUAUAGUUGAUAAAAAUAUCUUUUUUUUAAAAAAAAAUCUUUUUCUUUGGCAUAUAGUAUGCCUUUUGAGGGGAAAAAUAUUUAUCCCACUCCUAAUUCGUCCUCUUCUGUGAUAUUAAUGUGUUAACACGAAGAUUCAUUGUAAUUGCAACAAUUUUGACGAAUCCAAAAGUUCAAUAACUGUUAAAUUGUAUUUAUAAAUACUAAUAGCGAAGGUACAGAAACGAUUAAUUCAAGAAGUUGCUUAAAGUGCAUUAAAUUAGGGAGUAUAAAUAAUUGUGUGAUACAGUCCAGCCUUCAUCUGCUUAUAAUUAGCAACCAAAAACCACUUUGCAACGCCAUUAAAAAAACAUUUUAACAUUAUUGCUGAGGGAAGAGUCAGCUUAGGCUUAUUAACUCGUAUUAUUAAUGCUGAUGACGCAGCUGGUAAUCCUUUUGGUGAAUAUAUUAAGGCAGCUGAAGCUUAAAAUUAAUUAAGCCCACUAAAGCUUAAAAGUAAUUCUUCUAGUGACGAUGCUUUGCUUAGUUCGCUUUUUGUUUUUAAAUUUUUUUGGGGCCAACGUUUUGCUUAUUUUGCUUUUUAAAUUCUAUUCACUUUCUCCUUCAAUUUUCUGUUUUUGUUGUUAUCGAAUUUGAUGAUGGUUUAUAUGUACGAAGAUUAUGUAAUAAAAUGCUAUAUAUUAUGUAAUAAAGUGCUUUUGUAACUAUAUAUAUAUAUAUAUAGAUAUUUCAACAACUGAGGAAGAGAUGGCCAUUAUACAUUACACAUUUGCACUCAAUAAGAAAUCAAUUCAUUAAUAUAGCCAAUAACAAGCCUGGUUUAUUGUUAAUGAAAAUUAAAAAAGAAAAAAAAAGUCUUUUUCUUUGGCCUUUAUUAUGCAUUUUAAGAGGAAAAAAAUUUAUCCCACUCCAAUUCAUGAAGAUAUUCUCUUUUUUGUCAUAUUGAUGUGUUAAUAUGAAGAUCCAUUGCAGUUGGUGAAUUCAAAUAUUCAGUAACUGAUGAAAUUGUAUUUAUAAAUUCAUACUAAUAGCAAUUGAAGAUUAUAAUUAAUUUUGUAAUAUGGUCUAGCCCUCGUGUGUUUAAUUAGCACUCAAAAACCACUUUACAAUAGGCAUUAAAAGAACAUUAUAACGUCAUUGCUGAUGAGUUCUGGUGAAGAUAUUAAGUUAAGGCCACAAAAAUCGAAAUGUACGUAGCUUCGUUUGUUUUUUGUUUUUGAUUUUUUUUGGGGCAAAUGCUUGGCUUCGUUUGCUUUUUCGUUUUUGAUAUUUUCUUGGCUUUAUUGUGUGGCAUGUUCUUGUUUUCUUUUGAUUUUCUGUUUUGGGUGUUAUAGAAUUUGAUGACGAUGUACAAACACUAAUUAAUUACUAAUAAGAACAUUAACAAUUUUUGUCGAAGUUUGAUCAAGAGAAAUAUUACACAUAUAUAACCGUACAGCUAAAUAAAAGAAAAUGAAGUUUAUUUCUAACGGCUAAGCAUGAGAUACGCAUAAGAAAUUAAUCCAUUAAUUAAUUAAUUAAUAUACAUGUCCCCCGCUGCUAAAAUAAUGCGAGCCCCUUACUCUACUUAACAUUUUUCUUUUUAUUAAUUUAUCAACUGAGAUUUGAAUUUUAAAAUUACAUACACAAACACGCUUGAUUUAAAAGAAAAAAAUUCUAAUAAUAAAAUAUUUUACAUAUGUAACCAUACGGCGGAAGAACAAAUAUAAGAAACUUACAGCUGAGAAUGAGAUAGGCAUAAGAAAUUAAUUAAUAGAGUCCUCCUCCUUUGCUAAAUAAUGCGAGCCCAUUGUUCUUUUUAUUUCGAAAACCCAUUAAUCACCAACACAUAAUACACGCCCAAUUUAAAAAAAAAAAAAAACUACUAAUAAAAUAUUUCAGUCUUCUGUUGAGUCGUCAUCAAAAACCCAUUUACGAUCUAUUACAACAUAAGGUAUAUGGGUUAACAAGUCCCAAUAUUGUCCUCCAUCCUUUCUGCACUUCUCUGCUAUCAACGGACAUCCCCCGAUGUAUAAUUGCAAAAGUGAGGAAGGCAGGCCCUUCUCCGGAAAGUAUUUGAGCUUGGGACAAUCCUCGAGAUACAAUUCAGUGAGGUUUUGAAGAUCAACAAUUGAAGAAGAUAGGCGUUCCAGAUUUGGAAAACUGAAAAUCAACAGAGAUGUUAGAGAGGCAGGAAGAGGAAGCGCGGUCCCCAAUCUUAUGUCAUCUGCCUUUGGUGGGAAUGACACCAUGUCGUCAUCGCAUCCGCUGAUUCUAAGUUGUCGCAGAGAGGAGAAUCUGUGGAAUCCCCGACCCCACUCAAUCGUUGACUUCCAAAUCUCCAUAUUACCCGCAAUCCACAGUGAAUGAAGGUUGGUGGGAAGGCCAUCUUCUUCAAGGCUUGGAAGCUCAACUCCUCUUCCUAUUGUUAAUUCUUGAAGAGAGGUCAGAUUGUGCAAUCCCUUGGGUAAGGCCUCCAGUCUCUCACACCCAUGGAUCCUGAGCUUACUCAGUUUCGCACAAGGCAAUCCCCCUUCGGGAAAGGACUCCAGAUUUCCACACCUUCCAAUACUAAUCUCUUGAAGCUGGUGGAGAUUAUGUAAACCACUCGGUAAAUUUUUCAGAUUUCCACAAUAACAAAUGUCGAUUGUUUCAAGAGAUGUGUUGUUGUCCAACCUUUCUGCUAUUGACUCCAGCUUUGAACAACUAAGAACAUGAAGGGACUUAAGAGACGGAGGUAGAUUGCCAACUUCAAGGGACUCAAGCGUGGCAGGUAACUCGUUUUUUGAAAAUAUACAUGUCAGAGAUCGACAACUCUCAAUUUCCAACUUCUCGAGAAGAGAUGAGGUGUACCUUCUGCUGCUGCUGCUCCUCUGGAUGCCCUCUUCCACUGUCAAAGUCCUUAUAUUAUCACAAUCGCUGAUGCUCAGCUGCUUGAGGCUCGGUGGCAGCUGGACAGCAGCAAUAUAUGUCAACGAAUGGCAGUACAAAAUACUCAAGAUCUCGAGAGAUGAAUUGGUGUCGCACAUCCAUGCCUCUGGUAACGAUUUCAGUGCAUCACAACUGCAAAUCUCAAUUUUCCUCAACUUGGAAGGCAGAGCAACCUCAGGAAAGGAAACAAGGGACCAGCAGCCGUAGAUUUCUAUCUCUCUCAAGGAACUGAGGCUGAGCGAUGAUUGUGGCAGCUUUACAAGGCCUUGGCAGCCGCUCAAUCUUAGAUAUUCAAGUCUGCAUGACAACUCGCAGAGCUGCUGUUGUUGGUCUUUCUCUUCCUCCGCCACCAAGGAUUGAAGUUUGGGACAGCUUGCAAUCGUCAGUCUUUUAAGAGAGCAACUGUCUUGUAGUAAUCCGUUAUGACUCUUCCAGAUAUAUGUAUGCUCUUUCAUAUCAUUUAUCUCCAAUUCUUCCAAUUUUGGCAGUUGCGGCUUUAAUGGCCCUGCGAGAAACACUUGAUUUGAUGCAUCUCUACAAACCACUGAAUUUUGAGAUCCGAGAUGACCAGUUGCACUUUCCCACACAACCUUUUUACAUCCGCCAAUCUGUAAUUUGCAAAGAGCUGGAAGACUCGAAACUGAAACUGACAAUUCUUCACAUCCUUCAAUAACAAGCAUCUCCAAUGCAGGAAGGUGCUCUGGAAAUGGUCCUUUCAAUUUAGAACAUCUUAAAAUGUGAAGCUCUCUCAAUUUAGGAAACCCUUCAACAACUCUUUGACUGGAUCCAUGGGAAAUCCAGUCUUCCCAUUCUCGCAUGUUUUCAAAAAUAAGAGUCUCCAAGCAUGGAAAAGGAAUUGGAGGAUCAUUCCCAUAGAACUCUGAACCCAACCUCUUUACUCUGCUCAUUCCACAUACUGCAAGAUGCUUUAGAGAGGGUAGUUGCCCGACUGACGGCAGGGCAGUACACAUGUCACAAUUUUCAAAUUUUAGGGUCACCAAAUUUGGCAAUGAGGAAUCUCCUAACCAAGCUGGAAAUUUUGUACCUCCAUAGCCACUGAUACAAAAUUGUUCCAAAAUUUCAUGAGGUUUUAGCAUGUCAAGCACAUCGUUUUCAGUUUUUGCCUCCCUUGAAGAUGAGCCAUCGGUAUUGAGUGCCCAUCGAAGCAAUAAUUCUCUAAGAUUCUUCUUUCCAUCCAAUUGAGCCUCCUUUGCAUCACCAACACAUUUUACAUUCUCCAAUUUUGAAAUGUUAAGUGUCCCAUGAAGGUGCGUCAACAACUUUAGCUCUCGUAACCCGGAACCACUGCCUUUUCCCACAACAAAAUUACACAACGUCUGAAGACAAGUCAACCUACCAAUUCCUACUGGCAUUUUCUCUAAAGAAUCUGUAUUUGAAUUCUUAAGAUGAUGCAAUUUGAGGAGAUUUCCCAUGUCUGCACACAACUUCUUCAGUUUCCGACAGUCCUCCAACAGAAGGGUGUGCAAAUUAUAAAGCUUAUUGACUGAUUCAGGCAGAGCUCUAAUCUGAGUUCCAGAUAGGUUAAGGUACCUUAAAUACCUCAAAUCACCAAUUGAAUCCGGCAGCUCAGGGAUGUGGUAUCCACGCAGAGAGAAGGCCCUCAAGCGUUGGAGUUUGAACAACUUAGGAAGAAUGCUAUAAGCCAAGUGUCCACGCGAACUAUUUGACAACGUUACUGGUAAAAAAGUUCGCAAAUGUUGGAUAUCGUACAAGUCCACAAACCUUUUAACGCCAUCACAAUAUUCAGGAAUGUAUGAUAGAUGACGAAGAUUUUCGGAAAAACUUUGCUGCUUGUUAACCUCUGAGGUAUACUCCAUUGUGAAGUAUAUCUCCCCCGCAGCCCAACGGGCAAGGUCAUUGAUAAGAUCGUGCAUCACAAAUCGUGAUAUACUGUUGCUUGAUUGCUGGAAAAAAGAUCUUGCACGUAGCUCUCGAAAGAACUUUCGACCUAGAUCUUCACUAGGAUUCCCGCUCUCUCCGUGAUCCAAGAGACCCACAGCACACCAUAAUAAAAUUAUCUCCUCCUCUUCAAAUUCAUAAUCCUUUGGAAACAAUGAGCAGUAUGCAAAGCAUUGUUUCAAAGGUGCCGAAAGAUAAUAGUAGCUCACUCUAAGCGCAGGUAUAAUGUCACAUCUCUCUUCUGGUAAAUCCCAUAUCUUGCAACUGAGCACAUCUUCCCAAUCACUUCGGUCACGUUUACCACGUAAGAGUCCACCAAGAGUUUUCGCAGCUAAGGGUAAGCCGUUGCAUUUGAUCACUAUAUUCUUGCCAAUGUCCUCCAAUGACUUAUGUGAACUGAAAUCUGUUGUCCCCAAAGAGUGCUGAGCGAACACAGACAGACAGUCCUCAGUUGACAAGCUUUUGAGUUCAUAAGCUUGAUCCAGGCUCAUGAUUUUGGCAACCUCUUCAUUGCGAGUGGUGACAACAAUCUUACUUCCCUGUGCGCCAGCUUGAAAUGGAAGGCUGAGGUGAACCCAGUCAUUGUAAUUCUCAUUCCAAACGUCAUCUAAAACAAGCAAAAAUUUCUUUCCAAAUAGUUGUUUCUUUAGCUCCUCUUGAAGCUUAUUCAAGUCGUGAUUAUCCACAUUCUGGUCACUAGCAAUUGAAAGUAGGAUUGAUUUUGUAAGCCUGCUAACAUCAAAAUCAUCGGAGACGCAAGUCCAUGCCUUGAGAUUAAAAUGAUCCUCCACCUGCUUAUCAUUGUAGACAAGCUGAGCAAGAGUGGUUUUACCCAGCCCGCCCAUACCUAUAAUAGGAAUAACAGAGAAUCCACCAUCAUUUCUUGAAUCAUCCUUCAACAACAAUUCAACAAUUUCCUUCUUUUCUGUUUUCCUGCCAUAUACUUUGGCUUCCUCCACCAAAGAGGUUGUCUCUUGCCUUCGCCUGGCUUUUUUGGAUCCCCCAGCUGAACUUUUUAUCAAAUUCAGCGAGCGUAUUCCUUCUUCAAUAUCUUGAAAUCUGUCGCUGAUCCCUUUGAUUUUGGACAUCAUGGCGUAAUCGAACUGAAUCGAUUGUGGAGUAAAAGUGGGGCAGCAAGUAGGAAUGAGCUUCCGAAACUUACUUUUCGUGCUUGUACGACUGCUGCUGGGUUGAUCAUGAGCAGCAGCUGGUUCUCCAUUUCCAAGCAGCAACUGCCUCCGGAAAGCCUCAGUUUGGAACUCAUCCAACAAGUCUUCAACAUCAUAAGCCAAGUUCUGAAGCUCGCCAAGCCACUUCUUCACAGACCGAUUAGUCGUCUUCUUCUCCUCAGCAUCAUCAAUCAUUAUUUGUAAUUAAAGAAUGAGGUCCAAUCAAUUUAUUGGAGAAAAAUUAAUUUUAAUUCUUAGGAUUUGAUUUCACUCUCUUUUACUUUUUGACGUUGCUAAAGAGACAGUAAAAAACUUACUAAAUGUCAUCAAAUGCUUGUAUAUCAUCUCACACUUUAGCCACAAAUGCUUGAUAUUUUUUUUUUCUUUUUUCCCGUACAGAAAGAAACAGAAUUUUGAGUUCUAAAGCAAAAUGAGAAAAUUGAGCAAAAUGCAUGUAGCAAGUCUUCCGCAUGUUUAUUCCAGUAAAGUGAAAAUAGAUAAUUGAAAAAUGAUAAACGAACGAAAGCGCACGAAGGGACGACAGAAAACGCGUUUCCUCAUCCAAUUUUGUUCUUGUGGACCGAAAAUAAAUAAUAAAAUAUUUUUUUUGGGAACCGAUAACAAAUAGUAAAAUAAAGAAUAAAAAAAAUGGUGUGAACGAACGAAAGCACAACGAAGGAGGAACGACAGAAAACGCGUUCCCUCAUCAAAAUUUUCUUUUAUGGGACCGAUAAUAAAUAAUAAAAUAUUUUUUUGUGGACCGAUUAUAAACAGUAAAAUAAAAAAUGAAAAAAAGGAUAGUGACGACGAACGAAGGCGCGAGGAAGGGACGACAGAAAACGCGUUCCCUCAUUCAAUUUUUCUUUUGUGGGACCGAUAAAAAAUAAUAAAAUAUUCUUUUAUGGGACCGACUAAAAAUAGUAAAAUAAAGAAUAAAAAAAUGAAAAAAAGGAUGUGUGCAAUUUUUCUUUUAAUAAUUUGGCAAUUUUUCGUUGCCAGAUUCAAUGAAUGUAAAAUCGCACCUCGAUUCAAAAUAAAUUUUAGCUGAACAUAAAUUCGCCUCAUUUAUUAAAUAUAUAUACUUAAUAUAAUAACAACGAUAUAGACCCAACUGAAAUAACUCAACGGAGAAAUUGAAACUUACUUUUUUAGUUAUGGCUCAUAUAUAAUACAAGUAUCAAGAUUUAAGUAGAGUUCACAUAUACACAUGCGGCUAGUUUUAACCGAGAGAUAAAUUAAUCAUUAAUACUCAGGUGUUUCUAAAUGAUUGAAUAAUGAUAUUAUACGAACCUUCCCUUUACAAGUCUUCACACUCAUAAACCAAGUUAAAAUAAAAUAAAAUAAAAAACGUUUCUCUCUCUCUCUCUCUCCUUUUGCCAUAUGAUUACUUUAUUUAUUGAAUUAAUUUCCAUGCUAUAAAGAAGACUUAAAAGUACACUAUAAUUUUUUAUAAUCACAACGGUAAUUUCUAUCAUCAUAGUAUAUUAUUGUCGUGUCAAAAUAAAUUAUAACAAAAUUUUAGAUGAACCUAAGUUCGACUCGUUUAUUAAAUAUAUAUACUUAGUAAAAAUAAUAAGACGAUUAAUAUGUUAUCAGGUAUAGGAUCAUUUGGCCACUUGGGCUUGUAGCCCAAUGGUGAACCAUUGUCCUUAAAGUUAAGCAUGACUAUGAGGACAAUGGUUCGAGUCCCCACGGACUCAACCUUCCUCAAUUAAACAUAAUUGUGUGGAGACUUCUUAUAACGUCUUUCUCCCUUGCGAAAUGCGAGUGGAGUAGAGACAUCCCUCCUCUAUGAGGGGUAUUUGGAUGGGCAUGUACUUUAUAGAAUAAAAAUAUAAUAAUAUAAAUCCCAUGUGAGUGGAGUAGAGACAUCCCUCCUCUAUGAGGGGUAUUUGGAUGGACAUGUACUUUAUAGAAUAAAAAUGUAAUAAUAUAAAUCUCAUGUAUAUAUAUCUGAUUGUAAAUAUCAGUAUAAUGACCUGCUAUCAUAACAGUUGUAUAUAUCUCUGUGUAAUUUUAAGUUUAAAAAAAAAAAAAAAAGGUAUAGGAUCAUUUGGGCAAUCCGAAGAGUAUUCCAGAAACCGAACGUGAGAGGCAGAUCUUUUGAUCCAACCAUGGCUUUUAUUGCCCCGUACAAAACUCUACUAUUAAUGUUUUUGUGAACAUUGAAGCAUAUGGACCAUUGACUAAGACAGCGGGACCCCUGAAAAUAGACCGUGGAGAAACGAUAGCAACUUUUAUCGAGAUGUGAACGUACUCACACUCACUACUGGAUCCCUGCCGGCCUUUUAUCUCACCCACCUUCAGACAUUGCCGCUCAAAUCACGAAGGAAAGGCAGUGGAAAGGGUAUGAUUGCUAUCAUUGUCCUACGUCCAUUGGAAAGUUAUAUUUUAAAAAUCACCAACAAGGUAUUUUAGGUCCCCCGUGAAUUAUGUCGUUUUUGUCACCCAUAUUUGCACCGACACUCGGUGGGGUGGUGCGAGGGACUAUUAAGAAUAAAAAUAUGGAGACACCAAUUAGGGAUUAUUAUUAUUAUUAUUAUUAUUAUUAUUAUUAUUAUUAUCAUUGCUUAAAAUCUCUUAAAAAAAUAUAUGUUAACAUUGGGAAGGAUAUAUAAUCUCUUUUUUAUUAGUAAAAUCUGUUUAUUUUAGUAGUAACUUAAUCUUUAAUUUACAUUUACUAUCAUGUCCCUAUAAUAAAUAAAUUAAUAUAUUUAACUUAAGAGAGUGAGCCUUCCAAUUUUACUUCCCAUUUGUCCAAUUGGCUUUCAUUCAUUUACAACCAUGUUUAACAUCUCAUUUUUCCUAAUUGGCAUUGGAAGAAAAUAAAUUUGAUUUUAUUUUUAUCUAUUAUUCAUCAUUUUUUAUCAUUGGUAAGGAUAUAUUCAUAAUUUAAAGUGAAUAAUUUGGACAAAAGAUAAUUAUAUCUUAAUUUUAAGUUGUAAAUAAAAAGUUGUUAGUUUUAUUAUACAUGUCAUCGAUGACAUGUCUUAAAUCAAUAUAUUUAUUUAUUUAUUAUAGGAAUAUAAUAAUAAUUAUAAAUUAUAAAUAAAUUUAUUAUUAAAACAAAUGGAAUUUAUUAACAAAAAUAGGAAUUAUAUAUCUUUUUUAAAAUAUUAAAACAUUAUUUUUUUUUUAGGGUAUCACUGUCCAUUUCCCAUUAAGCAAAAGAAAAAUCAGAGCCCACUAUAAAUAUAAAAUCAAUGGAGCUCAUGAUGAUGCAUUUGCUUUACAUACUAAAUUAAAUAAAAGCCGAACCAAGAAUCUUUGCCUUAGCUUAACAUGAUUAAUUAGGCACUACUUCAUAGAAAACGCAAAAGCAAUGAACCCUUUUUUUAAUCUUAAAUGUCAUGAAUAUAAUUCUUCUGCGUUAAUUAAUCAUUCUUCUCUGACCGUCUCUUCAGGUUCAUUUCAAAAGUUUGAAGAGAGUUUAUCAAUUCUUCUACUUAUAAAAGUAAGUUAAAUUAAAAGAUUUUAAUCUCUCUUCUUAUUACUAUAAGUGCGCUGUGCACGACAUUUUUUUACAAUAAACAAUGCCAAUUUGUAAUGUAAUGUUAUAUUCAUAUUCCCAUCGCGUCGAAAUUUUAAAUAAUGCAAAAUCGACUCGUUUGUUAAAAGGUAUAUAUUUAAUAAACUAAUAACAUAAUUAACAUAACGUAAAUAUUACACUAAUUAAAAUAAAAGACAGUAUCCGCCAACAAUAAUUAAAUUAGCAAGCUUCGCAUGCUCAUGUUUCAAUAAUUAAAUUAGCAAGCUUCGCAUGCUCAUGUUUCAAGAACUUAACAUUGGUGAAUUAACACCAAGGAUCAAUGAAAGAAUUACAAAAUAACAAAAUGGAUACUAUGCAUUUUUUCUUUCAACAGAAAAUGGGACUAAUUUUCAAAUAUUUUCAAAUUCACUUAUUUACAAAAGCAGUACAGAAUGAUUUCCUUUUAUUUUGAAACAUUGUAUGAACACGAAUAACAAUGAUACAAAGAGAAAAGUGGUAAUUCUCUGAUUUUUUUUCUUUUUUCCCUCUUUUUUGAAAGGAGACGUUGGGGUUUGGCUGUUUGCAAAAUUAUUGGUGUGGGGUUCUAUUUGCUUUUGUUUUCACUUUAUUAAUUAACUAGCGAAGCAAACAUGUAAUCAUUUGUAAAGGAGUCACUAGCAUCGGAUUAUGUUAGAUGAAUUUGUAAGACUUAUUAAUUUCAAUGAAAAUGUAGUGUUAUUAAGUUAUUAAUUCACUAAGUUAACUUGAGGUUCUAAUAUUUACUAAUUGUAGUGAUUAAUUUAUUUAACUUGUCAUAAUUUUCAUUUGAGAAUGAAAUUCAAUCAAUGUAUGAAAAAAGAAAAAGAAAAAAGAUAAUUUUUAAAAAUUUUUAAUUUCUAUGAUUUGAUUUCACUUUUUUCUGAAUAUUGACGCUGUAAAAGCUUUCCGAAUGUCAUCAAAUGCUUGUAUCCCAUCUCACAAAUUAGCAAAUAUCGUUUGGUUUCUUUAUACGUGGCCAUCACAAACUAAAAGUAACAACAUCCACCAUAUAUGGAAAAUUAAUUUUGAGAAUACUUUUUACUUUUAAAAGAAAAAUGCGAGUACAAUUUAAUAAGAGAGAACAAGAAUUCAUCAUGUUCCAAGUAACUGAAAAUAAGAUUAUAUAAACUUGAAUGCAGACAUAUCAUAUGUUAAUCUUAAUUUUUUUUGUUGCUGAAAAUUAAUUAAUUAGUUCCACUAUUCCUUUUUUAAUUGUAUGGUGAGAAACACAUUGACCACUUCUGAAUCAUGUUGCAUAUUUGUUAACUCAAAGAAACAGUAUAUUUUUGUAUCAAUCAAACUCACUUUGUUAAUAUUCUUCAUCAUUAUGGUUAAUGGCUUAGCAAAUGUAGGAGGAGUCAACCAAAAUGAAUCACUUUCUCUUGUAUUAACCUUUUAUUAAUUGUUGAAGUUAAAAAAAAUGUUAAAACAAAUUAAAAUAGUUCCAACUCAAAAUCAGUAGGGUGUAAGUAGGUUGUUAUAAAUAUUUUUAAAUUUUAGUCUUUUUUUUUAUUACAUGAGACUAUUGUUUAAACUACAACUCAUAUUACAUGAGACUAUAACUGAUAUUUACAAAUCAGACUAUUAUUGAGACAAACUUUAGCCUAAUUUAAUUGUGUGAUGCACAAACUUUCUCACUUCUUUUAUAUAAAUAAAGGGUAGAACUAUUUGAACUCAUUAAAUCACUUUUUAAAUCCCUCUACUUAUUAAGAUCAUCAUAAAAAUUCAAAAAUCCUUUUUAUACUCACUGCAUCUCUUAAAAAUAUCGCAAAUAUGACACAUUUGUCUUCACCUUCUAUUUAUCUUCAACAUUAACAAUUUUUAUUUGAAUCUGUAAUAUUUUUAACACUGUUCAUUCACUCAUUAGAGUUCCAAUAAUAGAAUAUAGAGAUUAAAAAUAUCAUUAGCAAAUUAUUUGUUUGUGUUCUAUAUGAUAUUCUUGGUUUGGAAAAAGCUUUAUCGGCAAUAUAUGUAAAUAAAAGACUAAGAACUUCCAAUAAUUCAGAUUUGAUCGAAACUUCACAAACUUAUUUUCACUUAAAAAAAUAAAAUAAAGUAAAAGAAAUUCUUGUGUUUUAAAAGAGAAACUGCCAGACAUGUUUCUAAGACAACUAGAAACCAAACUAGGCUUGAAGUAGUGAGUUUUGAAUUAUAAAAAAUACAUAAGUGUAAUUUCACCUAAAUCAAAUGAUGAAUUUCGUGACAACGGAUUUAGACUAUAGACCAAUACACAAAGAAUUGGAUGUUCAUCGCAUUUGUUCUUGAAAUUGUUUUGCGCAAAAAGGUUAACUAUUGUAUUAUAUUGUAUUGCAUUAUUUUAAUACAUGUGUAUUGUAUUAUGCUGUAUUGCAUUAACACUGUAUUAUAUUAAUACUAUACAACGUUUGGUUCUCCAUUGUACUCUAUUAAUUUUUAAUUAUACAUACAUUAUAUUAUGCUAUACUAUAUUAUUUUUUUGGUGGUUAAUUUCAAUUAUAUGUUUGGAAAUAAUAUUUAUUAGUACUUAGCAAAAUAUAAAAUAUAGAACCUUAACUUUUAGAAUAUUUACAUCAUUUUUUUUAGUAUAAAUGUAAAUAAUUAUAAUAAUUCUUCAUAGAACUUAUGUAAAAAUAACAAAUUCUGAAUUUUUGAUAUCGUAACAUUUUUUUUUAACGGCGUUUUUCAAAUGUAUACCUUAUUGAUGAUGCACCAUAAAAAUAAAUAUCAAAAUUUGCGAUCAUGAUCAAGUCGAGUUUUACAUGAUGAAAGCAUGACACAAAAAUUGAAAAAAAAUAAUAGCCGGCAAAAAGUUAUACAAGCAACAACAAAAGUGCUAAUUACUCGGAAAAUAAACAAUCAAGAGCCGCUGAUAGAUAUGAAUCAUAUGACAAGGUAGAGGAAUACAGAUAUCUGCAUACAUUUUUAACAAAGAUCAUCUUUGUAACCAAUUGUUGGCUUUGGCAUUAAAAGAUCAUCUUUGUAACCAACUGGGUAGCUAUAAAAUGAAUACUAAGUCAAUCAAAGGGGAAAGCUUGCUACAAGACUUUGAAGCAUUAUUCUGUUGCAUCACCUUCCUCCUCUGCCUCGCUUCCUGCAUCCCAAAUUAAAGAACAACAAAUAUUAAAUAACAAAAACAAAAUCUUCAAUAGACUUUUCAUACUCCAUAGAGCAAAUCUAUGGGAAUCCACAAAAUAAUUGAAAUACAUCAAUCCUGCAGGUCAUAGUAACAAAUUACAGAUACACAAUCAUGCAUAUGCAACUAAAAAAUGCUUAUGUAUUACAGCCGCUUUUUGGCAUCACUACUUCAUAAGUUAUAUAUGAUAAGAUAACAUUAUUAUUCUAAUCACAUGGUUAUGAUUUUAGUUGGACAUACAAAAGCUACGUGCAUGAAUCUGUAUGAUGCCACCUUUCAUGAGUCCAAAAUUUAAAUCAAAUCAAUUUGGUUGAGCCUUGAAAUUCCUAUUCCAGUCAAAGGAGAUGAUUUUUCCAAAGGUAAAGAAUGAGUCCGAUUACUUAAGCAUAUCAACCUUUUUUCUAGGCUAAAGUUUAUCCCUUUCCAUUUCACUAACUCUCCUCGCAAUACCUUGCGUCAACAUUUGCAUACUUGAUAUACUUUCACAACGGCUAAAAACUCAUUUAGUCUAUGUAUUUUAAGAUUAGUAUCUAUUUAAUCCCUAUAUUUUUAAAAAUACCUCGAAACAUCUCUAUCAUUAAAGUAUUAAUACCCCUACCGUUACUUUUUAUUUUUUUUCGCUUACUUUUACAAUAUUACCCUUUUAUUCUUAAUAAAUCCACUCAUUAAAUUAAACUCAUAUAGAAAGGUUGUAAAAAGAUCCCAAACUAAUUAAAAUUUUUAAAAAUUACCCUACAUCAAAUUAUUUUUUUUGUACCAUAAAACAAAACGAUAGUCGCAAACUUAUUUUGUACUAGGAGUAAUGAUUAUGUACAAAAAUGGGCACAGAAAGGUCUUUGGCUCUACAGUCUACUCGGUGAUUCGUGAAAUGCUUUCAAAGAGGGGGCAAAAAGAAAAAAGAAAAAAGAAAAAAGAAAAUAGAAUAUAUUCUAAUUUUUUAAUUAAAAAAAAAAAACCCUACUAUGUACUUUUAUAAUAACUCCCUCGAGUGCAAUGUCUCAAAGGUUGUCUUCUUCGUCCCGCUGACAACCCAAAAGGCAGAAACGCAAUGUCGUCGAAUUCGAUGGAGUCAUUGAUUCUCCAACUCCACGAGAUCUCGGCGGUUAAAUUCGGAAACUUUAAGCUAAAAUCCGGCAUAUCGUCUCCCGUUUACAUCGACCUCCGACUUGUCGUUUCUUACCCUUCCCUCCUCCGCCAAAUAUCCAAAACCAUCAUCUCCUCCCUCCCCUCCACAACCAAAUACGACCUCGUGUGCGGCGUUCCGUACACCGCCCUCCCAAUCGCCACCUGCGUCUCCGUCUCCAACGACGUCCCCAUGCUCAUGCGGCGCAAGGAAAUCAAAGACUACGGCACCGCCAAGGCCAUCGAAGGCAAUUUCAAGAAGGACGAAAUCUGUCUAAUCAUCGAAGAUUUAGUCACCAGCGGCGCGUCGGUCCUCGAAACGGCGGUGCCAUUGAGAGCGGCGGGGCUGGUGGUGACGGACGCCGUCGUAUUGAUCGACAGAGAGCAGGGAGGGAGGGAGAAUCUGAAGGAGAACGGAAUUGAGUUGCAUGCGAUGAUAAAGCUGAGCGAAAUGGUUAGGGUUUUGAGGGAGAAAGGGAAGCUUGAUGAGGAAACGGAGAGAGUGGUGAUGAAGUUUUUGGAGGAGAACAAGAAAGUGGCGGCUUCGAAUUUAGGUGGGGUUAGGGUUAGCGUUAAGGGUUUGAAGUACGAAGAGAGGGCGAAUUUGAUGAAGAAUGAGACUGGGAGAAAAUUGUUUCAAGUGAUGGUGAAGAAGGAGAGUAAUUUGUGUUUGGCUGCUGAUGUUGCCACUGCUGCUGAGUUGCUUCAAAUUGCCGAGAAGGUUUCUUGUUUUAAGUUAUUCAAUUUUCAAUUUUUGUGCUUUAAAUUGUAGGUACAAAUACUUAUAGCAGAGUGUACAGCUACUUCACAGCAUAAAUUCUGUUGUGAAAUUAUUAUUUUUUUUAAUUUCUGUUUUACAAAUUUCUUUUCCCUGAAAAUUGAGUUCAUUCCUUUCAUGCCCAUUAUUAGAAAUUAGAAACAUCCUAGGCUAGGUCUUGGACACGUGGCACACAUGUGGGUCAUGGCAGCCGCUGCUGGGCCUGAAGUUUAGGCCCAAUCUAUUAAUGGUUUUGUUGCUGGCAAUGCCAUUUGUUAAUUUUUUUUUUUUUUUGGGUUUGACCUUUGCCACCGAAAAAAAAAGAUGAUGUUGACUACAUUAGAGUACUUUACUCUGCCUACUGCCUGUUGCCUGUGGUUUGGUUGUUGAUUUUGUGACAUUUGGAUGUAAUAAUGUAUAAGAAUGUCCAAUAUAAUCAUUCUGGAUUAUCUUUUAGAGUGAUAAAACUGUGGUGCAACUGUGGUACCGUGCCACAGUUGCACCUGGAUUCCCACUUAUUCAAGUGAACCCCACUCAUUUGAGUGGAUCCAACGGCUGGUGCAACUGUAGCACGGUACCACAGUUGCACUGUAGCCUGACCCCUUUUAGAGUGCCAUUUAUUCUUUUGUAGUAGUUCAAUUUUUUCUCACGCAAUUUAAGGGAAAAAGAGGGAAAAAAGAAGUAUAUGCAUCGGUGAUAAUAUUACUUAACUAAUUUAAUAUUGAUUUGUUAAUCAUUAAUAUUUCGUGAAUGAUUUACAUUCAUGUUUUUCACAGGGUUCAUGAUAGCACUGCACAUAAUACGAUGCUUUAUUCAUCUGAUUUUCAUAAGAAAGAUAGUUUGUUUGUUUUUUCUUCUCUCUAAUUCUCAUUUGAGAUUUUCAGGUUGGACCAGAGAUCUGCUUGUUGAAAACCCAUGUCGAUAUAUUGCCUGAUUUCACCCCAGAUUUUGGUUCCAAACUUCGUGCGGUAUAGCUCCUCAACCCAUUUUCUAGGGAAAUAAACUCGACUAUAUUCUGAUUUUGUGGAUUCUUAUGAAAUGUUAAUUAAGCAAUACUAGUUAUAGCUAAAAAAUUUUCAACUCUUGAAGAUUGCAGAAAAGCAUAACUUCCUGAUUUUUGAAGAUCGCAAGUUUGCGGACAUUGGUAACACUGUGACCAUGCAGGCUGAAGGGUAAGACUCUGCGCUUCUAUAUUUCUUAAUUUCUUUGUUCUUUGUGUCCUUGCUUCCUCUUGAGGGUUCCUGUCUCUGUGUCUGCAGUGGUAUAUUUCGUAUAUUGGAUUGGGCCGAUAUAAUAAAUGCUCACAUAAUCUCUGGACCGGGAAUUGUGGAUGGUCUGAAAUUAAAGGUUAGAAUCAACUAUUUGGUAUAACUUUUGUUUGCCAUGAAGUAAUCAACUAAUCUGUUUCUAAUGUCACGCAUACUAUUGAUUUACCAGGGAUUGCCUCGUGGUAGGGGUCUGUUGCUGCUGGCUGAGAUGAGCUCAGCUGGUAACCUAGCAAAGGGAGACUAUACAGCAGCAGCUGUGAACAUUGCCGAGGAUCAUUCUGAUUUUGUCAUUGGAUUCAUCUCAGUUAAUCCAGCAUCAUGGCCAGGGGCACCAGUCAAUCCAGCCUUUAUUCAAGCAACCCCUGGAGUUCAAAUGGUAAAGGGAGGUGAUGAUCUAGGCCAACAAUAUAACACUCCAUACUCGGUAAGUUCUGUUCGUUCACUAGCUCCCCUCAACAUGUUAUUUUUCUAGCAAUACUAUCCAUGAAAACUAUUAAUACAAACUUAUCUAUGCAAAUGAACAUGGGAAUACAAUUAUUAAGGUAAACGUUAAAAGAAAGUCAAUUUAAUUGCCACAUCACCCAUUUUCAUUUGUGGUUUUUUUUUUUUUUACUAAUCAAAUUUCAAUGUGCCAGGUUAGUUUAUAUUGGUUGAGUGUGUAUGUCUAGUGUUUUGAUAAAUUUGUCACAAGUUGUAAAAUAGAUGUAAACUUGAGUGAAGAAUUAGCAAUUGAACAACCAGCUCCAAUCGAAUUAGCAUUUUUGCCUUAUGUUCAAAUUUGAGAAGGCCUAACUGAAACAUUUUUUCUUAGGGUCCCAGGUGCAUUGAGCUAGCCGAAGGACUAAUGGGUGCUAGUUACUUAAUAUAAUCUAAGAAAUAAAAUCAGCAUUUUACAUGUAAUGGAAUUUUAGGCAUGUCAAUGAGGCAUAAGGGGAAGAAGUUUUGAUUGCAAAUUUGGGAGGCCAUCAAAAUGAUUUGUUUUGGUGUGAUAACAAAAAAUUCUAAUGAAUAAACCCAAACCCUGGAAUGUUUUGCCAUAUAUCACUAGAUCCUCAAAAGGUUAGGAAAAUGAGGUAAAGAAGAUCCAUUUUCCUCCUGUUUUAUAUAUGUAGGAACUUUAUCUUUUCAUGGGUACAUCAUUGCUAUCACUAGAUCCCCAAGAGAUUAGGACAAUAAGAUAGAAAAGAUCCAUUUCGUCCUUUUUUUUUCACAUAUAGGAAUUUCAUCUUUUCAUGGGUACUUCAUUUCUAUGGAGCCAAAGAUAUCAUUUGCUCUAGUUUCUGAAAUUGAGCUUCGUAUACCAUGCUUUGAAAUUGACCCUUGACUAGAGAGAAAAAAUUUUCGUUUAUGACCAGAAAUUUUCUGUAAAUUGAAAUGAGAAAAAGUUGGAGAGGAAAAGCUUGGGAUUUAUAAUUUGGUAACAUGUUUUAUCUUUUCUUCAGGCAGUAAGCUUUGCUUAGCUGUGUCUAGAUAUCUUUUUGUCCUUGAUUAGCUGAAUUCCUAGAUAUUUCAUCCUAAAGACUUAUUCGUAUCCAUCUUUUCCCUCCAUACAUUGAACCAAUGUUGUAUCUUGUUUCAAAACAGGUAAUUUCUCCAACUUCAAAUUUAGCCUAGCCAACUAUAAUUUAACCAGGGAACAAGCUAGAAGGGGCAGAGCUAAUGAACUAAGGUUAACUGGUGUUUAAAAUAGUUGUAACUUGUACCUCAGUGAUUUUAUUCGAGAGCCUCACAGCCAUGUGAUAUUCCCUUUGUCACACAUAGUAUGACUAUUAAGAUGCUUCUUGCAGGCUAACUAAUCAAACUUGUUACACCAACAAAACAAUAGCUGAGUGCUCGACUGCUCUUAACCUGUUCUAUUUGGUUGACACUGUUGCAGCUUUAAUAACUUUAACGUAAAAUUGUUCUCCAGGUCAUCUACGAUAGGGGUAGUGACAUAAUUAUUGUGGGUCGUGGAAUUAUAAAGGCAGCAGACCCUGCAUUGGCAGCCCGUGAGUACCGGCUUCAAGGAUGGGAGGCCUACUUGGCUAAGUGCAGCUGAUCCUCCAUUUAGGUCUGGACUUCUGCUCGCUUCAACGGUUGCGAUAAUGAACAGAUGAGUCAAGUUCUGUUUAAUAUACCAUGCAUUGGUAUGUCUUAUGAAACCGAGAGAGUUUGAAGCUUUUGGCUGCAUUGUACUUAUAGUAACUUCUCAAGUCUGGUAAUGCUGCUUGUCUGGUUUUCCCAAUGAAACAUGGUUGCAAGAUUUCUGAGUGUUGUGUUAUCAACAAUAUAUGAAAUUUAUGAACGUGGUGUUUGGAGUUGCCAACCAUCUCAUUCAAAAUUAUCAUAUUGAAUGAUUCGGAUGAUUCCUCUUUUGUGGUUUGGAUGGACACGUGGCAAUGCGCAGUAGAUGCCUUGGAAAUUGGUAUCGGGCAAUCAUCUUUAAAUGUUGAUAUGGUAAAAUGACCAGGAUUACUUUAUGUUUAGCAAAACGAAUCCUUUUCUCUCUAAUAUUUUAUAACCUACAAAUAAUAAUGUUAAAAUGUCAGUUUUUCCAACCGAAACAACUUAUAAUUUAAAAAAAAAAAAUUGAUAGCAGAAUAUUAAAUAAAGGGAUAUUUUUUUUAGAAAAGGAAAAUAGUUAAUUUAGCCAAAUAGAAAGAAGAUACUCAUUUUCCCAAUGGUUUUUUUUAAACUCUCAUUUUCUCAAUAUAUAACUAAUAAUUUAACAAAGUGUUAUUAAUAUUUUAAAAUAUUUCUUAGGAUGAAUUGAUUUUUAAACGCGAGCGAGAAGAAAUUGAUAAGAUUUAAGGGUAAUUUUUAAAAACCUCCCCUGAGGUUUGAGGCUGUUGCAAGUAGAUGGUGAAAAUCAUUUUAUUUGUAAAAAGCCCCCUACCGUUAGUUAAAAUUUUCAUUGACUAACUGUUGACUUUGAAAAGACAAUAUUACCCCCAAUAUUUACAAUUCUAAAUAUUUAUAAUUUCAUAAGUAAUUAAAAUAAUUAUUUUCACCAUGAUCAAGUUAUUGAUAUUUCUUUAAAAUCUUAAAAAAAUAAAAUUACAAAUCUUAAAAUAAUUUUUUUUAAGUUUGUAAUAAAAUUACAAAUCUUAAUUAUUUGAUAUAAAAAUAUAAUUUUUUUUAAGUUUGUAAUUUUAUUUUUUUAAGAUUUUAAGGAAAUUUUAACUGACGUAAACUAUUAUUGGGGGUAAUAUUAUCUUUUUAAAGUCAACAGUUAGUCAAUGAAAAUUUUAACUAACGGUAGGGGGUCUUUUACAAAUAAAAUGAUUUUCACCAUCUACUUGCAACAGCCUCAAACCUCAGGAGAGAUUUUUAAAAAUUACCCUAAGAUUUAAUUAGUAACAUUAAGAUCGGUAAAUGAUAUAAUAUAAAACAAAACUAGUAAAGAACAAAAAGGGCCAACAUGAAGAAAACCCAAAAUUGAAACCUGUCCUUUUUGUAUUUUCUCGAGAAAUUUCUCUCUCCGACUUACAGCUCAACGGCUUUAGUUUGAAAUUCUUCACACUCUUUCAAUUGUCUUUCAACGCGCACACUUCGUAUCCUUCGUUAUUAAUUGUUCACACACGCUCCCCCAACACCGAGCAGACUCUCUCUCUCUCUCUCUCUUCUGUCCGAAUUAGGGUUCUGUUGGGCCGUGAAACAUUAUAAUGCGCUUCUGAUUUCAAAUACUUUUCCAGGUAAUUUAAUCUUUUUUUCCUUUCUUGCUUUCUGGAAUAUUCUAAGAUCUUAAUCUAGAUUUGUUUCCUCAUUUCGGCAUUUUAAAAAAUUUGCUUUUUUUUUUCUCUUACGGUUUAGGGUUCUCAAAAUCAUAUACGAUGCUGUUUUACUGCCACAUUUGUAAUUCGGCCAUUUUUCUUUUUCCUUUUUUUUUUGUGAGUGUUGAAAAGGAAAAAAGUGAUAUUUUCCUUUCUGGGUAUUGCUGGAUUUUGUCCCCAGAAAAAAAACUGUAAUUCCGUCUCUUUGCGUGUAUAUAUGUAUAGGUAUCUUCUACAUUACCAUCUUAUUGGCUUUCCGGGUGACGAAAAUGGGUAGCUUAACUUUCUUAUAAUUGAGUUAUGCUAUGUGGGUUUGUUGUGGUGAUUAAAUACUGAUGGCAGUGUCUAAUGAGAUGAUGAGGGAACUCUAUCUAUGCGAAAAUGCAUGGUGUAUUUCGUGUUUAAAGAUUUUUAUGCAAGUUUUAUUGUAUUACGUUGUUUUAUUAAUAUUACUGUCUCCCAAUAUUUGAGUUCUUGUGUUUAUCGAAUGAUAGAAAAGAGUUUACCCUGAUUUAUGGUUUUGAUUGAGAUGUAAUGGAUAUUUUUAUUUGAUUAUAGGUUGGGAAGUCAAAACUUGACCUUGGUGCCUGCAAGGAAGAAGUCAAGAAGAUUGACUAGGAAACAAGAUCUGUUGGUAAGAAUUCCUUCCCAACGAAAACUUUAAUACUGAUUAAUGUCAUAAACUUGUUGGUUCAUUUUUUUUAAAUUUAAAUUUUCAUUUGCCUGGGCAUGUUUGCUGUACUAUUAUUCAUAAAUUGGGAAUUGAUCUUUGAAUGAGUAUUGGAAUCAAAUAAUGACGAAAGUAUAUAAUGAACAGUUGAAUGUUCUUUGGCCAAAAUAAAUUCACUUUGGCAUGACUCAAGGCUGAAAGAAAAGAUUAUGUAAUGAAAAGAAGACAAUUUUUAUGAUGAUUAUGUAUACAUGUCAAACAAUGUCGUAAAAAGGAAAUAUGUCAUAGAAUGCAGAAAAUGUAGGAAACUACAUUGCCCCUCUUAGAGUUUAUCUAUAUAUAUAGUUUCCUUAUAUAUAUAUAUAUAUAUAUACCCUAAGGACCGGAAAGAGUUAAAGCUUAGGGUGACUGGUAGAAUUUGGAAAGAACAGUGAUGGAUGGAAGUGCUUUUUGUCUUGCAGCUUCGUGCAAUCAUGUUUUGCCGUCAUAGCUGGUAGUUGAGUUUUAUCUUGUUGGUGGGUAGUCCAGUGAGUCCUCUUGUUCAUGUAUUUUUUUGUUAUGUAGAAAGCAAAUUUUCUUUGCAUGUCCUUGCACUGAAUGCAUGAGUGGGGAAGACGUGUCGUGACUCUUUAUGCCUACAAUUGUAAUAUCUAUCUAAAUAUAUUUCAAUGUAUUGCAUUGCUGCAGUGCCAUUAGUUUUCUCUUUGCCUAUGAUGCAUAUGAACGAAGUCAACAGGAAUUAAAGCUUUGUGUCAUUAGUUUAACCAUGAAGCACUUGAAAGAGUUUUGUGGAAAGUUUUUCAAAGAAACAAAUUUUCUUAUUAUCAAUUUGCAAUUGAAUAAAAAAAUGACACAUUAAAUUCUCAAAAAUGACACAUUAAAUUCUCUCUUUUUAAUUAAAAAUUUUAUUAUCAAAAUAAUUUUUAAAAAUUACUUAAUUAAUUCUUUCUUUUUUUUUUCUUCUCAAUUUCAUAAAUUCUCAUAAAUUCAUUCAGAUAUCCUUUUUUAGCUACAAAUAAUCGAUAUCACUAAGUAUUUCAUGUUUGCUUUAUAUGAAAAAAAGGAAUUAUGAAUAAAGUACUUUAGAUAUAUUAUUAUUAUUAUUAUUAUUAUCAUUAUUAUUAUUAUUAUUAUUAUUAUUAUUAUUAUUAUUAUUAUGAUAUACUAAAAAAGGACAAAAUUAAACUAAAAAUAUAGUGAAAUUGAGUGUUUAAUUUGUAAAGAAUAGAGAAAAUAUGCAAUUGUAAGAUAAAGAGAGAAAGUGACAAGUGAAGAGUAAUUUUGAGAAUUUUAAAUUUUUAAUAAUAAAUUUAUUUUUUAAAAUAGGUACAGAGAUAAAUUUAAUUCAAAUAGGAGAGGAAUUUAAUGAGUUCAAAUAGCCUCACCAUUGUAAUAAUAUUAUACAGAAUUUAAUGUUAUACUAUAUUAUAUUUAUUUUUUAUUGAUAUUAUUUAAAUUUAUUAUUAAUUAUAUUAAAUUAUUAACUAAAUAAUUAUUUUAUGUUAAUUAUUUUUAUGUUAAUCAUUAAUAUAUAAAUAUAAUAUAAAAUAGCAUUUUUAAAUAAAACUACAUGAUACCAUAAUUUUAUUUUUAAAUUUUAUUUAUUAUAAUAAUAAAAUUAAUUAAAAUAUAUUUAAUGCCUCAAUUAAGGCAAAAGCUGGUAAUGUUCCACAAUGCAGUUUCCAAAACUUUCAAAUAUAGGUAACCAAUAAAUUAAUGUAAUCCGUAUUUAUAAUAUUAUGCAAUGUUAUGUUCCAAACACACCCUUAAUUUAGUUUUUGCCGCAUUAUCAAAUCUCGUGCCCUCCUUUGUAAAUUGUAUUGGUAACUUUACAACAUAAAAUUAUUUAGUCAAUUAGAAUAUAUUUAAUUCUUACUAUUUUAUAAAAUAUUAAAUUUAAAUGGUAAAAAUAUUGACUAUUGCCAACCAUCACAAUCCACCGCUUGCGAUAUCAUUUUGAUAUCCUUUGACAUCAAUUUAGGAAUUAAUAUAAUCCUUAUUAUUGGAGCUAUACAACGAUAUAUGUAAAACCGAAAAUAGAGCUUCAUUCAUUGUAGAUUUAUGGUCAAAGUUUUGUAUCUCUAAAUUUUGACCGUAUAUUUAUUAUAAUGAUAGGAAACUCUGUUGCUGAUGAGAUAUGCACCAUUGUGUAUAUCGAAUGAUGAAAAUUAUAAUGGUACCGAAAUUGACAUCAAAAGAUACUGGAAUAUGAACACCGAAGAUAGCUCAUGGUGGCCCAUGGGUGACGGUGGUGAGUAAUCUUCUGUCGUUUAUAAAUUUUAAAUAAUAAAUUUAAUAAUUAUAAAUAAUAAAAUUUUUAAGACAUUUAUAAUUAUAAAAAAUAAUUUAAUAUAAGUAAUAAUAUUUAUAUUAUUACAUAUAAUGCUAUACAAUAUAACACCAAAUAUUGUACAAUAUUAAUAUAAUAAAAUGAUAAUGCAAUAUGUCUACACUAUAAUACAAUAUAGUGUGCCAAACACUCUCUACGACUUUACUUAAUGUUGCUCAAUGCCUUUUAUUUCAAUUCCCAAUCAUGAGUUCAUCUCAAUUAAUGCUGGGCCCAAAUGUAGUGUUGUGCAAUGCUGCAAGUCAAACAUACCCUUUGUGUAAUACAUUCACACACGCACUCUCUUUUUUUAAGUAAGAGCAUCCCCACAUUGUUAAAGUAAAAAUGUCACUAAAAUACAAAAGAAUAAAAAUUUCAAUAUAUAUAUUUUUUAUUUGUUAGUAUAAUGAAAAUUGUGUUUUUUGUUUGUUAGUAGCUUCCUCAUUUUAACAAAGUUAGGAUGCUCUCACUAAAAAAUGAUUAUAUAUAUCGGAGUGAGUUUUCAAUUAAAGAUCCAUUAUUAUAUUAAAGUCAAUGAUAAAUUAAAAAUAAAAAAAUACUGGUUAAUAAUAUAUAUGCAUCAGAGUCUGUAAUUUUAUUUUUUAACUUAUUGUUGAUUUUAAUAUAGUUAAGAUUCAUGUAUAUAUAUUUAAAAAGUAGAAGAAGAAAUCAAUUUAAAGGGCCAUUGAGAUCUGGAUCCAAAAGCCCAGAAAACUUCAAAUUGGACUAUGACCCAAACAGAACCCCAGAAUCAACUUACACUCGACCUCUCCCGGAAGCAGUAUCGAGCUGAUUUUGCAGGUGAAAAUCCGUUGAUUUUAAUUUCUUUUUCUCCAAAAUUUUCAUUUCAGUUAUUAUUAUUAUUAUUAUUUUUCAAUAAGUUCAUCGAAUUUGUUCUCUGUUUCUUAACCAAGAAAAUGAUCAAAUAAAGUCUUCUUGUUGAUUCAGGUUUAUACUCGUAAAUAAUAUAUCAUGCCGGACACUCAGGCUCUUGUGAAUGACUUUCUUAACAAGCUUAAAAAACGGUGACGUUUCAGACAGUAUAUUUUAAUUAUUCUUUUUUUUUUUACUGAUUUUAGGAGCUGAUUUUGUUUGUUUGUUUUGUGAGUGGCAGUAAGAUCGAGGGCUCGCAAGCAACGGCAAGGCAGACCGCGGAGCUGCUUCGCUCUGUGAUUUCGCAGCAGCGCGUGCCGUACACAAAUCAGGCUGGAGCUUUAAUUGAUGCUGUCAAAGCUAUUGGCGAGCAGCUCGUUGCUGCCAAUCCUGAUACAAAUAUGGUACUUAGUCAUGUUAGUUAUUUUUAAUAUCAUUGUAAUGAUAUCACCUUUUUUCAGCUGAAUUGAUUUUUAUCAAAAUGUUAUUAACUUGAACUAUGUUAAUUGUUUUCAUCGCUCUUAAUUUAGUUUUGUUGUAAUCCAGCAUCCUCCAAUUAGUAGUUUAGUACAGCUAAUAUAGUGUAUGUGCUGUAGGUAAUUUGGCAUAGUUACCUCUGAGGUUGGGGUCUUGUACAAUUAUUUAUGUUAGGCACCAGAACUUGCAUUUGUUUGGGGCAUGCAUUAGAUAAUCUGGUAUCUACAAAUUUAUUGUACUUCCAUAGCAAAUAUUCUUCUUUUCUUUUUGAAUCACAUGGAUGAAACUAUGCAUUCUGCUGUUGAAAAUUAGUACUGUUGCUAUAUUCACUAUCAAAUGGAUUCGGCAUCGCUAAGAAACCUUUUCUACAAAGUUAUACUUGUUUUUUUAUUUAUGAUUUGUUUCUUUUAUUUCUUUCCCUUUUGUGGCUUUUCAAUUCUCCCUAGCACUUUUUUCCAGAUCCUCUUUCCAAAAUUAAAAAUGAUUAAUUUUCUUCUUUGUUUGUGAUUUAUGUUUUCUUCACUUUUCUGAUUGAUUAAAUGAUAUAUCAAUGCAGAGCUUGCCGUGGGUAAUAUUGUGAGGCGUGUUUUACACAUCAUUAGAGAGGAAGAUCUGUCUUUGACUACGGCUGCUAUUGGUGGGCUGAACUUAUCUGCUGUAAGUGAUGAUGAAAAUGAUGAUGAUCGAGAUGGCGACUCAACUCUAUCAGCAGCUGCUGUUGCUGCUGCUGCUAGAAGUACUUUGCGUCCACCUUCUUUGCAAACUCUGCUCGAGGACACACCUGUCUCUGCAGCUGUUCCUCAGACUUCCUCAUCUGGGGGUGAUUCUGAAGGAAAAAGCAAAUGUGUGUUACUUUUUUUUUUUUUUUUUUAUAAAGUGUUUUUGAUAAUUCUUCAAUCACAGCAUCUUCUGUUAUUUUCCCUAAAUAAGCUUGUCUUAUGUAACACAUGUUUUAAAUAUGCAAUCGGAUGCAUCUUGGUGAUAAACUGGUGUUCCUGAAUGUUUUAGCAUUGAUGAUUUAGUUAAUUCAGCCUUAUGAUGGUAGAUAGUUAACAUACUAGUUUCCUUCACAGCUGCUGAUAAAAGUUCAAGAAGUCGGAAGCUGAAGCAUGAUGUUAUUGAAGCGGUUAAUGAACUUAUUCAAGAUAUUGUCACUUGCCAUGAACAGAUUGCUGAACAAGCAGUGGAGCAUAUACAUCAGAAGUAAUUAUUCCUUUUCCUGAUUUCAACUAGACAAUAUGUUUUUUCUCCAUACUUGGACUUUAUUUUCAGGAGAAUUGGAUGUCUACAUAAUUCCUUUUUACCUGUUAAUUUAGGAUAUAUGUAUUCAGUUUGUUGUUUAUGAAUGUACUACACUUAAAAAUGCAUGCAAUAUCUCAUUUAGAAGCAUAUAUAUAUGCUCUUUUCAUUCUUGUUAGGUUUUUUCUAUGUCACUUUCUUAAGUCUAAAAGAAUAAUGUUGUUUGUCUAUUCUCAUGUUGUCUUCCCAAGGAAUUGUAGGAUGAUAAUUUCAUGUAUCGAUGAUGAACUGUAAGCAGUUUUCAUAUCUGGCUUGCAAGCAUUCCCUUUUAGUAUGAUGUGGAGGUUAGGUUGUCGGAAUUGUUGGUGAUUCAUUGACCUGAGGGCUAAUUACGGUGCUGGCAUGAGUAUAAUUGACUUUAAAUGACUUUUCUGCACAGAACUAAGCUGGGCUGUGUAUUUCUGUAUUGAUCACUCAUUUGUGCUCUUUAGAACUUAGAAGUGCAGGAGGGUAGGUUAUGAGGGGAUUUGGAAAGUAGGAAUUCAAAUGCUUAAAUUGAUAGGCAUACUUGGGCAAUAAGGCGUUUAAAUGCUUCACUUGUAUGAUUUAACUACGAUUUGCAACAAGAGCGGCAUCAUUCAUUUAAACAUAGAAGAUUUAGAAAAAUUGUAUUGGAUGUGUUAGUGCUAAUGAACUUUUAAGCAUUUGGUGUUUCUGCUUUUUUCCUUCUAGGUGAAAGUGAAUAUGUUUUAUUUAACUCAUUCAACAAAUUGCAAAUUUGGUAAGGUGGUAACUGCGACUUUGCUCAUGUUAUUGUUUGACUGCGUAACGAGUUCAACUGUGUGCUUUACUGCCGAGAGAGCUCUAAUGAAGCUGUUUUUUGAUUUUGAGGGGCAACUUCAUUAGCUCUUUCAUUAGGAUAAUAAUAUAUGUAUUAUAUUCGUAUUCUCCUUAGAGAUAAGGAUAAGAGUGUAAUAAGUGUGAUGUGACUUAAAGUAGGUAAUGAGUUGUAAAGUAGAUUCCUUAGUGAUAAGGAUCAAUAAUGCAAAUAGUGGAUCCCUUGAGCCUAUAAAAGAGAGUCCAUGGUUUGUAUCUAGGCAUCGAGUCUUGGAGUGCAAAUAGUGGAUCCCUUGAGCCUAUAAAAGAGAGUCCAUGGUUAGCAGGGGAAAUAUUGUGAUUCAUGGCCUUUAUCUAGUUUGGGUCAGCUAUGGCAUAUUAUAUAUGUUCUCUUGUGUCUUAUCUCCUAUAUUGUCCAAUACAUGUAUAUGCUUAUUUUUAAAUUCUUCAUCUAUGUUUCUUCCUACCAUUUGCUACUUCCAUUAAUUUUAGCUAUUAAAUGUAUUUUCAGUGAGGUAAUAUUAACUUUAGGCAGUUCAAGGACGGUGUUGGAAUUUCUUUUUGCUGCAAAGGAGAAAAAAAGAUCAUUCCGGGUAUUUGUCGCAGAGGGUGCUCCAAGGUUUGUGCAAUGGCUUGCUAUUUGUUGAUUGCAAAGAAAUAUUUCACUGGCUACUUUGGCUCUGAUGUUCUCUCUCUCUCUCUCACAUUCUCUGUUUGGUUGCUGUUCUGCUACUUCUUGUUUUAUAGGUAUCAGGGGCAUCUGCUUGCAAAAGAAUUGGUAGCAAGAGGUUUACAGACCACACUGAUUACUGAUUCUGCAGUUUUUGCCAUGAUUUCCCGAGUAAACAUGGUAUGUUUGGGCCACUUUUCUCGUUUGGUUUUGGAUUUCCUGAAAUGUUUUUAGCUUGAUCUAAAAUUUUGCAAUGUAAAGGUUAUAGUUGGAGCUCAUGCUGUCAUGGCCAAUGGUGGGGUUAUAGCACCUGUUGGGAUGAAUUUGGUUGCACUUGCAGCUCAGAAGCAUGCUGUCCCUUUUGUUGUACUUGCCGGAAGUCACAAGGUAGUUUGGUGCAACAAACUGCUUAACUAGAAAAUUAAGUAAAAUUUAGAAAGCCCAUUUUCCUUAACUGCCAUUCCUAAAUUCGUUGGUCUUGUGUAUGAACUGGUGUGGAGUUUAAGAUGGUGCUCAGUUAUUCAUGUGAAGUGAACUUCCCUUUCAGAUAAAACUGAUCACUAAUGUAAGGAGUAGUAUGUGCAAGAUGCAAAUGUGUUUAUGAAUAGUAUGUGGGUGUAAAAGCUCAUAUUCUUUGUACCAAAUAUUAUUGAAUGUUGGUUGAAUUAAUCUCUGUAGCUGCAGUCCUUUUUAAUGCAUCAACAUGUUUGCUGGGUAUUGAAUUGCAUCUGGUUGUAAUAACAUUGUAGUUGGAGAUAAAUCAUUGAACUCUGGUACUUCAGUUCUGGGUAUGAUCUUUUUGACAAAUGUGGUUGGUCUAUAUGACAGUUAUGCCCCCUCUAUCCGCACAAUCCUGAAGUUUUACUGAAUGAGUUGAGAUCCCCAUCAGAGCUGCUGGACUUUGGAGAAUUCUCAGACUGCAUGGAUUUUGGGAGUGGCAGUGGUUCCCCUCUUCUUCAUGUGGUCAAUCCAGCAUUUGACUAUGUUCCACCGAAACUUGUUAGUCUUUUUAUUACUGACGCGUAAGUUCAACUGCCCUUUUAGCAUGAGACAGAGACAAUCUACACCUUACGUGCAAUUUUUAUGCAAUAUAUAUAUAUACAUUAAGAUUACUUAUUUGAUUUCAUUGUAGAGUACCAGUUUUCUGGCCCCUUUAUUUUCCAUUGGUGUUCCAGUUCUAUCUCUCAAUAUAUUUCAUUUUUUUUCCUCUGCUAUUGCUGUGUUGUUCUGCUAAUUUCUUUUCUUCUUCACAGGGGAGGGCACAAUCCUUCAUACAUGUAUCGGUUGAUUGCUGAUUAUUACUCGGCUGAUGACUUGGUUGUGCAGCGAAGAGCUACUGCUGGGAAUUGAUUUUGGUUUGUAUCAUCUAUUGUGUAAGUAGUCUUUUUGUGCCAAUGCUCUGGUGGAAAAUUGUUGAUUUUAACAAAAAGGAUAAUCUUUUUAAAUUGACAUAACAAUUGGUACUCUUUCUGAUUGUUAUGAUUCCAAUAAACUUAAUUGAUGUUGCAAACUGCUUCAUCUCGGGAUAUACAAUAAUUAAAAGAUGACAAUGAGUGAAUGCUGUAACUUGGUAUAUCAUUUUGAGCUUUGACUUUAUCUAAUCUUUGCCCUAUUUUAAGGUCAGGAAUUUAUUAUGGCAAGAGCAUUAGCUUUGGGUUUGAGAAAUUUCAAAUCACUGAAUUUGGAGCUGAGCUGAUGCUGUAAAAGAACUCAGGGACAUAGCGAUUGCGAGGCAAUGGUGUGAACUUAGUGCAAAUUUUAGGGACGCAAACAAUGAUAGGAUAAUUUUUGUUGGCAGAAAUAUUAAAAUGUAAAAUAGAGGCUAAGAGUUGUACUGAGAUAAAAAGGUGGAUACGGUUGGAUAAUAUUUUUUGAUUGUAUCAAGGUUGGUGGUCAAGUGCUGUAUUCUUCUUCAUCAGUGAUUUUCAGACGGACGGUAUAACAUUGUUGUAUUGCUUGUUGCUUAAAAUUUUCAUAGCAGAACGUAGCUGUUGAGAUGUUUCCUAGAAUAAUUUUCUCGUCUUUGCAUGAAUAACAUUGGAGAAUAAUUAUCUGUUUAACUGUGUGUUUUCUUUCGUUCCUCGACGGUUGAGACAUGUUACUUUUGAGUAAUGAUAUGAGCCCAAAGGUCGACAUAAAUGAGUGCCAUGUGGAUGCCUCCAAGAAAGAAACAGGGCGUCCAAACCGCAUCAUGAGAGUGACAUAACGUUUGUCGGGCUCAAUAUAUCAUUACAUGUUACGUUUUGGAACAUAAACCAAGGAUUUGAAAUGCAUUAUUAUACAUUAAUCCCCCUGACAUAAUAGGCCGAACCCUUUAAGCCAUUUGAGAAGGGUCGAGUGUUAAAAAGGGAGUAACAAGAGCUACGAGACUAGUCUCUUGACUCGCAUUACAAGAGGUUACAUAAAACUUCGAAUAUUAAAAUUAAGGCGCACAUAAUGCAACUUAGAUAAUGAGAAAUCAGCAGUAACUUUGCAAACAUUGGAAAAUGUUACAUAAAAAUGAGAAUACAGUUUUCAUUGAUGGUCUACAUCGAACCAGAAAUACAGAUAAGUCCUGGCAUAUAUAACUCGAACUCGCUGCAGCACUAGAUCUCCACUAGUCAAAACAGCCUUGGCACCUCCUUCAAUUCGAGUAUGCAAAACAGUAACACUAUCACCAUUACUCUUCAUUGGAGUAGAUGUAAUACAGCUACGAGCUGUACUCACGAUUGGGCAUGAGAGGAAGUCCAGUGGAUUCGUCUCACACUGAAGUACACACCCAUCUAUAGUUAACCUUCCACUCCGAUGGAGAAAGCAGCAGCCAAGCUCUGCUUUCACUGUUAAAUUCGCCAGCUUGCAUGUGGAUAGAAACUCCAAGGCACUGCCCAAACAAAACAAAUAUUGCAUAGCAAAUUUUGUUGCUUGAGAUAUUAUGCCGGUCAUUUUCGAGGAUCCUACUUCAUAUUUUUGGAUAACUAAAUCUAAAGGAAGAGGCUUGGUAUAAAACAGCUCAACCUUAAAAUAUAUAACAAGAUCUUGAAAAAGAGCAACCAGCACAUCACAAUUAUUCAUCUUAUGUGAUGAUUUAUUAUAUCUACUUGUGAACCAUGCAUAAAGUCUGUUGAAUUAAAGUGUCACUCCUAUUAACGGUAUCUUCUGUAAAAUCCAACAAUAUGAAAGGGUCCUCAUGUAAUUCUAAUUAAUCUCCACAAAACAGUAUAACUUAAUCUGAAAUAAAAACCAGAAAAUUUACAAACCUGUCCGAACCUCGAGAACAGAUGAGGGUUGUUUCAUCAGGAAGCUCACCUCCACCGACCUGAAAAGUAAGUUCAGAGAAAAGGAAAAAGUGGAAAACAUUUAGAUGACAGAGAUCUUAUUUCUCUCUCUUCUGCUUUCCAACCAAGAAUAGAAAGUGAGAAGCCAUGUUUUUAUCUUCAGUAGGCAAUUACUUUGCGAUCAUAAUACAAAAAGGAAACCAAGGAAAUAAGUGACAAUAGCCAGCUUUCAUGAGUUGCGCUGAAGGCAGAUUUGUCACUCAGACGAAGCUGGUUUACUCAAUCAUAUCGUUUCUCAUAUUGGAUUGAUUCCUUGAACCCGCAUGAUAAUGGGAUAAAUCUGAUGUUGACUUGUGCAAUAAAGUUCCCUAAGGUUAACCAAACUAUGAAUUUCAAAUUCACCAGUCCUCGUAUGACUGCAAAACUUAAUUAGACAUUAUGAGCCCUAUAUGAGAAUAGGGUUUAAAUUUUGGGAUUUAUGGUUUAGGUAUCUGCAUUAAUCUGUGUCUCUAGUAUAGAUAAUUUUUAUUUACUUUUUUUUUUUUUUUGAUGACAUGAGACUAUUGCUCAAAUUACAACUCAAAUUACAACUCAUAUUACAUGAGAGUAUAACUGAUAUGUACAAUCCUAUAUAUAUACUGAGACCUAUUGAUAUUAAUGCUGAUAUGACACUGCUCAGAUUUUUUUUUGUAACCCUCUCAAAUAUUCGAGGGACGUCAAACUCCCCUUCUAGGAGAAAGACUGCCUUCACUCGAGCUCUGGGGCUCCAAGGAAGGAAAUAUAAAUUAAACCCCUACAAUACGCAUGCGGAGGCUCGAACCCCUUCCCUCACAUUUGUGAGGGAGUGGCUCUAGCCACUUGGGCUAAGCACAAGUGGUUUUAUUUACUUUCUAUAUGAGCAUGCCAUUCACUCUUUUUUUCAUUUUGGGAGAAGAAACAGUCAACCUACAAAGAUAAUAAAAUUCAAGCAAAUAUAAUAACAAUUAAUGUCAACAAUAGCCCCAAGAGGUGAAGAAAUUUUACCCAUCACCUCACACAGUUUUACCACAAGUCAGAGUUAAUCCAAAUUCAUUAGUUGGGGGCAACGCCUCAUGUCAACUUUGAAUCAACUUCAGAAGAAUAACCUUCCAUCAAUAACUUAUACAAUUCAUUUUUAAAUUAAUUUUAACAAUAAGUCUGUAUCAAACAUAUCUUGCAGCUCAUUAUGUAGAAUAUAAAUUAAAGAAUAAGAAUUCUGUUGGACUAAAUGACUGUAAUGAAAUAUGUACAGUAAAAGGACAAAUAGUGUGCCCCUCUUUUUUCUUUUUGCCUUUUUAAAUUUUCAUGAUAUUAACAGUCCAAGAGACUUUCCUAACCAAGUUUCUAUAGUGUAAAUUACAUCGCGGAAUGGGAAUAAUCCUUUAAUUGUUCACAUGAGUGUAUUAUUGAGAACAAGGAACGAUUGAAUAACGACCAAAUUAAGUCAGGCACAGUGGUUUGUAUUCGCACACAUAUAUGAAAUAAUGUUUUAUAAAACAAACAACAUACCAGGCACAGUUAUUUUUUUACUGAAUAUUAGAGACAGGAUGACUAUCGCCUGCUGCAAUUAAAAUGGUGUCGCCCGAUCUAUGAGGAACAAUAUGAAGAUCAGGUUUUAUAGUCCUAGCGUAUCCCACUUCUAUUGUUAUAGUUUAGAAGUUAAGUUAAUUUUAUUCCAUAAUUUUAUGAUAAAAAUUUAUAAUGUCUUGACUAUUUUAUUAAAAUUAUUAAAAAUUAUAUUUACUACACAUUAUCAAUUUUUAUUUCACAAUUAUAUGAAUUUUUUUACAGCAAUCGUAAUGUUUGAGUUAAAGCACCUCAAUAUUAAAUAAAUAUUUAACCUACAUCUUUUGUGUAAAAAAAAAAAACCACAAUUCUUGCUGAAUGUUUGAUAAAUCACUUGCCAUACAAUAAAAUUUCAUGAUAUUUAUAAAAAAUAAUUAUGAAAAUUUAUCAAAGAAUUUGAUAUUAGUAACAUUUUUAUUCAAUAAUACUAACUAUACUUUUUUUAAGAAAAAGUUGGGCCAGAUAUCAAAGCCCAGCUGGCUCGUUUUGGGCGAAAACUUAAAAGCAACUCUGGUGGCCAACAUUGGGCGUAACUCAGAAGUAAUUUCGUGGGUGGCGUGGGUCAUGUCGGUUUCUUGUGGGUGGUGAAUGAGAAUAUUGGGUGCUGUUAGUGUUGUCGGUUAGUCAAAUACUUGAUGAUGGUCAAACAUAGCAAACCUUAAAAGAAAGAUUUUGAUUCAGUGAACAGUCGACUUGGAGUUUGUUGAACAAGUGGAAGAUGAAGAGAAGAUAAACAGUGAACGAAGUACUAAACGAUUCAAAAGCAAAACUAUGAAAAAUAAUUCUUUUAUUGCUCCAAUAAACAAUCUUGAUGAUGGCUGCCUUAUGCACGUAUUCAGCUUCUUAUCCCCAAUUCCAGGUGACUAUCUUUUUUUGGGGAAUUAUUUGUAUUUAAUUAAAAAAAAUCUUCUCUUUCUUAUAAAUGUUUAGUGUCAUUAAGUUAUGUAGUAUUUGUGACCUGAAUGUUGCUGGCCUUUUUAGAAGUUUGCUUCGGGUUUUUGACUUUUGUGUUGGGAGUCUUAUUUAUUUUCCCUAUUGGGUUUUGCCCAAUUCAUCACUUUUCCUGAAAUUUAUUUUGUACAUUGAGAGGAUUAUUUAUUUUUUUAAAAAAAACAAAAAUUUUAUAUUUAUGCGGAAUUUCAGAAUAUGGGCAUUUCUGUUGUGAACAAUUGUCUAUUAAUUUUAAAUUCCUGUUUCAAAAACUCUAUGUGCUAAAUUUAUGUUAUUGAUACUCUUUUGUGCGUAAAAUAGUAUAUUGUGUCCCUUAGAAGGGCUGUAUAUCCUCAUUCUUCACAUGCCUUAAAAGAAAUCUAGAAGGAUCGGAUAGAAAUUAUUGUCAAAGAACAUGAUAAUUACAUCAAGAUUUCUGGGGUUUAAUAGAUAUUGUUGAGUAAGCUUGACAUAUUUUAUGCAUAAUUGUCUUUAUGAUGAUUUUGACAUAUUUUAUAUGUAAUUGUCUUUAUGAUGAUUGUUUGGCAUUGAGAUGGAUGUUUUAGAUGUUUGCCAAAUGCAUGUAUGAUAUAAUUUUGUGCGAUCUCUUUCACAGUUGUUAUGGAGCUUGCAGAUCGGUAUAACACAGCACUCGUUUGCCACAGAUGGAAUUAUUUGGCAUGUCAUCCUCGCUUGUGGCUGCGGGUAGAUCAGUCUGUUAAGGAUCUCUCAGAGCCUGGAGUUUUCCCCGACCUUAAGACAGCCGUAUCUGUGGCAAGGUUUGUAAUGUUGUGACUGCCUGUAUGUGAUUUUAAACACUUUAGGCCCUAUUUGGAGUGUUGUCAAGUAGCUUGAUUGCCAUAAUGGAGUACUUACUCAUUUAUUGCUACAACUUUUAAGGUACAGUGUCCAGCACAAUACUAAACAGAAUUAAAUAAUCCAAAACAAAUUGUAAAUGUUAACAAUGUUUAAAUAUAGCUAAGAACAUCAAUAUAUAUAGAGUUUGUAAAUAACACAUACCCAAAAAAGUAUAGAAAGGCAAAGAUAGCCUCAAGUUUUGUACUAAAUUGGAGAAAAAAAAUAAAAUGAUUUUUUCCAAAAAUAACCACAGAGUUGUUAGUAAUAAGUAGAGAUGGUAAAAUGAGUUGUUAUCAUGACACGAUAACACAACAUGGAUGUGGCACGAAUUUUGUAUAUUCAUGUUGAUAAAUAUUGAUACAAUUAAUUAAAUAGUUGAUACUAUACGACACAAUAAAUAACCGUAUGGUUUUCAUGUUGGAUCACCUCAGCAUGAUUACAUGUUUAUGGCAUGAAUAUCAAUUAAUAUAAGUAAUAUUAUUAAAAAAAUUCACACACACACACACACACAUAUAUAUAUUUGUGUUGAUAAAUAUUGAAAUGAUUAAUAAAAUGGUUGAUACGAUACGAGACGAUAAAUAACCGUAUUGUUUCAUGUUAGACCACCCUAACAUGAUUACAUGUUUAUGACAUGAAUAUCAAUUAAUAUAUGGUAAUAUUAUUAAAAAAAUUAACAUAUAUAUAAACGAUCAAUAAAUGAGUCAUACCCAUAUUUUGGUAUUUUAAUAUUGAUGUUUUGAUAUUUUGAUACAAUUAAAAAAAAAUAGAUCAUGUCAGUGUUUUCUUAACUUGAUACGACAUAGUUUAACUCAAUUAAGUAACUCACAUGUUAAAAAUUCUCUAGUAUUCUCACAAACUCUGUAGCUCCGCCAGUGGCUAGUAGUGUGGGAGUCAUUGUGUGAGCCUUUGUUAUUGUCUUUGACACUAUUUGUUUUUUAAUUGUUAUUUAUGCCUUUCUAAGUUUCUAACUAUUUUUAUAAGUUCGCGAUGAAGAUUUCAAACUAGUUAAAUUGUGUGGCUCACUUUUGUUGAAAGAAACAGUUGCUAUGAUUGCGGUUUCAGACAAGACAUAUCGUUAUGGAAAUGUGUUGGCUGCCACUAGUUUAGUGAGAAACGUUUUGACGUAAUCGGUGAAUAAGGAUGUCUUUAUUUGUAGCGUUGCUCUGAUUUGAAAGUUCAUCAAGGAUGUUGGGAGUAGAGCAUUUAGAACAAAAUAUAUUCUUGUUUCCUUUUCCUAAUGAGAAUGAUCACUGUCAUAGUUUGUUAGUGAGACCUUGGCAUUUUUUUUUGAAUUACAUGAGACUAAUGCUCCAAUUACAACUCAUAUUAUAUGAGAUUUACAACUGAUAUUUACAAUCAGACAAUUAUUGGGCCUAAUUUACAUUAAUUCUUAUAUAGCACUACCCAUAUUUUACCCUCUCUAAUAUUCGAGAGGUGUCUACUCCACUCACAUUUCGAAAGGGAGAAGACUGCCUUCACUUAAUAAUUAAGGAAGGAAAUAAACCCCUACAUGCGUCGCGGGGGCUUGAACCGCUGCGCUCACAGUUGUUAGUGCAGGGUCCUAGCCACUGGGCCAAGGCCCAGUUGGUUAGACCUUGGCAUUUUAAUCGUUCUUUAUUGGCUCUCUUUCCUUUAGCUAGCAAUAGAGAAUAGUCUAGUCAACAAUUUACUAUAGUUUUUUUUUGGGUUCAUAUUUACAAUAUGUCGUUAUGUUACAUGUCGAAGGAAAUGGUUGAUUUCCUCGGAGGAAUGCUUGGAGGAGUGAAGAAUUUGGAUGCUGGUCUUAGUUGUGUUUUGUAUGAAAGUUCUUUUGCAUUCAAGUUUUAAUUGAUGUCUCUAGGCCACUUAAACUUGGUUUGCUAAUUCGGUUUCGCACUAAUGAUGAUGUUCCUGUGCUCCUAGUGGUUUAUAAAAGGUUAUCAUAUUUUUGUUAAUAUUGCGAUUGUAUAGAUAAUUUAUUUCCAGAUUGUUCCGCAUUUGACUUAUCUAAAGUGGAGCAGGGUGUGGUCAUGGAGUAUGGAUGCAGGCUAAUGCUGGCAGUGUUUGUCGGAAGUCAGAGGGUCGUAGACAAGUAAAUCAUAGUGGUAGAGAAUUGGAUUUGGGAUAUCAUGAGGUGGUUUUUAACGCGACAAUAAAUGCUUCAAGUGUUACGAAUAAUCAUGAGAGUAAUGAUAUAAGAAAAGAGGAUAGUGGGAGAAAUGAGCAUGUCUGUGUGAAUAAUGCUUAUAUUUAUGAGAUAGUGAACGAGAGAAAUCAAGUUCAGUAAUAAAAAGACAAAUCGUGGAUGCGUUUAUAAGAAUUUCAAAUUUUGAUUGUAUAUGUGUUUUACAACCUUUUAUUACUAAUAGUCACUUGCCUAAGGAAACAAAGAAGGCAUCAUGCGCAGAAUUUGUUAAAGAUUUUGUGAAGGAUUGAAUGGAGUUGAUGGUAGUGACGUGGUUGGCCAUGGGCCUUAUGUGCCCCAAACUGGAGCUAUGGCUUCUUGUCUUGGUGAUGAUUCGAGUGACAAAAAUGAAUCUAGUAAUGUUGCAAGAUUGAAAAAUUAGAGAGAGUAAAGAGAAAAAAUUUACCACAAUGUGAAGGGGCUAUGAAAAGGAAAAAAUGAAAGCGACUGGCACGAAAAAUUCUAAAAGAAAAAUCUCAUAUUUCUCUAACUUUGGGAUCUAAGUAUGGUAAUGAGAAGGAUAUUAGAGAUUGGUCUAAUCAAUGGAAAUGAGGCAGGAUGGUUGCUAUUGAAUCGGAGGACGGUGAUGAUGGCGUUUGUGCAGACAAUAAUUUGGUUGUGUAGUCUAUGGCUUUGUCAAAUUUAUCAACAAGAGUUAACGUUGAUCAGCCCCACCGAUUGCCAUGAUAUCCUAACCUAAAAUGUCCAAGGUUUAGGGAAUCCUUUGGAUCCCACACUCUUUAUAAAAUGCUCCGUGAGGUUAGACCUUCUGUUGUCUUUUUAUGCGAAACUAGAUUAAUGGCGGCAAAGAUGAAUUGUAUUAGUAUGACAUUGGGUUUGGACAAUUGUUUAGAUAUUGAUUUGGUUAGUUUUUGGAGUGGCUUAGCAUUACUUUGGAAAAAGAAAGCUCAGGUUGUUGUGAAUUCCUAUAGUACCCAUGCAAUAUAACAGUGAUCAAUUGUUAUGCUAACAUUAGAUAUAGCAUUAAAUGUUCUAGGUUUCAUUUACCCUACAAGGUCAAUCCCCACGUCAAGUUCUUCACUAAUUUUAUAUUAAGUAUUACCCUAUUCAAAUUAAGAUUCACUCAACUUGGGAAACCCAAUCUAAAACCUAGUAUUGUCUUAAUUUGUUCCACUAAGUUGGCCAUUUUCAAGGCUCUUUAUUAGCUAGUAUCCAUUAAAUGUGUGAUCAGCCAAAAUAGAGAAUUGAAAUAAACACAAUUAAGACAAAAUGCUAUAACAAAUACAGAGCAACACACCUAUGUCAGUCAAACAGAUCGUUUAUCACUCAACCACAACAAAUUCAAUUUGUGAUUUGCGAUAGAACAGUAAAUAAAAUUGUUUCAGCCAUCAAAUACAUCCCCAUAAUUAAAUAAACAACAAGAAGAUAAGAAGAAGAACUGAAGUAUGCUCGAUCUUAGUGAUAUCUUCUUUAUUUCCUCUUUGAAUCUUCUAUUACAUCCUUCGAUUUAUCUCUUAAUGUUUUGUUUUCUUAUUGUUUCUUUUCGGUAUUCCCCUUAGGUGAUGGCUCUUUAAUUUUUUUCUUUUCAUGUGUGCUCAUUUUAUAACUUAGAAUUAAGGCAACUAAAAGUGUGUGACGCGUAUCCUCCAUUUUUAGAAACUUUAUAUCGCAAUAUUUUAGUUAUUGCGCACGAAAUCCAGUCUGUCAUUGCUCCAGGAUUGCUACAGCAACUGCUAUAGCAUCUUCAGUGUUCCAGACUUAUUUCAAUUCCUCUGCAGUCAAGAUAUUUUGUCACUUUUGCAAGUUUGUUGCAGCAACAUUUCAUCCUUAAAACUUGAGCUUUUCGGUCACCUACAAUUAUGCACAUAAUCUAAGCACAAAAUAAUCUAAAAACAAACUUAAUUUAUUAAAAAUAAAUUAAAAUGGAUGCUUAUGCCAAAUGUAACUAAUAUGUCAUAAAAAUACAUUAUUUACUUUCUAAGUAAUAUUGAUUUAAGUCUAAAAGUAUCAUGAUAACUUUCAGUUCAUAAAGUUAUCAAUUAGCAAAUUGAGUAAUUUGAAAUUAGCUUCCCAAGACUAAAUUGUUUACUUUCUUUUAGGAAUUAUCUCUAUAAAUUGUGAAUCUCACGUUGCACAUAGUCACUUGGAUGCAUCUUAAGAGAUCGCAAGAUAUCAUCUAAUGCUUGUUUACAUGGACCAUCCUUAAUAAAUUUAAUUUUAUCUUCACGAUUUUAAAAACCAUUCCUAAAGUUGUACAAUACGCUUCACAAGAAAGUCUUUCACAUUUAUGAUAUUUAGAGCCAAUCCAUUUAGCUCUUCUUUUUUUAGCAAAUAAUAUCAUAUAAGUCCAAUGAACCAAUUAACACAUACAAUCCAUUCUUCUUUUCACCUUUCAUCACAAUAGAACCCUCCUUAGUCACUUUUAUGCCAUCACUAUCUAACUUAAAUGAAUAUCUAGAGCUGUCCAACAUGCCUGAAGAGAUCAAAUUUCCCUUUAACUCAGGAGCAUGUCUAAGCCUAUGUAAAGUUAUGAUGAUCCCAUCAAAUAUUUUAAUCUUAACAAACCUUAUUCCAACAAUUUAACACUUAUUGGUGUUUCCCACAAAACCUCUACCACCAUCAAUAAACUCAUAUUGAUGAAAAAGUGACUUAUUAGGCAUAUGUGAAAAGAACAACCCAAGUUUAAUACCCACUGACCUUCUAAGUUGCCUUUUGAGGUUAUAAAUAUAUCAGCCCUAUAAUAACCAUCAUCAAAGGAGAUAUUUAAAGCCACAGCCACACCUCCUAACCUUUAUUGACUUUCCUUCUUAUUUUUCUCUGCACUUUCUCUGAUGUAAUGCAUUUGUUUCUUACAAAAAAGCAUUUCCUCUUGUUUUUCUUCUUUUUGCAUUCUCUUGGUUCUUUCCUCUUUUUGAUUCUUGUUCUACUGUUCCUUCUUCUUUCGGUUCUGGCAAUUAGCCCUUCACCAUUACUUACUUCACGGCCAUCAUGCUUUUCAAUCUCUUUUGAGCUUAGUGAUGUCGUGACAUCUUCCAAAGUCAAGGUUUUCUUCUAUACAACAUUGUAUCCACAAAACCUUCAUAUGAUUGUGGCAAUGAACUUAAAAAGAAAAUGAUUUUGUCUUCAUCUCUAAUCUUCACAUUUUCAACCUCUUCAAGAUCAAGAAUGAUCUUGUUGAAAGUGUCAAUGUGUUCUUAAAUAGACACCCCUUAUAUCAUUGAAAAAGUGUACAACUGUUUCUUCAAGAACAACUUGUGAGCCAAAGAUUUCUUCAUACAAAGGCCUCCACCUUAUUCUAUAUCCCAAGGUAUGUUUUUGUUUAGAGAUUUCCCUCAAGAUUGAGUCAGUAAGACUCAAAAUUAUUGUUUUGAAGGCUCUAUUUUAAAUAUGUUUCUUCUUUUCAUCAGGUUUAAAGCUUGUUGCCUUAUCAGGAUCUUCUUCUUCUAAGACGAAUUCAAGGCCCUGAUGCACAAGUAGAGCCCUCAUCUUCAUCUUCCAAAGUGAGAAAUCACCACUCAGCUUCGCAAUUUCUGGUUUUAAUAAGUGACAUGGUCAAGGUUCACUAAGUCUCUGAUACCAAUUAUUGUAAUUAAUGGUUAACAAUCAAGAACUCAACCAAUCUUUCGAGCUUUAAUCAAACAAGAUUAAUUGAAAUCAAGAUUGAAGAAAAACAUAGCAAGAACAAAGAAAUAGAACUCAAUCACAAAGAACAAACUUCUCUGUUUGAAGGGAAAAACUGGCACACUUUUACUAAUCCAGCUUAUCACAAAUUGAUCACACAUUACAAAAGAGGUUGCAAGCUUUAGAAAUAAACAAAAAGCACAUAAUUUGGUUAAGAAACAAGAGAGAAAAGGUUCACACAUUAGAGGUUGUGCACUAGCCUAUUUAUUUUGGAAAUUUUCAAAAACUAUCUAACAACCUUUAACGAACUAUAGCCAUGUCAGCAAAAAUUUACAAAACGACCCUAAGCUAAAGUCGAUCUGUACAAUGGCCCAACAAAUCUCCUUCAUUUUACUUUAAUUCCCAAAAACAGAAUAUAUAUCUUCACAUUUAUAAUGGUUGGCUUAAAAGAAAAUAUAGAGAUUGUAUAUAAAAUAAAAAACUACUAAAUUGUAAAAAUGAAAAAUAGGCAAACUCAAAAAAUAAUAAUAAUAAUAGGUUCAAAAACUCGCUUCAAACUUGUUAUGACAUAUACAUUCAUUCAAAUAACUUAAUCAAUUUCACUCAUCAAAUCUCUUAAUUCAUAGUUGUCACUAACAUCAUCAUGCAAAGUUGCUAACGCGGUGUAGCGUAACUCAAAACCAAAGAUAAUAUAAGUCAUCAUGUCAUCCAAUGUCAAAUGAUCAUACAAGAUGCCUAGAAAACUUUAAUAAUCUUUUUAAUUUUUUUUAUAAAAAUACCUCACCCUCAAACUUAUUCUAAACAUUAUCCUUAAUGUUUCUUAUUCUAAAGAAGUGCAUGUCAAUGUGUAAAAAUACAAAGAAGAUAUGAAUGCCAAUAGUAAGAGAAAUAAGUAGGAGAGAUUGCACCUAAAUUGGCGAUCGCUCUUAAAUUGGCUGCAAAAUAUUCUAGAAAAAAAUCUAAAGAAAACGUUAAAAUAAAUAUAAAGAAUAAAAUACAAAAAGCAAAAUAUUAGAGGUUUUUAAUCUAUAAAAGGAUGAUGGUAGUGAUACUCUUUAAUGUCAUACAGCUUAGGCCACACCUGUCUUAAGCUUAUUUGAAAGCUAUCUUACUACUUUAUUCAUGUCAAAAUGUGACUUAUCUUGUGCUGCUUUAGGAAGUAGCUCUAGUUUGAAUGGUUUUUCUUCAAGAGGAAAUAGCUUAAUCUUUUCUUUCCACUUAGUUAAAACCAUGAUAUGGGCAAAGAAAGUAAAAUAUUAACUUCUAGGAAAAUUAUCAUUCGUAUACUUUAAAUUUGUACUUUUAUCAAAAAUACUACAACAUUUUAAGGGUGUAUGAAUCGUCCACCUUAAAUUGACAAACGUUAUCUACCGACCACUAAACCUCUAGCUACCAUUUGAAAGUUAAUGGAACUAUAGUGAAUUGACGAUUUUACCCUUGAAAAUUAUCACUUGUAUACUCUUAAAAUCUCUUAUUAUCAUUUAGAUACCCUUAAAUUAUCACUUGUAUCAUAUGAAAAUACCAUACUACCCCUCUAAUGUUAUCAUAUUUAAACAGCAACUAACGGUUUGGUAGACGGUAGAUAUAUUUUGUCAACUUAGGGUGGACGAUUGAUAUACCCUAAAAGUGUUGUAGUAAAUUUGAUAAAAGAGUAAACUAAGGGUAUACGAUUGAUAAUUUCCCUAACUUCUAAAAUAGCACUAUCAACAUCAAAAGAUAAAACAAAGUGAAUUAAGUAUGUCUUUAGAAGAUCAUCAUAAUGGUUAGAAAUAAAUCAAUCAUUAACUUGUGCUUCUAUCAUAUCUACUUCAACACUUCAUCAUCUUCUUGUGCCUGCUUGAGAACAUUAAAAAUAUUCAAUUUCAUACCCGUGUUACCAACAGACAAUUGCAUGUUUCUAGUCCUACAACUAAUAUAAUCAUCUACUAUCGCCCAAAAAGGACAACUUAAAAUAACAAGAGUGUGCUUUGUAUGAUUCUGCACAGGUUGAGUAUCAAUAAUAAUAAAAUCAAUAGAAGAAUAAAAUUUAUCAAUCUGCAUGAACACAUCCUCUAUAAUACCACAAGAUAUUUUUAUUGACCUAUCAGUAAGUUGUAAAAUAAUAGAAAUUGAAUGUAAUUGACCUAGCCCAAGUUACUUAUAAACAGAAUAAGGCAAAAUAUUAACACUAACUCGUAGAUUCAACAAAGCUUUAUCAAACAAUUAGAUCCUUAUAACAUUUGAGAUAGUAAAAGAACCUAAAUCCUUAAAUUUUGGUCGCAUUUUAUAUUGAAAUAAAUUGCUAGUUUGUUCAAUUAGAAAUGCCUUCUUAAUAACAUGCAAAUUUCUCUUUCUAGUCUUCAAAAACUCAGCAUAUGAGGAACGUUGCUUGAUAGCGUCAUGUAAAGCAAACUUUAUAUUUACCUACUUGAAGAUUUUCAUGAUCUCACCUGUUUUUUUUUCUCUCUCUCUCUUCCUUUCUGCCAUAAAAUUACUUUAUUGAUUGAAUUAAUUUCCAUGCUAAAACGAAGACUUAAAAAGUACACUACAUUUUUUUAUAAUAAUCCCAAUGGUAAUUCCGACCGUUACGUUAUAAUACUGUCGUGUCAAAAUAAAUUAUAACAAAAUUUUAGUUCGACUUAUUUAUUUUUUUGAAAUUGAUUAAUCAUCAUGUUAUUAUAUUACAUAGAGAUAUAUAUAAUUGUUAUGACAAUAGAUCAUUACACUGAUAUUUACAAUCAGAUAUAUAUACAUGAAAUUUAUAUUAUUAUAUUUUUAUUUUAUGAAGUACAUGUUCAUUCAAAUACUCCUCACGGAGGAGAGAUGUCUUUACUCCACUCGUAUUUUAUAAGGAAGAAAAACAUUAUAAAAAAUCUCCACAUAAUUAUAUUUGAUUGAGAGAAGUUGAGUCCGUAGAGACUAUGAUUCACCACUGAACUACAAGCUCAAAUAACAAAUUCGACUUAUUUAGUAAAUAGAUAUACUUAAUAAAAUAACAAAACGAUUAAUGUGUAUCAAUGAUAUAGACACAACUGAAAUAACUCAUAAUGUGAAAACAAGAAAAGUCCCGCCACCAAUAAUUCAGAGGCAGGCCCCACCGCCAUCAAUAAUUCAGCAAGCUUCACAUGCUUCUGCUUGACGAACCGGACAUGGGUGGACCAAGCACCAUUGAAUAAUUGCAAAAAAAUGAAAAAUAAAAAUCAGUGUCCAGCAAAAAGAAUCCAUAUUCAUGUGUUGCUUCCUACUCAGUACAUCUACUUAGCAUUUAAAAAAAAAUGGAAGUAGAAAUUAAAACUCACUUUUUUAGAUAUGGCUCAUAUAUAUUACAAGUAUCAAGAUUUAAUUAAAGUUCACAUAUUUACAAUGUGUCUAGUUUUAAUUGAGAGAUAAAGUGAUAAACUAUUCAUUAAUAAUGAGGUUUUUCUAAAUGAUUGAAUAAUGAUAUUAAUUAUUGAUAUUUACAAAAUUUCUAAGAAGUGAUAGCUAAUACGUUGGGGAUAUGUAUUUGCGCGGAAUGGCAAACAUAGGGAAUAGUAAUAAAAAUAGUGGAAUUAAUAUGAUGAAAAAAGGUAAACAGUAGAAAAUUAAUAUGUAAUUCGAGGCGCGUUACAAAUAUCACUUUUUUUAAGACAUUAUUUACGCCCACCAAUUAAGUGAUGCAUAUGAGUUAAACAAAUAUAUCUCUAUGAUAUAAUGAAACGCUUCUUCAUUUGUUUGCGUUGUGUAUCGAAUAAAGUAAACCUGAAUAUAUAUAUGAAUGUUGCAAGCUUGCUAAGAAUCAAUAUGUUGAUUCUGUUGAAAAACAAUGUAUUGGAUAUUUGAUGCAUAAAAAAUAGAUGUUAUUUGAUUAAAUUCAUUUUAGGAAAUAGGGCUAAUAAAAGAGUGGUGUAGGAUUAUCUUAUUCAUAUCUAAAAUUUUAAAUAUAUUGAUUUAUUUAUUAUGGUGACGUAAUAGUAAUUAUAAAUUAAAAAUAAAUUUAUUAUUAAAAUAAAUAAAAUUUAUUAAUAAAAAUAAGGGUCAUAUAUCUUUUUUAAAAUGUUAAAAAAAUUUAUGUCCUUUUUUGGGAGUGAAUUUUCUUUUCUCAUUAAGCAAAACCCACCGCAAAAGUGAAAAGAAAAAAUAGAGGCCACAAAACAGAGCCCACUACAAAUAUAUAAUCGGAGGAGCUCAUGAUCAUGCCUAUGCUUUACAUACUAAAUUAAAUAAAAGCCGAACCAAGAAUCUUGCAUUUGCUUAACAUGCUUAAUUAGGCACUACUUCAAAGAGAACUUGAAAGCAACGAACCCUUUUGUUAAUCUUAAAUGUCAGGAAUCUAAUUAGCUUGGAAUAAAGCUACAUUCUUCUCCUCUGACCGUCUCUUGAGGUUUAUUUCAAAAGUUUGAAGAGAAUUUAUCAAUUCUUCUUAUAAAAGCAAGCUAAAUUAAAGGAUUUUAAUCUCUCUUCUUAUUACUAUAAGUGCACUGCAUUUUUUUAUAAUCAACAAUGUCAAUUUGUAGUGUAAUGUUAUAUUCAUAUUUCUGUCGCGUCGAAAUAAGGUAAAACAAAAUUUUAAAUAACACAUAUUCGACUUGUUUGUAAAAGGUAUAUAUUUAAUAAGCUAAUACCUUAAUUAACAUAACACUAUUAUUACGCUAAAUGAAAUAAAAGAUGGUACCCACCACCAAUAAUGACAUUAGCAAGCUCCGCAUGCUCGUGUUUUAGGAACUAGACAUUGGUUAAUUAAUCAAGGAUAACGAAACAAUUUCAAAAAACAAAAUAGAUACUAUGCAUUUUCUUUUUUUAGUCGUACAGAAAAUGGGACUAAUUUUCAGAAAUUUUCAAAUUCACUCUUUUACAAAAGCCAUACAAAAUGAUUUCCUUUAUAUUUUGAAACAUUCUAUGGAAUCAAAUAAUAGUGAUACAAAGAGCGCAAAGUAGUAAUUCUCUUGUUGUAUUUUUUUUUUCUUUUUUAAAAGGAGAUGGUGUGGUUUGGUUGUUUGCAAAAUUAUUGGUGUGGGAUCUAUUUGUUUUCAAUUUCACUUUAUUAAUUAAUUAGCAAAGCAAACAUGUAAUCAUUUGUAAUGGGGCCACUGGCAUCGGAUUAUAUAAGAUGAAUUCGUAAGGCUUACUAAUUUCGAUUAAAAGGUAGCGUUAUUAAAUUAUUAAUUCAUUAACUUGAGUACCAAUAUUUCCUAACUGUGGUGAUUAAUUUAUUUAACUUGUUAUAAUUUUCAAUUGAGAAUGAACUUCAAUUAAUGUAUGAAAAAUUAAAAAGAUAACUUUUCUUUUUUUUUUUUCAAAUUUUUAAUUCCUAUGAUUUGAUUUCACUCUUUUUGUCGAUUAUUGACUUGUGAGAGCUUGUUGAAUGUCAUCAAAUGCUUAUAUCUCUUAUCCAAAUUGGCAGAUAUCAUUUGGUUUCUUUAUAGGCGGCAAUCACGAAUGAAAGUAACAACCCCACCAUAUAUCGAAAAUUAAUUUUAAGAAUUUUUUUACUUGAAGUCUUUGAAAAGAAAAAUUAAUCAGAUUAGAUUAGCGAUAUACAUAAAUUCGGUACCAAUUUAAAAAUGCGAGCAUGAUUUAAUAAGAAAGGAUGAGAAUUGAUCAUGUCCCAAAAGACUCAAAAUAAAAUUAUACAAAAUUACAUGCAGGCAUAUCAUAUGUUAAUCUUAAUUUUUUUUGCGGCUGAAAAUUAAUUAAUUAAUUCCACUACUUCUUUUUUUUAAUUGUAUGGUGUGUAACACAUAGUGAAUUAUGUUGUAUAUUUGUUAAUUCAAAGAAAUAAUACUUUUGUAUCCACCAAACUUUAUUAAUAUUCUUCAUCAUUAUGGUUAAUGGCUUAGCAAAUUUAGGAGGAGGAGUCAGCCAAAAUAAAGUAUUUUCUAUUACAUUAACCUUUAUUAAUUGCAGAAGUUAAAAAAAAUUAAAACGAGUUAAAACAGUUCCAACUCAAAAUCAAUAGUUUAUAACGCAGGGGUGUAAAAAAUAUCUGUCCGGACUGAAUUCGGACCGGAUCCGAGCUAGUUUAGGGAUGUGCCGGUCUAGUCUCGGGCAUCAUUGGAGAAGUCCAAUGUCCUCCAAGUCCAAGGUCCGGCCAAGAACUUAAAUUUUAUAGAAAAAAUAAUAAAUAUAUAUUAUUGUAAGUAAUUAUGUUUAUUUGACUCGUCUAUUACAUAUAUUUAAAAUUUUAAACAUUUAUAUUUUGUGUCCAGUUUCAUUUAAAUAAGAUUUAAAAAUUAUAAAAUUAUGAAAUAAAUUUAAAAAAUACAUUCAUACAUAUAAUGUUAUAAAAUAUAAAAUCCAACCUUUCUAGGGUGAAAUAAAAAGCCUAGCCCAAUGUGUCCAAAAAAUAUGUCUGGGUUGGAUCCAGGCAUUGCCAUACCUGAACUUGACCCCGAGUUUUGCAAUUAUUCUAGAUCGUUAUAAAUGUUUCCAAAUUUCAGUCUAAUUUACUUGUGUGAUGCAAAAAUUACCUUUAUCACUUUUUUCAAAUAAAUACUCAUAAAUUUCACCUAAAUUGUCACCCAAAAAAAGAGAAAAAUCGUGUAGUUAAUUUUUCUACUUCUUUACUCUAUUAUUUAAUGGGAAUAUAAUAAGUUAGGAGAAAGGAGAAAUUAAGGAGAAAAUUAGAGUGCUUGUUCAAAUGAUAAAAACUCAUGCAAAUGCGUAUUUCAGAUGUAAGUGUGGCAUUCAUUAAUUUGACAAAAAAUAAGUGAAUUUAUUUAUAUUUUAAUCCAAAUCGAGGGAUAUAAACAAAAUUUUCCCGCUCCAGAUAUUUAUCAUUUUCUUGUUAGAAAAAAAACUGCAUAAAAUUAAGGAACCAGUAGGCACUGAAAGAGAGAAACAGACUGAGAAGAGAUCAAAAGAUGGAUUUGGAACUGAAAGAGAGAAACAGACUGAGAAGAGAUCAAAAGAUGGAUUUGGAACUGAAAGAGAGCUUGGGCUGAUCAUUCAUGAUAAUAUUCCGCGUUCGCUAUUAUAGAGACGAAAGUUUGCUUUUUGUAUGGUUCUCCACUGACGGUGCCAAAUGUCGACGCCAAAAUUUGGACUAGUUAGUUACAUAUUGGAAACCAAAUUUUGCGUCAGCAUUAAAUUUAUUUGUUAGGGAAGCGACUUACCAAUCACCAAGGACGCCCUGCGAUCACUAGCAAAUAACUCUCAAAUACCUGAAAUCAUAAAAAAAAUGGUAAGAGACGCCAGAAGUUUUUCCGGCGUGAACCCUCCAGUGUUCAAGUCAGUUAUCGGGUUUACAAGAGAAACAAAAUAUGCAAUUUCUAGUUUUUUUAAAAAAUAAUCUUAAGUCAAUGUAAUAGAAAAAUCAAAAUUGAGAAAGAAAGUUGAACCUCCCUCUUUAUUCAUUCCCCUAGGGAUUUUUUUAUAAAGGUUUAAGUUUCCCCCCACUCCAACCCCCCCAAAAAAAAUCUUUGUGAUCAUAAGAUGGAUGAGAUAAAAUAUGAGCCCCCAAAAUGAUCUCAAUCAUGGAGGAGUCCUCCCUGGUUUGUUGCCCUAUUUUCUUAUUUGUUCUCCUCCACUCUCGAAAGUUAAGAAUGAGAUAAAAGUAACCUUUUCACUCUCUAUUUUUUCCUCCAUUUUUUUUCCUCACCAAAUAGUUACGAAUUUAAAAUAUGAGUAUGAUUUAAUAAGAGAGAACGAGAAUUGAUAAUGUCCCAAGAGACUGAAAAUAAAAGAUUACACAAAUUUGCAUGCAGGCAUAUCAUAAGUUAGUCUUAAUUUUUUGUUGUUCAAAUAAUAAAUUAAUUCCACUAAUCCUUUUUCUAAUUAUAUGGUGUGUAACACAUUGGCCACUUCUGAAUUAUGUUGGAUAUUUGUUAACUCAAAGAAAUAGUACACUUUUCUAUCAAUCUAACUCAUUUUAUUAAUAUUCUUCAUCAUUAUGGUUAAUGGCUUGGCAAAUGUAGAAUAAGGAGUCAGCCAAAAUGAAUUACUUUCUCUUGUACUAACCUUUGUUAAUUGUUGACAUUAAAAAUAUUUUAAAAUAGUUCCAACUCAAAAUCAGUAGGUUGUAUGUAGAUUGUUAUAAAUAUUUCUAAAUUUCAGUCUAAUUUAAUUGUGGAUGCAUAAACUUGACUUUUUCACUUCUUUCAUGUAAAUGGAGGGUAGAACUAUUUGAACUCAUUAAACUACUUUUUAAAUUCCUUUACUCAUUAAACCCAUCAUGAAAAUUCAAAAAUCUUUGUGUAUACUCAUUGCACCUCUUAAUAUCACAAAUAUGAAUCAUUUGUCUUCACUUUUGUUUGUCUUCAACAUUCACAAAUUUUAUUUGAAUCUGCAAUAUUUUUACCACUAUUCAUUCAUUUAUUAGAGUUUCAAUAUAAGAAUAUAGAGAUUAAAAAUAUCAUUAACGAAUUAUUUCUUUGUUUUCUAUAUGAUAUUCUUGGUUUGGAAAAAGCUUCAUUGGCAAUGUAUGUAAAUAAAAGACUAAGAACUUCCAAUAAUCCACAUUUGAUGGAAACUUGUUAUACUUGUUUUCACUUUAAAAAAUAAAAGGAAAAUUAUCAUCCGUAUACUCUAAAUUUACAUUUUUAUAAAAAAUACUACAACACUUUAAUCGUAUUUCAAUCGUCCACUCUAAAUUGAUAAAAGUUAUCUGCCGACCAUUAAACCGUUAACUGCAAUUUAAAAGUUAACAGAACUGUAGCGAAUUGAUGAUUUUACCCUUGAAAAUUAUCACUUGUAUACCCUUAAAAUCUCUUAUUUUCACUUAUAUACCAUUAAAUUAUCACUUGUAUUAUAUGAAAGACCAGAUUAUUUCUAUGACGUUAUCAUAUUUAAACAGUAACUAACGGUUUGGUGGACGACAUAUACAUUUUGUCAAGACGACUGAUAUACCUUGAAAGUGUUGUAGUAAAUUUGAUAACGAAGUAAAAUAAGGGUAUACGAUUGAUAAUUUUCCAAAAUAAAAUAAAUAAAACAAAAGAAAUUCUUGUGUUUUAAAAGAAAAAAAACUUCUAAAACAACUAUAAACCAAACUAGGUUUGACGUGGUGAGUUUUGGAUCAUAAAGAAUACAUAAUUGAAAUUUCACCUAAAUCAAAUAAUGAAUUUCAUAACAAUGGAUUUAGACUAUAGACCAGUAUACAUAGAAUUGGAUGUUCUUGGCAUUUGUUCUUGAAGUUGUUUUGCCCAAAAAAGUUAACUAUUGUCCUUAGGAGUAAUUUUGGUUAGGGAGAAAUUUGUAAUAAAUUUUUUAAUGAAUUAAUAUUUUUUGUGAGUAAAAUUAUGGGUUCAUAUACACUCAUUCAUAAAUAAUUAUUCAUAAAUUGAACCCUUCUUUUAUGUUGAUGCACAACCUAAUUUAACAAAAAUAAUGUUCAAAUUGUCAUAAAAUUUUAAAAAAAUCAUUAAGCUAAUUUUUCUUCUACUUCACUCCAUUAUUCAAUGGGCAAAUAAUAAUUUAGGUGAGGGGAGAAAUAAUGGGGAAAAUUAUAGUGAUUGUCGCUAGAUACACCGGUACAAAUGCUUGGGUGUGCGCGCGCGUGCAACGUUCUUUAAUUUGGCAAAAAAUAAAUGAAUUUAUUUGUAUUUUUAAUCAAAUUCAAGUGUCCAAACAAAAUUUUUCUGGGAAAAAGAUAAACAUGUACACCCUCAAUAUUUAAAUAAAGAGAUAAAAAUAUUCCUAACGUUUUAAAAAAAUAUUUACACCUUAAUUUACUAACAAAAACAGUAAUUUUUAACAAAAAUUACUAUUAUACCCUUUUAACAUAUAAAAAAAUUAUAUAUACAAGUUUAAUUUAUAAUAUUAAUACCAUAAAAUUUUAUUUAAAUUUUAAACUUAUAUAUUUAACAAUUCUCCACAUGUUAUUAUUUAAAUUUGUAUAUUUAUAACUAAUUUUUUAUGUUAUUUAUUAUGGUAUUUAAAAUUGAAAUACAAGUCAUUAAUAACUAAUUUUAUUUAUUUUUAUUCUUAAGUAAUGAAUUAAAUUUAUUUAACUUGAAGAGAGAAUUUGAUAAAAAUUUAAAUAAAAAAAUUGAAUAAUGAGGAUAUAUUUAUAAUUUUAUUAAUAAUAUAUAGAUAAAUUAAAUAAUUAAUAAUUUUUUAUAUACUAUAAAGGUAUAAUAAUAAUUUUCAUUAAAAAUUACUGUUUUCGUUAAUGAAUUAAAAUGUUAAUUUUUUUUUAAAAUGUUAAAGAAUUUUUACCUCUUUACCUAAACGUCGUGACUGUAUUUUGCCCUUUUCCCAAAUUUUCCACUCUGGAGUCGACAUUUAUCAUUUUCUCGUUAACAAAAAAAAUUGCAUAAAAUUAAAAAACCAUCAGGCACUGAAAGAGGGAAACAAAGAAGAUGGAACCUAAAGAAGAAACCCUAGCAACAAUCCCAGAAGAAGAAGAAGAAGAUGGAGACACGGUUAUUCCCGACGUUGAGAACAACCCUAAACCAACAACAAAAGACAACUCUUCGGACUCGAGCGAUGCCUCUGACUCAGACUCCGACUCGGACUCUGAAUCAGAAGACGAAGCAAAACAGAGCAUGGAGCUUCAAACCCUACAGUAUCAACUAUCCAACGAACCCUCCAAUUACGACACCCAUGUUCAAGUAACUUCAAUACACAUAUUUAUUGAGUGAUUUUGUGGAUACCCGUUUGCUUGUUCUUCUUGGGUUGCGAUAAAAAUGGUUUUUAUUUUUAUUUUUUCAGUAUAUAAAGGUUUUGAGAAAAAUGGGUGAGAUAGAGAAGUUGAGACAAGCAAGGGAAGCCAUGAAUGAGAUUUUUCCAUUGACUCCUGCUAUGUGGCAAGAAUGGGCGAGAGAUGAAGCCUCUAUUUCAACUGGGUAUCUGUCAUUUCCUUUUUGCAGUGGUUUUUGAUUUAACAAAUGUUUUUUCGCUUAGAGAUAUGGAUGUUUAUGCUAGUUAUUUGCUAAUGUAAAAAGGAACAAAACCUGCUUAAAAGGUAUUAAAGAAAGAAAAAAAAAAAGAACCAAUUUGAAGAAGGGGAUACUUAUGGUGGGAGUUCUAUUCUUUGGGGUUUAAUUGAUGGGAAGAAGAAAUAGCUUAUAUGUUUACAGAAUUAGACAUUUGAUCGCGGAGUUAGUUGAGGUAGAUAAUUAAUCAGAAUGUCGGAUGUUUUUUCUGUUGGCCUCAGCUAAUUGUUAAGAUUUCAUACUUUUUUUCUGGUUUUACAUAGCUGUGACCUAAAGCUUAAUGUAUAUAUUGAUAAUUACACAAUCCGUUUCUUGCUGAUACUUGGCUUUAAUUUGUAGACCUGAGGCUCUUUUGGGAGUUGAGAAGAUUUACGAAAGAGGAGUUUCUGAUUAUCUGGUUUGUUCCCUUUAUGCUUACAGAAUUUGAAUUAACACUAUGCAUGAAUUUAUGAUUCUUUUUAUUUUUUAUUUUUUAUUUUUUGAGAAAGAUUUUAUCAAAUUGAAGCAUUGUAGUAAAGCGUACUAGUUGUAAUCUUGAUUCACUUUGUUUUUAUUUUAUUACCAAGAGGUGCUAACAGUUCAUGAUGCACAAAAGAUUGGGGGGGGGGGGUUGGGGGAAUCUUGUUGGUACAUACAUAAAUUUUAGUACCAAAAAAAUAAUUUUACAGUGGCUGAAGAGCAGCAUUUUCAUUUAUAUGAAAGUUGAAUUGUUGUAUCAUCUGUUUCCGUCUCCUUUGCGGUAAAUAAAGUCCUUGAUGAUGGCAAUAAGAAUCACAGAAGAAGUUGUUAAGUUCAUAUCUGGAGAUUUUCAUCAUAGCAGUUCAUUGAAAGUGAAGGCAGCUGAAAACACUUUUUUCUGAUGCAGUCUGUCCCUCUUUGGUGUGAUUAUUUGAAAUUUGUGCAAGAAUAUGAUCCAUCUAUAUGCGAAUUUUUACCCGAUGGCUUUUGAAAGGCAAGGAAUUUAUUUGAGCGGGCUAUUACUGCUGCUGGUCUGCAUGUUUCAGAAGGCAGUAAAAUAUGGGAAUUGUACAGAGAAUUUGAGCUAGCCAUAUUUUGUAGGAUCGAUGAGACUAACUUGAAGGUGAGAUAUUUCAAUUUAUUUUACUUUUUAUUUGGGGGGUUAAAUAACGAGUUUAUUGCCAUCUAAAGAAAGAAAAAGGGAAGACUUUUUUUUUUGGGGGGGGGGUUGCCAACCCUAGCACAUGAGAAGCAUUCCAAGAUCCUUCCUGCUUGUUUUGCAGGAAAAGGAAAAACAGGUUCAGCGGAUUCGAAGUAUAUUUCGUCACCAGUUGUCUGUUCCCCUUGCUAACUCAAGUACAACUUUUCUUGCCUACAAGUCUUGGGAGGUCGAACAGGGGGCUGUUCUUGAUGUUGAAUCUAGUAAUCUAGACGGAAUGUCUUCUAAUGUUGCCUCAGCAUACCAAAAGGCAUUGGAGAUGUGUAAUGCACGAGCUUAUCUUGAAGAGCUGAUUUCCAGGCAGGAUUUAUCUGACUCAGAGAAAUUUCAGCAAUACAUGGUAGAUGACUUUACUAUCAUCAUUUGAUAGCUUUUUAUAAUAAGUAAAAUCUAGCUGUAAAAAUUUAUUAAUUUCAACUUUUUUUUGGUGGAUUUCUUCUUAUGGCAUUAGUAUUUUGGUUUUUGGUAGCUUACAAAUAAUAUCUGCACUUUAAAUAUCAUCUGUUGUUUCUUAGCAAAUAAUAGUAAUAAUAAUAAGUAAUAAAUAAUUAAUAUCUGCUCUUUAACUCUUUGGCCCGGGGGGGGGGGGCGCCUGGGGGAUGCAGUGUCAUUAUUUUCCUUCUUCUCCUUUUUCUGUUUUGUGCUUUUUCAAGUCCAAUAUUAUUAGAUUAAUCUGUUAUUGUGGUAGAUAUACUUGAACUAUGAGCAAUCUUCUGGAGAUCCUGGUCGAGUUCAACUUCUUUAUGAACGUGCUAUUACCGGCUUUCCUGUAUCAAGUGAUCUCUGGCUUGAUUAUACUCGUUAUCUUGACAAAACAUUAAAGGUUUAUCCUUCUAUUUUCUAUUUUAAUUCUUCUGUUGCAGCUUUUUGUAUACUAAUCCACUCUCCUCUUCAGGUAGGUAAUGUUGUGAGAGAUGUUUAUUCCAGGGCUACAAGAAAUUGUCCCUGGGUUGGAGAACUUUGGGUACGAUCUUUGCUUUCUCUGGAAUGUAGCUGUGCUUCUGAGGAGGAGAUAUCCACUGUAGGUUUAAUUGUUACCCUUCAUUCUGAGCUUAAUCUAUUUUUCUGAAUGUAAUUAAUUUUGAUUGUUUGAAGUUAAAGAAAUAAUCAGCUUCCUAGGCAAAUUUCUUGGCAAGCACUUGAUUGUGGGAGUAACUGAGGAGAAGCAUUCCCUAGUGUUUUUUUGUUCUUCCCCUCCCCUGAAAUUGCACUAUAUUUCCCUUGAAGACUAAUUUUUGCUUUAGCAUUUACACUUCUGUACAGAAGCAAACAUGAAUCAGAGAGAUUUAGUGGGCAAAUACACCUGGGCAAAAAAAUUAAUGCAUAUUAAAUACCGUGGUGGUUGUUGGAAUGCUUCAAAAAAAGUGUUUUCUUGGUGCUCCUGCUCCUUUUAUACUUUCAUAGCAUUUUAAUAACUGGGUUGUUUAAACGUCUUGUACUUAUUUUCUUUACAAAUGUCUGUAUUUUUUAAAUUUAUACAAGAUUUUUCUAAUUAUAUUAAUAGCAAUAAAUUGCAUAAACUCAAAUCUUAAUUUCAUUCUGCCCCUAUUGCAUACAUAUGGGAUUCACCCAUUAUUUCAUCAAAUUUUCCGUUGCUAAUUUCAGGUCUUUGAGAAGUCCCUACUAUGUGCAUUUUCAACCUUUGAGGAGGUAAAGAUAUAAAUUUAUGUCUACUGUACAUACCUUGAUUUCUUGAGCUGUAUGAUUUGGUAUAUAUCUACUUCUGAUUCAUCAUGUAUUUUUUUGUUAACUGGUUCUUUUUUAUUUCAGUACCUAGAUCUAUUCCUUACUUGAAUAGAUGGUUUGAGGCGGAGAAUUUUAUUCUCUGGUGAAGUUGAGGGCGUCUUGGAUUAUUCAUUGAUAAGGGAAACUUCAGGUUUGUAAACUUAUACCGUUUGCUAUUCAAUAUUAAAAUUGGUUAUACUCCUUAAUAUCAAGAAAUUGAAGCUUUCCAAAUCAUACCCAAAAAAUGCUCAAUUGUGAAUUACUGGAUGGAGCUAGUUGCUAGAUGAUACUUCUAAGAUUCAAGACAAAUGUUGUUUUAUGUAUGGCUAUCAAGUACUUUGGCCCACAAUUGUGGCAUAUUGGUCUUAUGCCAGCAUCAGGUAUAACAUUGUGUCUGGCAUAUAUACCAUUGGAAUUCUGGGUUUCUGUUGAAUGGGCUCCAACAGCUAUAUCUGUGUCCAAUGUUGUGGGGUCCUCUUCUUUGGUGCUUUUAAGUGAGGUUUUAAGUUUUCUUGUUAAAAUUUUGUUACAUAUCAAGUAGAAGGCACUGCACUGAAGCAUUGGUACUUCUAGAUCGCUUGUUCUGGAUGGUAGAUUUCAAUCCAUUGCUUUUAUUUCUUGGAUCAUGUGUAUCAUUGAGGACUUUCCUGGCCAGUGAUAGAGCUGGUAGGGGAAAAAAGUCAAAAUUCCUAUGGGAUGCUUUCUGACUUAGGGAAGAUGUCUUCAACAAUUUGUGGAUUUAAGUCUUCACAUGAUGUUAACUCUUGAUAGUCUAACCUUGGUUCAGGAUGUAUAGCUGUCUUCAAAGUUUGUGCUCAUAAACGAGUAACCUCUCUGUCUUUAUGAUACCAGUUAAAUUUGUUAGCUUUCUAGGAUUUGGAGGGUGUAAAUGUCCAUAAACAACAAUGUAUUCUCUUCCUUACAGCGUGCAUCAGAUUACUUGUCAGAACAGAUGAAGAGUACCAACGGUUUGCUGCAUUUGUAUGCUUAUUGGGCGCGUCUUGAACAAAGUAUGGGAAAAGAUAUGGUUUCAGCUCGUAGUGUCUGGGAGAGGCUACUUAAGAUCAGGUUCAACAAUUUUAAUUUUUGCCAGUGCAUACAUAGCAUAAUUUCUUUAUAUCUAUAUAUAUUUUCAGAUAACUUAUGCUUCUCUUAAUGCAGUGGUACAAUGUUGGAAGCCUGGCAAAGUUAUAUAUCUAUGGAAAUUGAAUUGGGUCAUAUUAAUGAAGCUAGAUCCAUCUACAAGAGAUGCUACAGUAAAAGAUUUACAAGAACAGGUUCAGAGGUAAAUUUCCUUCGUCCAGCUUCUUUAAUUAAUAUUAACUGCUUGACAACGUACCUUGUUGUUUCCAUCUUGUUUGUUUAAUUGGUCUUAUUUGUAAACACCUGAAAUCAUACAUCUUAAUUUCUGAUAAUUAGAUGUUAUUUUAGAUAUCUGUAUCUGUUAACGUUCUUUCAAGUCUAAUUCCAAUGCAUAUUUAGUUAAACUGCUCUUUACUGCAUUUUGGAUUAGUUAAUGUCUUCCUUUCCUAAAAAACAGAAUCAUUCAGGACAUAUGCCAUGCUUGGCUGUGAUUUUAACGGGAAUUUUGUAAUCAAAUUUUUAAUGAAUUUAUGGGUUUGUUGAGUAAAAUUAUGGGGUCAUACAGACUCACCCAUAAAUUGAACCCUUAUUUUAUGUUGAUGCAUAACUUAACUUAACAAAAAUAAUGUUCAAAUUGUCACAAAAUUUGAAAAAAAAAAAUCACAGUUAAUUUUUCUUCUACUUUACUCCAUUAUUCAAUGGGCAUAUAAUAAAUUAGGAGAGGGGAGAAAUAAAGGGGAAAAUUAGAGUGAUUGUCGCAAUGAUACACUGAUACAAAUGCUUAUGUAUGUGUAGUGUGUGUGUGUGUUGGUGGGGGGGGGGGGGUUCUUUAAUUUAACCAAAAAUAAAUGCAUUUAUUUGUAUUUUUAAUCAAAAUCGAGGGAUACAAACAAAAUUUUUACCACUCCAGAGUCUAGACAUGUAUCAUUAUCUCUUUUAAAAAAAAAAACAUUAGUAGCUGAAAGAGAGAAACAAAUUAAGAUGGAACCCAAAGAGAAAACCCUAGCAACAAUCCCAAAAGAAGAAGAAGAUGGAGACAUUGCCAUGCCCGACGUUAAGAACAACCCUAAACCAACAACAAAAGCAACUCUUCGGACUCGAGCGAUGCCUCUGACUCGGACUCUGACUCUGACUCAGAAGAUGAAGCAGAACAGAACAUGGAGCUUCAAACCCUAUAGUAUCAGCUAUCCAAUGAACCCUCCAAUUACUACACCUAUGUUCAAGUAACUUCAAUACACAUAUUUAUUGAGUGAUUUUGUGGAUAAUCAUUUGUUUGUUCUUUCUUGGGUUGCGAUAAAAAUGGUUUUUAUUUUAUUUUUCUUUUUCAUUAAAUAAAGGUUUUGAGAAAAAUGGGUGAGAUAGAGAAGUUGAGACAAGGUAGGGAAGCCAUGAAUGGGCGAGUGAUGAAGCCUCUAUUUCAACUGGGUAUCUGUCAUUUCCUAUUGCAAUGGUUUUUGAUUUUGUGAACAAAUGUUUUUUUGCUUAAGAGAUAUAGAUGUUUAUGUUAGUUAUUUGCUAAUGUAAAAAGGAACAAAACCUGCUUAAAAGGUAUUAAAGAAAGAAAAAAGGAACCAAUUUGAAGGGGAUACUUAUAGUGGGAGUUCUACUUUGGGGUUUAAUUGAUGGAAAGAAGAAAUAGCUUAUAUGUUUACAGAAUUAGACAUUUGAUCGCUGAGUUAGUUGAGGAAGAUGUUUAAUCACAAUGUCUGAUGUUGUUUCUGUUGGCCUGAGCUAGUUGUUAAGAUUUCAUACUUUCAUUCAACAAUGCAAUAGACUUUGGUUGGGUCCACCGUAGUUGGGUGUUCUGAGGAAUCAAUGAGUGUCUUGAGAAAACUUGGGCGGAGUGCUGGUCAUUUUCAGGAUUCAGUUUCCAAGAAAACAAAAACGAAGUCAAUAGUUGUAGUUUAAAUUAAUUUAUGUUUUUAUCUUUUUCAUUGAGCCCAGUGAGCUUUUAUUUUUACUUUGUUCGCUUUUGUUUCUUUCCCUUCUUUUCCUACUGUUUCUUGACAAUCAAACAGAUCAGGAUUAAGUGUUUACUUUUGGUGUAAUUAUUCACUCUAACUCGAAUAAUACUUAGGUUUAGUGCUAACAAAAUAGGAAGUGAAUUAAUAGCUGAAGCUGACUUAGGAGUGGAAUGAAUGUUACCAAAAAUAUACUAUAUGGUAGAUAGAAUUUGCGUUUUAGGUAAGACUAAAAUAAUUACAGCUGUUAAUUUAUUUCAAUAAGUUCGUACAUCAUUCAAUAAUAAGUCCAAGAUUUUAAUGGUUUUGUUUCCUGAAAAUUUGUCAUGAGUGCAUGAACAAAGUUCUAUGGAUGAACUUCUCCUAGUUAAUUUUAGUUCAAUGUCGCAGUUCCUCAUAUUAACUGUAUAAAACACUAAUCUUGCUCUUUACUUUGAAGCAUUUUAAUAAUUGAUGCUAAUUCCUUAGCCAUUUUAUUCAUCUUGUGCAUAAAUUAUGCAAUCAAUAAACCAACUCAACUUUCAUCUUUAUUUAGUGCAAAUUUUGCAAGGCCACUAGGAGGUUUUUGUAUGUCUCAUGCUAACAUGGUCGCCAUGGUUUCACUAUGUAAAUUUUCCCUACUGAAAUUCAUGAUCCGUCAUAUACCACUGAUGAAGCUGUUUCUGGGGCUUUAAAAGCACCAAAUUUUAGUUUUAUCCUUUCUAGCUUAUUAACCUGUCCGCAUCUGCAUUAUUAUCUUUCCUGUCAUACGAAAGUUUCAUUUAUCAUCUUCCCAACAAAACCAUCGAUAGGUUAUUGUUGACUUUUUUUUUUUCCAUUUAGAUUCAUGCCAGAUUAUGGUUGCUGGAUUUUCUGCUUUGACACUUUAUUGUUUCUAAGUAUAGGCUACCAAGGGAGGAAAAAAAUUGACACUGAUGGUCAUCCCCAGCAUUUUUAUCCCAGGAGACUGGUCAAUUCACUUUCUAUGAAGGACUAAAUAGAAUUCCAGACUCUAUUUUGAAGGACAAAGCUGUGGCUGAGCUUGGUUGUGGAAAUGGAUGGAUAACCAUUGCCGUAGCUGAGAAGUGGUUGCCUUUGAAGUUUUGUUGGUUUGUCGUCCUUAUGCCAUGUGAGAGCUUUUGUUUCCUUCCUUACCAGUGCCUUCAGGGGCUCCAUCAUGAUUUCUCUCAUCAUUUUCUAUCUCUGUGUUUUGCAAGGCUAUUUGAUAUUUAUAACAGCAUUGGCACCAGGUUAUGGUGAUUUAAUGCAUUCCUAUUAGGAAAAAUUACAUAAUUAUCAACUCUGUCCUUGUCCAAAAGUCUUUGUUGGAGUAUGUUGAAAAUAUAACCUUGUAGCAGUUCUUAUAUGCUGUCUGAAUAUCGUUUUGCAGUCUAUGGCCUUGAUAUUAAUCCCAGAGCAAUAAAGAUCUCUUGGAUACAAUUGUACUUAAAUGCAUUAGAUGAAUCUUUUUCUAAGCUUUUCCGUCACUGUCACUGCAAAAGGUCUUUUGUAUUGAUGGUUAUCUGUGGGGCCAGGAAAGAAGGUCAGCCCGUCUAUGAUGCGGUGAAGAAAACCUUACUGGAUAGGGUGGAGUUUGAUGAAUCUGAUCUCCUAGCGUAUUGUUGACAUCAUGACAUUCAACUUGAAUGACUAGUGGGGUGCAGACCUCAGGUACUCUCACUUUCUGCAACUCAUGAUAUUUCUAGGGGAUUAAAUUUUGGUGAAGUUUGUUUACCCAACAUCAAGUUGGAAUUUUAGUGUGCCCACAUGGAUUACUUUUAACUCCUAGUUUAACUUAUUCUGUUUUCUCCAUGCAGGUUCUCAACUCCAAUUCCAAUGCAAUGUCGAAAAUAAUCAAUGAAAAUGCAAGCGAGGAAUUUCUGUAUUCAUUGAGUAACUAUUGUGGACUGCAGGUUGGAGGAUAUUCUAAAUAAUUUAAUUUUGAUGCGCAAUUGCAAAUUUCCGGGAAGUUAGCACUUACAGGCUUCUUCUGGUUUCACUUAUUUCUAAGCAUACUUGUUAUAACUUUGGUUUGAAGCUUGCAUACCUUAGGUAAGGUUGUUGUCUUUAGUUGGUCAAUAUCAAUUGGGAAAUAUAGCAAACCAGUGAAGACAGUGGGAAAAGGAUAAUGUGAGUUUGACAGAUGCUGAGAGGAGAUAGGGAAACUUGGAUCUGAAAGUUUUUUUUUUUUUUUCUUAACGUGUAACCUCUUCACAAUGCCAUUGAUUCCCAUAGUUCAUGUUGCUAGGUGAACUUAACAACAACUAUCUGUUAUGCCUUGUGGAUAACUGAGAAAGUUUAUUGAUUUUGACAGAUUGCUUUUUGAAAUAGAGUGCAAGUAGAUUGACUAAUAAUGAACAUACUGUAUCAAGUUGUUACAUUUGAACAUGUUAAGGUCAUAUGAAGCAUACUUCUUGUAACUUUUUUUUUUUUUUUGCCCUCCCCAUUUCCCUGUAUGGAGGGUUUCAUGGAGGAUCAGUUUGGCUCAGGUCUAAUUGCUGGAGCAGUUGAGGAAGGAAUUACUGUUAUCAAAAUAAAGAUUCAUCUCACUCACUAGCCAGUUGAGCAGCUCGUCACUAGUCGAAUUCAUUGCCGAUUGCGGCCCGUAUCCAUUGCCCAUCACUGUUUGGAUUCGUCGGUUCUAUCAUGUUGGUUCAGUAGCUCAUCGCCGCUGUCAUGGUCGGCCUCUUUGUUGUCAUUGAAGAACCAAUCGAUAAAUAUGAUGAUAAUUUUUUAUGACAAUAAUUAGGAUGAUUGAUGAUGAUGAUUACCAUUGUUUUUUUUUUUUUUGAAGGAUUACCAUUGUUGAUGAUUAAUAUUAUUGAUGAUGAUUUUUUAUGACAAUAAUUUUGAUGAUGAUGAUGAAGAUGAUGUAAUUGCGAUGAGAUAAUGAAGAUGAAACUGAAUUGUGAUGUUGAUAAUGAAAUCGGCGGAAGGAAGAAGAUAAUUGUGGUGAUGAUGAUGAUGUUGAUGGAGAAGAAGAAAUUAACAUGAUUGAUGACGAAGUAAGGAGGAAUUUAUAAAACAGAGAGAAAAAGAAAAAAGAGAAGAUGAAGAGGAUAAAAAGAACAAAUAAAAAAAUAAAAAAAGGAAAAAAACAGGAGAGAAAAUAAUAAUAAAAACAAAAGAGGAAAAUAAUAAUAAUUAUUAUUAUAAAAUAAGUUAAAUAUUAUUAUUAUUAUUAUUAACAAUAAUUUUAUUGAUAACCAUAAUCAUUUAAUAGAUAAUAAAAAUAAUGGUAAUAAUGAAUUACGGGUAUUUUAAUAAUUUAAAUAAUUCAUUGUGAUUUAAAAAUAAAAUAAAUAUAUUAAUAGUAUGUCUUUUUUAGACGGCCAUCCAAUUUUAUGUCUUUUUUAUGGCCAUCCACUUAGUAGCUUGGUUAGACGUAUUGGGAUGUCGUAGGCCUUAAAAGAUAAGAGCAAAAAAUCAAUUCCAAAUCUAAAGUGAAAAACACUAGCUAGAAAAAAAUCUAUGUUCUGAUGUCUUAGUUUGUAAGCUCAAACAAUGAAUAGUAUACAUACAGCGCAUUAUAAAACACAAAACUCAUGUAGAUUUUUAGUUUCGAAAUUCAUUUCAGAAAAUCUGUUCUGUUCAACAGGUUAAAGUAGAUUAUCAACUAAACUCUACCCACAUACUUGCAUACAAUUAGAGCACUAGGUCAACAAAGGAGCACAUCUUUCGGAAGAUAAUUGAAGACUUGUUUGGCAAUUUGAAGAUUACAUCUUAGCUCUGCCAUUGGAAGCAAGCAACUCAGCUGCCCAAAGACCGCCAUGCCAUCAAGACAAUACCUAGAUACAACAUCAAUAAUAAUAACAUCAAGAAUUACAUAGAGGCCGUCGCACGUUACACCCACCCCAAUAAGAAACUAAUUAAUACCGUCUUAGCUCCUCUGUUUUAAAAGAAAUUAACACACCCAUGAAGUAGGAAUAAUUAAUUAAUUUAUACAGUUCAGUACUCAUUCGACCUCUGUUUCAAAUCCAAAUCCACUGCUCGACCAUUUACUAUGACGUAAGGUAUAUGGAUUAAUUAACAAGUGCCGAUAUUGUCCUCCAUCCUUUUGUGUACCUUUCUUCUGGCAAGGCCUUUUCUGGAAAGUAUUUGAGCUCCAGACAAUUACAGAAUUUCAAUUUGCUGAGGUUUUGAUGAUCAGCAAUUGAAGAAGACAAGCGUUAAUAAUUAUGAAGAACUGGUGUAAUUUAUAUCAUGUAGGAAGCCCUUCAGUUACUUCUUUGACUGUGCCCAAACUCUUUUAAGGGCUAAUAUCAAAAUUUCGUGAUAUUGUGCCUGAAGAGCUUCAUACCUCAUUGUAACUGUUUCUAAAAGUUGAUGAGCCCAAAUAUCCAAUAACUGAUAAAUUAUGUUGAGAAAUAGAAAUAUUAAUAGUACUGAUACAGACGCAUGGAAGUCCCCCGUUUUGAGUUUAUGCUUGUGCUUGUCUACUUGACAAAAAGGACAUAGGUGGAAAGUGGACUAAGCAUCAUUGGAUAACUUGGAGGAAAAAUAGUGUCCAGCAUAAAGAAUCCAUCGUUAUGUGCCGCUUCCUAUUUAAUUACAUUUAUCUAACAUUUAAAAGAUGGAAGUAGAAAAUUAACUCAGUUUUUCAGAUAUGGCUCAUAUACAAUGCAAGUAUCAAGAUUUAAUUAGAGUUCACAUAUAUACAUGCGUCUAGUUUUUAUUGAGAGAUUAACUAAUCAUAAAUACUCGUGUUCUAAAUGAUUGAAUAAUGACAUUAUUGUUAUUUAUAAAUUUAUAAGGAUAAAUUUAUACCGAAAAGGGUCCCCAACAUAACUUGAACAACUUUACUUGUGUUUGCUCAUUGAAUAAUGUUAUAAAAAAUAAAUACAUAUGUUAGAAGAUUCAUAGUAUAUUGGAGUGUUUUUUGUACUUGAAUGAUAAUGAAUGAAGGUAUGUUAAUUUACUUUAAAUAGAAACCUUCCUAAAAGGAAUAGAAAUGCUCUAUAACAUACCAAAUACUACCUUAAUCAAAAUUUAGUAGGCAAAAAUUUUAAAAAUGGAAUAAUUAACCCUAAUUAAAUAAUUGUCUUACAUCACCAAACUCUUUUUUUUUUUUUUUAAUUAAGGCAUCACAAAACUCUGUAAAGCAUAAAAUAUAAUAGGCAAAUUUGAGCUAAAAAAAAAUGAAGUUAGGAAAAUGACUUGCAUACUGUCUUUGAUGAGCGCAUAAUUUUCUUGAAAAAAAAGGAUUUUUGUGUUUUUUUUUUUUUUGGUAAAUUCGUGUCGUUUACUAGUCUUUUGGGUUUUGUUGUAUAAUUCUUUGGUACGUGUUUAUCUUGCUUUUGUAUAUGUUAGGAAACGGAGUGAAAUCCCAAUAUUAAAAUAUGGAGAAAUGAUUUUUCAUGAAUAAAAUGAUUUAAUUUAUUUUUAUUUCUACAACAAAAAUUAUUAAGUUAUCAACAUAUUGAUUUCAUCUGUAAGUUCCAGUCAGUCAGUUUCUCACGUUCCAUUGUUAUCUUUUAAAAGAUACUGCAAUGCUUUAAGUGUAUUUGAUCACUUCACUAAUAAUUUGAUAUUUACAAAUUGAAAAAAUAAAUUAUUUCUGACCAAAGACACUAGAGAAUGUCGAAAAGAGUUUGAGUAAUUUUUGUAUACACACACAACACAAAAUUAAAUUACGUGGCAAUGUUGAUAGUGAGUCGUUUUUGGGAAUCCAUAAGUUCACAUGUGCACAGACGUCGGUUGCCUGCCAGCCCUUUCCUUUUUUUUUUUUAAUAUCUCCAAAUCAUUUAUUAGAGUCCCAAAUUUAUCACACAUCAUUAAGUAAAAUGUGCCAAUUAGUAAGAGCCAGCUUCUUUCCUCUGUUUUCUUGCGUAUGCUGCAUUCAAGUAUCACUGAAAAUUUUAAUUAUACCGUCAACAGCUGCAGGAAAAUUAUAUACAUUCUAUCAACACCUGCAUGCUGCAAUCCUCAAUGACUGCCAAAUCUUCAUACCAUGAAUAUCAAGUAACUUCCAACUCUUCAUAUAGUGAAUCAGCAGGAUUCACGUCCGACCAACUCCACAGGCACGGCUAAAGCGAAAGAUUAUUUUUUCAGAUAUUAUCAAGAAAUUAAUUUAAGUGAAAUAAGCUAAGAGUGAUUUCGAUAAGGUUUUCAGAGAAGAUAUAGAAAGAAGAUAAAAUAAAUAAAUAAGUAAUUUCAGUCGAUGCAAAAAAUGGGCAUGUGUCUGACUAACAGGACAUGGCUUGGAGCAAAUAUCAAUGGAGGAAAUAUCAGCUUAUAAUUUUAUAAAAUAAGCAUCAAAAUAUUCGACAAGUUUGAGGUUUAUGAAAUAUUGGGAAAAUAGACAAAUAACAAAGACGCUCACACUACAAGUUAAGCAGAUCAAAUAAACAGAACAAAGGAAAUAACUGAUCAAUUUAAUUCUUUGUGCAAUGGCCACGGCAACAGAGAAAAUAUGUCUACAUGACUAUAUUAAUGCUACUGGCGUGGAUGGUACCAUCACCAUGAUGAUAUGAGAUUAAAAACAUUGACUUCAUAAUUUUAUAAAAUUUCAUAUAGAAGAUAUAAUUGAUUUGAGUUAGUUUAACAGAGAAAAAAGAAUAAUAAGGAAUUACAUUGAUGUGGCGUGUGAUGAGAAUUGAUAGAGAAGAAAUAUUGAUCAUGUAAUAAUGAAAUAUGUAUUUACUGAAAAAUAUUUGGCAAUAAAAUGAUGCUAUAAAAAUUUAACAUUGUUUGCAAGAAAAUAGUUUGACAACUAAAAGACAUAUAUAUGCAAUGCUUUGAGUUUAUUUUAUCGCUUCACUAACCAUUUUGUAACUACAUAUUAAAUAUAAGUUGAAUUAAUUCUGAUCUAAGACUCUAGAGAAUGUAGCUAGAAAAAUGAUUUGAUUUUGUAUAUAAACAAUAUUAGAGAUGAGAUAUGUCAAAAUCAAUUACAAGAACAAUAAUAAGAACAUAUUCUGCAAAAGUUAUAAAUACAUAUAAAAUAAAUUUAAUUUCAAAUUAGGAAAUUAUUAAUUUGUAUAGUAAGAGAGUCCAAUAGAAAAAUAGAAAUUUUUUUGAAAGAGAUUUGCUUAGGGAACAACUUUAGUUUGGUUUAGUUUGUGAAGGAUCAAGUAAUUGAACGCAAUUGAAGGAAAUUCAAACUUUUGAUUUUGACAAAGUAAUCGUUAAAAUGCUAAAAAUACUGGGACAAUAGACAAAUAAUGAAGAUCCUAAAAGUUGGUGGAGCAAAUAAACAGAGUAAAACAGAGCAAAUAUUUACCGUUAUACAUAUAUUUUUAUUUUUUUCAAAAAUGAAUGUGUCUAAUAUAUAACCACAGUCCGCUAUUACUGAUGUAUUAUAUAAGCACGUGUCUAAUUACCAAAUAAAUUCCACUUUGACAAAGAACAAAAGCUAAUUUUAUUGUUACCGCCUGCAGUUGUGCUUUCUUUUAUUUAUUUUCGUUUUGUUAUUUUCGUUUUGAAUGGUCCUGCAAUUUGUAUUCCUUUCUGUGGGAUUGGUUUUUGUGAUAAAUAUUAUUCAAACUGCUCAACAGGUGGAUUGUCCUGCAAUUUGUAUUUUCGUUUUAGUGAUAAGAACAUGGCUUGGAGCAAAUAUCAAUGGAGGAAAUAUCAGCUCAUAAUUUUAUAAAAUAAGCAUCAAAAUAUUCGACAAGUUUGAGGUUUAUGAAAUAUUGGGAAAAUAGACAAAUAACAAAGACGCUCACACUACAAGUUAAGCAGAUCAAAUAAACAGAACAAAGGAAAUAACUGAUCAAUUUAAUUCUUUGUGCAAUGGCCACGGCAACAGCGAAAAUAUGUCUACAUGACUUUAAUGCUACUGGCGCGGAUGGUACCAUCACCGUGAUGAUAUGAGAUUAAAAGCAUUGAUUUCAUAAUUUUAUAAAAUUUCAUAUAGAAGAUAUAAUUGAUUUGAGUUAGUUUAACAUUGAAAGAAAGAAUAAUAAGGAAUGAUAUCGAUGUGGCGUGUAAUGAGAAUUGAUAGAGACAAAUAUUGAUCAUGUAAUAAUGAAAUAUUUAGUUACUGAAAAAUAUUUGGCAAUAAAAUGAUGCUAUAAAAAUUUAACAUUGUUUACAAGAAAAUAGUUUGCAAUUAAAAGAGAUAUAUAUGCAAUGCUUUGAGUUUAUUUUAUCAUUUCACUAACCAUUUUGUAACUACAUAUUAAAUAGAAGUUGAAUUAAUUCUGAUCUAAGACUCUAGAGAAUGUAGAAAAAUGAUUUGAUUAUGUAUACAAACAAUAUUGGAGAUGAGAUAUCAGAUAUGUCAAAAUCAAUGACAAGAACAAUAAUAAGAACAUAUUCUACAAAAGUUAUAAAUACAUAUAAUAUAAAUUUAGUUUCAAAUUACGAAAUUAUGAAUUUGUAUAGUAAAAGAGUCCAAUAGAAAAAUGGAAAUUUUUUAAAAAGAGAUUUGCUUAGGGAAAAACUUUAGCUUGGUUUGGUUAGUGAAGGCUCGAGUAAUUGAAAGCAACGCAAUUGAAGGAAAUACAAACUUCCGCUUUUGACAAAGUAAUCGCUAAAAUGCUAAAAAUGUUGGGAAAAUAGACAAAUAAUGAAGACCCUACAGGUUUGCGGAGCAAAUAAAUAGAGUAAAAUAGAGCAAAUAUUUACCAUUAUACAUUUACUGCAGAAACAAAGUGCCUUCAUAACACCAGUUAAACUGUGUCUAGCUACCAUGCUGGUUCUACUUUUACUUUAUUAAAUAUAUACAGCAUUAAAUCACCUGAGCCUCCAGUUUCUCUAGUUUCCAACUUGAAAUUAAAACGUAGAAUUGAUGGUAAUGGAGUUCCUUAUUUAAUUUUGCUGUAGGUCAUGGGCAAUUAGACGGCCAUCCAUUUUUAUGUCUAUUUUAUGUACUAUUGGCCACUAAGUAGCUUGGAUAUUUUAUACGUAGUUUGAAAUAAGUCAAAAUCAAUUACUAGAACAACAAUAAAAGCAUAUUUUAUAAAGGCCAAAAAUACAUAAUAUAAAUUUAGUUUUGAAUUUUGUAAUUAUUAAUUCAUAUAUUAAGAGAGUCUUAUAGAAAAAUAGGAAUUUUUUGAAAGAGAUUUGCUAAAGUAAAAAAUUUCGUUUGGUUUAGUUUGUGAAGGCUCAAGUAAUUGAAAGCAAUGCAAGUGAAGGAUAUAUGAACUUGUAAUUUUUACAAAGUAAUUGCUAAAAUAUUUGACAAGCUUGAGAUUUUAAAAAGGCUGGGAAAAUAGAAAAACAAUGAAGACCCUACGAGUUGGCAGAGCAAAUAAACAGAGGAAAACAUGACAAAUAUUAUGUUGAUGCACAAUCUUAUUUUAUGUUGAUGCACAAUCCAACUUUUUAACAAAAAUAAUAUUUAAAUUGUCACAAAACGUAUUAUUCUUUAAAAAAAAUUCAUAUACAGUAGUUAAUUUUUCUUUACUCCAGGAUCCAACUACAUACCCCUCUUGUUUGUCGUUAUUCUGCUCAGUCGUUAGAUUUUAAUUACUGUAAAGAAUUGUGGAAAUGCUCAUAUAUUAUUUGUUGCUGUGUACAAGAUCCUUAUAUACAAAAAUACUAGAAUCAUCUAAGGCAAGUACCAAACGGUCAAAUAAUAGAAAAGGAAAGAAUAUAAAGGAGAAUGAAUAUUACAAUAUGCUAAGUUAGUGGCUAAGAUCAAGGACUGAUUGAUUCUUGUUCUAAUACUCCCCCUCAAGUUGGGAAGUGAAGAUCCGUAACUCCCAACUUGCCAAGAAGAUAUUGAAAUUGAUGUUUACCAAGAGCUUUGGUAAAAAUGUCAGCCAAUUGUUGUCGUGAAGGCACAUAAGUUAAGGAAAUGAUUUUGGCAUGAAGCUUUACACGAACAAGAUGGCAGUCUAUUUCUAUGUGCUUGGUACGCUCAUUGAAGAUGGGAUUGGCAGCGAUAUGAAGCGCAACUUGAUUGUCACAAUGUAAAGUUAUAGGCAUUGGAUGGGUCACAUGAAGAUCACGAAGUAGAGUUUUCAACCAAACCAAUUCACAUGUUGUUGUCGCCAUGGCUCGAUAUUCGGCUUCAGCGGAAGAGCGCGAUACAACUGGUUGCUUCUUGGUUUUCCAAGAAAUAGGACUAUUGCCAAGCAUGAUAAAAUAUCCAGUAGUGGAUCGACGGGUCAUGGGGCAACUUGCCCAAUCUGAAUCUGAGAAGGCAGAGAGUUCCAAAGAGUUAGUGGAGGACAAGAGGAUACCAGCGCCGGGAGAAAAUUUGAUGUAACGUAAGACACGCAGGGCAGCAUCAUAAUGUGGUCAUCUUGGAGUGUGCAUAAAUUGACUAAGUAUGUUCACAGCAUAUGUAAUUUAUGGCCGGGUGAUUGUCAAAUAGAUGAGACGUCCUACAAGUCGUCGGUAUUGGUCAGGAUUUUGACAAAGGGUUCCUUGAUCGUUAGAGAGCUUCAAGUUUUGUUCCAUUGGAAAAGAAGAUGGCCGUGUGCCUAAUUGUCCACUGUCUUGAAGUAUAUCUAAAGCAUAUUUCCUUUGAUUGAAGAAAAUCCCUUGCUUUGAGCGAGCCACUUCAAUUCCUAAAAAAGAUUUCAAAGUUCCCAAGUCUUUAAUAUGAAAUUGAGCCUGCAAAAACAUCUUCAAUGCAGUUAUAGUGUCAAGAUGGUUACCAGCAAUUAUUAUAUCACCAACAUACACAAGCACCAAUGUAAAAUGAGAAUCAUGCAUUUUAGUAAACAAACAAGAAUCAACAUAAAAUUGAAUGUAACCAAUUUGUUUAAGAGCGGAUGAGAAUUUUUCAAACCAAUUUCGAGAAGCUUGCUUGAGACCAUAAAGGGACUUGUUUAACUGACAAAAUUGAUAAGACUCCCCCUGUUUACAAACUCCUGGAGGUAAGGUCAUAUAAAUUUCCUCAUGCAAGUCACCAUGAAGAAAUGCAUUAUGAACAUCUAACUGAAAUAAUAACCACCCUCGAAUAGCUGCCAUUGCCAAUACACAUCUAACAGUCACAAGUUUUGCAACAGGUGCAAAUAUCUUAUGGUAAUCCAAACCUUCAGUUUGUGUGUAUCCUUUAGCAACAAGGCGUGCUUUGUAUCUCUCAAUAGAACCAUCAGCUUUUCUUUUAAUUUUGAACACCCAUUUACAACCAAUUGGUUUCUUGCCGGGAGGUAGAUCUUGUAUAGGGAUGGCAAAUUGGUCCAUCCAAAUUGGAUAUCCAUAUAUCCAAUCCAAUUGGAUUGGAUAAUAUCCAUCCAAAAUCUUCUUGGAUAUGGAUAUGGAUAUUUUUAAAAAUAUCCAAUUAGAUAUUGGAUGGGUAUGGAUAUUUAAUGGAUAUCCAAAAUCCAAUUAAUUUAUCCAUUUAAAGUUAAAAAAAUUUAUAUUGUUCAACUAAAAUAAAAAAAAAAUCUAAUUUUCUCUUAUAUUAACUAGUGAAAAAUUUAAAUUUCUCUUAUAUUAAAAACUAAAGUUUUCAAAAUUACCCUUUAAUUUUUUAACUUAUUUAAUACUAUUUAUAAUUGUUAUUUUAUUUUAUUGAUUUAAUAUUAUAAAUGGAUUUCCACCGGAAAGUCACCGGACCACCACCGGAGUUCGCCGGACCACCGUCGGAUAUCGCUGGAAUUACCGCCGGACCUCGGCGGAAAGUCACCAGAAGACCGCCAGACCACCGUUGGCUUCACCGGAAGAUUGCCGGACCACCGCCGGAAUUCGCCGGAAGGUCGCCGGACUUUGCCGGAAAGUUGCCGGACCGCCACCACCGACCACCGGACCGCCAUUUUAUUAUAUAUAUAUAUUAUUACUAAUAUAAAUAGUUUAAUAGCCAAAUUUGAUAUUGAAAUUUUAACUAUUUUAUAUUAUUAUUUUUAUAUAAUUAAAAUAAAAUAUCCAUGGAUCUCCAUAAACUAUAUGGAUAAAAUCCAUAUCCAUGUCCAAUAUUAAAUAGUGGAUAUGGAUAUGGAUAUAUCCAUUAUGGAUAAUUAUGGAUUUAUGUUUAUCCAUCCAUCAUUGGAUAUUUGUCAUCCCUAAUCUUGUAUUGUCCAAGUGUUACUUUGCUCUAAAGCUUUAAUCUCUAUAUCCAUAGCAUUGCGCCAAUGAGCAUGUUGAACGGCUUGAGAAUAUGUAGUUGGUUCAACAUCGUGAGAUAUGGCUGAAAGAAAGGCUACAUGAUCACUAGAAAACUUGUCAUAUGAUAAAUACUUGGAUAAUGGAUAUAAAGAACUUACCAAUAGUGGAUGAUUAGUAAAAGUAUUAGAGUUGCCAAAUGUACCGUGAAGUGCAGUAGAGCAAAUAUAAUUCUGAAGAUAAUUUGGAUGACAAGACUGUCGUUGGGACCGUCGAAGAGGUGGAGAAGGGAGAACUACUGAAUCAGAUGUACCUUGGUGGAGUGGCUGCUCAUUGGAAGAAGUUGGAAGGAGCUGUGCAUUUUCAUUGGCAAGAAGUAUGAUAGGAAGAGGUAAAACAUUGUUAUUUUCUUGUUGAUUGGUGAUAGUUUUGAAUGGGAAUUCAGUUUCCACAAAAGUAACAUCACGAGAAAUAAAAGUCUUUUUGUUAAUGAUAUCAUAAACUUUGUAUCCGGGAUACCCAAAUGGGUAACCAACAAAUAUACACUUGGUAGCACGGGGAGCAAAUUUAUGAUGAUUAGCACUGUUGGUAUGAACAUAACAAAGACAACCAAAGACACGAAGACGAUCAUAGUGAGGUUUAGUCUUAAAAAGCAUUUCAUAAGGAGAUUGACCACCAAGAUUAGGAGUGGGUAUACGAUUAAUCAAAUGGGUUGCAGUUAAAACACAAUCUCCCCAGAAAGAUAAAGGUAAAUGUACUUGAAAACAUAACGCACGUGCAACUUCUAAAAAAUAUGUCGGUGCUUGCGUUCUGCUACCUAAUUUUGUUGAGGUGUUUCAACACAAGUCCGUUCAUGCAAGAUGCCAUGCUCAUGAAAAAAAGAUUGCAUCUGAUUUGAUAAAAAUUCACGUCCUUGAUCAGUACGAAUUUUUUUAAUUUGUGACUGAAAUUGUGUUUUGAUCAAGAAGUAAAAGUUUUUUAAUAAUUGAAAAGCUUCAAACUUGUGCCGCAUGAGGUAAACCCAAGUACAACGAGUAUGGUCAUCAACAAUAGUAAGAAAAUAAUAUGAUCCCGUAUAUGUAGAUGUGCGAUGAGGUCCCCAAAUAUCACAAAAAAUUAAUUGAAAUGGCAUAUCAGAACGAUUUUUAUUCAAUUGAAAUGAACUUCUAGUGUUUUUUGAAAGUUGACAAAUUUCACAACAAGAAUUAAAUGAUGCAAUAUCAUAAAUAAAAGACAAACGCUGCAUUCGGUCUUUAGAAGGGUGACCGAGUCGCAAAUGCCAAAGAUUGGAAUUGGGUUCCUUUGCAACGUUCAUUACUGAAGGAAGGGAAGAAUGACCAUUGAUAUGCUCAUAAUAAUAUAGUACAUCCCGAACUUCACCCUUUCCAAUCAGCUUCUUCGUUGAAAGGUCCUGAAAAACACAAAAUGAAGGGAAAAAUAUAGCAGCACAGUUCAAAUCCUUGGUUAGCUUGCUUACAGAUAAUAGUUAAAAAUUAAAAUGAGGAACUAAUAAGGCAUUAUCUAAAGUCAAAGAGGAGGAUAAUUUAAUGGAUCCACAUUUUGUUGUAGGAACAGUUGUGACAUUUGGUAGUCUCACGGGUUUGACAUGAGACAUGGGCACAAAAUUUUUAAAGGAAGAAAUAUUAGGGUCAUGUGAUCAGAUGCCCCACUAUCAAUUAUCUAAGAAUUAUUAUAUGAGUUAAUAGCAGAAUUGCAAAAAGGAAUGAUUUUACCAGCUAAGUUUACAGUAGAUGGCUGCUUACUUGUUGAAAGUAUAGAUAAUAAAUGUUGAUAUUGUUCAGCCGUGAGACCGGGAAUUUGGAUAGUAGGCUGAGAUGAUGAAUUCUUGUCUUUUGGAAUGGGAUGAUCAUCUAGUUGUUGUGGCUUCGUGGUUGCAGGAGCAGCAACAUGCGAUCGAUUUGAAUGUUUCCAGUUUGGUGGGUAGCCAACAAUUUUGUAACAUUUGGCUUUUAUAUGCCCAUAUUUCUCGCAAUGAUCCCAUAAAGGUCUACCUCGUCCUUGUGUCUCUUGUACUCCAUGCAAUUGGCUAGGAUGUGAAUGAUUUUGACGGCUGGUCAUUUGAGUCUUAUUAUUGGCUGUCAAGGCUGUUGAUUCAAUAGAUGGUUGACUGGAAACAUGGAGAAGUCGUUGACGUUCUUCCUGAUGAAUAAUUGAAUAUGCUUUUCCAACAUUUGGAAGUGGUUCCAUGGCUAAGAUUUGACUUCAUACCGAAGAAUAUGAAUCAUUGAGACCCAUUAGGAAUUGAAACACCUUUUCAGUCUCCAGUAAUCCCUGUAAUUCAUUUGAAGUUUCACACUUGCAAGAAGAAAUAGUGGUUAAUGUGGACAAUUCAUCCCAAUAAAAUUUCAAAGUAUUAAAAUAAAUCACUAAUGAUUUUUGCUCUUGCUGGUGAUUGCAUAUGGCUCUCUUAAGUUCAUAAAUCCGUGGAUUAUUACUUUGUGAAAAACCUUCUUCCAACCCAAGCCAAAGAGAGCGUGGCGUAUCACAAUAGAUGAGGCCAUUGGCAAGAUUUUUCUCUAUUCCAUUGAGCAUCCAUGAAAGGACCAUGUCAUUGCAUCGCUCCCAAGUUUUUAAAUCUUGUGAGGUUGAUGAAGGUUUUUGUAUGCUUCCAUCAAUAAAACCCAAUUUGUUUUUGGCAUUUAAUGCCAUCUUCAUGGAUCUUUUCCAUGUUGAAUAAUUAUCACCCGUUAGCACAUUAGAUACAAGAAUGGCUCCAGGAUGAUCAGAUGAAUGAAGAAAGUAUGGUGAAGAAACAUCGGUAAUGAGGGAAUUUGAUGUUUCUAAUAUUGGAUUCAAACUACUAGACAUGAUUGUCAAAGAGAAAAGCAGAAAUGAGCAAAAUUUGCUCUGAUACCAUGUAAAGAAUUGUGGAAAUGCUCAUAUAUUAUUUGUUGUUGUGUACAAGAUCCUUAUAUACAAAAAUAUUGGAAUCAUCUAAGGCAAGUACCAAACGGUCAAAUAAUAGAAAAGGAAAGAAUAUAAAGGAGAAUGAAUAUUACAAUAUGCUAAGUUAGUGGCUAAGAUCAAGGACUGAUUGAUUCUUGUUCUAAUAAUUACGUUGAUCUAACGGUUGGGAUUUGUAAAUGAAUAACGAAGUGGUGUUUUUGGCUACCGUCUGAACCCAUUGCAUCUAAUUGGUUUUGUGAUUUUUCGCUUUCUUCUCUGCAACGCUUGACUAGUUCUAGAAAUAUCGACAGCAAAUUUGGAGCAUGUAUUAUUUUUCAUUAAAAUAAGUUUCCACCACCGUACCAGUAUAUGGAUUUCUGAAUUAAUUAUUAAAAGAAGCAAACAAUACUGAGAAUAUAUUAAUUAUUAAUUUAUAUAAUAAAAUGUUUGCUUCAAAAUAUACUAUUUGAAUUUGAAAUAAUAUUUUUUAAAAAUUUUAAUAUCACAAUAAUAGUCAUGAUCCAAUUGGUUUGAUUUUUUUUUUUCAGAAAAAAUUUGGAAGAAUAGACAAAUAAUGAAGACACAACCUAAGGAGAGCCAAUAAACAGGGGAAAGUGAAUUGCGUACUGUCCUCGAGCUCUCAAUUAUCCAACAUUCUCAAAUUUCUAUGUACAUUUUCGUAAAUUCAUGUCAUAUACUAGAGCUAGUAUUUUGGGUUUUGUUGCAUUAGUUCUCUGGUGUUUAUCUUGUUUUAUUACCUUAUGAUGCAAGAUUCGUGGUAGCGAUACACCUCGAAUAAAACUAUUUUUGUUUUUUUGGCAUUUUUAUUAGCACAAAUCAUUAUUAAUUACUGAACCCAUCGAGAUAUUGGUUUCAUUUGUAACAACUUGCUAAUUGCUUAAUACAUUUUUGUAAUUCUCGUCAUGAAGUCACAAAGAACCUGCAAAUAAAAGAUGAUUCAUAUACAGGUACAUAUAGAAUAAAGAUAUUUAAACAUAAACAUUCAAUUUUAUGAUAAACCUAACUGUCAUUGAGUUAUUGCUAUUAAAGGAAGUGAACAGAAAUAGAUGUAGAAAGUCAGAAAUAUGAAUGAGUGCACUUGAUGAUUUCUCGAAUAGAAAAUUAAAGUAAUAUCAUUUUUAAUAAAUGUGAGAUGAUUUAUACUCUAGAAUUUAUUUUGAACACUUAUAUUUUUAUUAUGAAAAAUCUCAUAGUUCAAUUUAUUAGUAUGGACAAUUCAAUAUAAGUAAACAGAAUAAUAAUACUUUUGAAACUCAUCUAACCAUAGUGCGCACGCACCCAUAUAAACCUUAAACCAUAAUAAAACGUUCUUCCUCAACAUAAAGACUAAUUCAUUAUUUAAAAGCAUAUAUUAACAAAUUUGUACACACAGAUUCUAUGGUUCUAAUUUCUUUGACUUUAAUUUUUCACUUCUCCACCAAAGGAGGUUCUACACAAAUAAACAACAGCAGAAAAACAAAUAUAAAAUGUGAUUCGUGUGUAGAAGAUAUAUACUCAUCAUAACAAUAACUGAUAAAUUGUAUUAAGAAAUAAAAAUAUUAGUAGUGAUGACAUGAAAGAAGUCUGUUGUCUUCACUUUGACUAAAAAUAAUUUAAAAUAAUCGACCAAGCGAAAUUCCUUAAGAAAUGAACUAGGUUGGGAAGGCAGAGCAGCCUCUGUUCUUUUUACUAUAAUGCUAAGAAUUGACUUCAAUUGGGAAGUCAGGCCAAUUGAAGAAGCUCCCCUGUUUUUCACUGAAUCAUAAUCCGAACAAUUUAUAAUUAAAUAAAUCAUUCAAAAUCUCCUUUAAUCGAACCCCCACUUCUGUGGUUUAAUGAAAUAUUAACGUUCAGCUCCUGAAGUUGCCAUUUUAUGUAUUGAAAAAGAAGAAAAUACAAGAAACUGAAAAUUAAUUGAUGCUGCAUCAUGUUGGAUUGUUAGUUGUUAUUAUGAUGGGGAUAUAAUCUUUGCCUUUUAAUUAUCAUCUAGCUAACGCAAGCCCACUAGUUUCAUUUGUGUCCAUCACUAAAAAGUAGAGUUGUUUAAUUCAAUAGUGUCACGUUACAUCACAUAAAGUCACUCAAUUUUCAUUGCCAUAUGUAGCUCAAAAGUGCAUGAACAUUGAACUUUCAACUAACUUAUAUUGAUUAAUUAAUACGACCAUCAGUUCUUAGUACCCAACAACAUCCAUCAAUAAGAGCAAAAUCCCCAUUAAUUUCAUAAAUAAAAAUAAUAAUAAGUUACAAAGACAAUAUUUGACAAUCACAAAAACAACUAUAAUUCACUCCAAUAAACAACAUAACAGAUACAUUAUCAAUAUUGCAAGUCGUUUUAUGAUUUAAUUAAAAGAGAAAAUAUGAAGGACAUAUUUUUUAUAUAAUUGAAUGUUCUCCUUGAUAAUUAGACAAAAUAACACCAAUCUAACUACCUAAUUCAAUCAUCAUAAUGAUUCAAUUUUCAUUUUUUAAUUAUGUCCAAUCAUGCUAAUUUAAUAAAGAUUACUGAGCACUUAAAGUACCUAUAUCUUCAACAACUUUGGCUAAGUUAGAAAAGUGUUAGAGCUGCAUUUAUGCUUUGUGUUAUUAAGCAGGACAUGAUCAUAUUACGUUGCGUUUUUCCGAAAACUGAAAAUUAUUAAAAAAAAAAUCUGAAAAGAGAUGUUGAAUCGCGAGCUUAAACUGAGUUUUAGACAUGUUUGACUUGUCGGUUGAUAUCCCUGAUUGUGCAUGUGCUGUCGGUUUUUGGACGGAACACAAGAAUAUGACAGCUGUGUGUUGUCGUCUGGAUCACAUGUUCUUCACGUGAUUUCACUUACCCUAUGCGGCACAUUUGGCAGUCGUUUUGGUCACUCAUUGAAGCACGAAUUAAGAACGUCAUUCAAGGUUGUUCAUUGACCUUUACAAGGCGGGAAAAUUCUGGGUUUGUUUUAACAAACCCAGAAUGCAGCUUGUGAGUGGGGGGAACUUUCUAGAUUCUUCAUGAUCUGUGUAUAUAGUCUUAGAGGCUACAGUUGAGGCAUAUGAAAAGCUUGUAACUUCUUCUUAAUGAUUGUAGUUUGAUCUCGGUGAUGGAGAUAAGAUUGCUGCCCUGUUCUUCACUUGAUAUAGGCUAUCUCCAAGCGGAACCACUUAAAUUGUGCCUCUGUUUUGCUUGUUUCGAGGUGUGUGAUUUGCUUGUCAUUUCUAAAUCAUCAAUUAGAGAGUUUAGUGAGAUCUUGGUGGUUUUAGAAUGAGUUUAAUCGAUCAAGAAUCAACAAGAUGCUAUGAAAACAAAAUAAGAGACUAUUGCACGCACAUCAUAGCAAUGUUUCAUUCAUUUCGAAUCUAUAUAUACAAAACUUAUAUCUGGUGGUUUCUGUUUGUUUAAUCUAACGGCUAUAACAUGUAUAUUGUCAAAAGCUACAGCGGCCAACUUUGUUUGUCCUCUUAGCAUCCUUGAUCUUAUAUCAUCCUGGUGAUUCUUGAGAGCUCUUCUCAUUCUCUCGUGUUGAGUCCCUUGCUGAGAUGAUAAAUACUUGAGGGUCCUUCCUUGAUAUAUUUCAGCAAACACUUGAUUCAUUCUAUCAAACAUUUGCAUCACUAAUCAUUAAAUGGUGUAAGAUAGUUCUGUUUUGAAAAAUCAAUAUAAAAUCAAUCACCUUAGAUUUUCUUAGUCUCAGAGCACAAUGGCUGAUGAUUUGAUGAGAAAUAUUAAUAUGCAUGCAUCCCCUGCAUUCGUUAGAGCUGCUCUCAACCUCUGUUUAAUAAGCUAGUCCUCUGCUGUAUCCUAGAAGGUGGAACAUUAUGCUUCCCAGCUGGCUCAAGAGGGAACUAUGCUUCUGCUGCCAAAUUUUUGAAAGCGAACAUCGUGGGAAGAGGUUGAUCUGAAGCCAUUGCAUCUGAUUGGUUUUGUGAUUUUUUGCUUUCUUCUCUGUAACGCUUGACUAGUUCUGGAAAUAUCGACCAUCAUCGAUGGCAAAUCUGGACCAUGUAUUUGCCCACUACUAAGAAAUAAAGUUUCCACCACCGUACCAGUAUGUCGAUUUACGAAUACAUUCAUUCAAAUAUUAAACGUACAGAGAAGAGAGCAAACUGUGGCAGGAUAGCAAAAACUGCGAAUGGUCAUUCCCAACACGAACGCUUAUGGCUGUUUUCCUUUUAAUUUUCUUCUUUGAAUUCUCCUUUUAUUAAUCAUUAGAAAAACUCCCUUUUUUUAAAUCAUGUGUUAUAAACAUUUACAUGGUUAAUGUCAUCGAAAUCAAAUGGUUGUUAUCUACGAAAAGAGAAUUGUUAGAAAUUUUGUAAGUCCCAUUGCAACAAUAUAUUGUUAUAAAUUGCAUUGUUUCCCAUAUAACAAAUAUAAUAAAAUCUCAAUAAAUUAAUAGUUUUGGGGACCAUAAAAAAAUUUAUUAAAAUUUAACAAAUAUCAAUUAAUUGGCAAAUUAAUAAAUUAUUAAUUUAUGAAAAUAUUCAUUAUUUUAGAAAAACAUGAUCACGUUUUUAGUAUUGAUUUACCUUGAGUUAGUAUCUAUUAUGUUUUAUUUGUCUCUAUUAGUUUUCUCUUGGGAAGAUUUUUUAAGAGUUAGCUGCUUUAUAUUAACAGUAAUAAAAUUAUUGUAUGGUUUUGUUUUUCCAUGUUAAAGAUCGAUUAGUCCUCUGCUUCUCCUCAGAGUCAUCGAGCACCGCCUGAAUCAUCAACAACGUGCUCUUCCACUUCAUCAGAUCGUCUUCGAUCUUCUCUUGGCGUGUGUUAAGGAAGUUAAGGAAGCUCAUAUUUGCAGUCAAGCAGAGGAUCACAGCAGCUUCUAUAAUCAGUUGCAAGUUGAUGACAUGUACUGCCAGCUGGCACUAGGUGGUUAUGUAGCUGCUUGUACUUAUACACGUGAUAAGUUUGUUAAUUAGUUUGUAAUUAGUUAGUUAGUUUUGUAACCAUCAGCUGAGAAGCAACACUUGUAUAUAUAUGCUUGUAAUCGUUCAGUAGCAUUUAAAAAAAAAGCUUGAGAAAAUAAAAGAAGAAAGUUUUCUAAAUCUCAGUUUAUUUUCUUAUUAGCCAAACACUCAUUUUCUGUUUUAUAACUUGGUAUCAGAGCCAGUCAUGGCAUCUCUGAAUAUUGCCUCAUCAAAUCACACUUCGAAUAUUCAUACAAACUCAACAAACUUCUCAUUCACAUUCAAUACCCCUGUGAAACUGGAUCAGGCAAACUAUCUGAUCUGGAGGUCCCCAGUUCUAGCUUCCAUACGCGGCAAUAGGCUAGAAAAGUUUAUUGAUGAAAAUGUCACUCCUCCUCCAUCUCAUAUUGCUCAAAGGAUUGACGAUGAACUUAGAUCUGUUGAGAAUCCAGAUUCAUCAAGCUGGAAAGCACAAGGUCAAGUACUUCUUGGCUGGUUGUUGUCAUCGAUGAGUGAAGGUAUUAUAAGUCUGGUGUUUAAUUUGGAAACUUCUCUUGAGGUAUGGAAAGCUAUUGAAACUCAAUUUGGAUCACAGUCAAAAUCCAGACUCUUACAUUUGAGAUAUUUGAUGAAUUCAACUAGGAAAGAUGAUCUGAAAAUCAAUGAGUAUUUCAUUAAAAUGAAGAAUAUUGCUGAUAACAUGGCUGCGGCAGGAAGUGCCUUAAGCAGUGAUGAUUUAAUUUUGCAUGUACUCUCAGGACUAGGACCAGAUUAUAAUGCUGUUGCUACUUAUAUUACUGGUCAAAUAAGUGGUGAUAAAAUGAAUUUAAAUGAGGCUUAUGCUAUGUUGUUGACUCAAGAAGCUAGAAUUGAGCAACAAGCACAUAUGCUUUCUGGAAUGGAUGUUAAGCAUAAUUUUGAAGCUAAUUUUGCUCAGAACAGAGGUUUCAAGAAAGGAAAUUUCUCAGGUGGUAGAGGAUCUGGUAAUCAUGACUAUUUUACUGGAUUAGAUAAUGCUGGAAAUUUUGGAAAUAAUUACAGAAGUGGCUAUGGAAGAUCUGGUUUCUUUGGUAAUGGUUUUGGAAAUAAUCAUAAUAACCAAUUAAGAGGAUUUCAAAGUGAUAAUCAAAGGGGAUCAGGCUCAGGAAAUUGGAACAAUGGUGGGGGUGGUAACAAUAACUCUAUCAGGCCUCAAAUGAAUCCAAAACCUCAGUGGAAUGCUUCUAAACCAACUUGUCAAAUCUGCUUAAAAACUGGUCAUACUGCAAAUGUCUGCUGGAAGCUUGAAGAAUUCUUUACCUCUGGUGCUUGCAAACCUCCUCCAAACAGAAAUCCCAAAGCUGCAUAUCUAGCUGAUAUGGAUGGUGCAGUUGAUGCCAACUGGUAUCUGGAUAGUGGAGCUACACACCAUCUUACCAAUGACAUGAGGAAUAUGACUAUGGCAGAAUCCUUUGCAGGUAACUCUAAACUCAUCAUUGGAAAUAGUACUGGUUUACAUAUAACACAUGUUGGAAAUGCUGUGUUAAGAAUGCAUAACUCUUCUGCUCAUCAUAUACUCAAAUUAAACAACAUGCUUCUUGUUCCACAAAUAUCCAAGAAUCUUAUUGGCAUAUCUCAGCUAACCAAAGAUAACAACAUUGUUAUUGAAUUUACUGAUAAAUCCUGUGUUGUGAAGGACAAGGUGAGGAAUUUGAUCAUACUGCAGGGCAAAGCUGAAAAAGGUUUAUACAGAUUGCUAUUGUUUCCCUCUAAUAAAGUCUCUUCUCAAUCAUGUCAAAGGUCUCUUGAAGCCACUCAAUCCAAAAUUUCAAAUGUUCCUAUGUCUAUGUUUUCAGUUGUUCAGUCAGUUGUCAAUAAUCAAACAAGUCCCUGCUUGCAUACUGCAGCAGAACCUUGUAUCAGUCCAAAUUGUAUGCUGAGUGUUUCUGUUUUGCAUCAGAAACUUGGUCAUCCUAAUUCCAAAGUUUUAAGUCAUGUAAUAAACUCUUGUUCAGCUUUCAAGAAUUUAAAUGGAAGUAACUUUCUUGAUUCAUGUGAUGCAUGUAAAAUGGGAAAAAUGCAUAGAUUACACUUUCCAGUUUCUACUACCAAAACAAAGCAUGUAUUAGAAGUUUUGCACACUGAUUUAUGGGGACCUGCCCCUGUGCUUUCAGUUCAAGGUUACAGAUAUUAUGUGAGUUUUGUGGAUGAUUUUUCGAGGUUCACAUGGAUAUUCCCAUUAAAAACCAAGGAUGAAACACUAGCUGUGUUUAAAAUCUUUAAGAAGCAAAUUGAGAAACAGCUAGAUAGAUCCAUUAAAUGCAUUCAAUCAGAUUGGGGUGGGGAGUAUAGAUCAUUUGUUAAUUUUCUUCAUGAGGAAGGUAUUCAAUUCAGACACUCAUGUCCCUAUACUCACAAUCAGAAUGGCUUAGUUGAGAGAAAACAUAGACACAUAACCGAGCUAGGUCUCACCUUAGUUGCUCAAGCUUCUUUGCCUCUCAAAUUUUGGUGGGAUUCCUUCCAUACAGCCACCUAUAUUAUCGAUAGACUUCCCACACCCAUACUAUCUAUGCAGUCACCUUAUGAAUAUGUCUUCAAAACCAAACCUGAUUACAAAUUUCUCAAGGUCUUUGGUUGUUCAUGCUUUCCAUUCUUAAGGGAUUAUAAUACUCACAAAUUCCAUUUUCAUACCUCAAAAUGUGUAUUUCUUGGUUACAGCCCUUUACAUAAGGGUUACAAGUGUAUGCAUUCUUCUGGAAAGAUUUUUAUAGCCAGUCAUGUGUUAUUUGAUGAAACUUCUUUUCCUUACACAUCAAAUUCACAAUUCUUAACUUCAUCAUUCAAACCCUCUGAUUUCCAUUACAGUCUUCUUCAAUCUUGUACUGUUUCACUUCCCAAUAGCAAUCAAGAAACCUUUGAAGCUAGCUCUGCAGAAAAUGAAGCUCCAUCUCAUCAUUUCAGUGAUCAUUCCUCACCUGACAGUCAUAAUACAACCUUUGAUGUUUCACCUUCUCAAAUACAUCUUCAACCCUCUACCAUAGCUACUUCACAAACACAACAGCCAUCCUCAUCUACUAUUCAAUCCACACAACCAUCCUAACAUCCUCUGCCGAAUCAUCCCAUGAUUACCAGAGCAAAAGCUGGUAUAUUCAAGCCUAAAGCAUUCUUAACAUCACAUAACAGCCUGGAACCAUCUACUGUUGAUGAAGCUUUGUCUGAUUCUAAGUGGAAAGCUGUAAUGCAAUUAGAGUUUGAUGCUUUAACCAGAAAUAAUACCUGGAAUCUAGUACCUAUGACAUCUCAGCACAAGUUGGUUGGUUGUAAAUGGGUCUUUAGAACCAAGUACAAUACAGAUGGUACAGUUUCUAAACACAAAGCAAGAUUGGUAGCCAAGGGCUUUCACCAGGCAGCAUGAGUGGAUUAUAAGGAAACUUUUAGUCCUGUGGUAAAGUCUUCUACAGUAAGAACUAUACUAAGUUUGGCAGUGAUGAAAGGUUGGAAAGUCAGGCAAAUCGAUAUAAAUAAUGCCUUUCUUAAUGGAGAUAUUUCAGAGGAUAUAUACAUGACACAACUAGAGGGCUUCAUCACCAAAGAGGGCUAUGUCUGCAAACUUAGCAAGGCUCUUUAUGGCUUGAAGCAAGCUCCUAGAGCUUGGUAUGACAAACUCAAAGGGUGUCUUACAAGCUGGAAUUUCUUCAACUCCAAGGCUGAUACAUCCUUGUUCAUCAGACAUGACACGAGAGGUAUCAUUCUUGUUCUUAUCUAUGUGGAUGAUAUUCUUAUUACAGGACCAGAUUCUUCCCUGUUGGAAACAUUCAUCACUAAAUUUAGUAAGGUUUUUGCCUUAAAACAUUUGGGAUUGGUAUCCUAUUUUCUGGGUGUUGAGGUGUGUUAUACUGAUAGUGGGAUGCAUUUAUCACAAACAAAAUAUAUUAAAGACCUCUUAAGUAGAGCUUCAAUGCAGAACUGUAAAGGUUCUGAUACACCUCUCAGCACAGGUCAAAAGUUAGAAAAGGUAGCAAAGGUCUGUUUGGGGAAAGAAUUUGAAGAUCCAACUCUCUAUAGAAGUAUUGUUGGAGGGCUCCAAUACUUGAUACUCACCAGACCUGAUAUUGCAUACUCAGUUCAUAAGCUCAGUCAAUAUUUGAGUGCUCAUACACUUCAGCAUUGGCUUGCUUGUAAGAAAGUACUUAGAUAUCUUCAAGCAACUGUCACUCAUGGAAUAUAUAUUCAGAAGGAAGGAGAGCUUGAAGUUACAGGUUUGAAUGGAUACUCAGAUGCAGAUUGGGCUUGUAAUACAGAUGAUAGAAAGUCCAUUGGAGCAUAUUGCAUCUAUCUUGGCAACAAUUUAAUUUCAUGGUCCUCUAAGAAACAAGCCAUAGUGGCCAAAUCCAGCACUGAAAGUGAGUAUAGAGCACUGUCAUCAGCAAGUUCAGAAAUCUCUUGGCUUGAAUCUCUAUUUUCUGAGCUCAACAUUGUAAAGCUGCCAACACCAGUGCUUUGGUGUGAUAAUCAGAGUGCUGGGGAAUUAGCCAAAAAUCCUGUGUUUCACUCCAGGUCUAAGCAUAUCGAGUUGGACAUUCAUUACAUUCGAGAUAAGGUACUUCAAAACCAAUUAGAAGUGAGAUACAUUCCUACAGAUGAACAAGUUGCUGAUGUCCUCACCAAAGCUUUAUCACUUCCAAAAUUCAGCUACUUCAGGUCCAAGCUCAAUGUCGUUAGCAGACCCUUGAGCUUGAGGGGGGAUGUUAAGGAAGUUAAGGAAGCUCAUAUUUGCAGUCAAGCAGAGGAUCACAGAGCAAAGGAUCACAGCAGCUUCUAUAAUCAGUUGCAAGUUGAUGACAUGUACUGCCAGCUGGCACCAGGUGGUUAUGUAGCUGCUUGUACUCGUACACGUGAUAAGUUUGUUAAUCAAUUUGUAAUUAGUUAGUUAGUUUUGUAACCAUCAGCUGAGAAGCAACACUUGUAUAUAUAUGCUUGUAAUCGUUCAGUAGCAUUUAAGAAAAAAGCUUGAGAAAAUAAAAGAAGAAAGUUUUCUAAAUCUCAGUUUAUUUUCUUAUUAGCCAAACACUCAUUUUCUGUUUUAUAACUGCGUGCAAACCACCGAAUCCCCUCUGAAGCUAACUUUGGCGUGCAGCUCUUCGAUGAUUGGCUUUUUUUUUCUUUUUUUUUUGGUUGUGUUUUUUUUUGGCUCCUAGUUUGAUUUAACUUUGUUUCGGUUAUUGACAUUGCUGAAGAGGCAGUAAAAGCUUGUUGAAUGUCAUCAAAUGCACAAAUUGGCAAUAUCGGUUGGCUUCUUUAUAGGCGCAUCCAUCACAAAAUGAAAGUAACAACAACCACCAUCGAAAAUUAAUUUUAAGAAUCUUUUUUACCUGAAAUCUUUGAAAAGAAAAAUUAACCUGACAUUUAUUUAUUUAUUUAUUUUUUGGGGGCAAAGAAAGAAAGGAACAGAAUUAUGAGUUUUGGAAAGGAGAAUGAGAAAAUUGAACAGAUGAGAAAAUGGAUAAUUAACCAGAAUGAAUUUGCGAUUGGUCCAGCAAGCUUAGUAGAAAUCACGCGCUGAUACUUCAUUGACCAAUGACUAAUAAUUUGGCAAUUCACCCAUCACCAGCACUUGGUAAGCAAAACGAAAAUGCUUAGUAAGUGUCAAGGGUCAGGCAAGAUAUGACGUAAAAUGAGGCAAGUCUCCCCACUUGUUGUUCCUUGCAGCUAAGAAAAGAAAAAACAGAGCCCACCACCCAUUAAUAAUUUAGCAAUUCACCAAUCAAUCACCACCACUUGUUACGCAAUUCCAUUAGGUAUUCGUUUGUCAAGCAGUUAAUCCAGUGUCUAUUACCUAGAACCUUCACUUUACAAAUCUUCAUCUCAAAUGCCAAGUUAAAUCAAAACGUUUCUCUCUCACUCUUUCUUUUUAAACUCCGAAAACGUUUCUUUUUAGAAAUAUUUUACUUUAUUCAUGUAAAUAUGUUGUCUAACAAAUAGACACAAUUGAAAUCACUCUAAAGUGCAAAUAAAAAAAAAAAUCCAAUCACCAGUAAUUUAGCAAGCUUCACUUUAUUCCACCAAAGUGUAAAUAAAACCAGGCCUCACCGCCAUUAAUAGUUUUACAAGCUUCACACGCUUGUUGUUGUCUGCUUGACGAACUGGACAUGGGUUCAUCAAGAAUCAAUGAAAGAAUUAAAAAAAAAAAACUGAAAUUUUCGAUUCAGAGUAGAACAGUAAUUAAUGCUAAAAUUUACUCCGCUAACAUUUUCAAGAUAUUGUUCUGUAUAAUUCUACAGCAAAUAAGACUAAGUUUUGGACAUUUUCAAAUUCACUACUUUCACAAGCAAUAUUUUGAAACAUUUUACAGAAUUAGCGAUUAUAUAAAGAGAAAAAUGCAAAGUUGCGUAAUUCUAAUGUUUUUCAGGCUGAGCUGCCUUUGGAUUUAACCUGAAAUGAUCCGAAGGCCAGAAAUUGUAACGGCGGGCUUAAAUGUCAACACGCCAAGACAGUUAAUAGCAGCUAAAUUGGAAAAAAAAAAAAAGGCAAUAGAAGUAUAGAUGGAACAAUUUUUCGCUUAGGUCAUAGGUGCAAGAUGAAACUAAAAAAAGGUGGCAGGCAAUUUUAUCACAGACGCUCAUGAUCGUUUUUUAUUUGGGUCGUCAACUCGCCAUGACCCAUGAUUGAAUUAGAGUGUCUAGAAAGAAAAUUAAUAAAUAACGGUUUAUAUAUUUGGCCGUCGGAAUAUUGUAAGUGAGAAAGAUUAUCUUUUUUUUUAUUAUUAUUAAUUAGGUUAGUAUUUAUGAUUGAGUGACUCAGAGCUGUAUUUUAGAUUGAGAAUCAAUUGUUCUCUCAUACUGAGAGGCUAUAAGAUUGUCGUUAGCUAUUUCAUCGAUAAGAGAACACCCAAAUUUAUUAAAAGAAGAAAUGUAUAAGGUCUCCUUUAUGAGAAAAUGUAUCUGAUCAUUCUUUUUGACUUGAAAAUCUCAUAUAUAAAAACUUAUUAAUAAAUAACAUAAUAUAUAUAAAAAUGAUACUCAAUGAUCCUGUACUAAAACUAUAAUUUACCUGCACUAGUAGUUUCCAUAAUUUUCAAUUCAAAAGUAAGCAGUUGAACGUGCUCUCUCUUCUGGUUAUAGAUAUCAUAUAUAUAAAUUGAAGUAAUCGCGCGACAAGUAGCAAAACAGAUAAUGCACGGAAGAUAAUGAUCAAUGGCUGAAGUUUAAUUUAAUUGCAGAUAAAAUGUCAAUCAAGAUUAAGGUCUACUUACAAUUUUAUUUUAUUUUUUAUGAUUUUCAAUCUUUACCAAAAGAAACAUAUUUAGUGAUCCCUUUUAUCAACUUGCUUUUAUUGACUUUCUUCCAAUAAUAGAAGUGAAAAGAGAAACAAAGGCCACCACCACCAAGUGUUACCGGAUUCUAUAAAGACAAAAUCAGUGCCCAGCAAAACGAAUCCAACUUUUCGUUAUGUGUUGCUUCCUAUUUAGUACAUGCACAUAUAGAUAUAAGAUAUCCACAUGCACAUGCAGCGCGUCUAUCUAAAAUUUUAAAAACAGAAUUAGAAACCUUCUUGAAUAGGAAUAGAAAUACUCUCUAAUACUUCCUAAAAUAAUUAACCCUAAAUAAUUUGUCCUGCAUCACCAAACUCCGGAUUUUACAAAGCACGCAUAAAGGAUAAUAGACACGUUUGAGGUUUUUUUUUUAAAAGAAAAAAAGAUUAUGAAAAUAGACAAAUAAUGAAGACACAAGUUAAGCAGAGCAAAUAAAUAGAGGAGAAUGAAUUAAAUACUAUCCUUGAGAACUCAAUUCUUUAAUAAACUCAAUUUUUUAAAUGCAGGGGUAAACUCAUGUCAUAUACUGUAGUCUUUAAUUUGGGCUUUGUUGUAUCAAUUUUUUGGAGUUUAUCUUGUUUUGUUUUUUCGUUUUUAUAGUGCAAGAUUUUCGGUGGAGAUAAAUCAGGAAUAAGAGUGAAAUCCCAAUCUUAAAAUUUGGGAGAAAUGAAAUGCGAUAUGUUUUUUCAUGAAUAAAACAAUUCAAUUUUUUGUUAGCACUUGUAUAUGUUGCAAGUUAAUUACACCGUCAACACCUGCGGGAAAUUUAUAUAUUUUCUGUCAGCACUUGCAUACGUUGCAAUUUUCAAUGACUUCCAAAUCUUCAUAUCAUGAAUUAGCAGGAUUCAGGUCCGACCAACUCCCCGUGGCUAAAGCAAAGGAUUAAUUUUUGAGAAAUUAUAAAGAAAUUAAUACAAGUAAAGUGAGCCUAUUCAUUUGAUUUGAUAAUUGGCUGAGGGUGAUUUCGAUAACGUUUUCAAAGAAGAUAUAGAACAAAGAUCAAAAAGAAAAAACAAGUAAUUUCAGUCGAUGGAAGAAAUGAGCAAGCUUCGCACAUGCAUGCAUGCGUCUGACUAACAGGACAUGGCUUGGAGCAAGGAUCAAUGGACAAGUUUGAGGUUUAUGAAAUAUUGGGAAAACAGACAAAUUAUAAAGCCACUUGUUAGAGUGCAAUUUAUGCACUAGUUUUGCAUUGUUUACUUCCCUUAAUAUCGAUGUUUUGCAUUUAAUAAUAGUGAUUUACUUGUGUUUUACUUUUGUAGGUGCAAUUCUAUUGAUUGGUGAUAAAAUUGAGCUAUAAGAUGAUGUUUAAGGAUGAUUGUUCUCUUGGAGAAAUUAUGAGCGGCAGAAGAACUUUGUUGAUAAGGCGUGGGCGCGUGCUGUCAACUGCGGACCUGCAGUUUUUAGUUUAACGUGUUUUGUAUUUUUGGCUAUUUUUUAAUUACGAAUUUAAUAUUUCAAAUAUUAGUAUUUUAUUUUAAAUAGAACUCUAAAAGAGAAGAGAGAGAGAGUAUUUAAGGGAGGAAUCUAUUGUGAAAAAGGAGGGAAUUUUGAUUGGAGAAAAAGAAAAGAAACCCUAGAUCUAAUUUUUCUCUUCUCUCUAUGAAGAACUAAACUUAUUUUUCUGGUUGAAGAAUAAUGAAGCUUUGAUUCAUCACUACUGUGAGAUCUUUCUUGUGCUUUAAUUGUUUUAUUGCUUUUUGGGUAUUUGUUUAUUCUCUGAAUUAUUUUCAUGAUUAUGUUUGUUAAUUAGAUAAUUGGCCACUAUUUAAUUAUCAACUUAAUCUAUUGUCAAUUAAAGGAUUCAUCGUAUGAAGAAUUUAAUGUUUGUGACAAAUAACAUAGCAGAGAGUUGUGUUGUGAGAAUAAACAAUCUAAUUUAAAUAAAUCAUCAUAUGUGUUGAUUAGGAUUUGGGUCUCUCUGGUUUUUUAGGCUGUCAAUUGAUUAAAUCCUAUGAUCGUAUCUAGGGUUGUCUAUUGAUUAGGGAAAUAUCCAACGGUCGUACCUUGGUUAUCGACUAAUUAAGGAGAGAUUGGCUAUUAGAGGGUCUCAGUAGCUAUAACCAGUCUAUUCAUAAGUAAUAAUAAUUUAUAUUUGAAUCAAUGAUCAGUAGUCGAAUCAAGCUGAGUUAAUUCCUUCAACCAAAGCUUUCUCCAAUUUGAAUCACAACUUUAAUUUACAUUCUUGUUAUUUUAAUUUGAUUUUUAUUAUUGUCAACAAUUCCCCCAUUUUACAUUUUACGUUUCAAAAGGAUUUAAAUAAUUACCGAUCUCUGUGGACACGACCCUGCUCAAUCACUAUACACAAUUUAUUUAGAGUAGGAAUUUAUUUUUGUUGGCUUCGACAACCAUCAAAUUUUGGCGCCGUUGCCGGGGAUUGGUGUCAUUUAUUUAAUCCUUUUUACGUUUUACUUGGUGUAUGGUUCGUUCUUCUCGUACAGGUACACUUUCGUUUGAUCCUGAAAUUGAGAAGACAGCUCGCCAGCUGAGACAGCAGACGAAGCGAGCUAAGCAACGAUCCUCGUCGCCUUUGCUUUCUGAAACAGAUACGGUGCCUGAUUUAGUUCAAUCAUCUAGCGAUUCGGAAGAACAAGUGAUGAAUAGAGCUGCACCUGUAGAAAGAACUCUUAGAGAGUUAGCUGAACCAGACUUGAAUCAGCAACCACUCUGCAUUCAAUAUGUAGACUUGGAGGUAAAUUUUGAAUUAAAGUCUGGUUUUAUUCAUUUAUUACCCAAGUUUCAUGGUUUUGCAGGUGAAGAUCCUCAUAAACAUCUUAAGGAGUUUCAUGUUGUAUGUUCAAGUAUGAGACCACAAGGCGUGACUGAAGAGCAGAUUAAGCUGCGUGCUUUUCCGUUCUCUGUAGAUGGGCUAGCUAAAGAUUGGUUGUACUACUUGCCUCUUGGAUCGAUUACAACGUGGAAUGGUUUGAAGAAGCAGUUCCUCGAGAAGUACUUUCCUGCUUCAAGAGCUGCCAACAUCAGAAAAGAUAUUUGUGGGAUCAGACAACUUCCUGGGGAGACUUUGUAUGAGUAUUGGGAGCGAUUCAAACAAUUGUGUGCCAGUUGUCCUCAGCAUCAGAUUUCUGAUCAACUUCUUAUUCAAUAUUUUUACGAAGGACUGUCAUUGAUGGAUAGGAGUAUGAUAGAUGCUGCUAGUGGAGGCGUGUUAGUGAACAAGACCCCUACUCAAGCAAGGGAGUUGAUAUCAAAUAUGGCUGCCAACGCACAACAAUUUGGCAGCAGGCAAGAUCCUACUUCAAGGAAGGUGAAUGAGGUAAAUAUUUCUUCUGUUGAACAACGUUUAGAUAAACUUACUUCUCUUGUGGAAAAGUUUGUUGUAGGCAAUGUGCAACAGGUGAAGACUUGUGGCAUUUGUUAUAAUAUGGGUCAUUCAACUGAUAUGUGUCCUACACUUCAAGAAGAACCUGUUGAACAAGCCAAUGUAGUUGGAGGAUUUCCAGGCAUGCCUCAGAGGAGGUAUGAUCCUUAUGCACAAACAUACAAUCCGGGAUGGAAGGAUCAUCCCAACUUCAGCUAUGGAGUUAGGCCGUCAGGAUUCCCACAACAGUAUCCACCAAGACAACCAGCACCUCCACAGUCAACCUCCAAGUCAGGUAUAUCUCUUGAAGAAAUUGUUAAAUCGCUUGCGACUAAUACUCAACAAUUUCAGCAGGCAACUACAGCAAGCAUUCAGAACUUGGAGAACCAAAUGAGUCAAUUGGCGACUACAGUGAGCCGUCUGGAGUCUCAAGUAUUAGGGAGAUUGCCUUCACAAUCUGAGGUGAAUCCAAAGCAAAACGUUAGUGUUGUCAUCCUUAGAAGUGGGAAGGAGUUGCAAGAGCCUAGUAAGAAAGUGACAGAGCAUGUAGAAGAUGAGCUUAAGAAGAAUGAAUUGAUGCCUCAAUCUCAAGAUGCACAACCCACCAGAGUGAAACCCCUACCUAUUGUGAUACCUCCUCCUUUUCCAAGCCGGUUUGCAAAAUCCAAGAAGGAGGAACAAGAGAAAGACAUCCUUGAGACAUUUCGCAAGGUUGAGGUAAAUAUUCCUUUAUUAGAUGCUAUUAAACAAAUACCUCGAUAUGCUAAAGUCCUUAAGGAACUGUGCACCUCUAAGAGAAAAUUAAGAGGAGAUGAAAAAGUUCAUAUGGGGGAGAAUGUUUCAGCAGCUCUCCAAAAGAAAUUACCUCCCAAGUGCAAGGAUCCAAGUAUGUUUACUAUCCCUUGCAAAAUUGGUAGUGUUAGAGUCGAGAAGGCUAUGUUAGAUCUAGGAGCUUCUAUUAAUGUCAUGCCUCGUUCCAUUUAUUCAUCUUUGAAUGUUGGUCCAUUAAAAAAAACUGGCGUGAUAAUUCAACUAGCUGAUAGGUCUAAUGCAUAUCCUGAUGGGGUAUUAGAAGAUGUCUUAGUACAAGUUAAUGAGUUGGUUUUUCCUGCUGAUUUUUAUGUACUUGAUAUGGAAGAUGAUAACUCCUCUAAUUCUGUCUCAAUUUUGCUAGGAAGACCUUUUCUUAAGACUGCUAGAACUAAAAUGGAUGUACAUAAAGGGACUCUCACUAUGGAGUUUGAUGGAGAGGUUAUAGAAUUCAAUAUGAAUGAUGCCAUGAAAUAUCUUAGUGAGGAACAUUCGGUAUUUUCUGUGGAUGUUAUUAACCCUAUAGUGCAGGAAGUUUUUUACAAGAAAAAAACGAAGACAUUUCAUGAUAGAAUGAUUUUGAGAAAGGAGUUCUCUGUUGGUCAAAAAGUUCUUCUUUUUCAUUCUAAGCUUAAACUUUUUCCGGGUAAAUUACGUUCUUGCUGGGUUGGACCUUUUAUUAUUACUAAUAUUUUUCCUCAUGGUGCAGUUGAGAUUCGGAGUCCGACCUCUGACAAAGUUUUUAAGGUUAACGGUCAUCGCUUAAAACCUUUUUAUGAAGGUUUUUCGGUGAAUAUUGUGGAGGAUGUGGCUCUCGAGAGUCCCAAUUAUGGAGAUUGAUGCAUAAAUGUGUCUAGCCAAAGACAUAAAACAAAGGCGCUUUUUGGGAGGCAACCCAAAGGAUUUAUUUAUUUUGACUUUUGUUAUAUCUUUUAUUUUUAAUUUAGAUUUAGAUUUUUUUUUAUAAUGUUUUUGCUUAUUUUGGUCAGAAGAAAAUUUUUGAUAAGGCGUGCCCACGUCUUAACUAAUAAGUACUUUUGUGAUUUUUAAAGUAAAAUGGUUUUAAGGCGUGCCCACGUCCUUAUUAGAAAAGUACUUCUGAAAUUCUUUGUGUCUCAAAGUGAUUCAUCACUAAAAAAAAAUUAUUUAUUUAUUUGAAAAUUAAAAAAAAGGAAAAAAAAACUUUUUUUUCCUUUCUUUUCUUGCUUUUUUAUAUAUAUUUUUUUAUUUGAAAAAAAAACGAAAAAAAAUUUACUGUUCAUAAAAUCCCUAAUUCACAGAAUUGGUUUUCUUCUCCAGCUUUCACCGACCAGCCCACGCAGCAGCAGCAGCACGCAGAACCAGCGUCAGCCCAGCCCUCGCGUGCAAUCAACCCCAGCACGCAAAUCCAGCAGCCCACUAGCGCAGCAGGACCAGCCCCAGCAGCGCACAGCAGAAUCAGCCCCAGUGCACAGCAUCCCGCACGCAACCAGCGUCACCAGCGCGCAACCAGCAAUCCACCAUCGGGCCAAGCUCCAGCCGAGCAGUAAUCGUCCGCAACCAGCCUACGCCCUUAUUCCAGCCGGGUGAAUCGAAAUCCGUGAGUGAAAUUAUUGUAACAAUGCCGAAGAGGAAAGCAUCAACUUCCAAGUCAUCUAAAAAGACACCCGUCGCAAAGAUAUCCAAGAUUGCCGCUCUCAUUACAGUUUCAUGGAACACAGUUUCAGAUUCACGCCGAGUCGUGAGACAAAGAUCGAACCAUGGAAAAGGCAUGAGUGUUUUGCCACUUGCGGAAUCCAAUCUCGGAGGGUGCCUUGAAUUUACGACUCAACAAGAGAAAGAAAGUUUACUGAACCAGGACCCACUCAACCUCCAAAGAAGCUUUAUGCUAGAAGUGGUGCUACCUCUGAUGACGAGUUUGACGACGACACUGCUGCCCCGCCGACUAUUCCUUCUACAUCCACACCACCUUUGAGCAUUCAGUUAGAGAAAAUGGAGCCCAAGUUGAACAAGAUGGAGCAGAAUUUGGCCGCAUACUUCAAGAGUGUAGGAUUUAUCCCACCAUUUCCGCCAAGCCCAUAGACGUUAUGAGGAUCAAAGCUCACAAUUCAGGGAAGUUUUUGCCUUUAAUCUUUUAUCCUUAUGCUUUAAUUUUUAUGUGAGCUUUGAUUAUCUUACAUUGGGGACAAUGUAAGUUCUUGGUGUGGGGGAGGGAUUUUUGCAUUAUUGAUGUCUGGAAGUAUUAUUUUCACUCUACUAAUCUAUUUUCAUUCUACUCAUCCUUAAAUGAUUUUGGAGUUAGUAUGCUUCAUAUAUUAUUAUUUUUCUUUUCUUUUCUUUCUCACUACUCUUUUUCCAUCUAUCUCAAAUUAUUUACAUCUAUUUUUAUUCUAUCAUACUCUUUCAUCACUCACAUUUUAUCUUUCACUUUUCAUAUUACUACAUACAUCUUUCUCACUUCUUAUCAUUUUUACCUUUACUUCACUCAUACAUUCUUCUCAUUCUACACCACUAUUGAUGGUUGAUUCAUUUGAAGAGUGUACAUGAUUUGAUGGCAAAUUUACCAACUUUGUGAGGAUUUGAGCCAAUGAGCAACCACUUUGCUCUAAUUAUUUUUGUUAUGUGAAUAUCAAUCUUAGUUUGUUUAUUCUAGAACUUGCUUUGUUAUGCAUGUUGAAGCCACAUUACGGGAUUUUUUGCAUUAAAAUGAUAAGGGCAAACCAUUUGCCAUUUUUCUAUUCUCGCAUUUUCCUUUUUCUCUACCCGAAGACCUUUAUUUGCUACCUUUGUUUGAGCCUUAACCAUUACCCAUCUAAUUCUCUCCGUCUACUUAACCAUUUUUCUUCUUUUUGAGCCUCAAUUUAAAGAGAUUUUUGGACUCAUUGUGUGGAUAUAUUUUGUUGCUUUUUCUACCUUGUAUUAAAGUUUCUCAAUUAGAUCAACAAGCAUUAUGCUUGAAUUAAAUUGUGCAAGGUUCGUUUCUUUUGUUUGAUUAAAAAACAAAACAAAAAAAAAGAAAAAAAAGAACAAAAAAAAAAGAAAAAAAAGAAAAAAAAAAGAAGAAAAAGAAAAAUAAAAAAAAAGAAAAAAAAAGUUUACAUUCUUGGUGACUUGAGUAGAAAUAAGCAUUUUGAUAUCACAAGUUCAUUCAAUGAGUUCAUUCUUCUCAUUUUAAUCUCUUUUUCUUUCGUAAACCUUUCUUUUCCAUUCAACCUAUUUAACCUCAUUACAACCCUUAGAUUUUUGCAUUUUAUUCAUGUUUUGUGGAUUGAGAUGUGAUAUAUGAGCAAGCUUAUGGUAAUAGCAUUCUUUGAUUUGAUUUGAGUGCAUAAAUGAUACCCUAAACACUUUGAGUGCAUGGAGUGAAGUUAUUGAGAGGGCUAUUAAAUCUUGUUGCACUUGAAUUUUGAAUGGAUCCUCUUGGUGGUUGAAUGUUCUUAUUCUAUCUUAUGAAAUUCUAUGCUCUAAAAUCCUUGUCUCUCGAAUGUUGAUCGACUUAAUUUCUUGAGGUAUGCUUGCUUAAAAUUGUUUUUGGAUGAGUUGAGAUGAGAAUUGAGUGGAGAUUUGAGAUUAAUCUUGAGUUAUAUGCUUGAGGACAAGCAUCAUCUUGGUGUGGGGGAAUUUGUUAGAGUGCAAUUUAUGCACUAGUUUUGCAUUGUUUACUUCCCUUAAUAUCGAUGUUUUGCAUUUAAUAAUAGUGAUUUACUUGUGUUUUACUUUUGUAGGUGCAAUUCUAUUGAUUGGUGAUAAAAUUGAGCUAUAAGAUGAUGUUUAAGGAUGAUUGUUCUCUUGGAGAAAUUAUGAGCGGCAGAAGAACUUUGUUGAUAAGGCGUGGGCGCGUGCUGUCAACUGCGGACCUGCAGUUUUUAGUUUAACGUGUUUUGUAUUUUUGGCUAUUUUUUAAUUACGAAUUUAAUAUUUCAAAUAUUAGUAUUUUAUUUUAAAUAGAACUCUAAAAGAGAAGAGAGAGAGAGUAUUUAAGGGAGGAAUCUAUUGUGAAAAAGGAGGGAAUUUUGAUUGGAGAAAAAGAAAAGAAACCCUAGAUCUAAUUUUUCUCUUCUCUCUAUGAAGAACUAAACUUAUUUUUCUGGUUGAAGAAUAAUGAAGCUUUGAUUCAUCACUACUGUGAGAUCUUUCUUGUGCUUUAAUUGUUUUAUUGCUUUUUGGGUAUUUGUUUAUUCUCUGAAUUAUUUUCAUGAUUAUGUUUGUUAAUUAGAUAAUUGGCCACUAUUUAAUUAUCAACUUAAUCUAUUGUCAAUUAAAGGAUUCAUCGUAUGAAGAAUUUAAUGUUUGUGACAAAUAACAUAGCAGAGAGUUGUGUUGUGAGAAUAAACAAUCUAAUUUAAAUAAAUCAUCAUAUGUGUUGAUUAGGAUUUGGGUCUCUCUGGUUUUUUAGGCUGUCAAUUGAUUAAAUCCUAUGAUCGUAUCUAGGGUUGUCUAUUGAUUAGGGAAAUCGACUAAUUAAGGAGAGAUUGACUAUUAGAGGGUCUCAGUAGCUAUAACCGGUCUAUUCAUAAGUAAUAAUAAUUUAUAUAUGAAUCAAUGAUCAGUAGUCGAAUCAAGCUGAGUUAAUUCCUUCAACCAGAGCUUUCUCCAAUUUGAAUCACAACUUUAAUUUACAUUCUCGUUAUUUUAAUUUGAUUUUUAUUAUUGUCAACAAUUCCCCCAUUUUACAUUUUACGUUUCAAAAGGAUUUAAAUAAUUACCGAUCUCUGUGGACACGACCCUGCUCAAUCACUAUACACAAUUUAUUUAGAGUAGGAAUUUAUUUUUGUUGGCUUCGACAACCAUCAAAUAAACAGAGAAAAUAACCGAUCAAUUCUUUGUGCAGUGGCCACAGCAACAGCGAAAAUAUGUCUGCAUGACUACAUUAAUUAAUCCUACCAUCACCAUGCAACAUUAAAUCAACAUUUGAUCAUCUAUCAAUUUUCAUGAUAUGAGAUUAGAAACAUUGAGUUCAUAAUUUCGUGUAAUUUCAUGUACUAGAUGUAUAUAAUUGAUUUGAGUUAGUUUAACAUCUAAAGAAAGAGUAAUGGGGAAUGAUGUCGAUGUGGCAUUUGAUGAGUAAUGAUAGACAACAAAUACUGAUCAUGUAAGAAUGAAGUCUGUAUUUACUGAAAAAUAUUUGGCAAUAAAAUGAUGCUUUAAAAAAUUAAUAUUAGUUGCACGAAAAUAAAUUGGCAACUAAAAUUAAUAGAUAUAUAUCCAAUGCUUCGAGUUUAUUUUAUCACUUCGCUAACAAUUUUGUAACUACAUUUUAAUUAUAAUGUCGAAAAGAGAUUUGAUUUUUGUAUUAAAAAAAAUUAGAAAUGAAACAAGUCAAAAUCAAUCAUAAGAACAACAAUAAGAGCAUAUUUUAUAAAAACCACAAAUACAUAAUAUAAAUUUAGUUUCGAAUUAGGUGAUUAUUAAUUUACAUAGUAAGAGAGUCUUAUAGAAAAAUAGGAAUUUUUUUAAAAGAGAUUUGCUUAAGGAACAAAUUUAGUAAAUUAACAAUCACCAAAUAUGGUAGGGUGGCAGGCAGAGGAAGCGUGGUUCCUAAUCCUAAUCUUGAGUGAUAACUGGCUAUGUAACAUGUGGCAUUCUACAUUCUUGCAAUGCCAUUAAUUUCUUGUUAUGGCAGCAGCGUUCUUUCAUCAUGGCAUCACAAGCAAAUGUUUGAUUUGAAGACUUGCUUAGCUGAGAAAAAUAAGGAGAGCAAAGGUAAUGAAUUUUGGUGUGAUAAAUAUUUUUAUGGAUGUACUAAGAAAAAUAAAGAUAAUAGAAGUGAUGUUAUUGAGGAGCAUUUUGAUAUUUACCAAAGUGUUCAAAGAAAAAAGUUAUUUUUUGAAAUCUAUUUGCUGGUGCACAUAACAAAAGGGCAUUCUGAGUAAAUUUAAAACUACAAAUAGUUUCACUCUUUUAACAAUAUUCUUCAAUUAAUUCUGUUUAUUUCAAAAUAAAUAUUCUAUCUCUUUAUUACUUUCUAACUAGUCAUGCUAAUAUGCUAAUAAUUAUGAAGAACUAGUGUAAUUUAUAUGAUAUAAGAAGCCCUUUAGCACAUUAACCCGAAUUUAGCUAAUACAUGUGCCUAAUAUAGCGAAAUCAACAUUCAGCGCAUUAGAGUGCCAUUAUAUAUAUUGAGAGAGAAAUUAACACAAAAAACUGAAUAUUAAUUGACACUGGAUCAUAUUGGAUUGUCAGUUGUUAAUUAUGAUGGGAAUACAAUCUUCAUCUUUUGAUUAUCAGCUAGCUAAUGCAUGUGCACUUUCAUUUGUGUCUAUCACUGAAAAGUAAAGUUGCUUGAUUGAGUAGUAUCAUAUCACAGGAACUCCAAACUCAAUUUCAUUGCCGGAGCAUACCAUGCCAUAUGUAGCUUAAAAGUGCAGCUAUCUUAUACUAAUUAUUUAAUACGACUAUUAGCUCUUUAUGAUUAAUUAAAAGAGAAAAUGUUUGACAAUCACGAAAAUAAUAACAAUUCACUCCUAUAAACAACAUAACAAAUACAUGGUCUAUAUUGCAAAUCUUUUUAUGAUUAUAAUUAAAAGAGAAAAUACGAAGACAUAUUAUAUAUAAUAAUUGAAUGUUCUCCUUGAUAAUUAGACAAAAUAACACCAAUCUAGCUAAUUAAUCCAAUCAUCAUACUAAUUCAAUUUUCAUUAUUUAAUUAUGUCCAAUCAUGCUAAUUUAAUAAAGAGCACUGAACACUCGAGUACUUAUAUGUUCAGCAACUUUGGCCGAGUUUGAAAAAGAUUAGAGCUGCAUUUAUGCUUUGUGUUAUUACUUACGACAUGAUCAUAUUAUGUCGCAUUUGUCAGAGAACCGAAAACUGUGGGGGGAAAAAAAAUCCUAAAAGAGAUGUAACGAAAACAAAAUGAGAAAAUAAUGCACACACAUCAUAGCAAUGCUUCAUUCAUUUUGAUUCUAUCUAUACAAAAACUUGUAUCCGAUGGUUUACAUUUGUUUAAUCUAACGGCUAUAACAUGUAUACAGUCAAACGCUACUGCUGCCAUCUUUCUUUGUCCUCGUUGUAUCCUUGAUCUUAUAUUAUCCUGGUGAUUCUUGAAAGAUCUUCUCAUUCUCAUAUGCUGAGUCGCUUGCUGGGAUGAUUAAUACUCGAAGGUCCUUCAUUGAGACAUUUCAGCAAACACCUGAUUCAUUAUAUCAAACAUCUGCAUCACUAAUCGCUAAAAGAUAUAAAAUAGUUCUGUUUUGAAAAAUUGAUAUAAACCAGUCACCUUAGAUUUUCUUAGUCUCAGAGGACAACGGGUGAUGAUUCGAUGAGAAAUAUUAAUAUGCAUGCAUCCGCUGCAUUAGUUAGAGCUGCUUGUCAUUUUCUUCUUUCUUUUGGAUACUAUUUUAAAUUUUUAAUCAGUCUAAUUCAGCUGUAUGUUUGCUUUCAGUCCAAAUCGAACUCAGAUAUUAAGUACUUCUACAGGAAUGGACGCACCCAAAAAUCUAUGGGAUCCGUAGUUCUUGCAGAAGCGGCAGAAUGCUGCCAGCAAUUCAGGCAGAUAGAAGCUUGGUUGAGUGGUUGUUCUUCAAUGUGAAAUUCUACAUAAUGGGGAUCCUUUCAAUGGGGUUUAAAUUCUUUUUUUUUUUGAGUUGUUGAUUUAGAGCAGAUUAAGUAACAUGUGGCAUUCUAUAUUCUUGCAAUGCCAUUUCUUGUUAUGGUAUCAACAUUCUUGACCAUGGUUUGAUUUGCGUAAUUUUGCUUUCUGUUUUUGAUAUUUUCUUCGCAUUGUUGUUGUGGGAUUUGUAGAUAGUGUAUAUGUAUGAAGAUAACGUAAUAAAGUGCUUUUGAUAAAUUCCCCUGGUUUGUUUACUUCACUAAUUCAUUAAUGAGCAAGUCCUCUAUAGAGCUGUGUUGUGCGUACAAGUUUUGCUACAUGAAAUCGUUAGGUGAGGAGAAUUUUUAAAAGCAUACAUCAAAGUAAUGAUUAAAGGGACAAAAUCAACGUAAAUAUUGAUUAUCUUGAGUUAGAUUAUACAAAGAUGAAAUAAUGAUAAUCUAAUAAAUUUAUCAUAAUACACUACUCAAAAAUGCAUUUUAAUGACACAAAUUUUAUGACAUACAUCUUUAUGUCAUGAAAAUAUUUGCAUGAUGUAUAAUGCUUUCGUGAUUAUUUGAUGAUAAAUUCAUAAUUGCUGCUGAUAUGAAAUGAAGUGAUGAUAGGUAAAUAUUAUGCGAUUUUUUUUUUAUGGGUAAGAAUAUUUGAACCCACCAAAUUACUCUUUAAACUUAUUUUUUUAUUGAUAAUUUUAUUACAAAAUUACCGAUAAUUUGAAUUACUAUUACAGACAAACAAUAAUUAUAUAAAAUUAUUUUAUUUUUACUCAUUGUUUAAACCUACCGCAAAACUCAAUCAAAGUAUGCCUUUUUUUUUCUUCUGCAAGUUUUUAAUAAGUUCAUCCUUCAUCCACAGUUGAGAACUUUCUAAUUUUUUUUCUUGUUCUAGUAAUUUGGAUAUGCUGUGUUAGAUACUGAAUUUAUUAAAUUUCUUCUUCUCUUUUGAAUAAAAUCUCUUUAAAAUUCAAUUCAUAAAAAAAUAAAAAAUUAAUCUCCUUAUAAUUUAAUAUGUUUCAGCUGUCUUAGUGGAAUGAUGCAAUUUGUUUCCAUCAAAGUUUUGAAGCAUCCUGAAAUUUUGAGAUCGACAUGAUAACAAAUUAAUUUAAUUCAUGGUGUACUCUAAAUUUUCAGCCACAAAAAAAAUAGCCAAAUUGAAGUGUACCUGGGCAAGAAGAAACUGCGAUUAUACAAUUUCAGUGUUCGACUCUAUCAAUAAAAAAGAAAAUAAAAAAGAACUCUCAUUGUUCCAUUAUUUUUCCCAUAAAUAAUGAUAUACAGAGAAUUUAGUUUGAUAUGGGAUAUAAUAAGUAUUUAGGUGAGUUUAUAAAGUAAAUUUUAAAAUUUUAAAAUUUAGUAAUGGGUUUAUAAAUAAUUGAGUUCAUAUAAUAUUUUAAUAAAUUCAAAUAACCCACCCUUUUUUUUUUUAAAAAAAGAUCUAAUUACAAAAAUACCAUUCCAAUCGGCAGCAUUUUAUAUUUUAUUUUAUUAAAUAUUAUUUUAUUUUUAAAUUACUAGUGACGCAAGAAACGGCAUCAUUUAUUGAUAUUUUUAAAUUGUUUAAGAUUUGUUUAAUUAGAAAAUUGCCAUUGUUGAUAUUUAAUUAAUUUUAAAAAAUAAAAAUAAUAAAAUUGGUAAGCUCUACUCCAUAAGUGAUGAACGAAUUGACAAAUUUGCAGUAAGUGAUGAACGAAUUGAUAAGCUCUACUCCAUCGGCUCCUUAAUUGAGAAAAAACCCAAGCCCGUGCAGCGCAGCCUCACAAUUGAUAGAGACCCUAAGCCACCAAACUCGACAAUCAUCACUCAACGUCGUCGCAAGCUACCGGUCGCUCAACAAGCACCAGUUCCUUGCUCUACAGCCAUCGCUCAACCGCUGCCAUUACCUGUUAAUUAUUCGCUUGAAUUAGGGUUCUGAUAUUUUGGGAUUUUUUGUUAGUCGUGGAAUUAUGAAGCAAGGACGACGAUGACGAAGAUGUGGUGGUUGACGACGGCAAUGGCAACGUUGAAUAUUGAGGCACCGGAGGAAAAAGCAUUGGCUAUGUAUCUUGGUCGAUUUGCCUCGAAUUGAUCACUAAACAUGGGGAUAUCGUGGGCCGAGCUUCAACGCAGUGGCAAAUUUCAUUUGGGUAACUGAAUUUUUUUUUUGUUUAAUUUGUUUAGAGUUCAAUUGUUUAGAUCUAGGCUAAUUUUUAAUGAUAAUUUUUAUGAUUAAAUUAUAUGAGUAUGCUUAAAUUUUUUUUCCUUCAAAUUUAUUUUCUGAUGUUGCAUUUGGUUAGCAAAAAGAUAAAAAUAGUAGAAAAUGUCAGAAUUAUUGUUAUGAAAAUGUUGUUUUAGUCUGAUAUUGGGAAAAUAUCAUUAUACAUAUUGGCAUGAUAUUCAUGGGAGACAAAAUUGAGAAUGAUGACAGACUAUGCAUUGCUCACAACUAAUUUAAAACUCACUAUUUCUAUUGUUUGUGUUUCAGUAACUUUGGGGGAAUUCCAACUAUAGUUAAUAAGCUAUAAACUUGUUUAGGAUUGCUGAUCAAUUUGCUAGAAAGAGUUGCAAAGUAAUUAGCUUUCUCUUAUAACUUUUACAGAUCAUCUGUGGAGGAGAACUGCAAGGAGUUGAAGACUCUAGACCCUAAACUUCAUAUCUUGAUUUAUAAGUGCAAUGGGCAUAAGUCCGAAUUAUGGGCUGGAGAUGGUAUAUGUAAUCUUUCUACUCUUGGUGUUUUUUUUUCCUCUAGUUAUUUUUUGUUCUCUACUCCAUUGUAUAUUUGUAUUCAAAAGUAUUUUUUCUUUGUUUUAAGCUUUUAAAUUUAUGGAGAUGAUCUUAUUAGGUGUUAAAAAAAAUAGUUGUAGAGCUUUACUAAAACUAUGUAAACUCCUAUUGAGAUUUGGGUUUGAUUUUGUAAGAUUGCUAAAAAUUUCAUAUUUUAUACUUGUUUUAUACUUUUCUAGUUGAAUUUCUUGCUUGUGGAAGAUAAAAUAAAAGUCCAAUUCAUGUUGUAAAAUUUUUUUUCCUCCCUUCUUUCUUUCCUUAUAAUCUGGCUCUGGCUUUGGUGCUAUGCUUGGUGCAGUUUAUGGUUUCAAUGCAGGGAACCAAUUUCAUCAUAAUCAUCUUAAAGGAUCAAAAUGGCUUUCUUUUGUAACUGGGUAAGUCAAUGCUACUUCCUGAAUUCGAUUUGGAGUUCUUUCGGAAUAGAUUUCCUUCCCUUACAUCACUUGGCUUCUAGUUGCAUCUUCUUGGCUUUCUCCAGCGGACUUUUUUAUUGGCAAAAUUCCUUUGUUUCUAUUGUUUUCAAGUGCUAGUGCUGGAUUUAGAGGUAUGAAUGGUGCCUUCAUUUUUAUUUUUUUAUUUUUAUUUUGUACUGUAAUAUACUUCUUUGUAUAGCUAGUACAAAAUAGUUCUUCAACUUCUUACUUUUGGCUUUAAUGGGUUCGAUAUAUGAUAGCGGAGCCCUAUCAGCAUUUGAUGUCAGACAACAAAUAGGGGACAGAUGGGAUUAGAAAAAUAAGUAACAUGACCAAAAUAAAAAUCUAAUCUACUCAUAUAAGCAACUCAUCAAAUAAGUGUAUCACAUACUUAAGUGAAUAAGAUUCCGUGAUUUCUAGGAAUCCAAGUCAAAUUAUAACAUUCUUUAAAUAAGACUCACAAGCUUAUUAGGUGUUAUAUUGAAUCAUCUAAGUUGAAUAAUCUUUUGGGUUGAAUAUGUUAAUUUCUUAUUCCAUAUGUUUCAGCCUCUCAAUAGUUGAAUUAGCAAUGAAAAUUUGAAAAUGGAAAAACUCAGUGCAAUUAUUUUAGGUGCUUAUCAUAGAUAAGAAUUUCACUUUUUACACUUCAUUGUCUGUUGUCAAAUUUAUUAAGUAUGAACCCGGAUUAGGUUUGUGCUCUCAAGGAUUUAUAAAUAAGUGCUACUUGACUUAGAUGUAAGAAAAUUGAAAAGCAGAGUUGCUUGAUUGAAUAGCUUCAUAUUUUACAUCACAGAAACUCAAUUUUCAUUGCCAUAUGUAGCUCAAAAGAGCAUGAACAUUGAACAUUCAGCUAAUUUAUACUAAUUAAUUAACACAACUAUCAGUUCUUACUUCUUGGUACCCGGCAACAUCCAUCCAUAAGAGUGAAACCCCCAUUGAUUUCAUAUAUACAAAAUAAAUAACUUACAAAGACAAUACCUGACAAUCACAACAAAAACACUAAUUCACUCCAAUAAACAACAUAACGAAUACAUGGUCUAAAUUGCAAGUCUUGUUAUGAUUUUAAUUAAAAGAGAAAAUGUGAAGGACAUGUUAUAUAUAAUUGAAUGUUAUCCUUGAUAAUUAGACAAAAUAACACUAAUGUAGCUAACUAAUCCAAUCAUUGUAAUAAUUGGAUUUUCUUUUUUUAAUUAUGUCUAUUGAUGCUAAUUUAAUCAAGAACACUGAAUACUUGAGUGUUUUUAUGUUCAACAACUUUGGCUAAGUUUGAAAAGAUCAUAUUAAUUAUUAAUAUAAAUAAAUAAGCCAACAAGGUACAUAUUACAUAUAUGUGUAGUUGCAAUAAAUACAUAUGUAAUAAAGAUCAUAAAGCUCAGGGCCAUUAAUUCAACAUUACCAAAUCAAUAUCCCAAUAAUGGUUUGAUUACUAAUCUAAGCAUUAAAUGAUCAGCAAACUUUAUUUGGCCAAAACAAAUGCUUCCUUGUUGCCUCCUUGAUCUUUUCCUGGCUGGUGAUUCUUGAAUGUUCUUCUCAUUUUGAUAUGCUGAGUCGUUUGCUGAUUAUAAAUGCUAAUCACCUUAAAUUUUCUUAGUCUUCUUCUUCAUGUGAAAUUCUACCUAAUGGCUAUCCUUUUAUCUGGUUUGAAUUCUUCUUUUUUCUUUGAAUUGUUGAUUUCUAAUGUUCUUGUCAUUCGCACAUGUGGCGUUCUGCACUCUUGCAAUGCCAUUUCUUAUUAUGGCAGCAGCAUUCUUGGUCAUGGCAUCACAAGCAAAUGCUUUUGAAUUGCUUUGUUUGAUUUUUGUUUCUAAUAUUUUUUUUUUUUGGCAUUGUGGGAUACUGUUUCUCUUUUGAUUUUCUGUCUUUGUUGUUAUGGGAUUCUGGUAUAGUAUGCAUCAGUACACGUAUGAAGAUGAUGUGAUAAAGUGCUUUUGAUAAAUUGCCCCAGUCAGUUUACUUCACAAACCAACCAUUAAUGAGCAAAUCCUUCUAAUGACCCUUGUACACAUUAGAAUAAAUACAAUUCUAUAUAUACACAAAAAUAAAUAACUCUCAAGUAUAUUAUUUGAUAAUCGCAAAAGCAACAAUUCACUCCAAUAAAUCUUAUAACACACUCAUGGUCUAUGUUGCAAGUCUUUGUAGAGAAAAAAUGAAGGACACACAAUUGAAUUUUUUCUAUGAUAAAGAACUCUAAACAAAUUCAUCUACAUAUCGCAGUACCCCUUACAAAUUCAUUUGUUUCUUCUUUUCCUUUGAUCAAGUGCUAAUUACAGCCUUGAUAUUUCAUUUGGUUUUAGUUAAUUUUCUAUAGGGUUGUGUUGUGUGAAAUUAAUUACAAAACAAUCUUUAACGAAGUCUUAUGAAAAUACCAUAUUAUAACUACAAAGUUAGGCUUCCUAAUCAAGCUACUGUUCAUCAGAUUGUGUAUUGUGUUACUGGUGAGCUCUUAUGUCAAUUAUGACCAGACGGCGCCUUGGCUAACUGUGAGUUAUGUGCGAACAUAAGAGCUGCAAAUGAAUUAUGUACUAUUUUUAUGUGACAAGGUAUGUGCUCUGUUUUUAUGGUCUUUCUCUCUGUAGUUCCCUCUGUAGUUUUUUUUUUUUGGGAUACAUUGAUAAUAAAAUUAGAAGUCUACUAAUAUGUACAACCAGAAACCUAUUGGGGACUUUUUGUCUUUUGAUGCAGUUGUAGGGCACAGCUCAAAUAUUCUUUCCUCAUUUAAUAUUGGAGAAAUCCGACUCCCAAGCGAUUCUGUCUACGGUUGUUGGACAAACUGUAAUGUGAAUUUCUAUCUAAUGGGUGUAUCAUUCUUGCAGUCAGUUUGGGAUUGUUGAUAUAGAUAUGAUGUUUAGUCUCCAAAAUUCAGAUGAUGAUAAUCUUGUGAGUACUUUUUGUCAUAUUUUCUUUUGUGUUGGUGUUGGGAUCUUAAUUUUGUAUCCAAUGUUAGGACAAUAUGAACCCAUUUUAAGUGAUAUGAUGCAAGUUCAUGUUCAAGAAUCCAUUUAAUGAAACAUUCCAGUGUUUAAUAAUGAGUAAUUGGUUUAAGAUUAAUACCAAAUAUUUUAAGUAACAUGUGGCGUAUUCUAGUGAGAUCCUCCAACUCAGAUUUCUAACUCAAAUGGAAACGUUUCGAAUUUCUUCAGAACAUUCUGCAGAACGGUUCGUCUUGUCUUUACAGUUUCUUUUGUGAAUUUCUCCCAGUUUCUUUUGUGAAGACUUCUGAAUAAGCUUCCAGAUAUUGAGAUACAAUCCAAUCUAAGCCCAUACGUAUAUCCGCCUCACAUUUGUCCAUUUCCCCAGAAAAUCAAAAAGCACUUUAGUUCGAAACAAACACUCUAAAAAAAACCAUCUAGCUACCCAGAUGGCGAAAUCAAGAAUCUUGCAAUGGCAAUGCCAUUUCUUGUUAUGGCAGUAGCAUUGAUGAUCAUGGCAUCACAAGCAAAUGCUCUGAUGCCGUACACACGAUCACCUUUCUUUGACGUGAUGUUCCCAAUGACGGAAGAUCCUUUCAGGGUUCUUGAACAAACCCCGUUAACAACCCAAAAGGAGCUGAACAUCAUCAAACUCUAGCACUGGCGAGAGCAGACUGAAAGGAGACACCAACAUCACACGUGAUCACACUCGACAUUACAGGGAUGAAGAAAGACGAUGUGAAGAUUGAAGUUGAAGAGAACAGGGUACUGAGAGUGAGUGGGGAGAGGAAGAGCGAUGAUUAUUAUAAGGAGGAAGUUGAAGGAGAAAAAUGACACAGAGCUGAGAGAACAUUUGGCAAGUUUUGGAGGCAGUUUAGGAUGCCUAUGAGUGCUGACUUGGAUCAUGUUAAGGCUCAUUUGGAAAAUGGUUCUAAGGAUCACAGUGCCAAAACUUGCUGAGGGGAAGAAGAGGCAGCCUAAGGUUAUUAACAUUGAUGAAGAGCCUGGUAAUUCUUCCGGUGAAGAUAUUAAGGCCGCCAAGGCUCAAAUGUGAUUGAUUAAAGAAAGAAGUGCUUACUUUGCUUGAUGUGCUAUUUGUUUUGUAAUCUUUUCUUGGUUUUGUUGUGGGAUGUUUUUCUUUGGAUGUUCUGUUUAUUGUAUUUUGAUGGAUUUUUAAAGAUGGCUUGUAUGUAUUAACAACAAUAAAGUAUUUUUUAUAAAUCCGGGUCCUAAAUUUGUAAAAGAAAUUAAUAAUACGCUUGGUUUAUUGUUAAUAAAAAAAAAAAAGACGUCUCUUUUUCUUUAGCAUAUAUUAUGCAUUUUAAGGGAAAAAAAAUUAUCACAUUCUAAUUUAUAAAGCAUUCCUCUUCUGUCAUAUUAAUGUGUUAAUACGAAGGUCUAUUGGAAUUAUAAUAGUUUAGAUGAAUCCAAAAUAUUCAAUAAUUGAUAAAUAGUAUAUAUAAAUAUUAAUAGCAAUGGCACAUAAUCAAUUAAUUCAAGAACUUGCCCAUAGUGCAUUAAGUUAAAAGAGUAAAAAUAACAUUGCAAAACAGGCCAGACCUUACGUGUUUAAUUAGCAAUUGAAAACUACUUUACCGUACAACACCAUUAAGAGAUAUUUAUAACACUGUUGUUGAUGAGGCAGCUGUUAAUUCUUUUGGUGAAGAUGUUAAGGCCACUAAAGCUGGAACGUAAUCAGGGAAAUAUAAUGUAUUCACUUAGUUUGCUAUUUGUGUUUUUAUAUUUGUUUGGCUAAUUCUUUUAUCAGAUUGCUUUUUGUUUUUGAGAUUUUAUUGGCUUAGUCGUGGGAUAUUAUUUAAUCUUUUAAUUUUGUGUUUUUAUUGUUAUGGGAUUUGAUGAUGGCAUACAUAUAGGAAAAUUAUGUAAGAAAGUGCUUUUAAUAAAUUAUGGUCGGUUUACUAUUAAUUAACCAAAUUUAAUUUACUCAAAUUACUCCUAUACACGAUUAAAAUAAUUUCAAUUCCAUGAUAUAAAUACGCGCGUGCGGACACACAAAAUGUAAAUAACUUUCAAAUACAAAAUAUUUAAAAUAAUCAUCAUACUAACAAUUCACAAGUUAGAUUAUAUUAAGGCCACCAAGGCUUAAAUGUAAUUGAUUAAAGAAAGAAGUGCUUGCUUUGCCUGAUGUGCCAUUUGUCUAUGAUGUUUUCCUGGUUUUGUUGUGUGAUGCUUCUCUUUAGAUGUGUUGUUUAUUGUAUUUUGAUGGGUUUUUGAGGAUGGUUGUAUGUAUUAGCAACAACAAGGUGCUUUUUAUAAAAUCCGGGUUCUAAUUUUGUAAAAGAAAUUAAUACUCUCGGUUUAUUGUCAAUAAAAAAGAAAAAGGAAAAAGCCUUUUUCUGUGGCAUAUAUUAUGCAUUUUAAGGAAAAAAAAAUCACAUUCCAAUUCAUGAAAGACAUUCCUUCUGUCAUAUUGAUGUGUUAAUAGAAAGAUCUCAUAACAAUUUUGAUGAAUCUAAAUAUUUAAUAAUUGAUAAAUUGUAUUUAUAAAUAUUAAUGCCGGUGGCACAUAAGCACUUAAUUCAAGAACUCGCCUAUAGUGCAUUAAUUUAAAGAGUAAAAAUAUUUAAUAAAUCAUGCUUAGUUUACUAUUAAUUAAUCAAAUUUAAUUUACUCAAAUUACUCCUCUACAUGAUCAAAGUAAUUUCAAAUAUACAACACAGAAAAUGUAAAUGACUUUGAAAUAUAAAAUAUUUAAAAUAAUCACCCCACUAACAAUUCACCAGCAAGAUUAUAAAUAGUCGAAAUAAUGAUAAUCUAGGGGGUCCAGUCAUAAUAAUUUGAUUUUUAUUUAUAUUAAUUAUAUCAGAAAGAGUACUCGAGAUUAUAUAUAUCCAACAACUAAAAUUUCAAAACAAUAUUUGCCAAAGUCUGAUGAAGAGAAUACAUAUAUAUAUAACAUGCACUCGCACACAUUCUAUUGUUUAAUUAAAAAAUUCGAAAGCCCAUUAUAUACAUGAUAAAGACUCACCGACACCGAACCAUAUUCAUUUAAAGGAAUUGUUUUUAACUGAGAUUUGAAAUUAUAUACACAAACACACCUGUUUUUUUUUUUUAAAAAAUUACUAAUAAUAAAAUAUUUCGGCAAAACAAAUUUUGCCGAAAGCAAAAAGUCUGGUGAAAAGAAAUGUUAUGUGCAUAUAACCGUACAGGCGCAGCAGAAGGAUAAGUCAAAGAAAAACGAAGUUUCAAUAAGAAAUUAAUUACACAUUUACACUCAAUAAGAAAAUCAAUUCAUUACUUUCUAGCGCUUUUAUUUAAAAAGCGCAGUCUAUUUUUUAAUUAAAAAAAUUCGAAAACCGAUUACAUGAUAAAAACUCACCGACACCGAACCUUAUUAAUUUAAAAUAGUUUUCAACUAAGAUUUGAAAUUACAUUCACAAACACACCCAACUAAAAAAGAAAAAUUCUAAUAAUAAAACAUUUCAGUCAUCAAAAACCCAUUUAUAAUUUAUUUCAACACGCGGUAUAUGGGUUAACAAGUCCCAAUAUUGUCCUCCAUCCUUUCUGCACUUCUCUUCUAUCAACGGACAUCCCUCGAUGUAUAAACACAAAAGUGAGGAAGGCAGGCCCUUCUCCGGAAAGUAUUUGAGCUUGGGACAAUCCCAGAGAUGCAAUUGAGUGAGGUUUUGAAGAUCAACAAUUGAAGAAGAUAGGCGUUCCAGAUUUGGAAAUCUGAAAAUCCACAGAGAUGUUAGAGAGGCAGGAAGAGGAAGCGCGGUCCCCAAUCUUAUGUCCUCCGGUGGGAACGACACCGUGUCCUCAUCACAUCCUUCGAUUCUAAGUUCUCGCAGAGAGGAGAAUCUGUGAAAUCCUCUGCUCCGCUCAAUCAUUGACUUCCAAAUUUUCGUAUUACCAUCAAUCUCCAGUGAAUGAAGGUUGGUGGGAAGGCCAUCUUCUUCAAGGCUUGGAAGCUCACCUCCUGUUCCUAUUCUUAAUUCUUGAAGAGAGCUCAGAUUGUGCAAUCCCUUGGGUAAGGCCUCUAGUCUCUCACAAUCAGAUGUCUCCAGCGUCCUGAGUUUCGCACAAGGCAAUCCCCCUUCGGGAAAGGACACCAGAUUUCCACAAUUCCAUAUCUUAAUCUCUUGAAGCUGGCGGAGAUUAUGUAAACCACUCGGUAAAAUUUUCAGAUUUUCACAAUUAGAAAUGUCGAUUGUUUCAAGAGAUGUGUUGUUGUCCAACCUUUCUGCUAUUGACUCCAGCUUUGAACAACUCCGAACAUUAAGGCUCUUAAGAGACGGAGGUAGAUUGCCAACUUCAAGGGACUCAAGCGUGGCAGGUAACUCGUUUUUUGAAAAUAUACAUGUCAGUGAUGGACAAACUGCAAUUAAUAAGUGCUCAAGAAGAGAUGAGGUGUACCUUCUGCUGCUGCUGCUGCUGUGGAUGCCCUCUUCCACUGUCAAAGUCCUUAUGUUACUGCACCACUGGAUGUCCAACCUCUUAAGGCUUGAUGGUAGCUGGACUCCAGCAAUAUAUGUCAACGAACGGCAAUCCUCAAUAUACAAGAUCUCGAGAGACGAAUUGGUGUCGCACAUCCAUGCCUCCGGUAACGAUUUCAGUGCGUCACAUUCCCUAAUCUCAAUUUGCUUCAACUUGGAAGGCAGAGCAACCUCAGGAAAGGAAACAAGGGAACUGCACUUGUAGAUUUCUAUCUCUCUCAAGGAACUGAGGCUGAGAGAUGAUUGUGGCAGCUUCACAAGGCCUUCGCAAUAUCUCAAUCUUAGAUAUUCGAGUCUGCAUGACAACUGGCAGAGCUGCUGUUGUUGGUCUUUCUCUUCCUCCGCCACCAAGGAUUGAAGUUUGGGACACCGUCUAAUCGUCAAUCUUUUGAGAGAGCAAAUGUCUUGUAGUAAUCCGUCAUGACUCUUCCAUAUAUAUGUUUGCUCUUUUGUCGACAAAAUUAAUUCUUCCAAUUUCGAUAGUUGUGGCUUCAAGGGCCCCGCAAGAAACACUUGAUUUGAUGUAUCUCUACAAACCACUGAAUUCUGUGAUCCGAGAUGACCAGUUGCACUUUCCCACACAACCUUUUUGCAUCCACCAAUCUGUAAUUUGCAAAGAGCUGGAAGACUCGAAACUGAAACUACCAAUUCUUCACAUCCUUCAAUAACAAGCAUCUCCAAUGCAGGAAGGUGCUCUGGAAAUGUUCCUUUCAGUUUAGAACAUCUUAAAAUGUGAAGCUCUCUCAAUUUAGGAAACCGUUCAACUCCCUGACUGGAUCCAUGAGGAAUCCAGUCUUCCCAUUCUCGCAUGUUUUCAAAACGAAGAGUCUCCAAACAUGGAGGAUCAUUCCCACAGAACUCUGAACCCAACCUUUUUACUCUGCUCAUUCCACGCACUGUAAGAUGCUUUAGAGAGGGCAGUUGCCCGACAGACGGCAGGGCAGUACACAUGCCGCAAUCUUCAAAUUCAAGUGUUACUAAAUUUGAGAACAAGGAAUCUCCUAACCAUGUUGGAAAUUUCAUACCUCCAUAGCCUUUGAUACAAAAUUGCUCCAGAUUUGUAUGAGGUUUUAGCAUGUCAAGCACGCCCAUUUCAGUUUCUGCCUCCCUUGAAGAAGAACCAUCGGUACUGCAAGUCCAUUUAAGCGAUAAUUCUUUCAGAUUCUUCUUUCCAUCCAUUUGAGCCUCCAUGGCAUCACCAACGCAUUUUACAUUCUCCAAUUUUGAAAUGCUAAGUGUCCCAUGAAGGUGCGUCAACAACUUUAGCUCUCGUAAACCGGAACCACUGCCUUUUCCCACAACAAAAUUACACAACGUCUGAAGACUAGUCAACCUACCAAUUCCUACUGGCAUUUCCUCCAACGACUUCGUAUUUGAAUUCUUAAGAUGAUGCAAUUUGAUGAGGUUCCCCAUGUCUGCACACAACUUCUUCAGCCGAUCACAAUCUUCCAACAAAAGACUAUGCAAAUUGUAAAGCUUGUUGACUGAUUCAGGCAGAGUUCUAAUCUCAGUUCUAGACAGGUUAAGGUACCUUAAAUACCUCAAAUCACCAAUUGAAUCUGGCAGCUCAGGGAUGCGGUAUCCACGCAAAGAGAAGACCCUCAAGCGUUGAAGUUUGAGCAACUUAGGAAGAAUGCUAGGAGCCAAGUAGCCAGGCCAUCUAUUUGUCAACAUUACUGGUAAAAAAGUUCUCAAAUGUUGGAUAUCAUACAAGUCCCCAAACCUUUGAACGCCAUCAUAAUCUCCACAAAUGUAUGAUAGAUGACGAAGAUUUCUGGAAAAACAUUGUUGCUUGUUAACCUCCGAGGUAUACUCCAGUGUGAAGUAUGUCUCCCCUGCAGCCCAACGGGCAAGGUCGUUGAUAAGAUCGUGCAUAACAAAUAGUGAUGCAUCGGUGGCCGAUUGCUGGAAAAAAGAUCUUGAACAUAGCUCCUUAAAGAAAUCACGACCUAAAUCUUCACUAGGAUUCUCAUCUUCUUUGUGAUCCAAAAAACCGGAGGCACACCAUAAUAAAAUUAUCUCCUCCUCUUCAAAUUCAUAAUCCUUUGGUAACAAUGAGCAGUAUGCAAAGCAUUGUUUCAAAGUUGGAGGAAGAUAAUAAUAGCUCACUGCAAGGGCUGGUAUAAUGCGACACCUCUGUUCUGGUAAUUCCCAUAUCUUGCUACCGAGCACACCUUCCCAUACCCGUCUGUCAUGUCUUCCACGUAAUAGUCCUCCAAGUGUUUGUGCAGCUAAGGGCAAGCCAUCGCAUUUGGUCACUAUCUUCUUGCCAAUUUCCUCCAAUAACUCAUGCGGCCCCAGAGAAUGUUGAGCGAAUAUAGCUAGACAGUCAUUAUCUGACAAUUUUUUUAAUGGAUGAGGUGGAAGAGUCCCCAUGAUUGUUGCAACAUCCUGAUUGUGAGUAGUAACAAUAAUCUUACUUCCCUGUGCACCAGCUUCAAAUGGAAGGCUGAGCUGAAUCCAAUCAUCGUAACUAUCAUUCCAUACGUCGUCUAAAACAAGCAAAAAUUUCUUUCGAGACAACUGCUUCUUUAGCUCCUCUUGAAGAAAAUUUAAAUCAUUAUUAUCAACAGUCUGCUUAGUAAUGGAGCUUAGAAUUGUUCUUGUUAGCCUGAUAAGAUCAAAAUCAUCAGAGACACAAGUCCAUGCCUUGAGAUCAAAAUGAUCCUCCACUUGCUUGUAGACAAGCUGAGCAAGAGUGGUUUUACCCAGCCCGCCCAUACCUAUAAUGGGAAUAACUGCGAAUCCACCAUCCUUUCUUGAAUCAUCCUUCAACAACAAUUCAACAAUUUCCUUCUUUUCUGUUUCCCUGCCAUAUACUUUGGCUUCCUCCACCAAAGAGGUUGUCUCUUGCCUUUGCCUGGCUUUUUUGGACCCCCCAGCUAAACUUUUUAUCAAAUUCAGCGAGCGUAUUCCUUCUUCAAUAUCUUGAAAUCUGUCGUUGAUCUUUUUGAUUUUGGACAUCAAGGCGAAAUCGAACUGAAUCGAUUGUAGAGUAAAAGUGGUACAGCAAGUAGGAAUGAGCUUCCGAAACUUACUCUUCGUGCUUGUACGACUGCUGCUGGGUUGAUCAUGAGCAGCAGCUGGUUCUCCAUUUCCAAGCAGCAACUUCCUCCGGAAAGCCUCAGUUUGGAACUCAUCCAACAAGUCUUCAACGUCAUAAGCCAAGUUCUGAAGCUCGCCAAGCCACAACUUCACAUAAUCAUCAGUCGUCUUCUUCUCCUCAGCAUCAUCAAGCACCGCCUUGAUCGUCACCAACUUAUUCUUCCACUUCACUAGAUCGUCUUUGAUUCGACCUUGGCGUGCAAAACGCAGAAUCCCCUUUGAAGCUAACUUAUUGACCAGCAACUCAACGGACGCCGUCAGGAUUGCCUCUCCGAUGAUUGACAUUUUUUCUUUUUUCUUUUUUUUUGGGUUUUUUUGGACAAAGAAAAAAACUAAAUUAUGAGUUUGUGGAAAGCAAAAUGAGAAAAGUGAAUAAGCGGAAUGUGUUUGUGAUUGUGUCUAGCAAGCCUAGAAAUCAAGAAAAAUCCACCGUAAAAGUGAAAAGUAAAACGGAGCCCACCACAAAUAUAAAAUCAGAGGAGCACAGAAUAAAAAAAAAAACAAAAGAAAAGAAAAAGCCAAGCCAAGAAUCAUAUGCCAUUGCUUUACAUAUUAAAUUAAAACAAAAGCCAUGCCAGGAAUCCUGCCUUUGCUUGAUAUUUGACAAGAUUAAUUGGACAUUACACAUUAUUUCACAGAGAAUAAAACUUGUAAAGAACCAAACCCAUCAAACCCUUUCUUUAUCUUAAAUGUCAGAAAUAUAUAAUUAGCUUGGAAUAAAGCUAUACUCUUCUCCUUUUUCCAUUUCUACAGGUUCAUAUAGGCAUAUCAUAUGGAUUUUGUUUUAUGCUAGGUAAUUAUUAAUUUAUAUAAUAAUAUAUUUCCCUCAAAAUAUACUAUUUGAAUUUGAAAUAAUUUUUUAAAAUAAUUUAAUAUCACAAUAAUAGUCAUGAUUCAAUUCGGUUCAGUUUAAUUUUUUUAGAGAAAAAAUUUGAGAAAAUAGACAAAUAAUGAAGACGCAAUUGAAGCACAGCCAAUAAACAGGGUAAAGUGAAUUGCGUCCUGUCCUUGAGCACUCAAUUCUCUUCAAUCUCAAAUUUAUACGUACAUUUUUGUAAAUUCAUGUCAUAUACUAGAGUCUUUUGGGUUCUGUUACAUCAAUUGUUUCGUGUCUAUCUUGUUUUAUUAAUUUAUGGAGCAAGAUUGCUAGUAGCGAUAAACCUGGAAUAAAACGAUUUAUUUAUUUUAUAUAUAUAUUGCGUUGUUAUCAGCAAAAAAUAUGAUGGGUUUCGUUUGUAACAACUAGCUAAUUGCUUAAUACAUUUUUGUACUUCUCGUCAUGAAGUCACGAGGAACUUGUAAAUAAGAUCAUAGACGUGGUACGAUGUGACGUGAUAAAUUUAAAUCAAAUCUAAACUAAGAUGGUUCAUAUAUAGGUACAUACUGAAUAAAGAUAUUUAAAGCAUUCAAUUUUAUGACAUACCUAAUAGUCAUUGGCUUAUUGUUAUUAAAGGAAGUGAAUAGAAAUAGAUGUAGAAAGUGAAAAAGAUGAACUAGCGCACAUGAUGAUUUCUCAGAUAAAAAGUUAAAUUUAUAUUCUUUUUUUUAAUAAGUGUGAGAUGAUUUACACCCUAAAAUUUAUUUUGAACACUCAUAUUUUUAUUACAAAAAACCCCAUAGUUCAAUUUACUGGUAUGGACAAUUCAAUAAAAAUACAUAGAACAAUAAUACUUUUGACACCCAUCUGGCUAUAUUUAACAAGUUUGCACGCACAGACUCUAUGAUUCUAAUUUCUUUGACUUGGUUUUAGUUUUUGUUGAAUAUAUAUCUACCUAUAUAAAGUGUUAGUGAUUUUUCACUUCUCUACCAAGGAGAUUCUACACGAAUAAACAACCGCAGAAAAAAAAAUAUAAAAAACCUGAUACAGGUGAAGAAGAUAUUCAUCAUAACAGUUUUUUAAAGUUGAUGAGUCCAAAUAUCCAAUAACUGAUAAAUUGUGUUAAGAAAUAAAAAAUAUUAAUAGUGAUGACACAAAGGAAGUCCCGUGUUUUGAGUUUGACUAAAAUAAUCUGAAUAAUUUAAAAUAAUCGAUCAGGCCAAAUUGCUGAAGAGAUGAACGGCCUCUGUUUUUUACCAUAAUACUAGGAAUUGACUUCAAUUGGGAAGUCAGGCCAAUCGAAGGAGCUCCCCUGUUUCUGACUGAAACAUAAUCCUAACAAUUUACAAUUAAAUAAAUCAUUCAAAAUUUCUCCUUUAAUCGAACCCCCACUUCUAUGACUUAAUAAAAUAUUACAAAAGUUCUUAAUACAGUGAAAUUAACGUUCAGCUCAUGAAGUCGCCAUUAUAUAUAUUGAAAAAGAGAUUAGUACAAGACAUUGAAAAUUAAUUGACAUUGAAUCACGUUGGAUCCUUAGUUGUUAAUUAUGAUCUUGGUCUUUUAAUUAUCAUCUAGCCAACGCAGGUCCACUAGUUUCAUUUGUGUCAAUCACUGAAAAGUAGAGCUUUAUUGAACACCGCAUAUUACAGAAACUCACUCGAUUUUCAUUGCCAUACAUGUAGCUCAAAAGUACAUAUUAUAUCAGUGAACAUGGAACAUUCAGCUAACCUAUAACAAAUAUAAUAAAAUCUCAAUAAAUUAAUAGUUCUGGGACCAAUGAAAAAUUAGUUAAAAUUUCAUGAAUAUCAAUUAGUCGAUAAGUUAAUAAAUUAUUAAUUUAUGAAAAUAUUCAUUAUUUUGGAAAAAAAUGAUUACGUUUAUAGUAUUGAUUUACGUUGAGUUAGAAUCUAUUAUUUUUUAUUUGAAUAUUAAUUUUCUUUUAAGAAGAUUUUUUAAUAGUUAACUACUUUAUAAUAAGACUAUUGUAUGAUUUUUAUUUUUCCAUGUUAGAGAUGAUAGUUCUGCUAUGCAAGCUGUUUCGAUCAAAGGAUUAGAUGAUAUUGACAUUGAAUAAUUUUUUGUUGCAAAAUGACAACACCAAUUAGAAUUUCUUUUCGCAUUACAAAAGAAAAAAAUGAGAUCCAAUUCUAAAUUAAUUUAAAAAGAAAUAAACGAUGCUGAGAAUAAAUUUUACACAAGCCAUAUAGACAUAUCAUAUGGAUUUUGUUUUAUAUUAGGUAAUUAUUAAUCUAUGUAGUAAUAUAUUUCCUUCAAAAUGUACUAUUUGAUUUUGAAAUUAUUUUUGAAAAAUUUAAUAUCAUAAUAAUAGUCAUGAUUCCAUCGGUUUGAGGUUUUUUUUUUUUUUUUGGUUUAAGAAAAAAGAUGGGACAAUAGUCAAAUGAUGAAAACACAAGCUAAGCAGAGCCAAUAAACAGGGGAAAGUGAAUUACUGUCCUUGAACACGUUCUCUAAUAAUCUCAAUAUUCUACGUACAUUUUUGUAAAUUCAUGUCGCAUACAAAAGCCUUAUGGGUUUUGUUGCAUCAAUUCUUUGGGGAUUUAUCUUGUUUUAUUAUUUUGCGACGCAAGAGUCCUCGAAGCAAUACAUUUGGAAUAAAACGAUUCAAUUUAUUUUUCGUUGUUAUUAACAAAAACUAUAUAUUAUUAAUUAAUCAACUCAUCGAGAUAUUGGUUUCAUUUGUAACAAGUAGCUAAUUGCUCAGUACAUUGUUGUACUUACUCAUUAUCAUAUCAAGACGAACUUGUAAAUAAGAACAUAGACGUGGUACACUGUGAUGUGAUAUAUUUAAUUCAAAUCUAAAUUAAGAGAUGAUUCAUAUAUAUAGGUACAUACUGAAAAAAGAUAUUCAAACAUAAACACUCCAUUUUAUGAUAUACCUAACAAUAAUCGGUUUAUUGUCCAUAGGAAAUGGAGUGAAUAGAAACAGAUGUAGAAAGUCAAAAAGAUGAACGAGCGCACAUGACGAUUUAUAAAAUAAUAAAUUAAAUUUAUAUCGUUUUUAAUAAGUGUGAGAUUAUUUACAUUUUCAAAUUUAUUUUGAAUGCUCUUAUUUUUUACUACAAAACCUCAUAAUUCAAUUUACUAUUAAGAGCAAUUCAAUAUAAAUAAAUAGAACAAUAAUACCUUUGACACCCACCUAGAGCGCACACACCCAUGUAAAAUUAUUAAACCUUAAACCGAAGAACAUUCUUCCUCAACAUUAAAACUCGUGCAUUAUUUAAAACCAUAUUUAACAAAUUUUCACAAAGAGACGCCAUGAUUCUAAUUUCUUUGACUUACAUUUCAAUUUUUGUGGAAUAUAUAUCUAUUCCAUAUUAAGAGAUUCUGAAUCUUUCACUCGGCUGUCAAGGAGAUUGUACUGAAUAAACAACAGCAGAAAAACAAAUAAAAAACUUGAUACACGUGUAGAAUAUACUCAUUAAAUUUUAAUUUUCGGCACAAUUAUGAGCUGCAUAUUUAUACACACACACAAAUAACUGUUCUGCAAAUAUGUACAAAUCAAUUUCAGCCAUCCAACUUUUUUUCGAAUUUUAAUGAAUAUAAAUUUUAUAAGUUGGGCAACUAUGAAACAUAAAAUUAGCAAAAUGAUAUUAUUAACAAAUAAGGAGAGCAAAAGGUAAUUAUAUCUUGGUGUGCUAAAUAUUUUUAUGGGUGUAGUGAAAAAACUAAAGAUAAUGGAAGAAAUGUUAUUGAGGAGUAAGUGAAAAGUGAUUUCCUAAAAUCUAUUAACUAAUGCGCAAAAUAGAAGGGCAUUUUGAGAAAAUUUUAGAUUAAAAAUAGUCCCAUCCUUUUAAUAAUAUUCUUCAAUCAAUCUGUUUAUUUCAAAAUAAAAAUCCAUCUCAUUUUUACUUUCUAAUUAGUCAUAUUAAUGUGUUAAUAAUUACGAAGAACCAGUAUUAUUUGUAUGAUGUAGGAAGCCCUUUCGACACAAUAACCCAAAUUUCUAAGAGUAGCGGCUGGACUUGAUUGGGAACAACUUCGAUUCAGUUUAAAAGGUUAAUCUCAAAAUUUCGUGAUAUUGUGCCUAAAGAGCUUCCUGCAUCAGUAUAACAGUUUCUAAAUUAAUAUAAUUGUGUGUUCAUUUUUUAUGAUUUUCCUUUAAUUUUUUUUUUAGAAACUGUUGUUCUUCAAUAAUUAUUCUAACAAUGUUGCUUUAAAGUGAUGUUGAUACGGGAGUCGAUGAGUCUUUAUCUGAAACAAAAAUUUACAAAAAAAAAUAUUAAAUUAAAAAAAAAGUACAUCAAAUAUUGGGCUCCCCCAAGUUUUACAUUUGUCUUCCACAAUGAGACAAGCCCUUUUUUCAAGUGAAGACUUUUGAUGUACAAUUUGUAAAGGAAAUUUGCCCCAUAUAAUUUUCCUUUCUACAACUUGCAAGCUUAUGUAAAUCAUAUCAACUUAAAAGAUUCCAAGAUUUGGUAUUUUGGUGAUUUGAGUAUCCAAUGGUGAUGACACAUACGCAUGGAAGUCCCCUGAUUUGAGUUUGACUAAAAUAAUCUGAAUAAUUUAAAACAACACAUCAGGCCAAAGUCCUUAAGAGAUGAACUGGAUUUCAGUGCAUCACAUUCCGAAAUUGAUACUAACCUUAACUGGGAAGGCAGAACAGCCUCUCUUUCCUACUGUUGCACAAAAUGGCAAGUCAAGCCAAUUCAAGGAACUUCCCUGUUUUUUACUGAAAAAUACAUAAUCUGAACAAUUUAUAAUCAAAUAAAUCAUUCAAAAUAUCCUUUAAUCGAACCCCCGUUUCCAUGGUUUAAUAAAAUAUCACAAAGGUGCCUAAUACAGUGGAAUUAACACUCAGCUCAUGGGAUUGCCAUUAUAUAUAUUGAAACAGAAAUUAAUACAAGAAACUGAAAAUUAGUUGACACUGGAUCACGUUGGAUCGUUAGUUGUUAAUUAUGAUGGAAAUAUAAUCUUGGUCUCUUACUUAUCAUCUAGCUAAUGCAUGUGCACUAGUUUUAAUUGUGUCUAUCACUGUAAAUAGUAGAGUUGCUUGAUUGAAUAGUAUCAUAUUACAUCACAGAAACUCGCUCAAUUUUCAUUGCCAUAUGUAUCUCAAAAGUGCAUGAACAUUGAACAUUCAGCUAACUUAUACCCAACAACAUCCAUCAGUCAGAGUGAAACCCCAAUUGAUUUCAUAAAUACAAAAUAAAUAACUCGCAAAGGCAAUCUUUGACAAUCACAAAAGCAACAACAAUUCACUCCAACAAACAACAUAACAAUUAUAUGGUCUAAAUUGCAGGUCUUUUUAUGAUUUUAAUUGAAAGAGAAAGCACGAGGGACAUAUUAUAUAUAAUUGAAUGUUAUGAUUGAUAAUUGGGCAAAAUAAUACUAAUCUAGCUAACUAGUCCAAUCAUCAUAAUAAUCUGAUUUUCAUUAUUUAAUUAUGUUCAAUCAUGUUAUUUUAAUAAAGAACACUGAACGCUUGAGUAUUUAUAUGUUCAACAACUUCGGCUAAAUUUGAAAAAAAAAAAGUAUUAAUUAUGAAUAGUAAUAAAUUACCCUACAAGCCACAUAUUGCGUACAUAUGCAGUUGCAACAAAUAUAUGUGUAAUAAAAAGAUCAUAUGUGCUUAGAAAAUGAAGCAUCAUUGAAUAAAUGGAAAAAAAAGAAAGAAAAUUAAAAUCAGCGUCCAGCGGAAAGAAUCCAUCUUUACGUGUUGCCUCCAAUUUGGUACAUCUAUCUGACUUUAAAAAAAUUGCAGUAGAAAUUAGAGCUCAUUUUUUUAGAUAUGGCUCAUAUACAAUACAAGUGUCAAGAUGUAAUUAGAGUUUACAUAUAUACACGUGUCUAAUUCUAAUUGACAGACAAACUAAUCAUAAAUACUCAGGUGUUUCUAAAUGAUUGAAUAAUGAUAUUGUAGUGACUUGAUUGCUUUGUUCUCUGAUUAGAAAUAAAUCACUGUCCAAGAACCUUUGUCAAGAUCUGUUCAAGUUGCAAUUAAACCAACACCAAUCUGAGGCUUCAAUGCUGAUUCACACCAUAGCUCUAGGUUAAUGGAGGUUGAAAACAGAAGAUUAAAUUGAACUAGAAGCAGCACACACUCACACAAAGAACAGGAUUUAACGUGGUUCGAUUAUGCAUAAAUGCACAAUCUACAUCCUUGGGAGAAGCCACAGAGCUAAUACAGAGGAGAUUACAAGGAACAAGAAGACUCUUUCUCUCUUUCUAAGAUCUCUCUGGAAAGCUCUCAAAAUCCUAUGCAAUGUUUUUCAACAACCAGCCUCUUUACACCCCUGAUAUUGAAACCCAGAUUGCAUAGCUUUUGGACGCGUGUAUAACGGCUUCAUAACGAAUUUGAUUCCCUUCUCACAUGCGGUCUCACGUGCUUCACUUAAACUUGCUCAAAACGACUGAAAGUAGCGUCGUUUUUCCUUAAGAUUAGUGAAGAAGAUAGCAUGUGUGUUGCACGUGAGUCGUAAGUGGAUUCGCUUACUCAAAACACAGCCGCUUUAGGGCUUCGAGUUUUGGAUUCAUGGCACUCUAGUCCAGAGAUAUUAUUGGUAUUUAUAAAUUUCAAAGUGGUGAUAACAGAUUCACAACAUAUUGGAGUUUUGGAUUCAUGGCACUUAUGGUUUCUCAUCAAAUAAUGUUAUAAAAAAAAAUACAUAAGUUAGAAGAUUCACAACAUAUUGGAGUGUAAUUUCCACUUGAGUGACAAUGAAUGAAGUUAUGUUAAUUUAGAUUAAGUACAAGCCUUCCUAAAUAGGAUUAGAAAUACUCUAUUAACAUAUCGAAUACUACCUUAGUAAAAAUUUAGUUGACAAAAAUUAAAAAAAAAAAAGCCUUGAAGGCUUGAAACAAUUAACACCAACUAAAUAAUUGUCUUACAUCACCAAUUUUUUUUUUUUCAUUUUAAUAAGACAUCACCACACUCCUGACUUUAUAAAGUGACUUUAUAAAGUAAAGCAUAAAAUAUAAUAGAGAAGUUUGAGUUUAAAAAAAUAAAGUUGGGAGAAUGACUUGUCACGCUGUCUUUGAUCAUUGAGCACACAAUUAUCUGAGAAAAAAAAACUCUAUUGUAUUUGUGUUUGUUGUAGAUUCAUGUCAUUUACUAGUCCUUUGGGUUUUGUUGUAUCAAUUCUUUGGUAAAUGUUUAUCUCGUUUUCAUUCUUUUAUGAUGUGAGAUUCCUGGUUAUAUUAGGAAUCAGAGUGAAAUCCAAUCUUAAAAUUUGGAGAAAUAAAACGUAAUAUGAUUUUUAAAAUUUAGAGAAAUAAAAUGUAAUAUGAUUUUUUAAUGAAUAAAACGAUUUAAUUUAUUUCUUUUCUACUAGUAAAAAUUAUUAAUUUAUUAACCCAUCAAGCUAUUGGUUUCAUUUGUAAGCUGGUCAGUCAGUUUUUUAUUUUGAGUUGUUAUCUUUCAAAAGAUAUUAGAAAAAUCUUACUUUGAGUGUACUUGAUCACUUCACUAAUUAUAGGGUAUUUACAAGUUAGAAAAAUAAAUUAUUUCUGGCCGAAGACACUAGAAAUUAAAGUUCAUAUGACUUUGUAAUACUGUUUGGUAAGUGAGAAAAUUGCCGAGAAAAUACAGAGCAAAUAGAAUCUUUAAGAAGAUCUAAAUUUCUGUAUUUUAUUGAUCUAAAAAAAUGAUACAAGCUCUUAUAUACAAUUGUAAGAUUCUACACACUCACAAUGAAAUAUCACGCUACUAGUAAUUAACAACCCUUAUAACAAACUCAACUGAUUCAGGCUGACUCCAGAGAAUGUCGAAAAGCGUUUGGCUAAUUUUUGUAUACACACACAUAACACAAAAUUAAAUUAGUUGGCAGCGUUGACAGUGAGUCGUUUUUGGCCAUCCAUAAGUUCACAUGUGCAUGGACAUCUGUUGCCAGCCCUUUCAUUAUUUUAAAUCUCCAUAACAUUAUUAGAGUCCCACAUUUAUCACACAUCAUUAAGUAGAAUGCGCUAAUUAGGAAGAGCUAGUUUCUUUGUUCUGUUUUCUUGCAUAUGUUGCAAUUUUCGAGUAUCACUGAAAAUUUUAGACCGUCAAACCUGCAGGAAAAUUAUAUACAUAUUCUAUCAUUCAACCUCAACAAAUAAAUUCUUUUCACUGGAAUCCAACAAUCGUUAAGUGUUAACCUUGUAGUUCUCAAGAGCAGAAAUUGUUGUAUUAAUUUUUUCAAAGUGUCUCUCUUAAAAGAACACUAAAGAUAGGAGAGUGAAAUUUCAACUGAGAUCUUGCCACAUAAGACGAUCGAUUUAAUCCGACAAAAUGUGCGUUAGGUUAAUAAGAGCCAAUACUGCCCUGAUCCUUUCUGCAUCUUUCUUCUAUCAGCGGACAAUCCUUGAUAUACAGUUGCAAGAGCGAGGUAGGCACGCUCUUGUCCAAAAAGUAUUUUGGCUUCGGACGAAUAUAAAGCCAAAGAUACACCAACGACGUGAGAUUUUGACCAAUUGAAGGCAGGCAUUCCAUGCUUUGGAAAUCAUAAAUCCACAAAAGGGUUCCUAACUCCUGUGGCGAAAUGACACCACGUCAUGAAGUCCUCCGAUUGACAGUCGUUGUAGAGAUGAGAAUCUGUUCAAUCCCCCUUCCCCCCCACCCCAUCGAUGGCUUCCAAAUCUUCAUAUCAUGAAUAUAAAGUGACUGAAGGUUGCUGGGAAACCUACCAUCAUCUGCCUCAACUGGGAAGCAAUACCAUAUAUGCUUGCCAGACCUCCUCUGUUUCAUUCUUGAAGACUGUGCAUGUCCUUGGGUAAGGCCUCUAGCUUAUCACACCACGUUAUCCGGAGCUUAGACAGUUCCGCAGAAGGCAAUCCUCCUUCAGGAAAGGGUCAUUUCAAUAAAAGCACAGUACAAUUGCUUAACUAAUUUUUUGAAAACAGAGAUAUGAGAGAUUGACAAUUUACAAUUGCUUAACUGCUCAAGAAGAGAGCACGCUUGAAUUAUGAAAUACGAAAAAGAGAGCACAAAUGAAAAAUCUUAAGGAAUCAGCAGGAUUCACAUCCGACCAACUCCACGCUGCUAAAGCAAAGGAUUAAUUUUUGAGAAAUUGUAAAGAAAUUAAUACAAGUGAAAUGAGAGCCUGUUCAUUUGAUUAUUGGCCAAGGGUGAUUUCAAUAACGUUUUCAAAGAAGAUAUAGGACAAAGAUCAGAACGAAAAAUAAGUAAUUUCAGUCGUUGAAAAAAAAGAGCAAGCUUCACACAUGCAUGCAUGUGUCGGACCAACAGAACAUGGCUUGUGUCAAGGAUCAAUCAAAGACAUAUAAACUCAGUUUUAUAAAGUAAGCAUCAAAAUGUUUGACAAGUUUUAGAUUUGUAGAAUAUUGGGAAAGCAGACAAAUAAUCAAUGAAGACACUGCAAGUUAAGCAGAUCAAUUAAACAGAGGAAAUAGCUGAUCAAUUCUUUGUGCAAUGGCCACAGCAACUGUGAGGUUAUAAGUUGCUGAUGUGUUGGGCUUCAAUACAAGAUUCGAAGAGUUCUUGGGGCUGUGUGAAGACUGACUUCAGUUGGAGGGGUCUUAUUGUAAAUUUUAUGCUGAUGUGGCAGAGUUCGUUGAGAAUUCGUUAUGCCUUUUCCAGAAAUAUCAGAAUAAAAGGCGCUGGUGAUUAGCCCCUGAUCUGAGAUCAAUAUCUUCUUCAUUUCUUGUUCAUUUUGUUGGAAAUUUGGUUCUCUGUGAUCCUUGUAAUUGCCUCUUCAUAAUCAACCUGUAUCUAGAUUGUUAUGAUCAACAAAAGAGCAGUUGUUUCCUUCAUUGAUUUGUGUACUUGAAACAGUGCUCUGUGUUCUAUUCUUGGAAUUGCUUUCUUGUUUGGUUGAUCUGGUUUGAUUCUUUCAAGUCCGAUUCAUCAAGUUCUUCACGAAUUAACUUGUGUAGCCAUUAAAGUUUCAACAGCAACAGAUUAAAUAUAUCUACAAGACUACAUUAAUCCUAAUGGCAUGGUAGCAUCUCCAUGCAACAUUACAUUAACAUUUCAUCAUCAAUCAAUUUUGAUGAUAUGAUAUUAAAAACAUUGACUUCAUAAUUUAACAUAUAAAGAAAAAGUAAUACUUAUUUGAUGAGUAUGAUAGACAGCAAAUAUGGAUCAUGCAAUAAUGAAACAUGUAUUUAUAGAAAAAUGUUUGGGAGUAAAAUGAUGCUAUAAAGUUUAAUAUUAGUUGCAAGAAAAAAAAAUUGGCAAUUAAGAUUAACAGAUACAUAUGCAAUGCUUCGAGUUUAUUUUAUGACUUCCGUAACGAUUUUGUAACUACAUAUUGAUUAGAAGUUCGAUUAAUUUUGACCAAAAACUCUAGAGCAAGUCGAAAAGAGAUUUGAUUUUUUGUAUACAAAAAAAAUAAUCAAUAAAAGCAAGCUCUGGUGUUGUUAAGCUAAGGAUACAGGGGUUAAAAUUACUCACCACUCAAUGGAAUCCACCAAAGAGAUACAGAGUUUGAUAAUAACUCAAAGUUCAUCCAAUUUCCAAAAUUAAUCUCUGUCCUUUGGUUACAACUACAUAAGCUUAAAUAGCUUUCUUGGAACAAUCCUCCAAGCAUAGAUUUACUACAAAGAAACCCUUCAAAUAACUUGACUUUAAAGACCAACAUUAAAGCUAGACAUUAAUAAAACAUUGGUAUGCUUAAAACACAACAAAAAAAAUUAAAAAAAAAUCCAAGUCCCGAAAUAUUCUUCUUGACUCAAAACUGAACAGUCUGCACUUAACUGAUCAUAACUUACUGUAGAAAACUCCAAAUUUAGAUUAGUAAAAUUCAUUGGAAAACUAACAGAAAUAUCUUUCCAAUGAUGUAUGGCUCGAAAAUUAAUUCGAUCUCAUGCAGUACAGUUGAAUUCCCAAAGAUGCCCCUUCUGCACAGAAAUUCUGCUCACUUGAUUAAUGUAAGAACUUGAGCUGCACUUGGUAUAACUUGAUUACCAAAUAUUUCAAACGCCCGUGUUAUUUUCACUGGUGGCCGUAGGUCUCAUGACAGACUGAACCACGUUGUCUCUGUUUUCCCUGUGAUUUUGUCUCUGAUUCUUCUUGUUCUUUCUUCUUGAUUCUAUUUCUUGGAAGUUUAAGUCUGGUUUGUUGAAUAUUGAGUUGAUUCAGAUUCGGUUCGGUGCUUGUGCAUCUUGUGUUAGUCUCAUUCAAGAUCUUGGGCAGAGUCUUUGGUUUGACAAGUUAAUUAGAUCGUCCAAAGCUCUACGUUUUUUUUUUUUUUUUAAACAAAAAAGAAGCACAGUCUGCUAUUAAUACUGUAGCAUGUUAGCUACUAUAAAAGCUCGUGUCUAAUUACCAAAUAAAUUCCACUUUAACAAAGAAUAGAAGCUAAUUUUAUUUUUUCUUUUUGUUAUUGAAGUUACCUCGCAAACUUCUCGGAAGCUUAUUACAAAAUUUCCUUUUACUCUAGGAUCUCUUGAAUGGUCCUGCAAUUUGUAUUCUUUUAUGUGGGAUUGGUUUUUUCUUUAAACAAAAUUUCAAGGAUAAGAAACCUUUCCCAUUGAAUACCAACUUUGAAUUUUAUUAUCAUUUGAACUUAGAAAACUGCAGAAACAAAGCGCGUUCAUAGCACCAGCUAAGCUAGCUGUGUCUUGGUACCAUGCUGGUUCUAUUUUUACUUUAUUAAAUAUAUACAAAAUUAAAUCUCCUGAGCCUCUAGCUUCACUAGUUUCCAACUUGAAAUUAAAACGCGGAAUUAAUGGCAUUGGAGUUCGUUAUUUAAUUUUGCUUUGGUUCAUGGGGAAUCAGAUGGCCAUCCAAUUUUUUGUCUAUUUUAAGUACUAUUGGCCACUAAGUAGCUUGCUUAUAUAUGUGUAUUGGGAUGUCAUAGGCCUUAAAGCUGAAAAUCAAUCCCCAAUCUAAAGUGAAAAACAGUAGCUAGAACAUAAUCUAUGUUUUGAUGUCUUAGUUUAUAAGCUCAAACAAUUAGUAGUAUAUAGAAAAUGCCCGAUAGAACCCAAAACUUGUAGUGAUUUUUAGUUUCGAAAUUCAUUUCAGAAAAUCUGUUCCGUUCAACACAUUCAACUAAACUCUAGCCAUGUACUUGUAUGUAUACAGGUAGAGCACUAGGGCAACAAAGGAGUCCAUCCUUAAGGCCUUGUCUAAGACUGGUUGUCUUUUUCAUGAGCUUCUGGCUUUCCAGCUUGCUGAGCGACGUACACAUAAAGAGGUUAUCCUUUUCUUUUUUUCUUUGUUUUUAUAUGACAGAAUCCAUUUUUGAAUAUAUAUAUAUAUAUAUGUUUAGGUACACAAACACACACAUGAAUAUGCAUGUUUUUAUGAGUUCAUUUAAGUAUAUCCAAUGUUGAAUAACUCUUCCAUUUGAACUUGACAGUAAUCAGGUAGUUGAUAUUUAUGUUACAAAAAUUGGAAGUGUUAGAUAUGAGACUCAAAUCUGAACUUGAGAACACAUACGACAAGUCACGUGGAUCUUUGUAUUAAAUGUGACAUGUCAUGCGUAGGAGUUCACGGAGCUGUAUGACAUUCUUGCUCUGUCGGGAAAACGAGUAAGUAACACACGUGACGUAACACGUGCAUAACUUACUCAAAACGACAGGAGUUUGUGCCGCUUUGUGCUCAAGAGCUUGUGAAGGUGUAACACGUGGCUACCAGAGGUUCAAAAGGCCGUUAAAGGUUGUUAUGACGCGGGCAAAAACUGGGGUUCUUCACAAGCAGCCCAGGUGGCGUUAACAGCUGACUGGUGAAGGGUCUUUCUAGAUCCUUUUCUUACUAUAUAUAUGCCUUUAUGGUGAGAUCUCGCGUAGAGUGAUUCUGUAACACCUUCUUAAGAACUUUGUAUCUUUAAUAAGCUCAGAUAGUGGAAUUCUUCUUCUCCUUCACAGUAGAUGUAGGCUCACUCUAUGGCCGAACCACUAUAAAUCAUUUAGUGGAACUCUCCUUCUCCUUCACAGUGGAUGUAGGCUGACUCUGUGGCCGAACCACUAUAAAUCAUUGGUGUCAAGUGUGUGUGUAUUUUUGUCUCGGUUCUCUUUGAGUUUCUUGCUUUGGUUACAACUGAUUCAUCAGCCAUUAAAGCUAAGUAUAUUCUGAAAUCUUGAGUUCAUAAAGGUCGUUCUUGGGGGGUCUAAAUUGGUGCUUAAUCCGGUUUAGUUUCAACAAGAAGCAACAAAAGCAAUUCAGAAUCAUGCAAGGACUUGGAUUUUUUUGUUAAUUCACUGGGCAUAUGUUUAUCCAACCUCUGAUUUUUCUUAAUAUGUCUCAGUAGUUCAUUUCACGCCACUUUUAGCCGCUCCAUUGGCAUUUUCUGCCAUUUGCUUUUGUUCAUUGGAGCAAGUUAGCUUAUUAAAUUGCUUUUCGAUAAAUGUUCUUCAGAGGGAAUGUGAAAAGGCCAAAUGAACCGAGAUGAUCGGGUUUUCUAGAUCAGCCAUCUCUGUCCUCAACGGUGCUGAACCGUCAAUUACUGAGACACCAAACUCUGACCUGAUUCAUAUGGGAUGUAGACCAAAGCUUCUUGCCAUACCAUCUCUGGUCAAAGCUGCUAUCUUUGAAAGUUUUGCAGGACAAAACAUGUCGGAGUCAGAAAUUGACGUCACCCCUAGCAUAAAACGGUGUAUCAAGAGCAAUUUUGGUUUCCCAGUCGAUACAGAUACAGAAUUCAUAUAAGCAGGUUGCUCUCAAUCUCUGUUUAAUAAGCUUCCUCUGCUGUAUCCUAGAACGUUAUGCUUCCCAGCUGGCUAGAAUGGGAACUAUGUUUCUGCUGCAAAAUUUUUGAAAGCGAGCAUUGUGAAUAUCCCGACUGUGUAUGAAGUGGGCCUUAAGAAGACAGAGAGGACACUUGUGACAAUACUCGAGACUGUAAAGAAGCCGUGGGUAUACAUUUCUGGUCCAACAGUCAAUCCAACUGGCUUGCUUUAUAGCAACAAAGAGAUAGAGAAUAUAUUAACUGUUUGUGUAAAAUAUGGGCCAAGAGUUGUGAUUGAUGCUUCAUUCUCGGGAUUGCAAUUCAAAUACGAGGGUUGGGGUGGCUGCAAUCUGGAAGGCUGUUUAUCGAAGCUGUAUCGUCUCUCUCUGUGUCUCUGCUGGAGGGCUGUCUCCGAAGAUGCUUACUGGAGCCCUCACAUUUGGAUUUCCGGUUCCAAACCAACGUCAUUUAGUUGAUGCAUUUAGUAGCUUUCCGGGAUUAAGAAUAUAUUUUAUGCUAUGAAGAAUACAUUUUUGAUAAAUUAACCUCAAUUCUGAAUUUUAAUUUAGAGAAUGUCGAGAAGAGAUUUGAUUUUUCAUAUAGAAAAAAAUUAGACAUGAAAUAAGUCAAAAUCAAUUACAAGAACAACAAUAAGAAUGUAUUUUUUAAAAGCCACAAAUACAUAAAAUAUAAAUUUAGUUUAAGAUUAGGUAAUUAUUAAUUUGCAUAGUAAGAGGUUCUCGUUGGAGAAAUCCAUUAACCUUCGGCUAAUUUGAUGCAAGGUAUAAUUUUGCAAUGCCCAAUAAUAUAUAGCUGUAUGGUAUUUCUGUAUUAUAUAUACUCCUAAUGAAAAUGAAGCAAAUACGUAAUACUACUACUAUGACAUAACUUUCAUGAUUGCCAACUGCCAAAACCAGCCACCUCUCAUACGUGCCUUAUUGAGCAUGGAAACACCUUAUAUUAUAAUUUCCGUUCACCCAUAGAAGAAUUUCAGGGCCAUUAAUUCAACAAUUACCAAACCAAUAUCCCAAUGAUAGUUGGAUUACUAAUCUUAGCAUUAAAAGAUCUACAAUUUUUAUUUGGCCAAAAUAAAGGUUUUCUUACUGCCUUCUUGAUCUUUUCCUGCCUGGUGAUUCCUGAAUGUUCCUCCCAUUCUCAUAUGCUGAGUCGCUUGCUGAGAUGAUAAAUACUCGAGGGUCCUUCCAUAAGACAAUUCAGCAGACACCUGAUUCAUUCUAUCAAACAUCAGCAUCACUAAUAACUAAAUGGUGUAAGAUAGUCUGGUUUGAAAAUUCUAUAUAAAUCAAAUUUUUAUUUUUCAUCAUUAUGGUUAAUGGCUUAGCAAAUGCAGGAGUACGGAUCAGACAAAAUGAAGCACUUUCUCUCGUAUUAAGCUUUAUUAGUCGUUGAAGCUAACAAAUUUUAAAACAAGUCAAAACAGUUCCAACUCAGAAUCAGUAGGCCGUAAUUGGGUUGUUAUAAAUAUUUCAAAGUUUCAGUUUAAUUUAAUUGUGUAUGCACAAACUAACUUUAUCACUUCUUUCAUAUUAAUAUUCAUAAAUUUCAACCUUAUUUUAUGUUGAUGCACAAAAUGUUUUUUUGUUAUAUAUAUAUUCAAAUAGUCAAAUUUCUUCUUCUUUACUCCAGGAUCCAGCUCUGUACCCCACUUUUUUGUCGUCAUUCUACCCCGCUGUUAGAUUUUAAUUCCGUUGAUCUAAUGGUUGGGAUUUGUAAGUGAAUAACGAAGUGCUGUUUGGCUACCGUCUGAUAGCAAAUCUGAAGCAAAUGUAAUCACCACCAUGCCGGUAUAUUCAUUCAAAUAUUAAACGUACAGAGAAGAAAGCAAAUUGUGGCAGGAUAGCGAAAAUUGCAAACGGUCAUUCCCAACACGAACACCUGUGGCUGUUUUCCUUUAAUUUUCUUCUUUGAAUUUUCCUUUGAUUAAUCAUUAGAAAAACUGCUUUUUUUUUUUCAAAAUCAUGUGUUAUUAACAUUUACAUAGUUAAUUCAUCAAAAUCAAAUGGUUGUUAUCUACGAAAAGACAUUGAAAAUUUCCUUGUCACAAGUCUUUUCGUAUUACAAAAGCAUAUUUAACAAAAUUGCACUCACAGAUUCUAUGAUUCUAAUUUCUUUGACUUGAUUUUAGUUUUUGCUGAACAUAUAUGUAUCCCAUAUAAAGUGUUAGUGAAUUUUUCAUUUCUCUAGCAAGGAGGUUCUGCACGAAUAAACAACAGCAGAAAAUAUAUAUAUAUAAAACGUGAUACGAGUGUUUGUACUUUGCUAAUGGCGUUGCACUCUCCAAACAUGAAGAGUGCAUUAAGGUGCAUUAAGCAUUGGCUGAUUAGAAUCAUUCAUGUUAAGAAAUAAAAAUAUUAAUAGUGAUGACUCAAAGGAAGUCCCGUGUUUUGAGUUUGACUAAAAUAAUCUGAAUAAUUCAAAAUAAUCCAUCAGGCCAAAGGAAGUCUCGUGUUGAACUGCAUUGGGAAGGCAGAGCAGCCUCUGUUUUUUCACUAUAAUACUAAGGAUUGACUUCAAUUGAGAAGUCAGGCCAAUUGAAGAAGCUCCCCUGUUUUUGACUGAAACAUACUCCGAACAAUUUAUCAUUAAAUAAAUUAUUCAAAAUCUCCUUUAAUCGAACCCCCAUGUCUAUGGUUUAAUAAAAUAUUAAAAAGGUACCUAAAACAGUGAAAUUAACACUCAGCUCUUAAAGUUGCCACUUUAUGUAUUGAAAAAUGUACUUGAAAACGAAUGUUGAGAUUUUUUUCCCCAAUGAUUUCAUAAACACAAAAUAAAGAUCAUAUAUACUUUGAAAAUGAAGUUUCAGCAGCUGAGAAAGCUAGCCGUUACUAACAUAUUACACCCACCCACCCCACCAAGAAAUCCAUUAAUCUUGGGUUAAUCUGACACAAGGUAUAAUUUUGCAAUGGCCAAUUAUAUAUAGUUGUAUGGUAUUUCCGUAUUAUAUAUACUCCUAAUGAAAAUGAAGCAAGUACGUAAUACUACUACUAUGACAUAACUUUCAUGAUUGCCAACUGUCAAUACCAGCUACCUUUUAUACGUGCCUUAUUGAGCAUGGAAACAUCUUAUAUUAUAAUUUCCGUUCACCCAUAGAAGAAGUUCAGGGCCAUUAAUUCAACAAUUGCGAAACCAAUAUCCCAAUAAUAGUUUGAUUACUAAUCUUAGCAUUAAAAGAUCUGCAAUUUUUUUUUGGCCAAAAUACAUGCUUUCUUACUGCCUUGUUGAUCUUAUCCUGCCUGGUGAUUCCCGAAUGUUCUUCUCAUUCUCCUAUGCUGAGUCGCUUGCUGAGAUGAUGAAUGCUCGAGGGUCCUUCCUUGAGACAUUUCAGCGAACACCUAAUUCAUUCGGUCAAACAUCAGCAUCACUAAUCACUAAAUGAUGUAAGAUAGUUCUGGUUUGAAAAAUCAAUAUAAAUCAACCACCUUAGAUUUUCUUAGUCUCAGAGCACAAUGGGCGAUGAUUUGAUGAGAAAUACUAAUAACAUGCAUCCCCUGUAUUAGUUAGAGCUGCUUGUCAUUUUCUUUUUUCUUUUGGGUACUGUUUUAAAUUUUUAAUCAAUCGGAUUGAGCUGCAUGUUUGCUUUCAGUCCAAACUGAAAUCAGACAUUAAGUAUUUUUGCUAGAAUGAAUGCAACCAAGAUUCUAUGGGAUAUGUAUGAAGAUGAUGUAAUAAAGUGCUUUUGAUAUAUUCCCCUAGUCGGUUUACUUCACUAACCAUUAACGAGCAAAUCCUCCCAAUGACCCUCAAAACUCUUGUGCACAAUUAAAAUAAUUUCAAUUAUAUAUAUAUAUAUAUAUAUAUAUAUAUAUAUAAAUAAACUCUCAAAUAUGUUAUUUGAUAAUCACCAAAAAAAAAAACAAUUCACCCCAAUAAAUCACAUUACAGUCUAUGUUGCAAGUCUUUUUAGGACUAAUUCAAAGAGAAAAUGCGAAGGACAUGUAAUUGAAUUUGGGACACAGAAUAUAUUCCCAAUUACCCUUUAGUGUAAACAGUUCCACUUCAGAUAUAUAUAAUGAUGAUGAAAUUUUGUUUUCUCAUAGCAAUCAUUCUAGUGUUUUACAAUGAGUAAUUGGUUCAAUAUUAACACAACACUAUUUUAACAUGUGACAUAUUCUAUCGUAGUGUGCUUCAACUCAUACUUCUAACUCAAAUAGAAAAGUUUCCAUUUUAAUUUUAUUCAAUCUAAUGGUGCACGUUUUUAGUCAAAAAGCCACAAUAAGUCAUCGUUAUUCUUCUACUAUUGAAAUGAAUAUAUCAAAUGGAUGAAAAUUAAAUUAAAAGAUUGAAAUGACUAUGUGGAAGAAAAUUGAUGUAAAAUGUUGAAGUUAAGAAGCCCUCCGAAUUAUAGAAGAAACGAAAUAUAUUGACACACAACAGUUUAUUUAUUAAUUAAGAGAGACAAAAUAUAUAAAUACAAACAAAGAAAAUCUCUUGCAUAUAUCAAACUUACGCUCACGUAAUUGACAGGUAAUAACAAUACCCAUUUUUUUUAUUUCAUAAAACAUAGUAUGAAAGAGAACACUUCAUGCAUUUAACCACUAUAAUUAGGAUUUCUCUCAUAUUGAGAGACUAUUAAAAGAUCAAGAUUGUCAUCUUUUAUAUCCUCGUCACGACAAUACUAAACACACGAUGAUGCCUUCAACCCUCCAACCCAUCGAUCUUACCUGAAAAAAUUAUAAUUAAUAGGAAACUUAUUCACAAAUGCAUAUAUUUAGAAAAGAAUUACAAAUGAACGAACUCAGCCUAAAAAUUAACCUGCACAAGCAAAGAAAUUAUAUACCAUUUUUGACUUGCGAACAAAAGCGAAGCAAUAAUGCAUGGUAUAGACAUAAGCCAUUUUUAAAAGACUAUAUUCAUCAUGCGGAAGUUAGAAAACUUACCUCCUGCCAUAGUUAUCAGAUUUAAUUGUACACAACUUUUCUACUAGAAUGCAAACAAAACCAACGAAAACAAGCGAUGCUUUGUAAUCAGAAUUUUCUAGUCUAUCUAACACUUAAUUCCUGAGAGUAGAUGGUAUACACAAGCUCUGUUGUUAGACCAGGGACCCUCAAUAUUUUUUUUGAAAAAACUUGACCGUAAGUCAUCUCCCAUCAAGAUGACAUGUUUAAAUAAAAGAGGAAGUUAUGAGCCAUUAUCCCUUUGAUUUUAGGAAACCACCCGUAACGUGUAUGAGAGAUAUUAAGAAGAGUUGUUUUAUCUUUAUUCCAAUUUUAAACCAAAACCAACGUUUUGAAAUUAAACUAGAUAAAGAUAAUUAUCAAUUUAAAUUAGAAAACUAAUAAUUAAAAUAAAUUAGAUGGCCAUAUUAUACACGUUUUGAAAACGUGUCUAACAAUUUUUACUUUAUUGCAAAUGUGAUCAUAUGGCCUGAUGCGGUCCACAAAAUAUAUAGUUGUCAAAAAGAAGACGAACAAAGCAAUUGAUCAUAAGCCAUUUUUACUUUAUUGCAAUAAAGCAUGAUUAACGCUUAUUGCAAUCACUAAAGAAAGAGAGAUUCUAGAGUACAUAGAAUUAUUACGCUUGAUUAAUAUAUAUAUAUAUAUAUAUAUAUAUAUAUAUAUAUAUAUAUAUAUAUAUAUAUAUAUAUAUAUAUAUAUAUAUAUAUAUAUAUGUAAUUUCCCUAACGAAUAUGUCUAAUUCAGGAACUAAUUACUUUUUCAGGCCUAUGAAGUCAUUUCAAUAUUUUAAUUUUUUAAUCAUUUAUUUACUAUUUACAUAUUAAUAUUUUGAUUGUUAAUUUUUUACAUUUCCAAUUACUUAACAUAUAUCAAUUAUUUUUGUUGCCUUUACAAAGUCGUUACAAGAAUAUUAUGUUAGAGUGGAGAUACUUUCAUACUUUCAUGAGUUAACGGCGGUCAAUGGUUAAAGAUAACGAGUUUUGGGGUAGAUUGAUGUUUUCAAUAGUAAGAGGGGGAAAUUUGAAGAUUGUCAAUUCCCUAAGGGUAAUUAGAAAUUAACCCAUAUAUAUAAUAGGUACAUUUGAUAUGAAACGUAUAAUUUAAUUAAAUAUAUCUAUUAAUUACAUUUUAAUUUUUUAAAAUAAAUAUACACAUAAUAUAUAUGUAUUAAUUUAUAUAAAAAUAUAUAAAGAAAAUUAUUAUGUAGCACAAAUUCCCGCCCUAUUAAAGAUCUCAUGAUAUCCAAAAAAAUAAUUAUAUAUUUAUAGCAAAGUGUUGGUAUAUUUUGAAGGAACGAGUUCGGUACGGAAAUGUAAUAGUAUGUGUUUUUAAUGACGUUUAUAAAGUCAUUAAAUGUCAAAAGGAAUGAAUUUAGUGAUCAAUUAAUAAUUAGAUAGGUAAACAUGAAAUCUCUCGGUCUAUUAAUGUAGUAUAGUUUCUCCCUCAGUUAUUAUCAUUAAAUUAAUUUGUAAAUCUCGUUUCCCGCUACUCCUUCCAAAUAUACAUGAGUAGUGAUAUUUGGCCCUUUUAUUAUAACUCACAAUCUCCUAUUUUUUUGUUAACCCCAUUAAAUAUUUUUAAAUAAAUUUUUAUCUCUCAACAUAUCACACAUAAUUAUGGAUUUACAUUUAUUAUAAUUUCUAUCUUUUUUUCCAAGCACUCACUAUAUAAAAUUUAUAAAAUCUAUUUAAAAAAAAAACUCUCAUAAUCACUAUAAUCUCUUUUUUUAAAAAAAAAAAAUUUAUCCGUCGUUGUCAUAAUCAUUAAAAAGAAAAAGGCACCAUCCUUUAUUGAAAUCUCUCGGUCUAUUAAUGUAGUAUAUUUUCUCCCUCAGCUAUUAUCAUUAAAUUAAUUUGUAAAUCUCCUUUCCGGCUACUCCUUCCAAAUAUACAUGAGUAGUGAUAUUUGGCCCUUUUAUUAUAACUCACAAUCUCCUAUUUUUUUGUUAACCCCAUUAAAUAUUUUUAAAUAAAUCUUUAUCUCUCAACAUAUCACACAUAAUUAUGGAUUUACCUUUAUUAUAAUUUCUAUCUUUUUUCCAAGCACUCACUAUAUAAAAUUUAUAAAAUCUAUUUUAAAAAGAGAAAAAAACUUUCAUAAUCACUAUAAUAUCUCUUUUCAAAAAGAAAAUUUAUUCGUCGUUGUCAUAAUCAUUAAAAAGAACAAGGCACCAUCCUUUAUUGAAUAUUGAGUACUGUAAAUUAAUUUCUUUCACGAUUACAAAAAAAGAGUAUACAAUAUUUGAGAAAAAAAUAAUGAUUUAAAAAGUUAAAAAAAUUAGAGUUUAAGAAAUUAGAUUAGCUAAAUUCGAUAUUAAUAGAAAUUGUCAUAUGAGUGCACUUAAAAGUUAUUUACCCUUUUAAAUCAUUUCACAUAAUAAUAAAAUAUGUACUAACAUAAAAGUGAUUAGUAGAGACUGAUGAGAUAUAAUGAGUCAAAUAUCAAAUUCUACAUAUAUAUAAUAGCUAAUAUAAUUGUUUAAAUAGGAUUGUAAUUAAACUCAUUAAUUAACUACCUUUAAUUUUUCAGUAGGCGAUAUUUUUGAAACGUGAUGAUCAUGUGUGAAUAUUAUUCGAAAGUAAUGAUUUUACUAAAAUCUUCGUCUACAAUGAUGUUACAGUACUGAUGCUCAUUUAUUAGCUGUUGUCUUACCUCUUAAUUAAUUUUUUGCAUUUGCACUUGGAAUUAAUCAUUUGGCCGUGAUAGUAAUGCUACAGCCAGCGGAAUUUGAGCCUCCCUUCUUCAAUGCCUGGUACGAGAAUGAAGCUAACAAUCGGGAUGGACAGAACAUUCUGUUAUGGCAAACGUGUUUACUUCACUUUCAUUAACAAGACUUAAGCAACCCACAAAACCAGAGUUUGCAGAAACAAGAUUAAGAAACAAAACAAAAGAAGUAUCAAGCAAUCAAAGAUACUCAACACACCAAGAAUCUAACGUGGUUCAGCUCCACAAAGGAACCUACAUCCACGGCUGUAAAACCAGCAAGGGCAGAAGCUUUAUUGAACAACAAGAAGAUCGUUUACAACUGAGUCACCAAUUACAGAUUAAAGCCUAUCGAAUGUUUUCUCUCUGUAAAUCCUCUCUGUUUUUCUAUAUAUGUUUUACUAGCUUAGAGACAACUUAUAUAUGUAAGCUUCUCACGUGUGUUCCACUUGCAAUGAGUCAGUCUGUUAUUUAACUAACUAACCAACUCUUGACUUGAAUCCCACUUAUGCCAGCUCAUACGACACCUCAGCAUGUCCAUAACAGAUUAUAACUAAUCUCGGCUUCACAAAUCUCCACCUUAGUUCUAAUCUGAUUAUGCUUCUCCCUUCACUGCAACACAUCACCAGAAAGCUUGUUUCAUAAGCUAACACUUCCAAUCAGAUUCAGUAAGUCCCUGAACCUGACUGAUGGCAAAGGCUUGGUUAACAUGUCAGCUGGAUUUACUUCAGAUGGCACCUUAACUACAUUUACUACUCCUUUGCUGAUUUCAUCCCUUAUAAAGUGCAUUCUAACAUCAAUAUGUUUAGUUCUCUCAUGAUACUUAGGAUUUUUACUUAGCUGAAUAGCACUUAAGCUAUCACAGCCAACUACAACAACUUCUUGUUUAAACCCCAACUCAGAGACUAGUCCUCUCAGCCAUAUUGCCUCUUUGACAGCUUCUGUAAGUGCAAUAUAUUCAGCUUCUGUUGUUGAGAGGGCAACCACUGAUUGCAGGGAAGACUUCCAACUUAUAGCACCUCCACACAUGGUAAACACAAAACCUGUGAUGGAUCUUCUUCUAUCUUUGUCUGCUGCAUAGUCUGAGUCCACAAAUCCAGCUACUUCAGGUGAUGCUCCACUUAAUUUCCCAAACAUAAUGGCAGUGACAGCAGACCCUUUGAGAUACCUUAGUACCCAUUUCACUGCAUUCCAGUGACCCUUCCCUGGAUUCCCCAUAAACCUACUGAUGACUCCAACUCCAUGAGCCAAGUCAGGUCUGGUGCACACCAUGGCAUACAUGAUGCUGCCAACUGCACUGGAGUAAGGUAUCUCCUUCAUGUAGUUGAAAUCAUCAUCAGUGGUAGGUUCCAGUGACUUGGAUAACUGAAAGUGAGUUGACAGAGGUGUUGAAACAGGCUUUGAAUCUUCCAUAUUGAACCUGGUUAAUACCAUCUUCACAUAAUCCUCCUGAGAUAGAUACAAAACUUUGGACUCCUUAUCUCUCUUUAUCUGCAUUCCUAGAAUCUUUGUAGCUGCACCCAAAUCCUUCAUUUCAAAUUCAGUGCUGAGCUCCACCUUAAGCUUCUUUACUUCUUCCUUUUGUUUACAUGCAAUAAGCAUGUCAUCCACAUACAGAAGUAAGUAGAUGCCUCUACCAUUUGUCAGGAAUUUAAAAUACACACAAUUAUCAAAUCUGCUCCUACAGUAUCCAUGGCUUAGCAUGAAUUCAUCAAACUUUAAAUACCAUUGCCUUGGAGAUUGCUUGAGGCCAUACAAACUCUUCUUCAAUAAGCACACUUUAUCCUCUGAUCCUCUCUCAAUGAACCCUUCUGGUUGUGCCAUGAAAAUCUCUUCAUCAAGACUGCCAUGUAAAAAGGCAGUUUUAACAUCCAUCUGCUCCAGCUCCAGGUCAUGAUAUGCAGAGAGGGCCAGCAGCAACCUAAUUGAGCUAUAUUUGACUACAGGUGAGAACACUUCAUUGAAGUCAACUCCCUCUCUCUGUGUGAAUCCCUUUGCUACAAGUCUGGCUUUAUAUCUUGGUGGUUCAUUUUCUGAAGCUCCAGCCUUCAACUUGAAAAUCCACUUGCUGCCAACUAGUUUCUUGUUAGAUGGUCUGUCCACUAAGAUCCAAGUAUUAUUUUUCUUUAAAGAGACUAUUUCAUCCUGCAUUGCAGCAUACCAUUUCAGCUUAUCCUCACAUCUCAUAGCUUCUUUAUAGCUCAAAGGUUCUCCACCAGUUACUUCAUCACCUACUGUUAGUGCAUAGGAAAUGAGGUCAGCUAUGCCAUACUUCUUUGGCAUUUUGAUGGCUCUCCUCUCUCUGUCCCUAGCAAGCUGAUAUGUUUCCAGUUCUGGUGGUUGUUUUCUUUCCUUGGUCUGGUCUGAUGGUUGUUCAGGAGGCUUACAACUAUCAGAAUGCUUUACCAUCUGUCCAGCACUUUCUUCUUCCUCUGUUUCAGCAGCUUCAAUCUCAGUUUCUACCUUUGACUGGAGCAUUUGCUCUUCAUCAAAGGUGACAUCCCUGCUGAUUAAUAUCCUAGAUGGUUUCCCAUUAAGGGUCCAUAUCUUGUAUCCAUUAAUGCCCUCAGGAUAUCCCAAGAAAUACCCUUUAACAGCCCUUGGUUCAAGCUUACCUUGCUUUAAGUGUGCAUAAGCUGGACACCCAAAGAUCCUCAAAUUGCUCAAGUCUGGUGGCUUUCCAGACCAAAGCUCCUAAGGUGUCUUGAAACCUAAAGCUGAGGAUGAGCUUCUGUUUAUCAGGUAAGCAGCUGUGGUGACUGCUUCUGCCCAAAAACCUUUGGAUAUGUUUGCAUUCAGCAGCAUGCAUCUUACCCUCUCUAUUAUGGUUCUGUUCAUCCUUUCUGCCAGUCCAUUUUGUUGUGGAGUGUAGGUGACAGUUCUAUGCCUUGCAAUGCCCUUAUAUUUGCAGAAAUCUUCAAACUCUUUUCUGCAAUACUCUAGCCCAUUGUCUGUUCUGAGCCUUUUUAUUUUCUUACUAGUUUGGUUUUCAAUGAGAGUAACCCACUCUUUGAACUUCCCUAGUGCUCCACUUUUGUGUUUCAACACAUAGAUCCAAACCUUCCUAGAGUAGUCAUCUAUGAAGGACACAAAGUACCUAGCUCCACCUAAAGAUGGAACUUGUGAUGGCCCCCAAAGGUCUGAGUGGAUGUAAUCUAGUGUCUGUUUGGUUUCUUUUCUCCCUGAACUGAAUUUCAGUCUUGUGGCCUUCCCAAACACACAUUUCUCACAGAAUUCUAAGGAAGUAACUUUAUCAUUACCAAGCAAACCUUGAUUGCUUAGCUCCUUGAGGCCUCUUUCACUGAUAUGAGCUAGUCUCAUGUGCCAGAGUUUGGUUUUAUCUCUGGUCACACUUGCUGAGAUCCCUUGCACAGGUGAGGAUCCAACUAGUAUGUACAGCCCAUUUUUCCUAACCCCUUUCAUAACAAUUUUACCCUGAUCCAAGACCUGUAUCUCUCCAUUUUCAGCCUUAAUAGUACACCCUGAUUGGUCAACCAUUCCUAGAGAUAUCAGGUUUCUUUUCAGUUCAGGGACAAAUCUCACUUGGUGUAAAUCUCUAGUGACACCAUCAUGCAAUUUUAAGCUAAUGGUUCAUAUCCCAGCCACCUUGCAAGCUAGGUUAUUUCCCAACAACACCUUUCCACCAUUUACACUUUCAAAGGUCUUAAAGAAACUUUUAUUUGGACACAUGUGGAAUGAGCAACCAGAGUCCAGAAUCCACUCACCAGUUGGGUGCCUCUCUGCAGCCACCAAGACAUCUGCUUCAUCAUAGUCACAUUCAUCUUCAGAGGCAACAACAGCCUUUCCAUUUGAUUUCUUUUAUAGUUCUUCUAAUUUCUUUUUCUCGAAGCAAUCUUUAAUGUAGUGUCCCUCUUUCUGACAGAAGUAACACUUCCUCUUCUUCUUUUUCUUUUCAGCUUUAUCUUUCUUGUUGUUGUUCUUUGUUUGCUUAUUGUGUUUCUUUUCUGGCUUUCCUUUGACAACCAAACCUUCUACAUUAUUUUGAUCUUUCAUGUCUGAUCUUUUCUUCAAAUCCUUGGAUUCCAGAGCAUCUUUGACAUCUUUCAAAGAGAGGGUUUGUCUGCCAUAGAGGAGGGUAUCUACAAAAUGUUCAUAAGAUUCUGGAAGAGAACUUAAGAGGAUGAGUGCCCUGUCUUCAUCUUCAAGAAUUAUGUUGACAUUCUCGAGAUCAAGAAUGAGUUUGUUGAACUCAUCCACGUGAUCUUUCAUGGCUACUCCAUCUUUCAUUGAGAAUGUGUAUAACCUCCUCUUCAUAUACAGUCUCUUAGCCAAUGAUUUUUUCAGAAACAUUUCUUCUAACUUGCUCCACAAACCAGCUGCAGAUCUUUCUUUGGAUACUUCUCUCAAGACUUCAUCAGAGAGGUGCAAGAUAAUGGUGCUAUGGGCCUUAUUGUUUAUGAUCCUCUGAUCUGCACUAAAGCUUGAAGAGCCUUCUCCAUUCUCUUUCUUGGCCAUCGGAUCUUCUCCAUCAUCGAGGGCACUGUCAAGCCCUUGUUGAAUAAGUAUCGCUCUCAUCUUCAAACUCCAGAGAUAGAAAUCAUUGUCUCCAUUGAAUUUUUCAAGAUCCACUCUGGUGCUUGCCAUCUUUGAGUCUGAUCCCAACCGACACCAGGCUCUGAUACCAGUUUGUUAUGGCAAACGUGUUUACUUCACUUUCUUUAACAAGACUUAAGCAACCCACAAAACCAGAGUUUGCAGAAACAAGAUUAAGAAACAAAACAAAAGAAGUAUCAAGCAAUCAAAGAUACUCAACACACCAAGAAUCUAACGUGGUUCAGCUCCACAAAGGAACCUACAUCCACGGCUGUAAAACCAGCAAGGGCAGAAGCUUUAUUGAACAACAAGAAGAUCGUUUACAACUGAGUCACCAAUUACAGAUUAAAGCCUAUCGAAUGUUUUCUCUCUGUAAAUCCUCUCUGUUUUUCUAUAUAUGUUUUACUAGCUUAGAGACAACUUAUAUAUGUAAGCUUCUCACGUGUGUUCCACUUGCAAUGAGUCAGUCUGUUAUUUAACUAACUAACCAACUCUUGACUUGAAUCCCACUUAUGCCAGCUCAUACGACACCUCAGCAUGUCCAUAACAGAUUAUAACUAAUCUCGGCUUCACACAUUCUUUAGACAUAGAGGUCAAAUUAAGAUAAGGGGGGUCAAGAUUUUUUGUUAAAUUUUAUAAGAUAUGAUGAUGGUUGCUUGUAAUAUGUUGUAAUGGGCAAACUAUGGAAGCAUAACAUCUGCAAAGACUUGCUUUUGUCUUUAAUGGACAACUAGCAAGUAAAAACCUUGCUUGAUAUGCUGCUUUUAGAAACCAAUUUGCAAUCCAAUUCAAUAUUACUAUUCAUUUUUCAGGUACAUACAAGUUGGGAAUGCUGUAGCAAUUCCAGUUGGUAUUGUAUUGGGAUACGCUUUUGGUCAAGCUUGCCAAGGAUUAGCCGAUGAUGAUCAGCCAUUGACUAUACUCCCUUUCAAGUUUCCCAAUUGUCUUGCACAGUCAUCUUCAACACUUGCAGAAGAAGAUUCUGAUUGAAAUUGUAAGGAAAACAUAAAUAUGAUUCAUCAAAUUAUACUCUUGUUAGUUGCGAGUUAUUACCAAUUUGAUUUUUAAUUUGCUAUUGAUGUACGGACAAGCAUGUUCAAUGCAUUAUUUGUUAUUGAAGAUGUUUCGAGGUAGGAAUUAGAAUAUGUUGCAUCUUUUAAUUAGUGUUUUAGAUAUAUAUACUUUAUGCUUUUUCAGUCUGUAAUCACAUGUAUCAAAUAAAAGGUUUAGUUUUAGGGUUAAUUUUGGUAUCAAUCAUAAAUGUCUAUAUCAUUAUUGAAAGGGUGUUAAAUUAAAUGCUAAAAGGAUGAAUUUUUUUCCCUCAAGUGUGAGGGAUGUUUAUGAAAGUGACACCAUCAUAUGGCAUGGAGUCAUACUAUUAACAUAUUAUUUGAAUAUUAUUCACCAAAUAUCACAUAAUCAUGCCUUUUAUACAAGUGUAUAUAUGUAGAUGUAGUACAUACUCUUAUAUGUAGCCAUGAGAUCGAAUCAUGUCUUAGUAAAUGAAAAGUUGCUUCUUGUAAUCUUAUACUACGUUCUUUGAUAAAGACUUUCGCUUUUUGCUUUGAAAUGGUAACUAGGGGUGGGCAAAAAAAACCGUAGUCUUAAAAAAACCGAACCGAAUAGACGAUUUUUUCUAAUUCGGUUCGGUUUUUAUUUAAAAAAAAAACCGAAUAUACCGUUUGUAAAAAACAACCGACCCGAAAAACCGAAUUAUUGAUGAAGAUCGGAGAAUGUUGUUGGCGUUUGUUUGUAAUUUUAUUUUUUAUUUUUUGUUGUAAGUUGUAAUUGUUGUUAUUUUUAUUUCUCUUUAUAACAUUAUGAUUAUGUUUAUAUAGAUGGAGUAUUGGAGUUUGGUUAUGUAUUUUGAAAUUUUAAUAUUUCAUAUUUUGGGAGUAUCUUAUUAAUAGUUAGUAAAAUAUUAGUGAUAAAAUGUGUUUUGAAUACUUUGUAUUUAUUGUUAAUAAUUGUAAUAAAAUUAGGAUAAAUUAAUUGUUGAAAAAAAUUAUUACAUUCAUGAGGCCCAAUGGGCUAAAAAUUUAAAAAUUCAAAAUAGGCCCUAUGAGCCCAUAACCAAAAAAACCGAACCGAACCGAACCGAACCGAACCGAUUCGAAAAGAACCGUUUGAGUUCGGUUCUUAUUCGGUUCUACUUAAUUUCGAACCGAACCGAACCGAACCGUGCCCACCCCAAUGACAACUACAUAAUAAAGUAAAGACUUUCGCUUUCAUUCUUUAGUGGCAUUCUAUGAUGAAUUGACACAUUUUGUGACCCAUGCUUAAACCAUGUGGUGCUUUUUAUCAUCAUUAUUCCCAUUUCCAUUCUGCUUUUGGCUUUUAGGAAUUAAGGGUAUGCAACUUGCGAGCUUCUUUUGUCACCAACCCAAAAGGCCAAAACCAAUAAAAGAAAGCAACUCUCCUUCUUGUUCUAUCAUUCAUGUUUCAUUCUCUAGAUUGCCGUGCUCUUUGGUUUAUGAAAACGACAAAAUAUAGAACUUUAAUUAAUUUGAUAUGAUUUCAAAGCAUAAUGAGGAUGCAAUACGACAAAAUAUAAACAUUUAUUAAUUUGAUUAAAUUCCAAAGGAUAAUGAGAAUGAGGGAACAAUGCAUUGGAAAUUGCACUAGAAUUGGAUGUGGAUAAAAAUAAAAUGCGUUUUCUUUGGGGUUUUAAUUCAAAAGAGAGAAAUAUAAGUUGUAUUUUACUAAUUAAUCGAAAAAAAAAUUUAAAAAGUAUUUAUUCGUCAAUGGAAAAAAAAUUAUGAAAAGAUUUAAAACAAAUUUCACCAGUAUUUUCUCAAACCAAGAAUGGUUACUACGAACAUCAGGCAACAAACAGACAAUUUCCAAUUUAAUUAUUAGUUUUAUAUUUAUAUAUAUAUAUAAGUUCGUUUUGAUUUUUUAAUGAAUUAUAUAAGUGGGCCAUUUGUCUAAAGUCAGACAGUCAAUAACCACCGGCAUUGUUAUAUAAAACUUCUGUUUUAAAAUUUUUAACACCUAAUGUGAAAAUAUCCUCAAGGGGCCCUAGACUUUAUAAAAUAUAAUAUUAAAUCUAGUGCUAAAAAAUACUACAACUUAGAUCUACCUUAUAUUCUUGUUAUUACAAGGUGAUAAAAAUCUGUUUGCAAUUUUUGCCAUGUAGUUUGGAUUCAUAAUAAAAACACUAUUUUUUAGAUUUAUUUUGAUGUUCGAACUUGGUAAAAAUAUUUAUUUAAAUUAUUAGUACAUAGCUAGGUUAUUUGAUAAAUACAGGCAAAUUUUCUAACCAAAAUCGUCCAAAGAAGUUGAAAGUGUUUAUUGUUGUUAUUUCAUGACAUUCUAACAAACUGUAAGGGGUCACAGAAAGGUUGGUACCCCUACUUCUUGUUCUUUUUCUUUUCUCACUUUCUCAUAAGUUGACUUUAAAGGAAUACCCAUAAAAAGUGAUUGAAAAAGAUAUUCCACGUAGACUACACCAUCCACUCAGGAUGCACCACGUGUAAAACAUCAUGACCUUUUCUCUUUCUCGGCAUAAAAAUAUUUAAAAAAAUAAAUAUUAAAUAAAUAAAAUAAUAGAUGUAUGUAUAUAUAUGUGUGUACACACGCACGCGCUAAAAUACCGGGAACGAGAAAACAGACUUCCUACUUUCUUCUUUCAAUUUUCUAAGCUCACGCUAGCUUUCUCUCUCUAAAAGUAGGAACCGUAAAUUGAGUGAACGUGCGGAAUGACGGCAGCGACGCCGGCGGCGGAGGCGGUGGAGAAGUUCUUGAGGAAAUGCGAGGCGUCGGGUGACGAGGCGUACGGUGCGUUUCGGUCGGUGUUGGAGAAGCUGGAGGAUCCGAGUAGUCGGACGCAGGCUCGGGUCUUCCUUUCGGAUCUUCAGAAACGGGUCGAUGACUCGGACGAGUGUCUAAACAAGUACCAUUUCCGGAUCCAAGAUGUCGUCUUGGACCAAUACGAAGGUCCAUUUCUCUUGCUUCAUUUUUUCUUGUUUAAUUCGGUUGAUUUUUUUUUUUUUUUGAGCUAGUGGUUUGACUUUCUUUGAAUUAGGGACUAAAAAGUGAUUGUUUGUUUUUUAGUUUGGGGAGUGGUUUUAUGGAAGAUAGUUCGGAGGAAAAAGUGCUUUUGAUAUUAAGUGAUUUUUGGGAAAGUAAUUAAGUGCUUAUGUGACAUAAGAAGUGCAUUGUAGAAAAGCAAUUGUGCUUUUCGUAUGUUUUAAAGAAUUUUUGAGUAGUUCAGUUUGGUGCUUCUAAUUAAGUGUUUUUUCAGAAUGUGAUUUAUGUUCUUUUUUUUCUUCAAUUCAAGAAGUGCGUUUUAGAGAUGUAACUGUUAGAAAUUUUUCUGAAAGAAGCCCAAAAAAACGUAUGCUCUUUUUUUUUUUUUUUUUGUAGUUCAGCUGGAAACUUAAAGAAAAUGCAGAACUUACUUUUUUUUAAGAAAAAUCUGAUUUGAUUACUUGAAAACAUUUAUGAUUGUGAGUGCUAUUAAUUAUUUGCAUUUUUUUUAUGCAUUAACUUUCUUAACUUAGGGUGUUUAUUUUAUCAUGAUUAUUUUCAUUCAACAAUACAAUAGACUUUGGUUGGGUCCACCUUAGUUGGGUGUUUCUGAGCAACCAAUUAGGGUCUGGAGAAAACUUGGGUGGAGUGCCGAUCGUUUUCAGGAUUCAGUCCCAAGAAAAUACAAACGAAGUCGUAGUUGUAGUUUAAAUUAAUUUAUAUUUUUGUCUUUUUCUGUGAGCCCAGUGGGCUUUUGUUUUUACUUUGUUCUCUUUUGUUUCUUCCCCUUCUUUUCCUACUGUUUCUUGACAAUCAAAACAGACCAGGAUUUGUUUCAUUUAAACGUUUACUUUUGGUGUAAUUAUUCACUCUAACUCGAAUAAUGCAUAGGUUUAGUGCUAACAAAAUAGAAAGUGAAUUAAUAUCUAAAGCUGAUUUGGGAGUGGAAUGUAUGUUACUAAAAAUAUACUAUAUAGUAGAUAGAAUUUGCUUUUUAGGUAACACUGAAAUAAUAACUGCUGUUAACUUAUUUCAAUAAGCUUGUAAAUCAUUUCAUAAUAAGUCCUAGAUUUUAAUGGUUUUUUUUCCUGAAAUUUUUCGUCAGUGCAUGAGCAAAGUUCAAUGGAUGAACUUCUCUUUCAAUGUCACUGCUCCUCAUAUUAACUGUAUGAAACAGUAAUCUUGCUCUGUACUUUGGAGCAUUUUAAUAGUUGUUGCCAAUUCCUUAGCCAUUUUAUUCACCUCGUGCACAAAUUAUGCAAUCAAUAAGCCAACUCAACUUUCAUCUUUCUUCAGUGAAAAAUUUGCAAGGCCACUAGGAGGUUUUUGUACAUCUUAUGUAACUUGGCCGCCGUGGUUUUACCAUGUAAAUUUUCCCUAUUGGAAUUCAUGAUCCCUCAUAUGCCACUCGUGAAGCUGCUUCUGCCGCUUUAAAAGCACCAAAUUUCAGUUUUAUCCUUUCUAGCUUAUUAACUUGUCUGCAUACGCAUUAUUAUCUUUGUUAUUGUACGAAAGUUUCAUUUAUCAUCUUCCCAACAUAAACAUCCAUAGGUCAUUGUUCACUUUUUUCCUUUAGAGUCAUGCCCGAUUAUGGUUGCCGGAUUUUCUGCUCUGACAAUAUUGUUUCUAAGUAUAGGCUACCAAGGGAGAAAAAAAUUGACAAUGAUGGUCAUCCCCAGCAUUUUUAUCCCAGAAGACUGGUAGUUUACUUUCUAUGAAGGACUGAAUAGACAUCCUGACUCUAUUUUGAAGGACAAGACUGUUGCUGAGCUUGGUUGUGGAAAUGGAUGGAUAACCAUUGCCAUAGCUGAGAAGUGGUUGCCUUCGAAGGUUUGUUGGUUUGUCAUCUUUUGCCAUGUGGGAGCUUUUGUUUGCUUCCUUACCAGUGCCUUCAGGAGCUCCAUCGUGAUUUCUCUCCUCAUCGUUUUCUAUCUCCUUGUUUUGCAAGGCCACUUGUUAUUUAUAAGUAACAGUGUUGGCACCAGAUUAUGGUGUUUUAGUGCCCUCCUAUUCAGAAAAAUUACAUAUAAAUGAACAUGUGAAUUAUCAAGUCUGUCCUUGUCCAAAAGUCUUGAUUGGAGAAUGUUGAAAAUAUAACCUUGUAGCAGUUCUUUUAUGCUGUCUGAAUAUUCUUUUGCAGGUCUAUGGCCUUGAUAUUAAUCCCAGAGCAAUAAGGAUCUCUUGGAUAAAUUUGUACUUAAAUGCAUUAGAUGAAAAAGGUCAGCCCAUCUAUGAUGCGGAGAAGAAAACUUUACUGGACAGGGUGGAGUUUCAUGAAUCUGAUCUUCUCGCUUAUUGCAGAGAUCAUGACAUUCAACUUGAACGAAUAGUGGGAUGCAUACCUCAGGUAUUAUCACUAUCUGCAACUCAUGAUAUUUCUCGGGGCUUAAAUUUUGGUGAAGUUUGUUUUUCCAACACCAUGUUCGAAUUUUAGAGUGGCCACAUGGAUAACCUUUUAACUCCUAGUUUAACUUAUUCUGUUUUCUCCAUGCAGAUUCUUAACCCCAAUCCCGAUGCAAUGUCCAAAAUAAUCACUGAAAAUGCAAGCGAGGAAUUUCUGUAUUCAUUGAGUAACUAUUGUGCGCUGCAGGUUAGAAGAUAUUCUAAAUAAUUUAAUUGUGAUUGCAAAUUGCGGGGAAGUUAGCAAUUAAGUUGACAGGCUUCCUCUACUUUCACAUAUUUAGAAGUAUACAUGUUAUAAUUUUGGUUUGAAUCUUGCAUAACUUAGUUAAGGUUGAUGUCUUUAGUUGUUCAAUAUCAAUUGGGAAAUAAAGCAAACCAGUGAAGACCGUGGGAAAAGGAUAAUGUGAGUUUGACAGAUGCUGAGAGGAGAUAGGGAAACUUGAUCUAAAAGAUUUUUUUUCUUUUUCUUUUCCCUGAUUUUUGUUUUUUCUUAGUGUUUAGCCUCUUUACAAUAACAUUGAUUCCCAUAGUUCAUGUUUCUUGUUGAAAAUAAAGAUUCAAAGUUAGGAUUUAUUUGUAAUCUAGGCUAUUUUAGGAAUAAGUUAAAUUAUAAUGGGAAGAUUCAUUAGGAUUCUUUCCAGAUUUUGUUUCCUAUUAUUUAGGAAAGGAUAGAUGUAGUCUCCUAUUUUCUCUCCUAUUUUGCUGUAUAUAUUCCCUGUACAUACUGUUCUGGAAAGUAAGAAAAAGAGGAACCAAUUCACCGUUUUCUUCAUAGGUGCACUCAACAACUAUCUGUUAUGUCUUGUGGAUGACUGAGAAAGUUUAUUCAUUUUGACAAAUUGCUUUUUGAAUAGAGUACAAGUAGAUUGACUAAUAAUGAAUAUAUUGUAUCAAGUUGUUGCAUUUGAAAACUGUGCAUGACUGCGGUCUUUAUCACUUUUAUUCUCAAGGUUCAUGUUGACCUAAAUUUAAAAGCCUUGGACGUUUGGAAAAUCUAUAGCACUGAGUUUGCGAAACCUUUUAGUGCCCUGAAAGAUUGACUGCUUCAAUUGUGUUUUCAAUAUCUUGUUAUUAACAUAUUUGUAUAUAUGUUAAUAUCUUGUGGAUGACUGAGAAAGUUUAUUCAUUUUGACAGAUUGCUUUUUGAAUAGAGUACAAGUAGAUUGACUAAUAAUGAAUAUAUUGUAUCAAGUUGUUGCAUUUGAAAACUGUGCAUGACUGCGGUCUUUAUCACUUUUAUUCUCAAGGUUCAUGUUGACCUAAAUUUAAAAGCCUUGGACGUUUGGAAAAUCUAUAGCACUGAGUUUGCGAAACCUUUUAGUGCCCUGAAAGAUUGACUGCUUCAAUUGUGUUUUCAAUAUCUUGUUAUUAACAUAUUUGUAUAUAUUAUGAAGGCUAAGCUGUGUAAAUGAGAGAUAAAACAUAAAAGGUCAAUACACAGCUGUGUCACCUUUUACUUCUUCUUUAUUUAUUUAUUUAUUUUCUCUGUAUGCAGGGUUUUGUGGAGGAUCAGUUUGGCUUAGGUCUAAUUGCUAGAGCAGUUGAGGAAGGAAUUGGUGUCAUCAAACCUUCCGGGAUUAUGAUCUUCAAUAUGGGUGGUCGUCCAGGACAGGGCGUUUGCGUGUCGACAAGCUUUGGCAGACUAAAAUUCUUCAGGCAAGUGAACCUUUUUUUGUGGAAAUUCAUUAUCUAUCCCAAAUAUCCACCUCUUGAAUGUGUUUUUGCAGGCUUCUGACACAGAUAUUUCAGCUUUAGUUGAAAUUGAGAAGAAUAGUCCUCAUCGUUUUGAGUUCUUCAUGGGACUUUCUGGUGACUUACCUAUUUGUGCUCGAACAGCAUGGGCCUACGGAAAGGCUGGUGGACGUAUCUCUCAUGCUUUAUCAGUUUAUAGUUGUCAACUCCGUCAACCAAACCAGGUCUACAUUUCAUUUGGGUUUUAUUGAUAAAGUGGGUAAUUGCUCUGACCAGGGAAGUGAGCUAAAAUGAUAUCAACUUAUAUUUAUGGACAGGUUAAGAAAAUUUUUAAGUUUCUGAAAAAUGGCUUCCAUGAGAUCAGCAGUUCUUUGGAUUUAUCUUUUGAAGAUGAUUCAGUUGCUGAUGAGAAGAUUCCAUUCCUGGCUUAUCUUGCCAGUGUUCUGAAAGAGCGUUCUUUUUUCCCCUAUGAGCCACCAGCUGGAAGCAAAAGAUUCAGGAACCUGAUUGCUGACUUCAUGAAAAAGUACCACCAUAUUCCGCUCAAUGCUGAUGUGAGAAAACCUUAACUACUCAUCUAUUUUUGUACUUCUCUGGACAAGUAACUUUUGUGUUCUGUCCGUCCUAGGUUCUGUUUUCCCUGAUGCAUUUUUUCAAUUUCUUUGCAUGUGAACUCCUAGGUUCUGUUUCUCCUGAUGCAUUAUCUCAAUUUCUUUGCAUGUGAGCUUGGUGCAUUCAUAUUAGUUUAGGAGGGAAUCUAUUGGUCAUUUACUUGUUUGUGACGAAUAACGUAUGAAACAAUCUUGUUAUUUUUUGUUCUCAAUACGUAGAGCUCUAUGGACCAAUUGCUUAUCUUCUUUUAUCCUCAUUAGAAUUUCUUCAGACAACUUCUACUUCAUGCAAUUUGUGAUAAUUUGCAUUGUUUUUGUGGUCAUUCUUAUGUCUAUUGGACAAAUACUGUAAUGUGAAAUUCUGUCUAAUGGUAUCCCUUAUUCCUUUUGCAUCAUGUCCCCUCAAGUAGUUAAAUGCAUUUUUGGAUUUGUCAAUUUUUUUGGUUUGAUGAAAUCUUGAUUCUCAUGUUACCUAUCUGUUCAUUUAAUUUGACCGUGGAAUGUGUUGUUGCUGUGAGUUAUGCUGCACAUGCUUGUUAUUCGUCCAGUCUUUUUGUGUAAACAUAGAGUUUUGUACAUACUUAUAUAUGUACUGGACCUGAGAUAUUUGCACCUGACCUACUUAUUAAUGUACAUGACAAAUGAAGAACUUUUUGAGAUCUGGAAUGGAUCAAGACCUGCAACUUUCUACUUGUAGAUUUUCCACUGUCCAGUCCAAUUGUAAAAUACAGUUUGUGAUUGCUGCAUGCAUAAAUUAGCCAAACUUAAAGAUGUUGUAGUUGCCUUUUUCUCUUUUUUUGUAUGAGUAAAACAAUCCACAUUCUUAACUUUUCUUCUCCACUUGUUUCUCAAGAACGUUGUUGUUUUUCCUUCAAGAGAUGUGGCAAUUGAGAAUGCUCUUCGAUUAUUUUCACCUCGCCUUGCAAUUGUUGAUGAACGUCUAACCAGACACUUACCAAAGCAAUGGUUAACAAGUUUAACAAUUAAGGUAUGAUCUAUUUCUGAUUUAUUUUCUGUUAUUUUUGACAUAGUUGAAAAUUUCAUUUUUGGGCAGAUUUUCUUUGCUAUUCUUGGAACAAGUAAUAGUGCUCAUUCCCUUGCUUGAACACAUACUAGUUCAGUCGCACCGCGGAAUUUGUUAGAUGAUAAAAUAUCAGAUAUGAACUCAGCACAUUGUUAUACUGUUGCCUUUAUUCCUCAAGUGACAGUAAAAACUAGUAAUUGCAGUAGAUGAUAUAUUUAAUGAAAAUUACUGGGGCGACCAGACUUUUGUGUUGACAUUGAAGGGGGAGAUGGAGAAAGACCGCAGGAACAUAGCGAGCAGGGAUAGCUUUGUCUUAUGUUGUGAUGUUUGAUUUUCGCAGCCUUGACUAGUGGAGCUAAGAAGUUUAUUCCAAUCCCUAGUGCACUGAGAACAUUUCAUUUUUAUUUGUAGUUGCUGCAUUUAUGGUCCUGGCUACAAUCUUGUUCGAAGACCUUUCCUCAACCCACUUCCUUUGAAUUUCUUUGUUGUCAGUUGUCAUCUUGUGCUGCAUAACUACAAAAACAUCCUUCUUGCAGGGUACAGAUACUGAAAACUCUUCGGAGCAUGAACUAACAGUAAUUGAAGCACCACGCCAGUCAGAUUUGAUGGUGGAGCUGAUAAAGAAGCUGAAGCCUCAGGUGGUAAUUUCUGGGAUUGGUGAUUUUGAGGCUGUUACCAGUUCAGCCUUUGUACAUCUUCUAGAUGUUACAAGAGAAGUUGGAUCUCGUCUUUUCUUGGAUAUAUCUGAUCACUUUGAGCUCUCCAGCCUCCCAAGUUCCAAUGGGGUCCUUAAAUAUCUUGCUGGAAAUGUUCUUCCUUCACACGCGGCAGUUAUUUGUGGCCUUGUUAAAAAUCAGGUGAUUGUUUUUCAUUAUACUGGCCACUUGACUGUUAUGCUAUUACAAGAAGAGAUUUCUGUUUGUUCUGAUCAAGUCAUAAGAUGGGUUUCAAGAUUCGUUCUCAGUGGUUAUCUGUUAGCUUUUUGUUCUUAUUUAUGGAAGCCAAAUUCAUCUUUGCAGGUUUAUUCAGAUUUAGAAGUUGCUUUUGUAAUCUCAGAAGAAGAGGCCAUCUUUAAGGCCUUGUCUAAGACUGGAAGUACUAGAAGGGACUACUGCACUGAUUAGUCAAAACUACUAUGGUUGUCUUUUUCAUGAGCUUCUGGCUUUCCAGCUUGUGGAGCGACAUACGCAUAAAGAGGUUAUCCUUCUCUCUUUUUUUGCUGUUUUCAUAUCACAGAAUCCAUUUUUGAAUAUAUGUAUUUAGGUACAGAAGCACAUGAAUAUUCAUGUUUUUAUGAGUAUAUUUAAGUAUAUCCAAUGUUGAUUAACUCGUCCAUUUGAGCAUGAGAUAAUUAGAUAGUUGAUAUUUAUGUUACAAAAUUCAGAAGCAACAUUAGCACUGCAGUAUCAUGCAAGGACUGUAACAACCUGGAUUCUUUUUCCACCUGGAUUUUUUUGUUGAUUCACUUGGCAUAUGUUUAUCCAACCUCUGAUUUUUCUUAAUAUUUCUCUGUAGUUCAUUUCACGGCACGUUUAGUUGCUACAUUGGCAUUUUCUGCUAUUUGUUUUUAUUCAUUGAAGCAAGUUAGCUCAUGAAAUUGCUAUUUGAUAAAUGUUGUUCAGAGGGAUUGCGAAAAGGUCAAAUCAACUGAGAUGAUCGGGUUUUCUAGAUCAGCCAUCUCUGUCCUCAACAGUGCUGAACUGUCAAUUACUGACACACCAAACUCUGGCCUGAUUCAUAUGGAUGUAGACCAAAGCUUCUUGCCCAUACCAUCUCUGGUCAAAGCUGCUAUCUUUGAAAGUUUCGCAAGACAAAACAUGUCUGAGUCAGAAAUUGAUGUCACCCCCAGCAUCCAACAGUAUAUCAAGAGCAAUUUUGGUUUUCCAAUUGAUAUCAAUGCAGAAUUCAUAUAUGCAGAUUGCUCUCAAUCUCUGUUUAAUAAGCUAGUCCUCUGUUGUAUCCUAGAAGGUGGAACAUUAUGCUUCCCAGCUGGCUCAAAUGGGAACUAUGUUUCUGCUGCCAGAUUUUUGAAAGCGAACAUUGUGAAUAUUCCUACUGAGUCUGAAGUGGGCUUUAAGAUGACAGAGAAGACACUUGUGACGAUACUCGAGACCGUGAAGAAGCCGUGGGUGUACAUUUCUGGUCCAACAAUCAAUCCAACUGGCUUGCUUUAUAGCAACAAAGAGAUGGAGAAUAUAUUAACUGUUUGUGCAGAGUAUGGGGCAAGAGUUGUGAUUGAUACUACAUUCUCAGGAUUGGAAUUCAACUACGAGGGUUGGGGUGGCUGGGAUUUGGAAGGCUGUUUGUCAAAGCUGUAUUCUUCCGCCAAUUUGUCUUUCAAUGUGUCGCUGCUCGGAGGGCUGUCUCUGAAGAUGCUGACUGGAGCACUCAAAUUUGGGUUUCUGGUUCUAAAUCAUCCUCAGUUGGUUGAUGCAUUUAGUAGCUUUCCGGGAUUAAGAAAGCCUCAUAGCACAGUCAGAUACGCUAUAAAGAAGUUGCUUGGUCUGAGAGAGCGAAAAGCAAGAGACUUGAUGAAUGCUGUUGCAGAACAUAUAAGAAACUUGGAAAGUAGAUCAAAGCGCUUGAAAGAGGUACUUCUAUCUGUCCUCUUACAAGAAAUUUUGAAUUAACCAAUUACAUGUAGUACAUAAUCUUUGAAUUAUAUUACUCAAUUCUAAAUAUAUGUCCUACCAUUUUCUCCAUGGUGAUCUUUCUGCAACAGGCACUUGAGAAUUGUGGGUGGGAAGUGGUUCAAUCCUGCAGUGGUGUUUCAAUGGUGGCGAAGCCCUCUGCCUAUCUCAACAAAACUGUAAAGAUCAGCCGGCAUUCAGCUGGCAGUGGUGAGAAAACUGCUACAGAACAAAUCAAGCUUGAUGACUCAAAUAUCAGGGAAGCCAUAGUCAAGGCAACUGGUUUGUGCAUCAACAGUGGUUCGUGGACCGGAAUUCCUGGCUAUUGUCGCUUCACAAUUGCACUGGAAGAAAGCGAAUUUGAACGAGCUUUGGAUUGCAUAGCUAAAUUCAAAAGCAUCGUUCUUACACGUAGUUAACUAAAAAAUGGUAUUGUCAUUUGUCAUGAUUUAUUUCUAUUGCCUGAUGAUGGUACCCAUCACGCCUUAGUUGUCGUGAAUAAAUCGAAAAUCAAAUUGCACUGGUUUUUACCGGUUAUCAACAAUUGUGAUGUUUUGAGAUUAUAACAUACUUGACAACGUUGACUAGCGUUCUCUCCUAUGUGAAUUGGGACAAAAAUUAUUUUCCCAAUCACGCUUUCGUUUGAACAAUUCUACUUCAGAUAUAUAAAAUAAUGAUGAAAUUGUGUUUUAUAAUUAGUUACGAGUAAUUGGUUCAAUAUUAAUACAAAACUAUUUUAAGUAACACGUGGCAUAUUCUAAUUCCAGUGAGCUUCUAACUCAGAUUCCCAAAUCAAAAGAAACGUUUCAAUUUUCUCCAGAACAUUCUGCAAAACGUUUCUUCGAGUCUCUACGCUGUGCUAUAAUUUUCUCUCAGUUUCUUUUGCAAAGACUUCUAAAGAACUGUCCAGAUACCGAAAUAUAAGGGGUUUUUAAUUAAAUACCCUUUAAUAGUUUCAAAAUUAUUUAAAUAUCCCCUCCCUUUUUUGUUUUCAUGGAUACCCUAACAAAUGUGAGUAAAGUCGGAAAUACCCUUAAUGAAUACAUCAAAUUCACUCAAUGAAUUAUCUUCAUAUUUCUUUCCUCAUUUCUUUCACCCAACUCCAUUUUUGCUGCCGAUUCUUUCAAAAUCUCUUAGAAUCUCUCAAAAUCUCUCAUAACUUCUUACACAAAUACAAUUAUGUAUUCAUUUCUUUAACACCCACUCUUUCUUUAAAGGUGCAUUGCUUAUUAAACAACCCAAUAAGGUAUGUUAAUGUUGUUGGGUUUUAAAUUUUUUAAUUUUUAGGAAAAUUUAGAAAUUUUCCUCACAUUACAAUGUUUUAUUUUCACCAUUUUUUCUUAUACGUAGAAAUAUAUGCAAUGUAGGUUGUUUAAUUAUUUUUUUCAGCAAUAUAACUUAUUUAUGGCGAAAAUGUUUCGAGUCGUGCAUUCUUUUGAUACCGUGUACGUCAUAUAGUUAGUUAUGUAGGUCGUGUAAGUAAUAUAGUCGUGUAAGUCGUGUAGGUCAUGUAAGAAAUAUAGUCGUGUAGGUCAUGUAAGAAAUAUAGUCCUGUAAGUCGUGUAAGUAAUAUAGUCGUGUAGGUCAUGUAGGUCGUGUAGUUACUUGUAUAUGAAAUUUAAUAUUAUUGUUUUUAUUGUAUCAUCAGAUAUGGUUUUGGUACGUGUGCCUAUUCUCUUCAAUGGUGAAUGGAUUGAGCAAAAUGACGAGUAUAAGUUCAAAGGUUCAAAAGCUAAAGGGAUAAUGAUACCACGAUCGACAACAUAUGCCGAAUUGGUGGAGAAGAUAGCUGAAGUUAUUGAUAUAGAUACUUCGGAAUUCGAAAUCACAAUGAAGUUCAAACUUAAGACAUCUGAUCCUAUGCCACUAGUUACAAUUCAAACCAAAAAAUUCGUGUAAUUUUAAAGUCGCAAUUAAACAUAUUACAGCUAUUUAAAAAGUUUUUUUUUUUUUUAUCUUCAAAGUGCUUUCUUCCUCUGGCCAAGCAUACAAGCAUACAUGAGGAAUGUCUGCAUAUAAUUAAUCCAUGAAAUCAAUUAAGAAAAAAAAAUAUCAACCAUAGGAAAUUAAUGUAAUGUUAUACACAUAAGAACACCAUUCGCAGUGAUAAAAUAUUUCCACUCAUAACUAGACAUAUCAUGACUUACCAUGGCUUAUAAUUGGAAAUUAAGAAUCUCUCUAACUAAUGAUAUUUCACAAGGUAAAGGUAUAUGCACCAUUCCAAUUUAUUGUGAGCCUAAUUAAACUAAAUGUAAUGUGUAGAUUCUAUUGACAAGAAACAAAAUGUGGAAUUGAAGGUCGUGUAAUUGUGUAAUACAAGAAGAUCGUGUAAUUGUAUAAUACAUGAAGGUCGUAUAAACAUGCAAUACAUGAAGGUCGUGUAAACGUGCAAUACAUGAAGGUCGUGUAAACGUGCAAUACAUGAAGGUCGUGUAAUCGUGCAAUACAUGAAGGUCGUGUAAUACACAACCUUGAAUAUUACAUAACCUUACACGACCAAAUCUUAUGUUACAUAACAAAAUUAUAAUCAGCACAAUCCAUUAAUUUUUCACAAUUUGCAUGCAGCAAAACAACUAGAAAUUUGUUUUCGAACAUGUUAUGAGAGACCCACAACUAAUUAAUCUAUUUUUUCAAUAUAAAACCCUAACUUUUUAUUUUUUUUCCCUUGAAUAUUAACAAGAAAACUAAUUACACGGAAUUACUUGUCUCAACUAGUUACAUUCUGACAAUUUUGCAGUAAAUGAUCAACUCUCUCCGGCGAUUAUGUAGUGACGAACUAUGCUUCACUUUCUCAGUUGUGGCAGCUUCCCCUUCUCAGGCUUAGUUUGCUCGUGUUGAAGUUCGAUUUACCAUGUAUGGAGAAUGAAUGUUUGUUUCGGUAGAGGUGAUGCCGGUGAGGGAAUUGUAGAGGUGAUGUCGAUGAGGGAAUUGCAGUAUUUGUUUGUUUGAGUUUGAUAAUGGAGGGAAUUGCAGCAGAUGAGUGUUUGUUUGCUUCAGUAGAGAAGGGAGAGGUGCUGUCUAUUGAGUUGAAAUGUUUUAAAAUGAGGAUAGCUUAGUAAUUUCCUAUCAGUUUUUAAAGGGUAUCGAUGAAAAUUUUGGCAAAAACAGAUUUUAGGGUAUUGAGAUAAUUUUUGAAGUAUGGAGGUGUACCGGGCGCAAUUGGCUCGAAAUAUAAUCCAAUCUAAGUGUAUAUAUCUCUCUACGUAAAGAUAUUCUAAUUCUAAUUAUCACAUUCUAAUUCAUAAAGAUAUUCCUCUUCUGUCAUAUUAAUGUGCUAAUACGAAGGUCUAUUGGAAUUAUAAUAGUUCAGAUGAAUCCAAAAUAUUCAAUAAUUGAUAAAUAGUAUAUAUAAAUAUUAAUAGCAAUGGCACAUAAUCAAUUAAUUCAAGAACUUGCCCAUAGUGCAUUAAGUUAAAAGAGUAAAAAUAACAUUGCAAAACAUGCCAGACCUUACGUGUUUAAUUAGCAAUUGAAAACUAUUUUACCGUACAACACCAUAAAGAGAUAUUUAUAACACUGUUGCUGCAGCUGUUAAUUCUUUUGGUGAAGAUGUUAAGGCCACUAAAGCUGGAACGUAAUUAGGGAAAUAUAAUGCAUUCACUUAGUUUGCUAUUUGUGUUUUUAUAUUUGUUUGGCUAAUUCUUUGCUCAGAUUGCUUUUUGUUUGAGAUUUUAUUGGCUUAGUCGUGGGAUAUUAUUUAAUCUUUUAAUUUUGUGUUUUUAUUGUUAUGGGAUUUGAUGAUGGUAUACAUAUAGGAAAAUUAUGCAAGAAAGUGCUUUUAAUAAAUUAUGGUCGGUUUACUAUUAAUUAACCAAAUUUAAUUUACUCAAAUUACUCCUAUACACGAUCAAAAUAAUUUCAAUUCCAUGAUAUAAAUACGCGCGUGCGGACACACAAAAUGUAAAUAACUUUCAAAUAUAAAAUAUUUAAAAUAAUCAUCAUACUCACAAUUCACAAGUUAGAUUAUAUUAAGGCCACCAAGGCUUAAAUGUAAUUGAUUGAAGAAAGAAGUGCUUGCUUUGCUUGAUGUGCCAUUUGUCUAUGAUGUUUUAUAAAUGGCCGAAAUAAUGAUAAUCUAGUGAAUCUGGUCAUAUUAAUUUGAUUUUCAUUUAUAUUAAUUAUGUCGAAUCAUACUAUUUUAAUAAGAAAGAGCACUCGAGAAUAUAUAUAUCUAACAACUAAAAUUUCAAAACAAUAUUUGCCAAAGUCUGAUGAAGAGAAUACAUAUAUAUAUAUAACAUGCACUCGCACACAUUCUAUUGUUUAAUUAAAAAAUUCGAAAGCCCAUUAUAUACAUGAUAAAGACUCACCGACACCGAACCAUAUUCAUUUAAAGGAAUUGUUUUCAACUGAGAUUUGAAAUUAUAUACACAAACACACCCGAUUUUUUAUUUUUUUUAAAAAAAUUACUAAUAAUAAAAUAUUUCAGUCGUCCUCUGUUCAGCUGUCAAAAACGCAUUUAAAAUCUAUAGCAACAUGCGGUAUAUGGGUUAACAAGUCCCAAUAUUGUCCUCCAUCCUUUCUGCACUUCUCUGCCAUCAACGGACAUCGAUAGAUACUUAAUCGCAAAAGUGAGGAAGGCAGGCCCUUCUCCGGAAAGUAUUUGAGCUUGGGACAAUACUGGAGAUCCAAGUGAGUGAGGUUUUGAAGAUCAACAAUUGAAGAAGAUAGGCGUUCCAGAUUUGGAAAAUUAGAAAUCUCCAGAAAUGUUAGAGAGGCAGGAAGAGGAAGCGCGGUCCCCAAUCUUAUGUCCUCCGGUGGGAAUGACACCAUGUCGCCAUCGCAUCGGCUGAUUGUGAGUUGUCGCAGAGAGGAGAAUCUGUGGAAUCCCCGACCCCGCCCAAUCGUUGACUUCCAAAUCUUCGUAUUACCAUCAAUCUCCAGUGAAUGAAGGUUGGUGGGAAGGGCAUCUUCUUCAAGGCUUGGAAGCUCACCUCCUUUUCCUAUUUUUAAUUGUUGAAGAGAGGUCAGAUUGUGCAAUCCCUUGGGUAAGGCCUCUAGUCUCUCACAAUCAGAUAUCUCCAGCGUAGUCAGUUUCGCACAAGGCAAUCCCCCUUCGGGAAAGGACUCCAGAUUUCCACAUUUCUCUAUGCUAAUCUCUUGAAGCUGGCGGAGAUUAUGUAAACCACUCGGUAAAGUUUUCAGAUUUCCACAAUCAGAAAUCUUGAUUGUUUCAAGAGAUGUGUUGUUGUCCAACCUUUCUGCUAUAGACUCCAGCUUUGAACAUCCCCAAACACCAAGGAACUCAAGAGACGGAGGUAGAUUGCCAACUUCAAGGGACUCAAGCGUGGCAGGUAACUCGUUUUUUGAAAAUAUACAUGUCAGUGAUGGACAGCUGUUAAUACGCAACUGCUCAAGAAGAGAUGAGGUGUACCUUCUGCUGCUGCUACUCUGGAUGCCCUCUUCCACUGUCAAGGUCCUUAUAUUAUCGCAAUUGUAAAUCACCAACUGCUUAAGGCUCCGUGGUAGCUGGACUCCACCAAUAUAUAUCAACGAAUGGCAAACCCAAAUCUCCAAGAUCUCGAGAGAUGAAUUGGUGUCGCACAUCCAUGCCUCUGGUAACGAUUUCAGUGCAUCACAAGCCGAAAUGAAUAUUCUCCUCAACUUGGAAGGCAGAGCAACCUCAGGAAAGGAAACAAGGGAACUGCACUCGUAGAUUUCUAUCUCUCUCAAGGAACUGAGGAUGAGCGAUGAUUGUGGCAGCUUUACAAGGCAUUGGCAACGGCUCAAUCUUAGAUAUUCGAGUCUGCAUGACAACUCGCAGAGCUGCUGUUGUUGGUCUUUCUCUUCCUCCGCCACCAAGGAUUGAAGUUUGGGACAGCAGUAGAUCUCCAGUCUUUUGAGAGAGCAAAUGUCUUGUAGUAAUCCGUCAUGACUCUUCCAUAUAUAUGUUUGCUCUUUUGUCGACAAAAUUAAUUCUUCCAAUUUCUGUAGUUGUGGCUUCAAUGGCCCCGCAAGAAACACUUGAUUUGAUGUAUCUCUACAAACCACUGAAUUCUGUGAUCCGAGAUGACCAGUUGCACUUUCCCACACAACCUUUUUGCAUCCACCAAUUUCCAAUUUGCAAAGAGCUGGAAGACUCGAAACUGAAACUAACAAUUCUUCACAUCCUUCAAUAACAAGCAUCUCCAAUGCAGGAAGGUGCUCUGGAAAUGUUCCUUUCAGUUUAGAACAUCUUAAAAUGUGAAGCUCUCUCAAUUUAGGAAACCCUUCAACUCCUUGACUGGAUCCAUGAGGAAUCCAGUCUUCCCAUUCUCGCAUGUUUUCAAAACGAAGAGUCUCCAAGCAUGGAAAAGGAAUUGGAGCAUCAUUCCCAUAGAACUCUGAACCCAACCUCUUUACUCUGCUCAUUCCACAUACUGCAAGAUGCUUUAGAGAGGGUAGUUGCCCGACUGACGGCAGGGCAGUACACAUGUCACAAUUUUCAAAUUUUAGCGUCACCAAAUUUGACAAUGAGGAAUCUCCUAACCAAGCUGGAAAUUUUGUACCUCCAUAGCCACUGAUACAAAAUUGUUCCAAAAUUUCAUGAGGUUUUAGCAUGUCAAGCACAUCCUUUUCAGUUUCUGCCUCACUUGAAGAUGAGCCAUCGAUACUGAGUGUCCAUCGAAGCAAUAAUUCUCUAAGAUUCUUCUUUCCAUCCAAUUGAGCCUCCUUCGCAUCACCAACGUCUUUUACAUUCUCCAAUUUUGAAAUGUUAAGUGUCCCAUGAAGGUGCGUCAACAACUUUAGCUCUCGUAACCCGGAACCACUGUCUUUUCCCACAACAAAAUUACACAACGUCUGAAGGCAAGUCAGCCUGCCAAUUCCUAGUGCCAUUUCCUCCAACGAAUCUGUUUUUGAAUUAAUGAGAUGAUGCAAUUUGAUGAGAUUUCCCAUGUCUGCACAUAACUUCUUCAGCCGAUCACAAUCUUCCAACAAAAGACUAUGCAAAUUGUAAAGCUUGUUGACUGAUUCAGGCAGAGUUCUAAUCUUAGUUCCAGACAGGUUAAGGUACCUUAAAUACCUCAAAUCACCAAUUGAAUCCGGCAGCUCAGGGAUGCGGUAUCCACGCAAAGAGAAGACCCUCAAGCGUUGGAGUUUGAGCAACUUAGGAAGAAUGCUAGGAGCCAAGUAGCCAGGCAAACUAUUUGUCAACAUUACUGGUAAAAAAGUUCUCAAAUGUUGGAUAUCAUACAAGUCCCCAAACCUUUUACCGCCAUCACAAUAUUCAGGAAUGUAUGAUAGAUGACGAAGAUUUUCGGAAAAACUUUGCUGCUUGUUAACCUCUGAGGUAUACUCCAUUGUGAAGUAUAUCUCCCCCGCAGCCCAACGGGCAAGGUCAUUGAUAAGAUCGUGCAUCACAAAUCGUGAUGUAUUGUUGCUUGAUUGCUGCAAAAAAGAUCUUGAUCGUAGCUCUUGAAAGAACUUUCGACCUAGAUCUUCGUUAGGAUUCCCACUCUCUUUAUGAUCCAAGAAACCCGAAGCACUCCAUAAUAAAAUUAUCUCCUCCUCUUCAAAUUCAUAAUCCUUCGGAAACAACGAGCAAUACGCAAAGCAUUGUUUCAAAAUUGGAGGAAGAUAAUAAUAGCUCACUGCAAGAGCUGGUAUAAUGGGACAUUUAUCUUCUGGUAAUUCCCAUAUCUUGCUACUGAGCACACCUUUCCACUCACGUUUGUAAGGUUUUCCAUGUAAAAGUCCUCCCAGUGUUUUUGCUGCCAAGGGCAAGCCGUUGCAUUUGAUCACUAUCUCCUUGCCAAUUUCCUCCAAUGACUUAUGUGAACUGAAAUCUGCUGUCUCCAAAGAGUGCUGAGCGAGUACAGACAGACAGUCCUCAGUUGACAAGCUUUUGAGUUCAUAAGCUUGAUCCAGGCUCAUGAUUUUGGCAACCUCUUCAUUGCGAGUGGUGACAACAACCUUACUUCCCUGUGCGCCAGCUUGAAAUGGAAGGCUGAGGUGAACCCAAUCAGUGUAAUUCUCAUUCCAAACGUCAUCUAAAACAAGCAAAAAUUUCUUUCGAGACAACUGCUUCUUUAGCUCCUCUUGAAGAAAAUUUAAAUCAUUAUUAUCAACAGUCUGCUUAGUAAUGGAGCUUAGAAUUGUUCUUGUUAGCCUGAUAAGAUCAAAAUCAUCAGAGACACAAGUCCAUGCCUUGAGAUCAAAAUGAUCCUCCACUUGCUUAUCAUUGUAGACAAGCUGAGCAAGAGUGGUUUUACCCAGCCCGCCCAUACCUAUAAUAGGAAUAACUGCGAAUCCACCAUCCUUUCUUGAAUCAUCCUUCAACAACAAUUCAACAAUUUCCUUCUUUUCUGUUUCCCUGCCAUAAACUUUGGCUUCCUCCACCAAAGAAGUUGUAUCUCGCCUUUGCCUGGCUUUUUGGGACCCCCCAGCUGAACUUUUUAUCAAUUUCAGCGAGCCUAUUCCUUCUUCAAUAUCUCGAAAUCUGUCGUUGAUCUUUUUGAUUUUGGACAUCAUCGAGUAAUCGAACUGAAUCGAUUGCAGAGUAAAAGUGGGGCAGCAAGUAGGAAUGAGCUUCCGAAACUUACUCUUCGUGCUUGUACGACUGCUGCUGGGUUGAUCAUGAGCAGCAGCUGGUUCUCCAUUUCCAAGCAGCAACUUCCUCCGGAAAGCCUCAGUUUGGAACUCAUCCAACAAGUCUUCAACGUCAUAAGCCAAGUUCUGAAGCUCGCCAAGCCACAACUUCACAGAAUCAUCAGUCGUCUUCUUCUGCUCAGCAUCAUCAAGCACCGCCUUGAUCGUCACCAACUUCUUCUUCCACUUCACUAGAUCGUCUUUGAUUCGACCUUGGCGUUCAAAUAAACGAAGCCCCUCCGAAGAUAACUUAUUGAUCAGCAUCUCAACGGACGCCUUCAGGAUUGCCUCUCCGAUGAUCGACAUUUUUUCUUUUUUCUUUUUUUUGGGUUUUUUGGACAGAGAAAGAAACUGAAUUAUGAGUUUGUGGAAAGCAAAAUGAGAAAAGUGAAGAAGCGGAAUGAGUUUGUGAUUGUGUCUAGCAAAGCCUAUAAAUCAAGAAAAAUCCACCGUAAAAGUGAAAAGUCAAACGGAGCCCACCACAAAUAUAAAAUCAGAGGAGCACAGAAAUUAAAAAAAAAAAAAAUCAAACAUGUAAUGAUUUGUAAAGUUAUUAGCGAUUUGUAAAAAUCAAACAUGCGUCUUCUUCCUCUGAGUGUAUUUUUUUUUUCUUUUUCAAAAGAGAUGGUGGGGUUGUGUUGUUUGCAAAGUUAAUAGCGUGGGUCUAUUUGUUUUUGUUUUAACUUUAUUAAUUAAUUAGUGAAGCAAACAUGUAAUGAUUUGUAAAGAUCACCGGCAUCAGAUUAUUGAGAGGUAUUGCGCUUAGUAUUCACAAUUUCUUGUAAGAAGAAUUUGUAAGACUUAUUAAUUUCGAUGAAAAUGUAUCAUUAUUAUUUAAUUCAUUAAGUUAACUUGAGGUAUUAAUAUUCACUAAUUGUGGUGCUGGUGAAUUUACUUAACUUGUCAUUAUUUGUAAUUAAAGAAUGAGGUUCAAUCAAUUUAUUGGAGAAAAAUUGAUUUUAAUUCUUAGUAUUUGAUUUCACUCUCUUUUACUUUUUGACGUUGCUAAAGAGACAGUAAAAAACUUGCUAAAUGUCAUCAAAUACUUGUAUCUCAUCUCACAAAUUGGCAAUAUUUGUUUGGUAUUUCAUCUUAACGGGACGCCGUAAGGAUUGCCUCUCCAAUGAUUGAUAUUUUUUUUUUCUUUUUUUCCCGCACAGAAAGAAACAGAAUUUUGAGUUUUAAAGCAAAAUGAGAAAAUUGAGCAAAAUGCAUGUGGCAAGUCUCCUGCUUGAUUAUUCCAGUAAAGUGAAAAUAAAAGCAGAGCCCACCACCCAUUGAUAAUUGGAAAAUGAUAAACGAACGAAAAGCGCGACGAAGGGACGACAGAAAACGCGUUUCCUCAUCAAAUUUUGUUUUUGUGUACCGACAAUAAAUAAUAAAAUAUUUUUUGUGAGAGCGAUAACAAAUAGUAAAAUAAAGAAUUAAAAAAAAAGAUAGUGUAAACGAACGAAAGCGCGACGAAGGAACGACAGAAAACGCGUUCCCUCAUGAAAAUUUUUUUUUGUGGGAUCGAUAAUAAAUAAUAAAAUAUUUUUUUGUGGGACCGAUUAUAAAUAGUAAAAUAAAGAAUAAAAAAUAAAAAAAUGGAUGGUGAAAACGAACGAAAGCGCGACAAAGGGAUAACAGAAAACGCGUUCCUCAUCCAAUUUUUCUUUUGUCGGACCGAUAACAAAUAAUAAAAUAUUCUUUUGUGGGACCGACUAAAAAUAGUAAAAUAAAGAAUGAAAAAAAGGAUAGUGUGCAAUUUUUCUUUUAAUAGAAUUUAGCAAUUCACCAAUCACCAAUCACCACCACUUGUUACCAGAUUCAAUAAAUGUAAAAUCGCACCUGGACAUUUGUAGGGUCAAGCAACAUUAAUCCAGUGUCCGGGUAAAUGCUGAAUAAAGGGGAAAAUGGGAUGUAAAUUUACUAUUAAAACAAAUAAAAUUUAUUAAUAAAAAUAAGGGUUAUAUAUAUUUUUUAAAAUGUUAAGAAGUUUUAUAUCUUUUUUGGAUUAAAUUUUCUAUUUCCUAUUAAGCAAAACCCACGUCAAAAGUGAAAAAGAAAAAUAGAGCCCACAGAACAGAGCCCAUUACAAAUAUAAAAUCGGAGGAGCUCAUGAUCAUGCCUUUUGUUUUACAUACUAAAUUUAAUAAAAGCCAAACCAAAAUCUUGCCUUUACUUAACAUGAUUAAUUAGGCACUGCAUCAGAGAGAACACGAAAGCUAUGAACCAUUUUGUUAAUCUUAAAUGUCAGGAAUAUAAUUAGCUUGGAAUAAAGUUGCAUUCUUCUCCUCUGACCGCAAGAUAUGGACUGGGCCACUCCAAAGAGAUUGGUAAUGCUGUAUCAGUAUAAUUAGCUUGGAAUAAAGUUACAUACAUUCUCCUCCUCUUACUGUCUCUUUAGGUUCAUUUCAAAAGUUUGAAGAGAGUAUCAAUUCUUCUACACUUUAGAAUGUCAAUGUUUUUGCUUUCUUCAAAUGUUGAAUAAAGAGAAAAAAAAAAUGUUGAAUGUAGAAGGAAAAUGGAAUGCAUCCACCUUCGCUUUGGAAGUCUUCUACUUAUAAAAGCAAGCUAAAUUAAAAGAUUUAAAUCUCUCUUUUUAUUACUAUAAGUGCACUGCAUUUUUUUUUUUAAAUAAUCACCUAUACAAAUUUGUAACGUAAUGAAAUAUUCAUAUUCCUGUCGUGUCGAAAUGAGAUAAAAUGAAAUUUUAAAUAACACAAAUUCGACUCAUUUGUUAAAAGUAUAUACUUAAUAAGCUAAUAACAUAAUUAACAUAACGCUAUUAUUAUACUAAAUGAAAUAAAAGACGGUAGCCACCAAUAAUUACACUAGCAAGCUUCGCAUGCUCGUGUUUAAGGAAUUGGACAUUGGUGAAUUAAUCAAGGAUAAGAAACAAUUUCAAAAAACAAAAUGGAUACUAUACAUUUUCUUUUUUUAAUUGCACAGAAAAUGGGACUAAUUUUCAAAUAUUUUCAAAUUCACUUAUUAACAAAAGCUAUACAAAAUAAUUUCCUUUUUAUUUUGAAACAUUAUACGGAAUCAAAUAACAGUGAUUCAAAGAGUGUAAAGUGGUAAUUCUCUGAUUGUAUUUUCUCUCUUUUUUAAAAGGAGAUGGUGGGGUUUGGUUGUUUGCAAAAUUAUUGGUGUGAGGGUCUAUUUGUUUUUGUUUUCACUUUAUUAAUUAAUUACGAAGCAAACAUGUAAUCAUUUGUAAAGGGGUCACUAGCAUUGGGUUGUGUAAGAUGAAUUCGUAAGACUUAUUAAUUUCGAUGAAAAUGUAGCGUUAUUAAGUUGUCAAUUCAUUAACUUGAGGUACUAAUAUUUACUAAUUGUGGUGAUUAAUUUAUUUAACUUUGUCAUAAUUUUCAAUUGAGAAUGAAGUUCAAUCAAUGUAUGAAAAAAAUAAUUUUUUUAGAUUUUUAACUCCUAUGAUUUAAUUUCCAUCUGUUUCGAUUAUUGACGUGUUAAAAGCUUGUAGAAUAUCAUGAAAUGCUUGUAUCUCACCUCACAAAUUGACAAAAAUUGGUUGGUUUCUCCAAAGGCUGCCAUGACGAAUUGAAAGUAAAAACAACCACCAUUGAAAAUUAAUUUUAAAAAUCUUUUUUACUUGAAAAUUUUUAAAAGAAAAAUUAAGCAAAUUAGAUUGCAGAUAUCAAUCUUAAUAUUUUGUUGAUGAAAAUUAAUUAAUUAAUCCCAGUACUUUCUUAAUUUUGUGUUGUGCACCGCAUUGGCCACUUCUGAUUGUGUUGCAUAUUUGUUAAUUCAAAGAAAUAGAUCUUUUGUAUCGAUCAAACUUAUUUUAUUAGUAUUAUUCAUCAUAUGGUUAAUGGCUUAGCCAAUGAAGGAGAAGGGGUCAGCCAAAAUAAAUAAAGUACUUUCUCAUGCAUUAACCUUUAUUAAAAAGCUUUAUUAACUGUUGUAGUUAAAACAAUUUUAAAACAAGUUAAAACAGUUCCAACUCAAAAUCUGUAGGCUGCAAUUGGGUUGUUACACAUAUUUCUAAAUUUCAGUCUAAUUUAAUUGUGUAUGGACAAACUGACUUUAUCACUCCUUUCAUAUUAAUACUCAUAAAUUUCAACCUUUUUUUAUGAUGAUGCACAAUCUAACUUAACAAAAAUAAUGUUCAAAUUGUCAAAAAAUGUUCUUUUCUUAAAAAAGAAAAGAAAAUCAUAUAUAGUAGUUAAUUUUUCUUCCUCUUUACUCCAAGAUCCAACUUCGUACUCCACUUUUUUGUUGUUAUUGUACCCAGCCGUUAGAUUUUAAUUACAUUAAUUUAAUGGUUUGGAUUUGUAAAUGAAUAACGACGUAGUGUUUGGCUACCAUCUGAACCCACUGCAUCUAAUUGGUUUUGUGAUUUUUUGCUUUCUUCUCUGUAACACUUGACUAGUUCUGAAAAUAUCGACCGCCAUCAACAAUAAAUCUGAUCCAUGUAUUAUUUCUUAGUAGUGGGCAAAUUAAUAAAGUUUCCACCACCGUACCAGUAUGUCGAUUUGCGAAUACAUUCAUUCAAAUAUUAAACAUUCAGAGAAGAAAGCAAACCGUGGCAGGAUAGAAUGCUGCGUUCUGUGCUAACUAUAAAUUCUCACAGUGGCACGCAUAUCACAUGACACACAGAGCUCAGACAACACGCUCAACUGCCACAACACUCACCAAAUCUUCACCCAACUCAUGCAUCUCACCUCUCUGUGCUCUCUCUGUUGGCUCUCUCUCUCCCUCUCUCUCCCCCCGUCGCUCACGCAUCUCACCAUGCUCUCUUUUCACCGUCGACUUUCUCUCUCUCUCUCCCCAUGGGUCUUUCCACAGCUGGCGCGGGUCUCCAUCGAGAAUGCUUCGAACUCAUCAAGAGUGGUAGUAAAAGCAACAGUUUCAAUCGAGAACGGCGUCGUCUCGGCUCGGAAGAAGUAAUAACAGUGGUAUUUGGCGGGGGUUUUGGGUACUUUUUGUUCCUGUUUGUCCAUUAAUUAAUUAAUUUGGAAAAAGAACGGUGUAUUUGACAAAUAAAUAAUGGGGAUGGUUGGAUGUAAUUAAGGGGAUGAUGAACAUAAUAAUGGUUUAAGAAGACCAGGAUUUUGUUAACUUUUUUCUAGGUUUCUUGAAGAAUGUAACUUAAAAUAAAUGCAUCAAAUUAAGUAAACAUAAAAUCAUAAUAAUAAUAAUAAUAAUAAUUGGACUCAAUAAUUAUAUGUGAAAUUUACAUAUGUGUCAAGUAGGAGCAUGAUAUCAUCAUUUACACACACACACACCACACACACACACACACAUAUAUAUAUAUAAAUGACAAUUUAUUUAAAAGUCAAAUAAUUGUGACGUUUUAUCAAAUAAGUGACAAAUAUAUAAUAUAUUACAUAUUUAUUGAAUAAUUAUCAUUUACCUUUUCCUUUUAUUGACUUAAGAAAAAAAACAAAAAACUUGCUAUACCGCUUCUGUUUUCGUUCUUAGAACAUAUUAGUUUCUUUUGAGAAAAGUCAAACUCAUUCCCAUUACUUUCUUUUCAAUAAUCACCUCUCAGUUUUUCAUCAGUCACUCAAUUUCGAAUUUCAUCUCCAUUCUCUUUCAAAGAAGAACACACGAAGAAUUUUAGCUUGCUUUACCUGCUUCUCGAAUUUCAGGUAUUGUUUCCUUUAAUUUUGAUUUUUUUUUUUACCUCUCUGUUUCUAGUUUGAUAAUUUAGGGUUAUACUUGAAUUAAUUGUAUUUUUAAUCAUCCUAGGUUGAUUUAAUUGAUUCCAAGUCUCAAUUUCCUGUUCAACAAACAAGGAACGCACGAGUAAUUUUCAUUUUCAUUCUCAAUUUUGAAAGAAUCAAUUUAUUUUAUGUGUUCAAUUUUGUUUAUUUAACUUAGGAUAUCUUUUUCAUUCUCGUCUUCAAGCAGACUAUAGCGUUGCUCCUCUCAUUGAUUAUAUUGAGAACAAUGCUUUCUCCUUAAUUCCACCAAGAACAACGUUGAUGUCAGGUGAUAAUUGAAUGUGUAAUAUUUUCAAUUGAAAUUAAUUGAGUCUCGUAAUAAUAAUAGGGAUUUGAGAUUUACAUCCUGUUGAAAUGAUUUUAGAGUGUUCUGCUAUUUGAAUGGGCAUUAUUUUUUUAUUUUCAAUUAAUUGAGUCUCUUUAAAAGAUUAUUUUUGUUUUUAGCAAACAUCUUAAUGCACUUUGCAAAUUGAAUCCAACAAGGGAAAAUUACAGAACUGCAACAGUUUUCAAAUUGAUUGCAUAUUAGAAGUAAUGUUAAUUUAUGCUGCAACAGUUCAAUGGGCUGGGCACAAGUUUAGGACUUUAGUUGCUCAAUUAAUGAAUCCACCACUCAUCGGACUUGGAACUUAUAUCAACUGAAUCAAUAAAAAUAGUUGACGUAAUCAAUACUGAAAGCUUCAUUUGAUUAAUAAUGAACUACAGACAUUUAUUUAUAACAUCUGCUAGAUUCUGGACAAUCACAAAUAUAUAGUAGCAGAAACUAUGUUAGAGACACUGUAGUUGCUUAAUUAGUGAAAUUGUGAUCUCGUUGCCCCCUUUUUUUGGUUGAUUCUAUAAUUUUAUUAGUUGUUCUUGUGGUUGUAAACAAUAUCAAUUUCUAAUAUUAAUAAAACUGAAUGAAUAAAAUGCGAUACAUUUGCAGGAAAGUUAAUAGUUUAAAUAUGGAUAAAUCUUGGAUGUUGAUGGAUAGAAGGUCUAAAGAAUAUGAGAACACGGUAAAUGAGUUUCUCAAGUUUAAUGUGUUAAUAAUUAUGAAGAACCGGUGUAAUUUAUAUGAUGUAGGAAGCACUUUAGGCAAAAUCAUCUGAAUCUCAAAAUUUCGUGAUAUUGUGCCAAAUAUCCAAAACAGAGCUUCCUACAUUGCUAUAGCAGUUUUUAAAAGUUGAGGACUCCAAAUAUCCAAUAACUGAUCAAUUCUGUUAAGAAAUAUAAAUAUUAAUGGUGAUGACACAUACGCAUUGAAUUCCUUCGUUUUGAGUUUGACUAAAAUAACCUGAAUAGUUUCAAACAAUCCAUCAGCCCAAAGUCCUUGAGAGAUUGAACUCGAGAAUAUAUAUAUCCAACAGGUAAAAUUUCAAAACACCAUUUGCCAAAGUCUGAUGAAGAGAAUACAUAUACACACACGCGCGCUCAUAUGUAUAACCGCACAGCAGAAGGAUAGAUAAAAUAAAUUGAAGUUUCAACAGUUGAACAAUGCAAACUCAUUUUAAAAAAGCAUUCUAUUGUUUAAUUAAAAAUUCGAAAGCCCAUCAUAUACAUGAUAAAGACUCACCGACACCGAACCAUAUUAAUUUAAAAUUGUUUUCAACUGAGAUUUGAAUUUUGAAAUUACAUACACCAACACGCCCGAUUUAAAAAACAAACUAAUAAUAAAAUAUUUAAGUUGUCUAUGUUCAGUCAUCAAAAACCAAUUUACGAUUUAUUUCAACACAAACACACCCGAUCUAUAAAAAAAAUCAAAAUAAUAAUAAAAUAUUUCAGUCGUCCUCUGUUGAGUCGUCAUCAAAAACCCAUUUACGAUCUAUUUCAACAAGAGGUAUAUGGGUUAACAAGUCCCAAUAUUGUCCUCCAUCCUUUCUGUACUUCUCUGCUAUUAACGGACAUCUAUGGAUGUAUAAACGCAAAAGUGAGGAAGGCAGGCCGUUCUCUGGAAAGUAUUUAAGCCUGGGACAAUUAUAGAGUUCCAAUGAAGUGAGGUUUUGAAGAUCAACAAUUGAAGAAGAUAGCCGUUCCAGAUUUGGAAAAUCUUCAAUCUGCAGAGAUGUUAGAGAGAGGCAGGAAGAGGAAGCGUGGUCCCCCAUCUUAUGUCCUCUGGUGGAAAUGACACCAUGUUGUCAUCACAUCCUGUGAUUCUAAGUUCACGCAGAGAGGAGAAGCUGUGAAAUCCCCGGCCCCACUCAAUCAUUGACUUCCAAAUCUUCGUAUUACCAUUAAUCUCCAGUGAAUGAAGGUUGGGAGGAAGGCCAUGUUCUUUGACGCUUGGAUGCUCACCUCCUAUAAUUAAUUGUCGAAGAGAGUUCAGAUUGUGCAAUCCCUUAGGUAAUGCCUCUAGUCUCCCACACUCAUACAUCAUGAGCUCAGUCAGUUUCGUACAAGGCAAUCCCCCUUCGGGAAACGACACCAGAUUUCCACACCCCUAAAAUCUAAUCUCUCGAAGCUGGCGGAGAUUAUGUAAACCACUCGGUAAAUUUUUCAGAUUUUUACAACUAAUGAUAGUGAUUGUUUCAAGAGAUGUGUUGUUGUCCAACCUUUCUGCUAUUGACUCCAGCUUGGAACAUCCCCAAACAAAAAGUGACUUAAGAGACGGAGGUAGAUUGCCAACUUCAAGGGACUCAAGCGUGGCAGGUAACUCGUUUUUUGAAAAUAUACAUGUCAGAGACGGACAACUCUCAAUGUGUAAGUGCUCAAGAAGAGAUGAGGUGUACCUUCUGCUGCUGCUACUCUGGAUGCCCUCUUCCACUGUCAAAGUCCUUACAUUAUCGCAAUUCCGGAUGACCAAGUUCUUAAGGCUCGGUGGUAGCUGGACUUCAGCAAUAUAUGUCAACGAAUGACAACGCGAAAUCGUCAAGAUCUCGAGAGAUAAAUUGGCGUCGCACAUCCAUGCCUCCGGUAACGAUUUCAGUGCAUCACAACGGUGAAUUGAAAUGCUCCUCACCUUGGAAGGCAGAGCAACCUCAGGGAAGGAAACAAAGGAACUGCAGUUGUAGAUUUCUAUCUCUCUCAAGGAGCUGAGGCUGAGCAAUGAUUGUGGCAGCUUCACAAGGCCUUUGCAAUCAUUUAAUAGCAGAUAUUCAAGUCUGCAUGACAACUCGCAGAGCUGUUGCUGGUCUUUUUCUUCCUCCGCCACCAAGGAUUGAAGUGUGGGACACCAUCCAAUCGUCAGCCUUUUGAGAGAGCUAAUGUCUUGCAGAAAUCCGUUAUGACUCUUCCAUAUAUAUGUUUCAUUUUUAAUAUUGCUUAUCUCCAAUUCUUCCAAUUUUGGUAGUCGCGGCUUCAAUGGCCCUGCAAGCAACACUUGAUUUAAUGUAUCGCUACAAACCACUGAAUUCUGUGACUCGAGAUGAUCAGUUUCACUUCUCCACACAACCUUUUUACAUCCACCAAUCUCUAAUUUGCAAAGAGCUGGAAGACUCGUAAUUGAAACUAACAAUUCUUCACAUCCUCCAAUAACAAGCAUCUCCAAUGCAGGAAGGUGUUCUGGAAAUGUUCCUUUCAGUUUAGAACAUCCUAUAACUUCAAGCUCUCUCAAUUUAGGAAAUCCUUCAACUCCCUGAGUAGAUCCAUGAGGAAUCCAGUCUUCCCAUUCUAGCAGGUUUUCAAAACGAAGAGUCUCCAAGCAUGGAAAAGGAAUUGGAGUAUCAUUCCCAUAGAACUCCGAACCCAAUCUCCUUACUCUGCUCAUUCUACGUACUGCAAGAUGCUUUAGAGAGGGUAGUUGCCCGACCGACGGCAGUGUGGUACACAUGCCACAAUCUUCAAAUUUAAGUGUUACUAAAUUUGAGAAUGAGGAAUCUCCUAACCAUAUUGGAAAUUUUGUACCUCCAUAGCCACUGAUAAAAAAUUGCUCCAGAUUUUUAUGGGGUUUCAGCAUGUCAAGCACGCCCUUUUGAGUUUCUGCCUCCCUUAAAGAUGAACCAUCGGUACUGUUUGUCCACCGAAGCAUUAACACUUUAAGGUUCUUCUUUCCAUCCAAUUGAGCCUCCUUGGCAUCACCAACGUAUUUUACGUUCUCCAAUUUUGAAACGGUAAGUGUCCCACGAAGAUGCGUCAACAACUUUAGCUCUCGCAACCGGGAACCACUGUCUUUUCCUACAACAAAAUUACACAAUGUCUGAAGACAAGUCAACUUGCCAAUUCCUAGUGGCAUUUCCUCCAACGAAUCUGUAUUUGAAUUAUUGAGAUGAUGCAAUUUGAUGAGAUUUCCCAUGCCUGCACACAACUUCCUCAGUCCCCGACAACCCUCCAACGAAAGGGUGUGCAAAUUGUAAAGCUUGUUGACUGAUUCAGGCAGAGUUCUAAUCUGAGUUCCAGAUAGGUUGAGGUACCUUAAAUACCUCAAAUCACCAAUUGAAUCUGGCAGCUCGGAGAUCCAAUAUCCACACAAAGAGAAGACCCUCAGGCGUUGAAGUUUGAACAACUUAGGAAGAAUGCUAUGAGCCAAGAAUCCUUGCGAACUAUUUGACAGACAUACUGGUAGAAAAGUUCGCAAAUGCUGGAUAUUGUACAAGUCUUCAAACCUUUUAACGCCAUCAUAUUUUCCACAGAUGCAUGAUAGAUGACGAAGAUUUUUGGAAAAACUUUGUUGUUUGUUAACCUCUGAAGUAUAAUCCAUUGUGAAGUAAAUUUCCCCCGCAGCCCAAUGGGCAAGGUCAUUGAUAAGAUCGUGCAUCACAAAUAGUGAUUUAUUGUUGCUUGAUUGCUGGAAAAAGGAUCUUGCACGUAGCUCUUGAAAGAACUUUCGACCUAGAUCUUCACAUGGAUUCUCGCUCUUCCGAUGAUCCAAGAAACCCACAGCACUCCACAAUAAAAUUAUCUCCUCCUCUUCAAAUUCAUAAUCAUUUGGAAACAAUGAGCAGUAUGCAAAGCACUGUUUCAAAGGUGCCGAGAGAUAAUUGUAGCUCACUCUAAGCGCCGGUAUAAUGUCACAUCUCUCUUCUGGUAAAUCCCAUAUGUUGCAACUGAGCACACCUUCCCAAUCACUUCGGUCACAUUUACCACGUAAGAGUCCACCAAGGGUUUUCGCAGCUAAGGGCAGGCCGUCGCAUUUGAUCACUAUCUUCUUGCCAAUUUCCUCCAAUGGCUUAUUUGAACUGAAAUCUCUUGUCCCCAAAGAGUGGUGAGCGAACACGGACAAACAAUCAUCAAUUGACAACUUUUUUAAUUGAUAAGCUGAAGCAGUCCCCAUUAUGGCUGCAACCUCUUGAUUGCGAGUUGUGACAAUAAUCUUACUUCCCGGUGCGCCAGCUUCAAACGGACGGCUCAUGUCAACCCAAUCAUUGUAACUCUCAUUCCAAACGUCAUCUAAAACAAGCAAAAAUUUCUUUCGAGACAACUGCAUCUUUAGCUCCUCUUGAAGCAAAUUUAAAUCACUAUUAUCAACAGUCUGCUUAGUAAUGGAGCUUAGAAUUGUUCUUGUUAGCCUGAUAACAUCAAAAUCAUCAGAGACACAAGUCCAUGCCUUGAGAUCAAAAUGACCCUGCACUCGAUCUUCAUUAUAGACAAGCUGAGCAAGAGUGGUUUUGCCCAGCCCGCCCAUACCUAUAAUAGGAAUAACUGAGAAUUCGCCAUCAUUUCUUAAAUCAUCCCUCAACAACAAUUCAACGAUUUCCUUUUUUUCUGUUUCCCUACCAUAUACCUUUGCUCCGUUCACCAAAGAGGUUGUGGGUAGUCUUUGCCUGACUUUUUUGGAUCUCCCCGCUGAACUUUCUUUCAAACCCAACGAGUCUUUCUGUGUUGCAACAUCUUGAAAUCUGUCGUUGAUCUCUUUGAUUUUGGACAUCAUGGUGUAAUCGAACUGAAUCGAUUGUGGAGUAAAAGUGGUGCAGCAAGUAGGAAUGAGCUUCCGAAUUCUGGUAUGACUGCUACUAGGUUGAUCAUGAGCCGCAACUGGUUCUCCAUUUCCAAGCAGCAACCUCCUCCGGAACGCCUCAGUUUGAAACUCAUCCAACAAGUCUUCAACAUCAUAAGCCAAGUUCUGAAGCUCGCCAAGCCACAACUUCACAGACUGAUCAGUCUUCUUCUCCUCAGCAUCAUCAAGCACCGCCUUGAUCAUCACCAACAUAUUCUUCCACUUCUUUAGGUCGGCCUGGAUUUGCUCUUGGCGUCCGAACAACCGAAUCCCCUCUGAAGCUAACUUAUUGACCAGCAAAUCAACGGACGCCGUAAGGAUUGCCUCUCCGAUGAUUGACAUUUUUUUCUUUUUUAACGCACAGAAAGAAACAGAAUUUUGAGUUUCAAAGAGCAAAAUGAGAAAAUUGAGCAGUAAGUGUGAAGGGUCAAGCAAAUUGCACGCAACAAGUCUUCCACUUGUUGUUUACUCUAGUAAAGUGCAAAUAGAAACGGAGCCCACCACCCAUUAAAAAUUUAGCGAUUCACCAAUCACCAGUCACCACCACUUGUUACCAGAUUAAAUGAAUGUAAAAUCGCACCUCGACAUUUGUAGGGUCAAGCAACAUUAAUCCAAUUGUCCGGGUAAAUGCUGAAUAAAGUGGACAAUUGGAUGUAUCUACUACGAACCUUCCCUUUACAAAUCUUCAAACUCAUAAACCAUGUUAAAAUGAAAAACGUUUCUCUCUUUCUCUCUCCCUUUCUGCCGUAAAAUUACUUUAUGGAUUGAAUUAAUUUCCAUGCUAAAACGAAGACUUAAAAGUACGAUACAAUUUUUUAUAAUAAUCCCAAUGGAAUUUCUACCGUCACGUUACAUUACUGUAGUGUCAAAAUAAAUUAUAAUAAAAUUUUAGCUGAACAUAAAUUCGACUCAUUUAUUAAAUAUAUAUACUUAAUAAAAUAACAACGAUAUUUUAUUACCUGGCUUCUCCCCAAAAAGAUAAUUUUCAAAAUUGUUCAUGGAGAAGUCUAUGUUGCAGAUUCUGUAACAUACGCACCCAAUGCAUGCACCACACUUGUUCUGUGCAUGGAGAAAAAGCAUGCAAAUGCUUUUGUUAGGUAGCUGGCUUAAAGCAGAAUCAGUAAGUUACAGAGUCUGUAACUUAGCCUGCUCCAUGUGAAAACAAAAAAAGUCCUGCCACCAAUAAUUCAGAAAGCUUCACUUUAUUACACGAAGGUGAAAGCAAAAAGCCAAAAACAGCCCCCACCACCAUCAAUAAUUUAGCAAGCUUCACAUGCUAGCGCCUGUCUACCUGACGAACUGCACACAGCACAUGGGUGGACCAAGCAUCAUUGAAUAGUUGUAAAAAAUAAAAAAUAAAAAAUAAAAAUCAGUGUCCCGCAAAAAGAAUCCAUCUUUAUGUGUUGAUAUGCACAUCUACCGAACAUCCAAAAAAUGGAAGUAGAAAUUGAAACUUACUUUUUUAGUUAUGGCUCAUAUAUAAUACAAGUAUCAAGAUUUAAGUAGAGUUCACAUAUACACAUGCGUCUACAAAAUUUUUAGGAAGUGAUAACUAAUAUGUUGGGAUAUAUAUUUGUGGGAAAUGACAAAUAUAGAGAAUAGCAGUAAAAAUGUUGGAAGUUUAAUAUAAUGAAAAAAGGUAAAUUGCAAAAAAUUAAUAUGUAAUUUAAAGCACAUUACAAAUUGAGUAAUGUACAUGGGUUAAGCAAAUAUACCUCAAUGAUACAAUGAGACACUUAUUUGUUUGUUUGCUUUGUGCAUCGACAAAAAUAAAUUAGAAUACUCUUUAAUGUUGCAAAAACAAUAUAUUGGAUAUUUGAUGCAUAAAAAAGAAAGUUAUUUGAUGAAAUUCAUUCUAGGAAAUAGAGCUAAGAAAAGAGCGGUGUAGGAUUAUCUUAUUCAUAUUUAAAAUUCUAAAUAUAUUGAUUUACUUAUCAUAGUGAUAUAAUAGUAAUUGUAAAUUAAAAAUAAAUUUAAUAUUAAAACAAAUAGAAUUUACUAAUAAAAAUAAAGUUAUAUAUCUUUUUUCGAAAUAUUUAAGAAUUUUAUGUCCUUUUUUUUUUCAAAACGUUUGGAGUGAAUUUCCAUUUCCCAUUAAGCAAAACCCACCGCAAAAGUGAAAAGAAAAAACAGAGCCCACUACAAAUCUAAAUCAGAGGAGCUCAUGAUCGUGCCUUUGCUUCACACACUAAAUUAAAUAAAAGCCGAACCAAGAAUUGCCUUUGCUUAACAUGAUUAAUUAGGCACUACAUCAAAGAGAACACGAAACCAAUGGACCCUUUUGUUAAUCUUAAAUGUCAGGAAUAUGAUUAGCUUGGAAUAAAGUUACAUACUUUCUCCUCCUCUUACUGUCUCUUUAUGUUCAUUUCAAAAGUUUGAAGAGAGUAUCAAUUCUUCUACACUUUAGAAUGUCAAUGUUCUUGCUUUCUUCAAAUGUUGAAUAAAGAGAAAAAAAAAUGUUGAAUGUAGAAGGAAAAUGGAAUGCAUCCACCUUCGCUUUGGAAGUCUUCUACUUAUAAAAGCAAGCUAAAUUAAAAGAUUUAAAUCUCUCUUUUUAUUACUAUAAGUGCACUGCAUUUUUUUUUUUAAAUAAUCACCUAUACAAAUUUGUAAUGUAAUGAAAUAUUCAUAUUCCUGUCGUGUCGAAAUGAGAUAAAAUGAAAUUUCAAAUAACACAAAUUCGACUCAUUUGUUAAAGGUAUAUACUUAAUAAGCUAAUAACAUAAUUAACAUAACGCUAUUAUUACACUAAAUGAAAUAAAAGACGGUAGCCACUAAAUGAAAUUUUGUUGUUAUUGUACGUUGAUUUAAUGGUUUGAUUUUCCACUAAAUGAAAUAAAGCCGUUAGAUUUUAAUUACGUUGAUUUAAUGGUUUGGAUUUAUAAAUGAAUAACGACGUGGUGUUUGGCUACCAUCUGAACCCACUGCAUCUAAUUGGUUUUGUGAUUUUUUGCUUUCUUCUUUGUAACGCUUGACUAUUUCUGGAAAUAUCGACCGCCAUCGACAGCAAAUCUGAACCAUGCAUUAUUUCUUAGUACUAAGAAAUAAAGUUUCCACCACCGUACCAGUAUGUCGAUUUGCGAAUACAUUCAUUCAAAUAUUAAACGUUCAGAGAAGAAAGCAAACCGUGGCAGGAUAGCAAAAACUGCGAAUGGUCAUUCCCAACACAAACCCCUAUGGCUGUUUUCCUUUUAAUUUUCUUCUUUGAAUUCUCCUUUUAUUAAUCAUUAGAAAACUCCCUUUUUUUUUUUUAAAUCAUGUGUUAUUAACAUUUACAUGGUUAAUGUCAUCGAAAUCAAAUGGUUGUUAUCUACGAAAAGAGAAUUGCUAGAAAUUUUGUUAGUCCCAUUGCAACAAUAUAUUGUUAUAAAUUGCAUUGUGUCCCAUAUAACAAAUAUAAUAAAAUCUCAAUAAAUUAAUAGUUUUGGGAACCAUAAAAAAAUUUAUUAAAAUUUAACAAAUAUCAAUUAAUCAGUAAAUUGAUAAAUUAUUAAUUUAUGAAAAUAUUCAUUAUUUUGAAAAAACAUGAUCACGUUUUUAAUAUUGAUUUACCCUGAGUUAAUAUCUAUUAUGUUUUAUUUGUCUAUUAGUUUUAUCUUGGGAAGAUUUUUUAAGAGUUAGCUGCUUUAUAUUAAGUUAUUAACAGUAAUAAAAUUAUUAGUUGAUACAGGCGAAUUUUCUGACCAAAAUCGUACAAAGAAGUUGAAAGUGUUUAUUUUUGUUAUUUCAAGACAUUCUAACAAACUAUAAGGGGUCACAAAAAGGUUGAUACGACGUAAAAUGUGGCAAGUCUUCCCACUUGUUAACAGUAAUAAAACUACUUCUUGUUCUUUUUGUCCUCAAGGGUCAAGCAAAAUACGACGUAAAAUGUGGCAAGUCUUCCCACUUGUUGUUCUUUGCAGCUAAGAAAAGAAAAACAAAUCCCGCAAUGGAGUCCCCUUAAGUGGCUUGCCUGGGUUUGCUCCCCAGUUCGAGUCGCAAGGAAGUCGCCUUUGUUGGGAGAACCUGUGUCCUCCAGUUCGAGCGGGGACUUCUAGUCUGAGUUGUGGUACGGGCUUAAAGGCGUCUCCCACAGUUGGGCCCUCCCCAGGAUACCUCGUGGUUAAGAAAAAAAAAAAAACAAGAAAAAAAGAGCCCGCCACCCAUUAAUAAUUUAGCAAUUCACCAAUCACCACAAAAUUCCAUUAGAUAUUCGUCGAUCAAGUAGUUAAUCCAGUGUCUGUUACGUAGAGCCUUCACUUUACAAAUCUUCAACUCAUAAACCAAGUUAAAUCAAGACGUUUCUCUGUAUAUAUAUAUAUAUAUAUAUAUAUAUUUUUUUUUUUUAACUCCUAAAACGUUUCUUUUUAGAAAUAUUUUACUUUAUUCAUCUAAUAUGUUAUCUAACAAAUAGACACAGAUGAAAUCACUCUAAAGUGAAGAUGAAAGGGGAAAAAAAAACAUUCCAACCACCAAUAAUUUAGCAAGCUUCACUUUUAUUCCACCAAAGUGUAAACAAAGCCAGCCCCCACCACCAUCGAUAAUUUUGCAAGCUUCACACGCUUGUUGUCUUCUCCUUGACGAACUGGACGUGGGUGGACCAAGAAUCAGUGAAAGAAUUUUAAAAAUAAUAAUAAUAAAAGAAAAACCUAAACAUUUUCGACUUAGAGUAGAACCGUAAUUAAUGCUAAAAUUUACUCCGCUAACGUUUUCAAAAUAUUGUUCUUUAUCAUUGUACAGCAAAUAAGACUAAGUUUUGGACAUUUUCAUUAUUCACUUACUUUCAAAAGUAGUAUUUCAAAACAUUUUACAUAAUCAAGUUACAGUUAUAUAACGAGAAAAGUGCAAAGUUGUGUAAUUCUAAUGUUUUUUUUAUCACAGACACUCAGAUCAUUUUUUAUUUGGGUCGCCAACUCGCCAAUGAACCCAUGAUUGAAUGAGUGUUUAGAAAGAAAAUCAAUAAAAAACAGUUUAUUUUUUGUCGUCGAAAUAUAGUAAGUGAGAAAGAAUAUUCUUUUUUUUUUUUGUUAGUAUUUAUGAUUGAGUGACUCAGAACUAUAUUUUAGAUUGAGAAUCAAUGGUUCUCCCACACUGAGAGGCUGUAAGUUUAAGAUUGUCGUUUGCUAUUUCAUCGACAAGAGAACACUUGAAUUUUAUUAAAAGGAGAAGGCCAUAAAGGUUUUCCUUUAUGAGAAAUGUAUCUGAUCAUUCAUUUUUACUUGAAAAUUUCAUAUAUAAAAACUCAUUAAUAAAUGACAGAAUAUGUUGAAAAGUCAUGCAUGUGGCAUCCAAAUUCAAGAAAGCAUGCAAAUUUCAAAGUGCUACCAAACAAUUGAAGAAAAAAAUGAAAAGUUGGCAAAUUUUGCAAAUUUGCCAAAUGGACACCAUUGACAAUUUGCUUAAGUUAGGUGGAAUAGUAGAGGGGUUGGUGCACUUCUUCCAUUUUAAUCAUCUCAAAAUUGUUAAGCUUAUAAGUUUCUAAGCUUUUGAGAGAAGUGAGAGAAGUGUGUAUGGGGAAUUUAUCUUUCCUGCAGAGUGUGAGAGUAUUGGGUAUAUUUGGGUUUCUGGGAAGUGAGAUUCGUUACUCAAAUAUUGUACUCUAUUAAUUGUUAAAUAAACAAUUAUUCUUUCUUGCCUCCGUGGAUGUAGGUUUAAUUACCGAACCAUGUAAUUCUUGUGUCCUUUAUUUUUCUAUAAUUAUUUGGUGCGCUUGAUUUCGCAUUCCGCGCACAACAAAAUAUACAUAAAUUAUUAAUUCAUUUGAUAGUUGAUUAUCGAAGGACAUGUGACCCAUGGGAGCAUGCAGUCUAUAAAAUAAUUCUUUUUUUAUUAAACAAAAAAUUGGUGAUGUUGAAAAGCAAUAUUAUUAUUAUUCUAAUUGGGGUGAACAUUCAUAAAAAGAAUGCCGUAUGAAACUAAAUUAUUAAUUCGUUUGAUAGUUGGUUAUCGAAUGACAUGUGACCCACAAUAAAUAGUUAAAUUUGGCGGCAACAAUAAUUACAAGACGAACUUAAAGCAGCGCAUAGUUUUUUCUUAAAAAUACAUAAACAAUUCGAUAUUUGAAAUUCUAAUAUCUCAAUAAUAUUGAUCAUGAUUCAGUUACCAAUUAGAUCCACUUACAAUUUCUUUUUUUCUUUUUUCUGGUUUCCAAUCUUUACCAAAAGAAAAUAUUUAGUGAUCCCUUUUAUCAACUUGGUUUUAUUGACUUUCUUCCAAUCAUAGAAGUGUUACCAGAUUCUGUAAAGACAAGAUCAGUGCCCAGCAAAAGAAGCUAUGUUUUCGUUUAUAUGCUGCUUCCUAUUUAGUACAUGCAUAUAAAGAUAUACACGUGCACAUGCAGCACAUCUAUCUAAAAUUUAAAAAACGGAAUUAGAAAUACAGGAUUUAUGGUAGAAAUACAACAGGAAUAAGAGUGAAAUUCCAAUUUUAAAAUUUGGGAGAAAUGAAAUGCGAUAUUUUUUUUAUUAAUAAAAUAAUUUAAUUUUUUUUAAUUCUACCAGCAAAAACCAUUAACUUAUCAAGUUAUUGGUUUCAUUCACAGUUGACAGUCGGUUUCUUAGUUUCAUUCCUUAAUUCUACAAGAAAAAAACAGAAUACUUGACAUUUUUUAUUUGACAGUUUUUAAGAAAUGUCAAACAUAUAUGACAUUUUGUGAAAAACUGAGUAAUUGUGAAAUAUAAAUGACAAUUUAUUUAAACGUCAAAUAAUUGUGACGUUUUAUCAAAUAAAUGAUAAAUAUAUUACAUAUUUAUUGAAUAAUUAUCAUUUACCUUUUCCUUUUAUUGACUUGAGAAAAAAAACAAAAACAUUGACUAUACUGCUUUUGUUUUCGUUCUUAGAACAGAUUUUAGUUUCUUUUGAGAAAAUUCAAACUCAUUCCCAUUACUUUCUUUUCAAUAAUCACCUCUCAGUUUUUCAUCAAUCACUCAAUUCCGAAUUUCAUCUCCAUUCUCUUUCGAAGAAGAACGCACAAAGAAUUUUAGCUUGCUUUCGCUGCUUCUCGAAUAUUGG